Molecule: long non-coding RNA, 179785 nt
Filed under: Fragaria vesca (wild strawberry)
Lineage: Eukaryota; Viridiplantae; Streptophyta; Magnoliopsida; Rosales; Rosaceae
Description: long non-coding RNA (FVES_LNC000007)
Source: RNAcentral
GGUGGAGGCAGUAAAUGCAAAAGGGUCCCAUUUUGAAUGCAGUUGAGGAAGACAUUGCAGUUCCUUGUGGUAUUCAAACACUACAUGUUUCUGAGAAUUAAUAUCUUGAACCAGAUAGCCUUAUUAAUUGGGCGGUUCCUAAUUUUGUUUAAUCUUACUAGUGCAGAAAGGAACCAUAAAACCCUUUAGCCAAUAAUGUGUUUGUCACCUGCCUUUGUAUUAAAUUUGGAGGCUGGUAGGAGAUGGAGAUGAUUAACCUGUGGUCCUUGUGUGAAUUGUUUACAUCUCUGUGUUUGAUUUGGUGUUUCAAAGGUCCAUUUUGAUAUGUGAAUGGCUUUAGAUGAACAUAAAUGAUUUCAUUUCUGAAGGGCAGUAUGAAACUAUGAAUGACCUAGAUAACAAAUCUGAAAUGAUUUCAUGACCGACUUGUUGAUAUAUACCAUCGAUUACGAUUUGUUCAGAAAUGUGCAAACCAGAUUAAGUGAACAUGGGAAGUGCAAAUAGUGACUUGUUGAUAUAAUGAUAUGUAUGUCUUUGAGUAUGAGGGGAGUUCAGGAUCUUAACUUUGAAGCUUGAACAAGCCAAACUGGGGUGACAUUUUGAAUCAUGAAGGUGAGUGCAACAGAUAUAGUAAAAUUUCUACUACUGGAAUGGUCUGGUACAAAUAUGUCCCCAAUCAGGAGCCUCAGAACUCCGGUCUAAUUUUACAGAGCAAACUAUCUGUGUGUGUAAGGAUUUGGCACCCUAAUAUCUUAUCACUUGAUGCUAUCAUACUUACAUGACGAGAGAAAGAACAAAAAAGGUAAGCAUAUUACCACUGAAGGCAGCUGAUGCAGUUGAGAAGAAAAAUAGGGAGAAGGUUAUCAUGCCUGAGAAGGAAUUGGGGGAAGGAAUUGAUUAAAUUCAUCAACUAACCGCUCCAUUGUCUGCAGCUGAUCAUACGGUGCAAUCUGCACCAUAAUACAGAAAUUCAAACUGACCAUCAAUUUCUGCCUAGACAACAUCACAUUAGGCCAAGUAGGCGAUUCAGCAAAUGGAUAUAUUGGUAGGUCAUGCAUGACUCCUUUUAUCUUAUUCGAGUAGGAGAUUGUUCAUACUUGGUCAAAGAAAAGAAACAAUAGAUAAAUACAGCAGCCAUUUGAAUUCUUUGUAGCUGCACUGGUCCAAAUAUGCAUGUGCUAAAAUCACCAGUCAUAAUCAGCCAAUUCAAAUAAUCUACUAUGACAACUAAAAUGAACAAAAAGAAGUCCUAGUCCAAAAUCAGCCAAUUCAAGUAUUCAAAAGAUCCUCUUUCAAACUUGACUGGUAUAUGCAAAUAUGAUGGAAGUUCACAAGCAUUACUGGUAUGGAUUCAGCGUGCUUUACACUAUAGUCAAAAGGAGUUAAAUUUUCAUGAUUCUCAUCAAGUUGACACAAUACCGUUGCCUUGUCACUCUGUCUAGUACCCCAGCAAUAAAAUGACCCCUGAUGCCAUUUUCUUUUAGUAAUUCUUAUAUGAAUUGAAUCAAACAAAACAUGUUUUACCUGACUAAAUCCGUCUGGCCAUGUUAUUGACACGGCAUAGUUUCCCAUAGGCCGAAUUUCUUCAGGUUCAAUAUCUUCUGGAACAUCAUUAUACUGCAAUUUUUGCUCCCCUGUCCACUCAUCCUGAUUUUGAAUAAAAUUAGCCACUCAAAAGUUAAAGGAUUACAUAUGUAGAUAAGUAGAUCGAUCAAUGGGAACUUAAGACAAAAAAAAAACCAAAUUUCUACAGCAAUGGGGGAUAUAGUUUCUUUCUAGAAAGUAAUAUUUUGUUUGCUCUGAACCUUUAUUAUUAAACAGGUCCAGUGUGAAAUUUUGCCACCUCUACCAUAUUUCUCCAUCAACUAGUAUGUCUUCAAAGUCUUCUUUGACAUGGACAAUAAUUUCCAAUAGAUUAAUAUUUAAAGAAGUAAUUUAAAAUAAAGGCUUAGCGAAACAUGUCAAAAUUCAACAGCUGGAUUCUUAUGUUUCUCUGCUUUAAAAUAAGUUAUGCAGUGGCGUAGUGCUGAUGGAAAAUGACAGUACUUACAGAAGCAAUAUUCUUGAAGGAUCAGUAUCAUAAAUCUAAAAUAUAUGCAUGUCAUCUUGCAGCAAUAUUGUGCUACUCUUUAAAAAAAAAAAAAAAAAAACUACUAUACUUGGUGCUUUAAAAUAAAUCUAGUCAUACCACACUUUGGGCAGAGCGGUCAUUCCGUCUCACAGUUGCAGGAUGGAGAAGAAACUCAUCAUCUGAAUCUGGUACCUUCACUCUUAUUGCCUUGAUAGAUUUAUCGUAGGUCACUGCUGUUGAGACUACAAUAGAAAAACAUAAUAUUUCAUCAGAAAGAGUCCAUUUCAGUAAAAGAAAAGGGAAUUCAGCCUGCAAGGCUUUUGAGUUUGGGAAAAACACAAUAUUUCAUCAGAAAGAGUCCAUUUCAGUAAAAGAAAAGGGAAUUCAGCCUGCAAGGCUUUUGAGUUUGGGAAAAACACAAUUAUAAAGCUACAAAUUUUUUUCAAAGCUUUGGAGAUACUAGUACCUUCUAUACAUAGUUAGUUAGUUACUCUCUUACUUGAUUUACCAGAAAACUUUGUUAACCUGAAUAGGUACUGCAGGUCUAAGAUAGCAUACCUUGUUGGCGAAUCUUGGCACACUGUUGCACAACACAUAUUCCGAGUUCCUGAAAUGUCUUAGAAACUUCACCUAGAGGAUCAGCUACCACUUCGGGUACUCCACUAUCUCCAGAAGCAGAUAGCUGCCAGAUUAAACAAUCAAAAUUUUACAGUUUCUGCCUGUAGCAAAUAUGCGGUUUAACAUUUUACAACUUGAUAUGAUAAUAGAAACAAAUCACACAAAACUUGAACUGUAUAACAUAUGUUUGGCCUUGCUGUCAACCUAGCUAGUCUCAAUCAUACAUUAGAGCAAAUUCAAAUAAUAAGUGAACAGAAAACAUAUGGACUUACGGUUGGUCGAAUGGGAAGAUCAAACAGAUUUGGGAUACCAAACUGCUUUACAACCUGCAAACAUAUAUGAAUCAUACUAUAUCAAAUACAUGGUAAUGCAUGAACUGAAAUACUUAGAUUAAUUAAUAUAUUCUAUGAAGCAAGGAAGUAAGUUAUAUAUGUACAUACCUCUGAGCCUGAGCCUUUACCAAAUGGGUAGUGGCGCUUCCCAUCGGCAUCAAAAUGGCUCAUAUUCUCAACUACAGCAACACAUGGCACCUAAAUAGAUGAAAAUGACAACAGGAAUGUGUUAGAUGAGAUACCUUAAAUAAACUAACCAUAAACAAGACUGAUAAACUUUCCAUUACUGGUAAGAAAUAAUCACAAGUUCGUCAGUUUUGAACAAUGUUACUGAUCUAUUACAUGCCAUUGACUGGUUAGUUUAUAAUGGAACAUUGGAAUGGAUGAUUGUGUGGUGAAUAUACAUUUACCUUCAACUUUGAAAACAUGCGAACUCCUUUUGCCACAUCAAUAAACGCUAGCUUUUGAGGGGUGGUAACAAUAACAGCAGCGGUCAAUGGAACUACCUGAAAAUCCAGAAUUUUGUCCAACUCAAAACGUUGGAAUAUUGAAUAGAAAAAUAUUUGGGUAAAAUAUCCACAUAUAACAUACUCGAUAUAAAAUAAUAGUUAAUCACACAAAUACAAAGGAGAAUGCAUAACUUGAUCGAUGGAAUUCUUAUAAUCUGGACCCCCCUAAAAAACAGUGAAUAUGGAAAGAAAGCAGGACCUGGCACAAUGUAAGCUGAAUAUCACCAGUUCCAGGAGGCAUGUCAACAACAAGGUAAUCCAGUUCUCCCCUACAUAAUGAAACAAACACAAUUAGACAGUUGAACAUCACCAGUACCAUCUUUUAGCACUGAAUUCUGUAAGGACCCCUGAACUUAAAUUUUUUAAGUUCAAUUACUGUGAUUCAUCAGAAGAAAUUGAUUGAGAUGGAAGCUUCAUUUACAUAAGCUCUACAAAAUUUCAUUGGCGAUAACUGACAUUAGACCAACUGUAAGAUAUGAUUUGUUCAAUCAGUUAUAGUUGACAGUAUUUCAGUGUUCAAUGAAUCUGACUGACUAACUUCAUUUUCUUAAAGUUUCUGGUCAAGUAAAUAAAAACGAAGUUUUAUAGUAAUGGUAUUAUCAAAUGCAUUGAAUUGCAUAAGGAGCCAUCCUACAAAUGUCCAAAAUAUCUGGUACAGUACUUAGCUCAUGGAAUGUCGAUAAUGAUAAACAGAAUUUGCAUAACUUAUUUUCAGAAGCAUGCCAUACCACUCUGUUGUUGUUAGAAGCUGGUCAAUGACCCCAGAGACCAUUGGGCCUCUCAUUAUUGCACGACCUUGUCCGGCAAAUCCAAAAGACACCAAUUUCACUCCCAAGUAUUCAGUAGGAAUAAUGGUUCUUUUCUCUAGGUUCUAAAGGAAACUUUCACAGUGUCAGAAUUCAGAACUGCUGAGCUUGACAAAUUGCAAGAAAAUUCUAUCAAGAGUUAUUACAUUACCAUUUCUAGUAGUCGGUUUUCAGGGGAGACCAUCGUUGGUAGACUAGGACCAUAGACAUCAGCAUCAAAUAUACCAACUCUAGCACCCAUACCAGCCAAAGUAUAUGCUAAGUUUACUGCAACAGUAGAUUUUCCCACGCCUCCCUGCACAUAUAUUACAAUAAAACAGGAAUUCAAAUAAAAAGAUAUGUCACCAUCAUAAGUUUAAAAACAACAAUCAAACCCGACCAUAGUGAACUGAAACCAUGAAGAUCAGCAUGUACCUCAAAAGAUAAAUACCAGCUAAGAAAGCACCAAAUAAUAUUGGAAAGUCUACCUUGCAACUAGAAACUGCCACAAUAUUUGAAAUUGUCUGUAACCCUGCUGGAAGUUGCCCGGCAUAAAGGGGUUUUGCAGGUUGUGCUGACAUUGUCACUUUGACAUUCUUGACCCAUGGAAGCUCGUUCACCACCUCAUUUGCCUUUUGCUCAAACUGAAAUGCAACUUAAGCUUAAUAUGGCUGCUAUUUCUUUUUACGAAAAGAAAAUUGGUUGCUAUUUUUAAAUUUUUAUGGACUCUAAGCCCUCAGUAGUCCAUUCAAUGCUACAAGUAGAAGCAUAAUAAACUCAUGAAGGUAAUGGUUACAAUUGCAUCUUUUCAUUCACAUAUACAUCAAUCAGCGAUCAGUAAGCAUAUAUUCAGUUCACUUAUAAAGUUAUAAUUCAAAAGUCUACCAUAUCAUGUACUAGCGAAUUCUAGAUAAAAUAAUGGUGAUUGUAUCAAUUACCAUGUCCUUUACUGGACAUGCUGGUGUAGUGAGCUCUAACCGAAAUGAAACCUGAGAUGAAAAAUCAAUAUAUUCUGGUAAGGACUACAUUCGUUAUAUGUCUGUCACUGAAAAUCUACACAUACACGAUCUAAACGACCUCUCCCAAUGCCUCAUCGAUUUGCAGGUCUUUCACAAAUCCACACGAGACAAUGUCUGUCCCGAAAUCUGGAUCAAUGAUUUGAGACAAUGCCUUCAGUACAUCACUCUCAGCUACCCCAUUUGAUACUGCGGCAGUGCCAGCUACAUUUAACCAAAAGAAUAGAAUAAAAUUACUAGAAAACAAAAUCCUCAGAUGCACCUAGUGUAACAAAAUCGUUAAAGAAUAUAUAAGACACCCAUUAUCCAACUCAAUUUCUAAUAUUGUUCAGUAAUUGAAGGCUUCCCCCUAUCUGAUUUGAUACAAAAUGUCCAAUGCUGCCCAAGUUCCAAUCUUGAAUGCUUACAAUAUAAAUUAUGCUUCUUUGGUAAAAGUCCAUUAUUAAAUUUCAUGGCUUUGGCUAUAUGGGAUUCUGAAAAAUUCCAGUUCAUAAAAAAUAUCAAAAUCCCUCCAACACAGGCAAAUGGGUUCUUUCCUAAGCAAAUCAAAGUCUCUUGUUAAAGUGAAAUAUGCAAUUUUGGAAACUGGGUUUAAUCCAGAAGUUGCUCAAACAAUGUAGAGAAAGCUUUACCUUCCAAAGAAGAAGCUUUAGUCGUUAAGGAGCCCAACACAGAGCCUCUACGUGAUACCCAUCUAGACCUUUCAACUCUUUCUUGCUGAAGAGAACAAAAUAUAGAAGAUGAUGAUGAUACAACAGGUUUCUCAUAUAAAGCUAGUCCUACAAGUACAACAAAGCAGAGGACAAAACAGAGUCAGUGGGAGUUGAAAUGAAACAGUUGCAGAAGUAACACAUUAGAUAUAGAGAUAAGCAUCGAUCACCUGCUGCUUCUGCAUGUGUUUUAAGGGUUUGAAAUGAGAGAUAUGGUGAGGAAGGAAGGUGAAGAAGUUGCAUAUUAUUUUUGAGAGGGAAAAGAUGGUGUGAGAAAAUGGGAGGUGACAAUGAAGCAGGAAGUGAUCAGUGGCUUCUGUCAAGUUUGAACCUCAUGUUACUAGUUUUGCUGCGUCAUGCCUAUCUCAUUCAGAUUUCAGAAUCCGAACCCUUUAGCCUUUUUCGACGCGUCAUCUAAUUGACCGUCGUUUAUUCAUGAACAUUGUUCUAGCAUCAGGAUGAAAGUCGUAACUACCCCCAGAUAACAUAAUAUUUACGGAUACGUAUCCGACGUACAAAACCGUUUUCCGGCCAUACCAGCACUACCAUGUUCCUUUUAGGUUCAGAAUCUGUUCUCAGAAACGCCAAAAACGCGUCGGAAAAGGGUUAAAUGAAAUUAUAUUGUUUCUUUGGCUGUUUCAAUUAUAUUGAGUACUGAAUUCGAUUCAGGGUUUUUUGUAUUAGCUGAGAAGGCAUGCAUGUUAUUCUGGUUGCAUAGUGAAAAAGAUGAUAGUCUUGGGUUGAGCUUGUGUUUCCAUGUCCUGUGAUGAGACAUGGUCUUUUGAUGUCUGUUUUAUAUGUUGCUUUGAACACCAAAGGGUAGCCAGGAUAGUCCAUGGGCUACUGCAAUACUCGCUAUCGAACUGAUCUAUCCAGGAUGUCAACCUCUUAUACCAACUUGCUGUUGUAGUGAUUUUCUAUAUUGCGAUUUGGACACUGCCGUAUGUUCCACUGUUAGGCACCAAGUCAGUACCUAUCUCACUGAAAAGUUGAGCAACCCCUUCAUCACACCCAAGUGCGUUAUACAGCACGCCUACUGACCUUAGCAGUUUAACAGCAUCUACAUUAUUAAUCAGUGAAUCGACUGUGAAUAUCAACUCUUCCUCUAUGUUACUUUUGCUCAUCAACAGCUUGAGGACUUGGUAAGGGAGUUGGUUUUCUAGUAAGAAAAAUUCCUGUUCUGCAAAAGCCACCUGAUCCCUCUUGAAGUUAAAUUGUGCCAGGGUAUGUGAACUGUAAGGUUGAACACCCAUCUAAGAAGGGGCCUCGUUGGUGUAGGACCUUGUUGCUUCCUCAUCAUAGCGGUCCUUUAGUGUGUCAAUGUUGUCCUCAAUGAUCUUGUGCAAGUCUUUAGCUUGACGGCCACUGGCUUUGAUAUAUUUUGCUGCCAGUGCAAGCUUGAACUUCUCUCCCAUAUGACAACUUGGUUUAUUAUGAUGGAAAGGACCAAUUGCUACCAUCCUUGGCUCAUAGUAUUUCUCGAAAUAUUGGUGAUUUCGGAGCAUUUCGGGAACCCUUUGGAUCUUUGGUAGCCUCACUUCUGCUUCCCUCUGUUUCUGAACACCUCGUUCUGAGAUAACUCGUCAGGGAUUGUGAUGCUCCAUUCUGGAGCUUCAUUCAUGGAAGCCAUGUAUUCGGUCUGUGACAUUUUCAAUGUGCCUGUCUAACCAUGGCAACUCUUGCUUUUUCAGUAUACUGCUUCUAGUGUUUACAAGCCACAGAAACUUGUGGUCUAAGUAAGGGUUGGAAUAUGUACGUUGCUUAGGAUCUGCAUAUGUAGACAGUCUUUAUUCCCCAUUUCCCCUUAUCCAGAAACCAGCAAUCCCAGCAUCCUUGGUACGAACUCGAUCUUCACUCUACCUGAUGAUUCGAUUCAUUUCAAACCCCACAAAUCAACUAUGUAAAAUAAAAGGUUGAAGAAAUGACAACUAAGAAUUAUGAAUCUAUAAGAAGGCAAAUGACAAACUGCAAUUAUGAAAAUUUCAUGAUAAAUAUCAGGUACUCUUCUUUGAAUUUAUGCAGGUUAUGAUAACAUGAAUAUGAAAAUAUCUCCAAUGAUUAAACUCUACAGCUUGAAUAACUAGGAUAACACCGGGAAUGACAAAUGCGUCCUAUGGCCAGAAACCUUGCCUCCAAAGGCCUUCUUCCCGGGACAAAUCAGUCUUCUCAAUCAGUGAUUAUAGCCGGACGAAUCUUGUCCGGGAUAUAAUUAUAUCACUUGUGACGGUGACUAAGAAAAAAUGCCUGUACAAAGACGGCAAAAUUAAUCAGAGGUCAUUUAUCGAAUCUCAGGAGAAAUGUAAAUGCAAUGGGAGGCAUAUACUAAGUCAUAUCAGCAUGCCUCCCCAUUAUUAAUGCCAGAGCUUACUACAGAAUCCGUUCCGUUGCCUCUUGCGGGAUAUGAUGUCCGAAAAGGAGUCAACUAACUGUCCUGCCAAGCUACUUGGAUCAUCAAUCAUAGUUUGAAUAAAGGUGUUCACCACCCUACGCUCUUGCUCAGUUGAUCUCAAACUGAACCAUGUUAGCAACUUCAACCUGAAUUCCUCUGUAAGGUGACCCUCGCAUUCCAGCCACCUGAUAAUUUUCACACAGUACUCAAAGUUCUCAUCCAAGCAACAAGAACCAUUUUGCAAUGGUGGCCCAUUUAUCAGUGUGCUGUCACAAUCAUGGGUCUCUUCAUUUGUGUUUCCUUUCCUCUUCCUGCCAUUUUCUGCCCGGGAAUCAACAGCAGGGACAUCUCCAGUAAUCCCAUGAGUCCAGGUCUGUGAAUCACCACUACCAUGUGAUCUUGCCAGGCCAUUUUUCACCAUCUCAUGAGAGGCAGCAUCAUCAUCUGCCUCCACGGUCUGCUGCAGAGUGCAUCCAUUAUCUUCAUCUCUGGAUGACUCAAAGGGCGGGGUUAGCUCUUCAUUCAGAUCGGGCAUUGAAAGAACAUUCAAGUCAAGCCCACGUGAAACAGAAGGUAACUCUUCUUGUAAAGUUUCAGUUUUUAUCGGGUUGCUUGGUCCACAACAUUUUUCUUUGUUGGCACUACAAAAGCCCUCUAAGGAGCCUUUCUGUUGAGCCUGAGCCUGAGCCAGACGAAGUAUCUUUCCAAGAUCACGAACUUUAAAUUCAGAAGAGGGCACAACUGCUGUUGUAGUUUCAGGCUCCCUCAUGGAACUAGAAUUUGCCUCAAUGACGGGAUUCUCUUUCUUAUGAUUCCUGCAGACCGGUGAAUCCAGGUUUUUAUGAAUUAACUCAACACUCUUGGUGAAACACUUUGCCUCAGAGUGACCCAAGUCACCAGUCUCAGUAUAGGAUAUUAUCCUAAAAGUAUACUCUGUGCAAGGCUGCAGAUUGGAGAUCAAAAUUCGUCUCUGAGAUCUUGAAAAGGUACAAGUAGGCUCUUUUGUGGGCAAUUCUUCUCUGCUCUUGUAGUACCAGAGCUUGUAGCCCUUGAUGUCAUCAGCUGAUGCAUUAGACAGUUCGAUCAAUAUGAUCACAACAGAUGAAGGUGUUACUUCCUCAAAGAGAAACUUGCAGGCAGCUGGUAGUGAACCCUCUGCAAUGGAACGAAAAGAAACAGAAGCAACAUUCAGGUUCUUAUGCAUGAUGAUGAUCAAAGAGAAGUAAAAAGGAGAACAGGUUUCCUACCUCUGUUUGGAUCUGCACUAGAAACAUUAGCCAACCAUUCAUCAGCUUUCUCAAUUGCAAGAGAACAGAGUUUCAGUACAGCACCAGCGAUAGAUAGCCUGCUGACUAUCCCACGUACCAUUGUUCCAGACUCUCCAUUAAUUGGACCCACUUCUUUCUCAAGUUUAGUCUUGGCUUCCUUCACAAUAUCAUGAAGUUCUUUAAACCUUGAAGUCCCAUCCAGAAGCUUAUAACUCAAGCAUAUCCUGUCCCAAAGUACAUCAACACGACGAGCAUCCUUUGCUACAAGUAGCUGCUUCUUCCAAAUUCUGUCAGUAUUGAUAGAAUCACAUCAGUUAAUCAGCAAACUAUUAGCAAAACACAGAUUUACAUGCUAUAGCUGCUUGCUUUCUCUUGUUAUCUUUGUUAUGAUGGUAACUAUGUUUGCAAAAGAUAUCUCUUUAAAGAGGGGAAAUAAAUGUUCUUUUAUUAAAUAAAUAUAAAAUGGUUCCAAAUUGACAAGACAUUAUCAGAUUAGUACACUACAAACAUGCGCAAAGUGUAACUUGAAAAAAAAAUAGUAAUUCGAAAUGAAAAAAGAAAACAUGAUUUUUCAAAUUGGAAGUGAUUUAUGAGAUGCCUGACAAUAGCACAACUCUGUGCUUCAACUAACUAGUCAAAAUCAUAGCUUGUCAAAGUAAGGAUUCCUGCUUCAAUCUACAUUAACAUAUGCAAGAGAAUUACUUACCCAAGUAUCCCAGAAACUUUACCACAUGAAGCACAACAAUAACUACCAUCUAGCUGCAUCAAUUGCCCAAGAUCAACAACUCCCACCUUUUCACGUCGAAGUGCGCAGUCAAUGUGACAAGAUAACCCACAUGAGUCUCCCUCACCAGAUUCAGAUGUACAUACUAACCAAAGACUAGGGUCCUUGUUGUCAUCAAACAAAUGACAAAUACAGCAGGAGCAUCUCUUGCAGAAUGUGUUGUCUAUGGAUAUAACAGCUCUACAAGCAGAGUUUUUACAGAUCCAUGAGUUCGAAUAUCCAAAAUCUGGAGACUGCUCAGAAGCCGGUGAGAGUCUGAUGGGAUUAUCCCCCUUUCUGGAUUGCUUUUUAGAAACAUGAUUGUUUGGACUAGAAGAGGCUUUUUUUGACUCCUGCUUCUUAUUUGUCUUGUUAGUGGUCUUCAAAAGAUCGGCCAUCUUGUUUCUUGAGGAAGUCAAGCUUUUCUUGUCCUUGUCAAAGCAUGUCUGAAGAAGUUCCUUCUUGGGACCAGAUUUCAGAAACUGUUGAAGGAGCUCUGAACUUCUUGAAGCAUCAUCUGAAUGCCCAUUCUUCUCAGGAGUGCUUUGCACACUGAAAGAGAGGCUUUGAACUCCAGAAACUGAAAGAGGAAAAGAAAGUUACGAAGUGAAGGAACAGAUAUUAAAAGCACCAUAAUAAUAGAAGUCUACAACUCAGUAAUUAGAAAGGCAGAAGAAAGAAAAAUGAACAAUCCUUGUAGGAAACUCAAAUAAGUUUUAUAAUAAGAGAGACGAAAGGGGCAAUUCGAUUCAAUGGUGCGGCACAACCCAAUCAAAUUCUGCUUCAUCCUUCUUUCUACUUUCAAUGCCUACAAUAUUUAUUUGCAGAUAAACUAAAUCCUUUUUGUCUGAACAUUCCAAUGGUCUAAAGUGCAUGCUUAUAUGUCUAUUUCCAACAAGAUCUAUCAUCAUACAUCUAAUGGCUUGUCACAUUCCUUACUUACCUUCCUAAUCAGUUUACUCAAUAACCUAUCAGCAGCACUUCCAUGAUUUCUUCUACAAUAAUACAAGUCAAAGAUCAUCUACACCUUGUCUGAACAUCAAUUCCCACUUCACAGCAGUAGAGCUCUAUAUGCUUCUAUCUGAAAAUUCCAACCUGAACAUGCUUCUAUCUGAAAGGAUGGUGAUGAAAAUUUUCAUCUAAAUAGAAAGGCAAUUCAAGAUUUACAGAUGCAAUCCUACAUGAGUUCAAAACCAUAAAACUUUUGCAUCUGACUAGAUAAACGAAACAAAAGAAGAGUCCAAGUGUAUGGCCACACAAGGAUACUUGACACAGUGACAGUUUUAACAACAACAGAACACAUCAUUCGACUACCUCGGAAUAAGUACCAAUUACUCCAGAAAAAAGAGUUAACCUUCUUCUCCUUUCUACUGAUGACAUCUCAGUUAUCUGUAUUAUCUCACAUGACACCGAACAUCCAGUAACAAACGCAUCGCAGGAGCAAAACAACCUCAUACCAAAAUUUCUAAGAUAAAAAAAAAGAUCAAACCUUUAGCUAGAACUUAUCUUCCGAAUCCAUACAAUGCAAUCCUGACACAAUCAAAAUCACAUUCAUAACAAUCCAUCGAAUCACACUACUACUUCAGUCGGCAUAAUGUACUUCAUAACCUCAGCUAAAUAAGCCAAAAUCAGCUCAAAUCACACCAAAUCUUUCGAUUUUCUGAUACAACAGUAAGCUCAAGCCCUUUCUAACAUGCAGCUAACAAAACUAAGCCUAUUCACAGACACCGAAAAUCUCCGAAACAAAAUACACAAAAUUCACUACACCAAGCCGACCGCAUUGUUAAACAAUCCACCGGCGAGCGAAUCAUAACCUUUUUCAGGCUAUUCAGACGGCGAUGAUUUCCGAUAUGAAUUUCACAGCAAACAAAAUUGCGGAGAAGGAAAAAGCAGCGGAGGCUAAAAGCGCUUCGGCAGAAAGCAAAAGCGGAAAAACGGAUCUGCGUUGAACAAGACUUUGAAACAAAAACAAAAACAAAAAAAAAAAAAAAUUUAACGAUAAAGAUAAGGAGGAAGACGACGAGGAAAAGAGAUCAGAGGCGGAGACGUACUGUACCUGCUGAAACAAUGAGGACGAAGAGAGCAGAGCAGAGCGCCUUAGGGUUUUGGUUUCGCGCGCCGAAGAAGACGAAGGCCUCUCAGCUCAGAAUCUGAGAGAGAGAAGAGCGAAGAGAGAAGUCUCGCUCUUUUUGUUAGUUGGUUUUGUGUGAGAGAGAGAGGAGAGAGAAGUUUGUACGAGUCGUUCACGUUUUUGGGGAAGAGCGCUGAGAGGGGAGGCUGGCGCGCGGGUGUGGCGCGUGGGGUGCGCGCGUCCAGUUGGGAAAAAGCAGUUUGGGGGGGGGCUCUGCCGCGCAGGAAAAAGUACAAGGUCGACCUGCCCCGCGAUGUGAUUGGCCUGUGGCGUGCAUACGCGAUUUGGCGGUGCGUGUAACAGACUUAUCCAUGUUUAUUAUUAUUUUUUAUAUUUAUUUUUUUCUGUCGACAUGAUAGGUACCGUAACGUGCAAUACAAUAAUGCUUUAAUUUCGUAUUACCCGCCGUGUGUAUAAAAAUUUAUCCAGUGUUUCGUAACGAUGUUAACUUUGAAUUUGUAAUAUUUUGAUUGAUAUCUAAAGCGCAAACAAGUCUGAAUCAUGAGACAUGUAGUAGUGAUUGGGGUUAAUGUAUUAAUCUCUAUGUUGUGUACAUUUUUCUAAUUGGUUCUAUGAGAUAAAGUUUUCUUUUAUUUUCACUCAUUCAGUGGUUGUCACUAAAUUAGGGUGAUAAGAUGUAUGAACUAGCAAAUGGUAAUGUCACGUAAUCAGUAGUGUUCACUUGAUCAGUAAUUGAUUAAAUAAAAUUUGAUUUAUUUAAUAAAAACUUAUAUCGAAAGGUUAAUAAAAUUUGAUUUAUCUCUGUUAUUUGAUUAACUUCUAAAAAUGGUUGGUUGAACCGUUGAACAUGAAUUUCUUAGGCAUCUAGUGAUAAUCAGAAAUCAUAGAAUAAUUACCCAAAUAAAUGUAUCGGAGUCAAAUUACUAGAUCCUAAGAAAUUGAACCAUUGGAUCCAAUUUACGUACGGUCGACACGUUCAGGGCCGUUGACGGGGAAUCUUUAUUCGUAGUGCUAAAUUGACCGAAGACUUUAUUGAGAAUGAAAGGCCUAAUUAAUCGAGACUAAUUCAGAGUGAUUAACACGUGUCCGAAUAAUCUUAGAGUUGGAGAAAAAAGAAAGAGUACACGUCAACACAUGGUCUUGGUACUUUUUAUGACUAGCUUCAGAGACUUUAUGAUCUUUUGUGCUUUUUACAAGUGUACAAACAAAUUGCGGCAAUUGCCCAUUGGUUGCUGAGUGAUGGGGGGUGGUGGUGAGGUGACAAGUCUGGGUGUGUAUGGAGGUGAAGGUCUGUUAAGGUUGAUUGUGACAAAAAUGGCGAAGGAGAAAUGUAACGAGGUUCCAUAUCUCUCUUCUUCUGUCCAUGGUAUGUACCCUCCUUUACUAGGGAUGAAAAUUUGAGCGUCACGUCGUGUAGACGGAGACUUUUCGGGGUUAUGGUAAGGAAGUCGGAAGAGGAAAACGAAGUGAUGGAGAUGAUGAAGAUGGGUACCUAAUUUCCUUAGAAGGAAAUUGUCAACAUAUGAAAGCGUCUAUCACAACAAUAAAAAGGUAAGUUGAAACGAUGAGUUGCUAAAGAUACUUAUGACUAGAGCAUCAAAGAUUACCUAGUGACCAUAGUGGCGGAGCCAUGAUUUGAAGCCUGGAGAGGGUUCAAAUAUAUAUACCAGAACGUACGUUAAAUUUUGUGUUUUUUUUUUCUUGUAUAAGAUGAUCAAAUGAAGCAAACUUUUGUAAAAAAUCUUAAAAUGAAACAAAAUUUUGUUAUAUACAUCUCUUAACUCGUAAAAAAAUAUAUAUAUAUACAAGGGAAGAAAGUAGCAAUUUAUUCAUUUAUUACUUCACAAAUUUUGUUUUGGUAAAUUUUGUUAGUAGUAAUUUAAUUUCUUAUUAACGUUCUUACCUAUUUCGAUUGUCAAGACAUAAAGACCAAUCAAUCUACAGAUACAUUUCGUAAUAUAAUUGAUUUGUCAUUUAAAUUGAUUUAUUAUGAGAAAUUCUUGGGAGGUUUAAUGAUAAAAUUUAACUAAUUUUUAAUAAUAAUUAACUAAAUUACACACUAAACUUCAAACUUUCUAAAUUCUAAGAGGGGUUCAGACCCCUUCGGGCCUAAUAAUAGCUCCGCCCCUGAAUGACCAGGAAAACACUAUUGUAUUUGAAAUUGAAGUCUCGAUUGGGUGCUAUCCGAUCGAAGAAAAAGUCAUGAUUAGGUCACAGUCUCCAUUGCCAACCUCUUACAACGACACAAAACUGAUUGCAUUGCAUAUGCUAGAGUCUGAGACUGAGUGCCUGACAAAUGAAUGGCCAAGAAAGAAAGAUAAGGUCCCCAACACCAUGCCACCAUUCAUUCAUGGAUACAAGCAUCUAAAAUCCCCAAAAAACAAAAGGUAGCUACUCAUGGACCAUGACCGAGGGACAUUAUUUGAAGCAGGGACGACUGAAUCGUAUUGAUUUAGGCCAGAGAGACCCAGGGUGGGGCAAAAGUAAUAACUUGGCAUUUGGAAACCCCCAAAAUUAACCCUUGAGGAAAAGACUAGUAUAUUGGGAGCUUCUGCAACAAUGGCCGCAGGUGGUUGACAACAUAUCAAAACAGUGAAAGUAGUAACAACUAACAUGGAGUCAUGGAGUUAGGCAAGGACAACAGCCUAAAGUCAAGAAGUGUGAAUAAUGCAUCGUGCAUGUAAUCAUGUCAAAAGCAGAAGCUAAUUGAUGCAACCACCCUCCUCACCAAACCGUUAUAAAAGAGACCCCAAACUCUCUGGGCAGUGAUAGCUUUGCAGUUGGCUAAUCACUUUCAGAGUACAUCUUCAGGAUAACAUGCUAACCGGUAACUGUACUGAGUGUGAAGAUCACAGUAUCUGAAUUAAUUAUCCUGAUGGCCACAGAGUAUCCGAUAACAACCAGAUAAAAUUGUAAACAGCAAGGAACAGAUACGGCGAAUUUGAGCAUGAACAAGCUCUAAUAAGAUUGAUAAUGCAUAAACUUGAUAUUUCAAAUGGUUUCAUUGUGAACAGCUAGUUAUUGUGAACAGCUAGUUACGGUCAUACAUUUGUUAAUCACCAGAGUAACAACACUAAAGAGUGGUGAAAAAUUUAUACAUAUAAGAUACAAGGACAGAAGAAGGAUGCCGAUUCUGAAAUCCUCAACCUUGAAGUAGCAUUAGUAUCCGGAUUGACAACCGGACAUCUUGCAUAAUCUAAUUGAUGGAGACUGGAGCAAAGUAGAACCUGCAAAGUGGGAAUAACCAAAACAAAGUAAAAGUCAAUUUUAUUGAUAAAUUCGAAACACAUGGUUAAUAAUCAUACAAAGUUCAGAAUCUACUUUAAAGAUGUGAUCCAAUAUAUGGGGGUGAACUGCUUGAUGAAUAAAAGCCAGGAAUCAAAAGGAUUUUGUCAAAGUCUCAACAAUUAAAGAAGAUAGCUUUAAGGCAAAGCAAAGCAAAUAAAACUUGAUUCCAUAAUACAUCAUAUCUGUCCCACUAGAUGUUCUCCAGCAAGUAGAAUUUAGUUACGGUAACCUUCCUCUAUCAGCUCAGUUACAACUUACAGGUUAUAUUACAAAACUACUCUAAUAAAGGUUCCUAGUUGACAAGGAAACAUAAAGCAAUCAGUUUAUGUUCAGUGUUCACUAGUCAUAUGAAUCUGACUUCCAUGUCUACUAAUAACACUAGAAAGCUUGCCUAUAACAAUAUGUGCAACAUGCAAAGCCUCAGUUAGCAAUCAGCUCCAACCAACCAGAAUCUUUCUCAGGAGUUAUGAAUAUAUACUAACAACACCCUUCAAAGUUCAAACCGUUGUAACAAUGACUGAUCAAAAAUAAACUGUCACUUCCAUAUCACCGACCUGAAUCUUCAUGUUUGCACAAAAAACUGAAAUAUCUUGUUAGGCUAGUUUUUCAAUUUUAAAAAGUUGAUUUUCCUUAGUAAGUACGCAGAAAUCUAUGUUUUGCUGCCAUUGGCCAUGACAUUGGACCCAUCCUUAUCCAGGGAGUCGACAUACACCUAGCUGAUUACACUAACAAUUUCCAAUCAAUCACUGAUUCAGCGACAGCAACUCCAUACCCAAUUAUUCCAACAGAUAACUUUGCACUAAACUAAGGACUACACACUUUAAUCACAAAACUUUUCAUUGCCACAUACAACUCGUAAAUGAUAACCAGACAAUUUAAUUGCUUAAAGGUUUCAAAAUCACCAUAAUUUGAUACCAGACCAAUUACUAGAUUCCAAAACAAACACCACAGAACACUACAGUCCUUAGGUUGUCACAUUCUGCCGAAUCCCAUGCAAAAUGAUGGACAUUCUUAUAAAUGAGCAUCUUCGGUGAUCAAACAAGGCAUUGACACAAAAGAAUGCAUCAUGAAUCUUUACAUUCGGAUACUGAAACCUCAGAAUGGGCCAAUAUAUGAUUCCAUUUCCCACUAGCCAAUAUUCAUAGUCAACAAAGCACAUAAAUUCAAAUGCUUUACUUCAAAGAAAGUAUAAAGGAGCUCAAUUUCAUGAACAAUUUCACCAAUCAGUAAAACAUCAAUAUCAAGCUGAAAACUCAAAGCACAAUAGUACUAGCUUAGCCUAAACCUCAAUCACAUUAAGCAAAUCAGAAACCCUAAUUCUUAAAACCCUAACCAGCCGAAUCAAAGCUACAAACUUCAAAUUCGAAACCUGUUAAGAAGCGGAGUGGCGGCGGCGGCCCUCACAGGCCGGACUGUCAACGAAGUUCUUAGACGGAUACUUCGCCGUCACCAUGCCGACCUCAAACACCAGAUUCUCGCCGCUGGACCUGAUUCCGGUGAUGGACCACCACUGGUAGAAAGCGCGGACGCUGAUGCCGUUGAUCUCGGCGAUCCGGCCGUGGUUGAUUUUGCCGGUGACUCUCUUGGAAUACGUGGCGAGGUAGUUGUCCGGCGGGAGCGUGAUCUUGCACGCGUCGCCGAGGUCGACGACGAAGUCGCCGGUGAGGGGGUUGACGGUGUAGUUUUCCACCGGGGAAGGGAGGAGCCCGAUCGGGAAGCCGAAGCGGGUGAGUUCGGUGUGGGCCGGCGAUGGGCUUCGGGUCGGGUUUGGGGGUUUCGGGUCGGCCGUUUGGGAGGAGAGAGAAACGAGGAGGGUAAGGGCGGAGAAGAAGAGGAGAGGUAUCGUCAUUUUUUUUUUUUGAAAUUGUUUGGAGAGAAGAUGAAAGAUCGGUGUGUUUUGAUAUAAGCGGCGAACGACGCGUCGUUGACGACGUCCGCGCUGGCGGGUAAAAAGGUCGUGUGGAAAGUUGGUUUAGUUCGUUAAGACUUAAGAGGGGUUUCUUAUUUGUUAAUUAGGAUUAGGUUAAUUAAUUAAAAAUCUGAUUGGGAGUGUAGUGAGGGCUGUGACUUCUGCGGAUGUUGUUCUGCUAAAUGACCUGUCUGUGAUGAGCUUUGCUAGAGUUGAUUUGGUUUUAUGCGUCGUGACUGGAUUCGCCACAUUGAUAAAUCAGUAACGAAGAAGAAGAGUACACGUUUUUGGACAUUUUACUAACAAUGCAUAUUACACUAGGUAGGAAGCCAUCACAUACUACUUUGAUAUAGAAGUUUUAGGUGAUCUACCGGGAGCCCCUUGAUAAUUUUGAACACUAGCUAGUGAGGGACUGAGGGUGUAACUCUAGUAAGAAUAUUAAUUUCUCCGGUCUUUUAUAUUCACCUACUAGUUACUGGUUCAAUAGAGUUUUUCUCUCGAUGACAUCAACGUGUUAAUUGAUUUACAACAAUGUAAAAUUCACCUUACGAUAAACUAUAUUAUCGAAUAUUCUAUUAGUUGCCCAUAUCCCAUUGAGAAGGGAGGGAGUGUUUGUGUUGGCAAUAGGAUUACUUGCAAUUAGGGGCGGAGCCAGGUGCAAGCUUGGUUAGGCUCAAGCCCCACUGAGAAUUUGUAAUGAUUAAAAAAAAAAACCAAGAGUGUAUAUGUUUGACUUCAUUAAGUCCACCCAAGUUUUGGAGGAUUGAAGUUUUGAAGUGUUUAGCUCUCCUUUUCUAACCAUUUCAUUACACAACAGCACAAGUUUGAUGGUAAUUUGCUAUGUUUGUUUCAAUGAUGCUUAUUCGACUCAUCCCGUUCUACAUUUUUGCAUAGUUAUAACCCUAAAAAAAAAAUUAGACUUCGCCCAACAUACAAAUACACGAAAACGGCCUAAAACGUAGUCUACCCUAUCUUCGGAUCCUGGAUCCACCACUGCUUGCAGUUCCAUAAGUAUAACCUAGCUAGUGAAUCUCAAAAAAUGGUAUUUCCAUAUUCGAGUGGUAUUAGCUAGGAGUGAUUUCCUUUUCAUACUGGGAAUAUAAUUACCUGUGUGGGGGCAGAAUAUGAAGGACAAGAAGAACAAACUGAAAUAAGAAAAUUUCCGCCACCGCAAAGAAGCAGUCCACAUGGAAGAAGAAGAGGAGGAUUCAACCGUGAAGAAGAAUACAUCCGCCAACUAAAACAAGCAAUGGAGUUUCUAGACCUUCACCUUCUUCCCCGUCGUUUGAAACAAGUAAUCUCCAGGGGCGGAUCUACGUUAGAGGCUAUAUGGGCUAUAGCCUAGACAAAAAUUGUCUCAAUACUUUAAAAUAGAUUUGUCCUACAUAUCAUGAAGUUCGAUUUGGUUUAGUUGGUUCAGUGUAUUGUUUAGAAACAACAUGAGCUGGGUUCGAGUCUUGCAUCUCCUCUUGUUUCUUCCUUUUUUCUUCUUCAUCCUUUCCCUUUUAUUUUCUUUCACCAUUUUUUUCUAUCUUUUUAUGAUUCAAGUAUCAUUUUAAUCUUCCUUUUUCCUUCUUCAUCCUUUGAUUCCUUUCCCUUUUAUUUUCUCUCCCCAUUUUUUUUUCUAUCUCUUUAUGAUUCAUGGUAAUAUGGUAUCAUUUCGAUCAAAAAACACAAUCUUUGUAACAAUAUUGACUCCAAAAAAAAAAUCGUUUUAGCUACUCUAAUUAGCCUAGACGAAAUGUACAUCCUGGAUCCGCCACUGGUAAUCUCCCUUCUCGAACAUGUAGAAGGGUUGUGAGAAAAGAUCCGCCAAAUGAAAGCAGAAAUCCAGGAACUAGCUUGUAUGCUACAAACACCCGGUAGUUCUUCUACAUAGGAUGCAAGCGUCAAUGACGCAGCUGCGACUUGUUUUGGAAGCGAAGAGAAGCCAAGAUCCAAGUUCAACUUUGUAGGAAUUAGGAUGUAACACUAGUAAGAGUAUUAAUUUGUGCAGUUCUUUAUAUUCAGCAACUAGUAACUGGUUAGAUAGAGUUUCUCUCUUCGAUAGUUCGAUGGCAUUAUCAUGCUAGUUAACGUGCAACAAUGUAAAACACCAUUCACUUCACGAUAAACUAUAAUUUAAGUGGCCUUUGUGUUUUUUGGCUUGAAUCACUCGAGUUCGAUUCCCACCGUAUACAAUUUUCUUUUUAAUUUUUUGUGUUGUUCUAUGCACCUUUUAUUCCUUUUUUUUACUGCCACCAAUGCAUUGAUGUUUCUUUUUUUUUUUUUUUUUUUUUAAGACAACUCUACUACUCAUUGUAAUUCAUGGAACUGGAAGCCUGGAGCUGGAAGGUUGACUGGAAAGAAAUUGACCUUAUGCUUUCCAAGAUAAACAAGAAAAAAUGUUCAAUCAACCUAAUUUGUAUCCACUAUGCAGAUGAUUUUUAUAUGUAGUGCCACAUUGAGAGAUGAUCAUCAGAUACAAAGUGGGCCUUAAGAUCCUCUCAAACUUAAUUAUAAUACAUAUGAGCUUACAAUCAAGAUGUGAUUGACAAUAGCUAUAUACUUCUAUUUAUGGAGCCAUUUUUUCACUCUCUGCAUAAUAGUAGAGAGAAACAAACCAGAACUUUUAAUUCCUUUCUUUCUGGAUUGGCACUUAAGCAAUAAGCAGUAGUGCUUUUAGUUGAGUACGUGCAGGACAUGUAUUGUUGAUCAUGAUCAUCACGGCGAGUUCCAGAUCUCGGCAUUUUUGACCUUAGACACACUCUGCACCACUUCAUAAGGAAGAACAUCUCCGAUCACAACCACCAUCUUGCUUUCCAGGUCUACUUUGUAGGAUGUCACUCCUGUUUUGGUUCAAGGCAGAAGCAGAAAAUAUGCCAGAGUUUGUAAGAGGCUACAGAAAAUAAGGACUGGUACAACCAUUGGGAACCUCAGCACUAAUUCAGUUUCUAAUUGUAACGAAAAUCCUGUAUGCAUAAGAGAUUUUGACAUACCUUCCAUCUUUGAGAUAUGUUUUUCGACUUUCCUGGCACAUCCAUUGCAGUGCAUGGAGACCCUUAACAUCACCAUCUUCAUCAUUCAUCAAAUUAGCAAUCUGUUUCGUCAAACAUGUGUACUUAAAAGUGAGAAACGGAAAGGGAUAUUCACCUUGGGUUUCAGUUGAAAUGCCAGAGUCUGUUUUCCUGCAACAACAUCCUUGAGUCUCAUAAACUGAUCCUUUUCUCCAGGAAUCAAUGGACUUUUCUCAAACUCAUCUUGGAUUUCCUCGGAGUAGUUCAUGCAGAAACAAGAACUUGAGCCAGAAGAAAGACAAAGAGUGUCUAGCACCUUCCCAAAACUAAGCUUCCCCAUUUCAACCAGAGAAACAAAUCUGAAGUGUGAGACAGAAGUCACAGAACUAAGUACCUAACAGCUUAUUUAAGCAAUCCACACACCCUCAUCUGUCCUUCCAACUCGGUCAGAGUGAUGGAAUUCCCAGACAAACCAGUGUGAACAUUAAUAUAUGCAUACAGGGUGGGGGUUGGAGAGAGAGGAGAGAGCAAAAGGUCAAGUUUUCAUUGGGGAAAACAAAAGCUGAACACAACCCAAUGAAGCCUAUGAAGGAGGAAAGGGAACAAGACCCAAUAAUUUAUAUUUAUUAAACUCAGAUGGUCAAGAAAACUGAGAAGGAGAUCCAGGAACCCAGAAAAGCACUACUUCUAUAUACUGUGACCACUUCUCAGACCAAGAACGCAAACCCAACUAGAUUUUGUCAUGUGAUGGUGAAGUCCUAAAAAGAUAGAACGCACCCACAACCAAUUCUAUAAAAGGAUUACAAGCCGAAAUGAGAGAAAGUUCAUGUGAUCAUUCAACUAAAGAAAGAAACCCAAAUCUGUAAUGAAGCUUUUCGAUCAGGAACCCUGUUUCAUAUGAUUGAGAAGCGAAAAAGGAAAGAAAGGAAAUGAUCACAGUGACCAGUGGAGAGGAACUAGAAGCACCAUGCUUUAUGACAUGUGAGGACUGCUAGCUAGAUACGUCCAAGUUAUAGAGUGAAAGAAUAUGCUUAAGCCUUACAUAUAAUAUAUAGCUGGAUUAGUUUGGAUAAGCAUCUUUGGCAUGUUUAAUUCAAGAACAGUGAACAUGAGAAACGUUUAGGUGUAACAAAUAAAGGAAAGAAAGAAAAGCAGUAACAUUUGGUGAGCAUCUGAACAACUCAAAGGGACGAUGUAUCAUCUAACACACAACAUGAUCCCUUUUCUUGUUUCGACGAAUCUUUUCACGAAACAUCAAAACUUCUCCCAGCAUUCUACGAAGCUUAUAACUUUACAGCUUGAUGAAGUAUAAUUUGAAGUCACUCAAAACAUUUAGGUCAUUUUAACAUAGAUUAGUGGAGUAAAGUAGUGUGUGAUCACUACCCACCUAAUACGCUAUAGAUUAGAGAACCUCCCAAGCAACCCAAAGGUGCUUGUGAUGGAUACUUGGAUAGUGUAAUAGCUCAGAAACCACAACAGAAAUCUUGAAUAGGUGACAAUUUUGUCUUGGCAUUCAAUAUGAAAAAUCAAAAUGGGACAGGAGGCCUCCCAUUAUUGGAACCCAUGAGCUCACUAAGUUUCUUAAUAAUUAUACCAUAGAAUAAAUUUGAAAACAAAGUGAAUGGCUCUAUUCUCUACACAGGUUGUUCCAUGUGAGAUGGUUCUUUAUAACAAAACCAGAGAAGGGUUUUUGAGAAGAUUGUAUACAAGGUCAUGUUAAGCACGUGUUGGACACAUGACAAGCAAAGUUGGGGUGGCAAGUCUCAUGUGUAUGAAUAAUAAUAUAGAGAAACCAGCCAAAAUCGAAGGGAUGUGUUCUUAUAAUGGAUUUCUGAAAAGAAGCAAGCAGCACCACUCAGGGGCCUUGGUUUGUAAAAUUGUAGGGUAACCAACUAUAAUGCACUUCUGAACAUGGAGUGAUGGAGCACUGCACUGAUACGACAGAAUUGCGAUAUAUACACAUGUUUUAUAAUUGGAUUGCUAAAAUAAUCCAAAAGUUGUAUAGUGUUUCGGUGAGUAUUGGAAGUCUAAAGAUAAUAGCCGUUCAAAUGAUGGAUUGCAUUCAUGUGUCCAUAAAUAUAAAUUAAUCGAACGGCUCAUAUCUAUGGAAUUCUUAGUAAUCUAGCGAUUUGGGAAAUGCAUAUAAUGUAUAAGAUUGAUCUAUGCACUCAAACUAAUGAAAAAGGAGCUAGCACAAACAACAAUAAUGAAAAUGCAACCUAAGUCUGGCCUUUCUCUCCCAAGUACUCUAAUACCUUUAUUUUCGUUUUCAUUACCUUUUCCAUCAGUUGAAUAUAGCAGAAAACUUAUUAAAAAUGACUGCACUAUAUCUCAACCAAGAAUGGAAUUAACCAUUUUAAAUGACUUGUUUGUCUUUUAAGCUUUUCAAGAUAAGAAAUUGAGGUCUAAGCAAUAGACAAGAGGAUUCUAUACCUGGCAAAUGGAAGUGCAGAUCUGACUCUACUGCAUCAAAGAGGUUUGAGUGCUGCAAGAGGAAUUGUUUAGAGGGAAAACAAUAACAGCAACGGUGCAGAAGCAUCUAAAUUCACAUGGCAUAUAUGUAAUGGAAUAAUAUAAGGUUUAAUCAAAACACAAGCCUUUAAAUCAGUCUCAGCCUAGCUACUGCAUACUUGAUUACUCAUAAUUUAUAGUUUUUGAAGUUCAUAGCUAGUAUACGAAAUAUAUAGGCCAUACAUUGGGACUAGUCUUUUAUUACCUCCAAAUCCUAACAGUUUAAGUUUCUCAUUAAACAGUGACAGAAAGUUUUACAAGUUACUAACUUACUACUAUGAUUAAUCUUGCGAUAUCAGCUGAUCUAUUAAGCAUUAUAGCCAUAUCCAAUAAUCUGUCAUCUAGCUACCAGAUCGAAUUUCAAUUUCUUAAAAAUAUGAGAGGCGGCUUUGGACAAAAACUGAGCUAUAUAUAUGUCAACUGGUGUCUAAUCCAACCCGAGCAUAACUUUAGUUUAAGGCACGAGGUGAGUCGAAUUUUUAGAGGAUAUGAGCUGAAUUACUUUCCAGCAACCAAAAGAAUCCUUCAACAACUACAUGAGUACAUGGCUUCUCGCAAUUGUUUUGCCACAUACAAUAGUAAUAGUAGAUGAUCAUUAGCUGUGGAAAAACAAAGAAAAGAAAAGAACUUUAGGCAAGGGGUGGCUUUCAAAUCAUCAUUAUUUACAGUCGUUUUAAGUUCAUAUCAGUAAUAAUCAAUCAUAAUCACUUUUCCUAUUUAUUUAAUCAAGUUGAAUAAUAUUUCCAUCCGCAUGCAGAUUUCAUAAAACGAACAUAUCAUGAUGUAUAGUCAUGAAGAAUCAAAUCAAUCCAGUUAUACAUUUAGAAUGAUAGCAACCACUUGAUGUCUUGAUUCAGAAGGCCUAGGCUUUCAUCAAUAUAUAAAACCUCUUUGACAUUACCAAAUUCCAUGUGGUUUUUAAAUCACAGCCUCUUAUUCUGUCGGUUUUAAACUAUAUGCUUCAUACAUCACAGCUACUAUAAUAUAUGCUGUCUUGUUGUCACCUCCACCGUCACACCUUGAAACAGUAAUGGAUCGACACUGAUCCAUGUUUGCAGCCACUGUAGGAAUUGUUUCACGCUCCAAAUAUAUACACCAAACGAAUAAAACCCUAGAACAUACACAGACUAGUAGUUUUCCGCUAUGCAAAACUUAGAGGUUAUUAGUUAAUUACCUUAGAUUCGUUCCCAGCUUCAUUUUCAUAAACAGUUGCAUCUUAAGCUUCACCAGCCUCAGGGUCCUCCGGCCACCCUUGCUUUUCCCCGCCCGUUUUGCAUGCCACGAGUUCAUAGAUCUCCGGUGACCGUCGCGGUCAAUCACGUACUGCUUGUUACUCGAUCGUCGUCUACGUAAAAUGCUCCUCAUCUCUGAAAAUUUGAGGCAAAUGGAGCCGCCGUUCUGGUUCUUUCGUCUCUUGGCCAGGGUUGUAGAAGUUCAAAAGGUCAAAUCGUCAAUGUAAUUCGAACGAAGGAUCGGAAAUGUCAGAGACUCCAAGCCCAAGUUUAGACCCCGGUUCUGUACAUGACCCAAAACUCCAAAAGGUUGAAACCGACCCGGACCUUUGAAAUACUUUUCAAAUCAUGUGACGACAAUGAACUUGUAGAAUUAAUUUUCCUCAUAAGGGUAGGAUUCAUUUUCAAAUUUGCUUAUAUUUGCAUAUUCAGAUCGACCAUGCAAGUUUUUAAGACUUUGAUAUAAUAAGACUAUUCAUCAAACAACUUUAAAUAAAGCUAGAAAAGCCCCUUUCAGAGCAAGGAACAAGUGGUAUUUAACCACGUUACUUGCAACAACCUCAUAUUCCCUAGUCCAAGUUCAUCAUAACAUCCAUUCUACUUGGUGGUUUUAUUCAAAGUUAACGCGUGCGUUAAGAAUUGAGUAUUUCAUAAUACUGUAUUCUAAAAAACGAGCUAGUUUUAUCGUAACUUUUGUUUAAUUUUGAUACAUAAUUAAAAAUGUUAUAUAUAUCAUAAUCUUUAUUUCAAGAAAGGCCUAAAUCAUUGUAAUUAAACAAAGAAAACAGUACGAGGAACCAAAUUCAAACAAAAGAAAAGAAGGAAAAAAAAAAAAACCUCCCAAAAAAUUAGCAAAAGAAAUCGCAAUUAAUUACAGAAAGAAACAGCUAGCGAUUAAGGGUCUUAAUGAUUCGAGUCGCCUUGUAUGACCAAAGGUGGACCCCCACCGUCAAUAUAGGAAAAAUCAGCACGCCCAUAGGGACAGGACACCCCAGCGUAACGCUCCCUGUGUCCGAUACCACCCCAUAAUAUCCCUUCAACUCUCUCUUUCAUUCUCUCUCUCUUAGUUUUCUUCUUCCAACUCCUCAGAGCUCUCACCGAUCCGCAACUCUAUGCCGACUCCGAUAGAUCUCCCCUAAACGACGUCGUUUUCUAGACGACUACUGAAAACGCGCGCGCCGGAGCUUCUUCUUCGAAUUGAGGUCAGUCCGGUCGAUUUCUCGUUGAUGUUUCUUUUACGUUUCGGUGUGCUCCGGCGAGUGUGAUUUUCCAGAUCCGUUUGAAGUUUGCUUCGUUUUCUGUGCUCUUGUGGUUUUUGGAUUGUGUGAGGAAGAGAGAUGAGAGUUCGGAUUUGAUUGGAUAGAUUAGGCUUGGAUUCGUUGAAGAUUUUCGCUUCGCUGUGUGUUGAUAGUUUGAUUUAGUUCAGUUUAAUCAGCAUUUUCUGGAUAUGAAUUCGAUUGAGAACUUGAAAUCGGUGAUUAAGCUAGGUUUGAUAGGCGAUGGGAUUUCUGUGUGAUUUGGUGACAUUUCUAGUGGAUAAGUUAUGAUUCAACUUGAUUGAUUCUGUUUUUAGAGUUUUAGUGAUGACAGUGUGGCUUGAAAUGUGUUAGGGAAGUCGAAAUGGCGAGCCGAAAGGAGGAUGAGAAGAAUGAACGGAUUAUUCGUGGCCUUCUUAAACUUCCUGAGAAUCGGAGGUGCAUUAACUGCAAUAGUCUGGUAAGUGAUGCAUUGUUCUAUUGGUUCGUCUGCUACUUGUACAUUUGAUGAUUAUGUUGGUUCAAAUAGUAAAUUUGAUUUGGACAUGUUUAGAAAAGAAUUAUUCUUCUUCGUAUUAGGCUUAGAAAUGAUAAUGGUGACAGCGGCACUUCCAAAGUUACUAUUACCCGAGUAAUAGUAAAGUAUAUAAGCUUGUCAACUUUGGGACAAAAAUUGAACGUGCAGCUAUAUCCACACUUUCUGUAAAGGUGUUGAAUGCAUCAGUUUGCUGAAAUAGUACCUUGGUCAGGAUGCAAAAGUUAGGGAUUUUCAGUACAAAGUGUGGAAUUUGCAUGUAUUAUACCUUACAAGUAAUUUUCUGCUAAGCAGGGGCCGCAGUAUGUUUGCACAAAUUUCUGGACGUUUGUUUGCACCAACUGCAGUGGAAUACAGUAAGUUCUGCCCACCUGCUCUACUGCAUUAUUGUUCUUAUGAAGUAUUUUUCUUAUUGUUUGUAUGAGUACUUUAAUUACAUCAAUUAUAUUUCCAGUCGGGAGUUCACGCACCGAGUAAAAUCAGUGUCGAUGGCUAAGUUUACGUCGCAAGAAGUUAAAUCCCUUCAAGAAGGGGGAAACCAGGUAUGCGUGCAUGCAUCUUUUCAGUUCUUACACGACUGAUGUAAUUGUCUUGUCCAUUGAUAAUCUUCUCAUUUCUCACAUUGUACUCGUCUCUGUUUCCCAAUUACAGCGUGCAAAGGAAAUUUAUCAAAAAGAGUUAGAUCCGCAACGUAAUUCCUUCCCUGAUAGCAGGUUAACACUUUUUUUUGUUUUUCUGCUUUAAUUGAUCUAUGUAAUAAGUGGGUUUCUGAUUCAAAUGUUUGCUACCAGUAAUGUUGAGAGACUCCGAGACUUUAUUAAGCAUGUGUACGUGGAUAGAAGGUAUACUGGUGAAAGAAACAUUGACAAGCCACCGAGGCUAAAAACGGUAAUUAUAUAUUCCCAUAUAUUAUAUUGAUUAUAAGGUGUUACUUGGGCCAAAACAAAAGGCAUAUAUGGUGGUACAUAUAAACCUAAACUGAGCUUACUGGUUCCAUGUUCUGAUUUAUUGUCAUACAGGGGGACAAGGAGGACUCUUAUGAAAAUAGAAGGCUAGAUUCAUAUCAGGGUUCUCGAAGCCCACCAUAUGAUGAUGACCGUCGUAGUGAAAGGUCCAGUCCUGGUGGUAGAAGUUAUGAGGACCAAAGGAGUCCUGGAUAUGAUCAAGAAAGUCGACAAUAUGGUGAUUCUAAGAGAAGUCCUUCUCGCCCUGAAAUUGUGAAUGAUUGGCGUCGAGAAGAUAGAUUUGGAAAUGGUAGGCGAUAUGAUGAUCGUAGAGGAUCCGAUGGAGAUUCUAAACUUUAUGCGAAAUCUCCUGAUCGAUCAAGAGAUAUAGAUUCGUCCAGUCCGCCUAUGGUACGACCUGUUAGAGAUAUUUUGGGUGAUAAGACAAUACCUCUCCGUAUUAUUGAACCUCCUAAAGCCAACAGUGUUAGGGCUACUGAAGGUCCCGUGGUUACGCAGGUGAUGUGUCUCCCCUUAACGGACAAAAUAUGAUUGUAGUUACUCGAGUUUAUUUUUUCUUCUUUUACUGUCUUGUGCUUGUUAACUUUGUUAUUAGUGCGUAACUUGCUCUCUCUCUCUCUCUCUCUCUCUCUCAGCCCAAGCUUUAUUAUUUUCUUUGCCUUAUAUUUUCAGGCAGCUUACACAUUCAUAGCUUCACACUUUCCUUAAAUGAUAUUUGCUUCAAUUCUGUUAUAUAGAACAGGCUUGUGCUGCUGUAGUUGUUUGAAAUACUUGUUUGAUUUCUUUUAACUUUUCAUCUACUUUCUACUAAUUUCUCAUAUCGUUUAAAUUGCAGAGAACUGCAUCUUCCAGUAGCUUGGGUUCCACCAACGGGAACCCAGUUGAAGUGAAACCGGAGACUUCUGUAAGUUUAAUUGAUUUUGAUGCUGAUAUUGAACCUGCUCCAGCUCCAGCAGUUCCUCAAACACAACAAGCUUCUGUAGCUCAAUCAUAUUCACAGCCAGAAAAUUCACAGAGUGACAACAACUGGGCUUCUUUUGAUGUUGCCCCACAAGUGAAAGCAACUCAAGCUCCUCCAAGUGCAAAUUCUUUGGAAUCUCUGCUAUCACAGUUGUCUGUUUCGGCACCUGUCCCUAGUUAUUCUGGAACUUCAGGUAAUACUGGGGGUUUUUCAGCUGCAGGCAACAUGACUACACCAUUUGGUGGUAAUCCAGUCAUCACUCCUGCAGGACACACAAUGUUGCCAACUGCUACUACAGUUGCACCAGUUACGAGCUUGUCAACAUUUCCCCCUGUCGGUGCUCCAGUUGCGACCCCUGGAUUGGCUCAAGUAUUCCCAACCAAUACUAGUAAUGUCUCUGCUACCGGUUCUGGGCAAUGGCCUAGUAUGCAGCAUCAGCAACCUUCUUUAUUCCCUUCUAAUGGCAUUCAGUCUGCCUCUCAGCAAUACAUUCCAUCAGCUGGUGGAGCUUCAAGCAAUCAAGUGAGCUUACGUGACAUUCUUGUCAUUUUAUUCUUUUAGCAUUUUGUUACUAUUUCACAUUCAUUCUUGAUUAUUGUAUGCUUUUUCUGCAGCCAUGGAAUUCAGCUCAGGGUCAACCUAGUUAUCCAGCUGCACAAGCGCCACAAGAUGUUUCAAGAUCUAACCACAAUGUUAGUAAUGUUGCAUCACAACAUUCAGCUGGGGAUGUAAAAUCAAUUGGAAGAAGUGCACUUCCUGAGGUAAUUAUGUUUUUUUUUUGGCUUUCUUGACAACAUUAUACAAGGGAAUAUUGCACUUAUUUCCUCCUGUAGUUCCAAUUUCAACUAGUUUACCCUUGUAGUUGCUAACAUCUUCAAUAUGGCCUGAAUUUAGUUGCUCACAUAUGUUGACCAUAAAUGUGGAUUUAGACUUUUGACACUUUAGCAAAUUAAGGGAAUUAGUUGAAGUUGGAACUGUAUUGACUGAAUUAAGUUCGGGUGUAAGCGGUAGGGACCUUAAGUUUGAUAAGCUCACGUAUAUUUGUGCAACUGCAUACUGAAAAAGAAAACUGAAUUGCUUGUAGGAUCUUUUUGCUAUGAACUAUUCAUCCUACCCUGCACCAGUUCCCGGAUGGCAGACUGGUCCUCCUCAUGGUAUGGGGUUUGCAAUGCCGUACAAUACUGCAAUGGUAUUUUUUCAACCCAAUAAUUUAUUUAUAAUGAAUUAACUCUGUUCCACACCAUUGGAUGUGUAAUUUUUUUUUAUAAAUUCAGUGCAUUUGAAUCUAUGUUUAUUUGCAGCCCAUUCCCAGUUUUCAGCAGUCUCUAAAGUCAGCAAACCCGUUUGAUGUCAGUAGUGAUCCUCCUCCAGUUCAAGCCUCAACGGUACAUGAUUUCAGUUCAUGUUAUAGUGAUAUCAUAGUCAUUGGGUCCACACUUUCUGGUGUAUCUCUAAAGAUAGAAUCAGAAUAUACUGACAUGGGCCUUGUGCAUGCAUGCCAGGCUAUCAAUUUUGAAUGAGUUUUCCAGGUUGGAAAAGGGAAGUUGGGGAAGCAAUUGAUUUUUAAAUAGGAAGUUCAAAAAUUUUACUUAGCCUAGAAGGAUAGUUCAGCCCAAUGAAACUUGGCUGCAAUGCUUGUUAUUGUCACAUAUCCAUUGUUUAAGGUUCUGAUAUCAUGUGGUUGUUCGUGGUAUCAGAAUUAGGUUGUAGUACCUCUUUUGUUGUACUACGUUGCAACAUGCAGAGUGGGUUUGCUCUUAUAUGCUUCUUCUCUUUUGUUUUUGUCUACCUCAUCACAUAUUAAGUGGGACCACACAUUAGGCAUGGUGUUAACUUAUUACUACAUAGUUGGUCCUACACUCCUACUUAACAACUUGGAUGUUUGAAAUAAGUUUCAAUUCCUUGUUUUUGCUCAUAACAAGAAGUCAUCAGAAGUCUUUAUUUUAGCUGCUGUUGUUCUUGAAAUCUUUUGAUGCACAAAGUACUAAUCUUUGUCAUGUAUUUUGCACGCACUGCAGUUUCAUUCCAUGGCACCCUCACAAGGACCGCUACCAAAUGUGCAGCCUCCAUCUGACUUAUUGCGUACAUCUAGCCUGGGGGCACUCCCAUCAGCUUGGGGGCCCUCAUAUUCAUCUGGAUUGCCUCUCCAAGCACCGCCAUAUGCAUCACAAAUGCCUCCAAGUAAUAUGAAGCUGUUUUCCUCCUUUUUCUUUCACACCCCCUAGUUUAUUAGCAUUCAUUUCACAAUUUGGAGUUUACGCUAAAUUUCGGUUUCAAAAUCUCAGGUGCCUAUGCAGGACAACAAAUUCCGAGUAGCUUGCCACCUCCAGGGUAACUAUAAUCAUUUAGCUUUCAUUUAAGAGUAUUUUGACCAUACAUGUAACCACUUUUGGAUAACAUUCAACAAAAUAAUUAGGAAAUAAAAAUGGGGUUAUUGGCAUCAGUAUUGUCAGUUUCUCUUUUGUUUCAAACACUUCAGUUGUUUGUUAAGUCUGGACUUGAAGAUUAUUUUUACAGCAACUAAUAUGCAGACAUGUUGUUAUGCUUAUAGGUAUCAAGGAGCAGGAGGCUUUAGUGCUGAGGGAGCUGCCUUUGGUUCGUUAAAUAUGGUACACCAGCCGGUUGGUAGAUACUCAGCACCUGCUACCCCAAAUCCUUUCCCGUCUGCCGGAGGAAACCCAUUUGGAUAGAUGUGAAGAACAAAGUGUGCCUUAUCCCACUCAGGGUAAGCAUUAUUUUGCCCCUCUCAAAUUGCCGGGUGGAAAGUUUUGGCUGUUACGUUGCUAGCUUUUAAGUUAUCUGAUGCCGCCUAGUGAGAGAAUUUUUUAUUUUUUAUUGGAUCAUCCCCCUGGGUUGGGUCAAAGGUCGACAUCAAUUGUCAUGUACAAUUUGUUGCUGUAAGAAAAGGAAAUAGUAUAUAUUAGAAAAGGGGGAUAAAGCCAUAAAGGGGGUACAGACUAAAAGGGAACCUAGGUAUCAAUUUGCCGGCCAAGGUAUUCAUUGGUAGUUUGCGGCAUUCUUUAGGUGAUCCCUGGGUUCAAUUGCUUCCUGGGCUUCCCAUAGUUUUUCCCCCUCGUGAUUCUUCGUUGCUACGUUGUAUGAUUUUGCGAUCUCUUCGUUGUGUUGUGAGCUCAUUGAAUCUGUGUAAGCUAAUGAAUGUAACAGUGAAAUGUUACAGUGGAAUUGAGUUGGUAUGUUAAUAUGAUCUGAUGUGCUUUUGCGUUUGUGGAAUUCUGGAUUAAAGCUUUGCGUUCACUACUUUGAUUAACACACGAUCCCCUCUGUUGAUAUGCUCCGAUGUGCAUGGUUUGGUGGUGUUUGUUUCUGAUUAAUUUAUGAAAAAGUGAAUCAUCUAGACCCAAAUUCACACUGUUUUAGAAACAGAUGAUUGAUUUUGAUGUUUGAGCCUAUGGUGGGAGUUUGCAGGUUCCUCAUCAAACCUGACUCAGUUUUUACAUUCCGGCAAGUUGGUAUAUUUAGCAGUUUUUACGACCGACCCUAGAUGCCCAUUUGUAAGGUGACCCGGACCGAGACUAAUAACAGCCCAUUAAGGUAAUUAGAGGCGCUAGCCCAAUAUAACAUAUAAAUAUACCAUAAUGGUCCUAACACACACGGCUUUGUAUAUAAGCAGACUAGAAUUAUACCUGUGCCUCGGCCCGGUGUAUACAUUUACGGUGUGUUUAGAUGUGGGUGAAUUCUCGAGAAUUUAAUCAAAUAUAAGGAAUUCUCAAUUUCUUAGGACGGUUUCCUUCAUUUGGAUACUUAUCCCGUGAAAUUAGCAAUUUUCACGGAAAAAUAAUUGUGAUAUUUAGGAGCUUAAAAUCCCGACUUGAAUUCCUCACAAAAUAAGCGUCAUUUGUCAAUUCCCUUAACUAAAGUUAGUCUGAAUACAAAUUCUUGUCAUUUUAAAACUCUACAUCAUGAAAUCCAAACAAUGGAAUUCUUAAUUAAUAGGAUUUAAAUUCAUGGAAUUCUUAAUUAAUAGGAUUUAAAUUCAUGGAAUUGUAAUUCUCAUGAUUUUGAAAUUUCUAUAGACACAUCAUGAAAUUCAAAUAAUGAAAUUCUCAAUUAAUAGGAUUUAAAUUCAUGGAAUUGUAAUUCCCAUGAUUUUGAAAUUUCUAUAGACAUUAAAAUUACUUUAUCCAAAAACAACGUUAUGAAGCUGGUCAAUGGGUUAAUUGAUUGAUAUAAAUGUUUCUGAUAUGUACUUCAUAGAAUGCUACUUCAUAGAAUGUUAUACAUGCAAAUUAUACCCAGCUGUUAUACUGAUUAUAUAUCUAGCGUUAAUGACAAUAUUGUGGUUUCUUAAAAAUAACAGGGGCAAAAGGGUUAGUAUACCCGCGUCUUGGUGCGGUGUAAUAUUCACAUUAUGCAUAUUCCACAUAUGUAUAAGAGCUAUCACAAAAUUCAUGGAAUUGUAAUUCCCGUAAUUUUAAAAUUUCUAUAGACAUUAAAAUUACUUUAUUCAAAAACAACGUUAUAAAGCUGAUCAAUGGGGUAAUUGAUUGAUAGAAAUGUUUCUGAUAUGUACUUCAUAGAAUAUUAUUAAUACAAAUUAUACCCAGCUGUUAUACUGAUUAUAGAUCUAAGAUUGAUGACAAUAUUGUGGUUUCUUAAAAAUAACAGGGGCAAAAUGGUCAGUAUACCCGCCCUUUGGCUCGGUGUAGUAUCCACAUUAUGCAUAUUCUACAUAUGUAUAAGUGCUAUCACAAAAACAACUUUUAUACAAUAAAACAUCUAAUCUUGUAUUCUACCCAAAAUAUAAAUGCUCUAACUAUUUUGAUUUAUAAGAUUCAGGAUGUAGAAGAAAAAUAAAAAAUGGAGGACAAAAAAAUCUUUACCGAGAGAGAGCUUAUCUAAAAAAAUCUAAAUUACAUGUUUAAGAAAGAAAAAAAAAAAGAAAAAAAAAAUCACUGUUCAUAUGCUUAUAUAUGAACAGUUAAUCAUUUUUUAGUAUAUAGUAUAAUUUUCCUCAAACCCUAAGCAUUCUGCAAAGUAGAAACAAAGAAGACGGACGAUUGUCGUCAGACAAAGAAGAAGGAAGACGGUGGCCAAAACGUGGACCUCCCACCGGAGAUCAUGCAUGACAUUUUUUCAAGGCUGCCACCCAAGUCUUUGUGCCGGUUCAAGUGUGUAUCAAAGCCAUGGCGGUCCAUGAUCUCCGAUCAUGUUUUUGUUACUAAGUACAAUAAGGAUGUAUCCCGGCGACGGCGACUCAUGUUUACUUCUGUUGAGUCGACAGAUCAUUGGCUUUACUGCUUGGAUCUUAACAAGUUUAUCUAUGAGAAUCAUAAUGAUGAUGUUGGUGGUUCAACAGCAGCACCCUCUGAGCUCGACUUUGUUUACAAUCAACUUCCGUAUGGUGGACUUGAUUUUGUUCCCUCUACCCAUUAUUCCUACCAUGGCUUGUUCUUUUCCCAUUAUUGUUCUGGCUGCUUCAGAUUCAGUUUGAUCGACUAUGAAACCAAGGAAUCAGAGUACCUCCCAGACGCAAAAAUAAGGAGACUAACAAUCGAGCCUGGAUUUGAUUACUGGCACUUAUAUGGAGUUGGAUUAUUUGAUUACUCCACAAAUGGAUACAAGGUGAUUAAGGGGCAGCAAUAUAAUGAUGGAGUUGUGUUUAGUGUCUAUACUUGGAACCCUACAUGUUCAGGUCCUCGGCGAAAAAUUGAGCACUUGUUUCCCUACAGAGUUUUACGUAGUCAUGGUGGUCAUGGGAUCCUGGUGAAUGGUGAAGUUCAUUGGUUGGCGACGAAGAAGGUUGGACAGGAAUCAUUGGUGAUGAUUAUAUCUAUCAUUUUAGCAGAGGAGAAGGUUAGAGAAAUUGCAAUACCGCCUAAUGCUCCUACUGGUUCCAUUGAACUAGGGGAAUUCAGAGAUUGGCUAUGCAUAACAUCAGCUGGAUACGGAACAUGUAAUGAGUUUUGGGUGAUGAAGGAAUAUGGAGUGAGAGAGUCUUGGACUAAAAUGCAGUCUCUAUACCAUAUUACAAAUUAUCACAUUCUGGUUUCUGGACGGAUACUCAUGACCUGAUGGUGUUUGAUAGAUCAUCCUUCAUUAUGUACAAUUUUAGCGAUGGGAAAUUUUGGACUUUACCGAUUGGCAAUGUUGGUGAUAUUAUUAGUACUGGUGUCUACAUGGAGACCCUGCCUACCUCAACUCUAUCGAUCAAGAACAAUAUCUUUCAAGGAAGAUGAAUCCUCUCAGCAACAUUAUCGAAUAUUAGUUCUUACUUUUAGCAUUACUUCUGCAAUUGUUAUGCGAGGCACUUAUAUGAACUUCUAACCAUUCGUUUCUAUCUCUAUCAGAACUAACAAUAUAGGCAAAAGGAUAAUGAUAUGUUGCUGAUGUAUCAUAUACAUGUUCUCCAUCAUAAAACCACUACAGCACAUGUCACUUGAUCAUUUUAGUAAACAGUAAAUUGUUACGGUGGAAUUAAGUUGUAUGUUAGUAUGAUCUAAUGUUGUGUUUUGGCGUUGAUUGGUGGAGUUCUUGAUUGAAGCGUCGCUCUCACUACUUGAUCAACAGUACCCUGAACAUCUUAUGUUAAUAUAAUAUUCUCCGAUGUGCUUGGUGUGGUGGUGUUUGUUUCUUAUUAAUGUAUAAAAAGGUAAAUCACCAAGCAACCAGACUCGCACUGUAUUACCAAGGAUAAAGAGAUAAUUUGACUUUGAUGUUUGAGCUUGUGUUCCUAAUGGCACUAGGAUUUCCCCGACCCCAUGAAGAGGAAUCCUUUUCUUACUUGGAUAUAUAUAUAUAUAUAUUUCUCCUCUGAUAGUCUGAUUGGAUGGGAAACGUUUCACACUGCUUACAUACUUAUUUAGUGUUAGGAACUGAGAAAAUUCAAGAAUGUAAACACAGAAUCUUAAAGAGCUCAAGCACAAUCUGGAGGAAUGACUAGUUUAUUGAAUAACAACUUUGGCUAUUACAAGAGCAAAACAGAAAGCAUAGUACAGCCCACGAUUUACACUAACUAAAUCAUGGUAGAGUGCAGCAGGAAAUAGUCAAAACAAAGAACAACUCCUCCUACAUAAUAGGGAUUUAUUUGAAACAGGAGAAAAACAAUUCUAUAAAGCCAGGGAUCCUAAUAUUUCAAGGAGUCCCUAUACCUGUCAUAUAGAUACAAGUUUUUAUGUAUUGCAUUCUGCAAACAAAGAAGAUGUACGAUUGUCGUAACAAAAAGAAGAAGAUGCAAGACGGUAGCCAAAACGUGGACCUUCCACCUGAGAUGAUGCAUGAAAUUUUUUCAAGGCUACCAGUGAAGCCCUUGUGUCGCUUCAAGCUUGUAUCCAAGUCAUGGGAGUCCCUAAUCUCCGAUCCUGAUUUCGUCGCAAACUAUUCCAAAGCCGCCUUUGAGAAUGAGGAUGUCUUCUUCAGAAGACGCCGCCUCCUCUUUACUAAUAUUAUUGACUCUGGACAACAUGGGAUAUACUCUUUGGAUCUUGACCAGUUUCUCAGUGAGAAUUCUAAUGCUGGUGUUGAUGGUCUAGUAGCAGCACCCACUGAGCUCGGCUUUGUUUACAAUCUUGUUCAAAGAGGUGGAUUUCCAUACCCCUUUGUCCUUGGUCCCUGCAAUGGCUUGUUCUUGGCCCGGUUAUGUUACGGUGACUACGGUUACAUUUUGAUCAACCCCGUAACCAAGGAAUCAAAGAAAUUACCAAAGCCACCACUAUGGAGACCAAUGGAGCCCUUUUUUUGUCACAUAUAUGGACUUGGAUUUGAUCACUCCACCAAUGAAUACAAGGUGAUUAACGGGCAGCAAUAUUUUGGUGGAGUUGUGUUUAGUGUCUAUACAUUGCAGACUGAUUCUUGGCGACAGAUUGACUGCUUAUUUCCCUACAAAGAUUUACAUAAUGAUGGGGUCCUGGUGAAUGGUGCUGUUGAUAGGUUGGCGAUGAAGGUUGGAAAUCAAUCAUGGGUGAUUAUAUCUUUCUCUUUAGCAGAGGAGAGGGUUAGAGAAAUUGCAGUACCGCCCAAUACUGCUAAUCAAUCAAUUCAACUAGGGGCAUUCAGAGAUUGGCUAUGCAUAACAUCAGCUGGAUAGGGAACGUGUAAUGAGUUUUGGGUCAUGAAAAAGUAUGGAGAGAGGGAGUCUUGGGCUAAAAUGCAAAUCUCCAUGUCAUAUCAUAGAUUAUUACAUUCCGGUUUCUGGACGGGUUCUCAUGAUCUGAUGAUGUUCGAUAUAUCGUCAGGUAAAUCAUCAUUAGUUAUGUAUAAUUUCAAUGAUGACACAUAUUGGACUUUAUCGAUCGGCAAAGUUGGUGCUAUUAGAUGUGUUGGCAUCUAUGUGGAGACCCUGCCUCCUUAAAUCAUCGAUCAAUAAAAAUAAGUUCCAAGGAAGAAGAAUCCUCUCGGUGACAUCAUGGGAUAUCAAUUCCCAUUCUUUUAGGCAAUAGCUGAAAGGAGAAUGAAAUCUCAAGUAGAAUAAGUAGAUGCUCAGUUCACCUUGUGCCCUUUUGUUGUUUAUGUACAUACAGCUCUCUAUUCACCUUGAUUGCAUUCCUUGCCUUUUUACAUGACUCACUAUACACAUGUUUUCAUAAUACCACUGCAUCACAUGCUUUGAUUUAACACACAAACCCCUUCUCCCUCGGAUAUAGGGGAUAUGAUAACAAUUCCAUUUCCAAACUUUAGUAAAUUCCAUUUCAUAGAUAACCAAUAAACAUAAUAAGCAGCCUGAUCAUCAACAGUGGUGAUUCACACGUACAUAGAUACUCUUAGCAAUCAACAAAAACUUCUGUCAACAAUCCUAGAAGGAGAGAAGAACAAACAGUAGCAUUUGAUAUUUUAUAUGUGAGACACAGACUAGAACAACUCAGAAAGAAAGGCAACUAACUAAAAUUAGGAAUUCAUAACUAUUAGCAGAAGGCAUCACACCAGAAAGACUUCAUGUGUAUGAGUGACUUGAGGUACCCAACUACCCAUUGUGGAAGCAGUCAGCAGUAAUAUUCAAGGAUGUCAAUCAGCCUUACUUUUAUCCAGUUGUUCUUGAUCAAAAAGAGGCUUAAGGUUCUCCACAUAGACACCCAUGCUACCAAAACCACCAACUUCACCCAUAUUAUGACUAAUCGAGAAGCUCCAGCAAUGUUUAUCAUCAAAAUCACACACAACUAACCCUGUUGCAUCAACCAGCAUCAAAUCAGAGUUCUGUCCAAAAACCACAAUGCUGUAACCGGUGAUAUGGGAUGCCAAACUCCAUUUUAGUCCAAGAGCCCGUCGCUCCAUAUUCCUUCAAGACCCAAAACUUAUUAUAUGUUUUUCUGGAAAGGAUGAUGCAAUUGAUGUUAUACAUAGCUGAUCUCUGAAAACGCCCAGUUCUACUAUACCAGUGCUGCAACUAGGCGGUACUUGGAUUUCUCUAACCUCCUCCUCUGCUAAAAGGAAAGAUAUAAUCACCAAGGAUCCAUCUCGCUUGACCAACCAAUGAACAGCCCCAUUCAGCAACAUCCCUUCCUUCCUACAAACACGAGUUUGUUUGUAGGGGUAUAGAGUCUCGAUCUUUCGCCAAGAAUCAGUCAAGGAAGCAUAAACACUAAACACAAACCCAUCAUUGCCCCCCUUCCCUUCAAUCACCUUGUACUGACUAGUGGACUCAUCAAAUCCAAACCCAUAUAGCUCCCAAGAAAAAGACAUCUUUGUCAGUGGUGUCUUUGGUACUUUCUUCCAUUCCUCGGUUGCAGGGUUGAUCAAAUGGAACCCAGAAUCCGACCUGCACAUCAAGAAGCUCUUGCAGGAAAGCACAACAGGAACCCAACCACUUCCAAUAUUGCGACGAACAAAGUCGAGCUCAGUGGCUUUUGCAACAUAAUCCACAUCAUCAGCUUUAUCAUUCCUCAUCAGUUCAAGAUUCUUGUUGAGAUACUGAACAAUGUCCAAAGUGUAGAGGCGUUUACGUGCAUGGUCAACAAAUACAAGACGCUGUCCCUUAUCCUCAAUAGCUUUAUACUUGCUCUUGUCUGCCAUCUUCAAGCAAAUCUAGACCUGAUCAAUCAUGACAAGACCUAAGUCACAUCAACAUUGCUUCAAUUCCUACCGUGUAUAGAGUCUCAACAGAUAUUAUAAUGACCCCGACAAGAUUUAUAUAACAAAAUCACCCCUGCAAAAUUUUUCAUACAGAUACGCGAAAUAUGCCAAUCACUUUACAAAACCAGAACAUGGUCUUGUUGUCAUGCAAUGAGGGAAGCCUAAGUGAUUCUAUACACUACUACACAGAAAUCUUAAUAUCCUAGAAACCCACACAUGGCAGAGACAGCAUUUAAGAUGAAAACUGUAACAAGAUUCAAGUAUUCCAGCCAACAAAACGCACAAACAACAAAAAGGAAAGUGAAACUUGUAGCAAAAUUCAAGUAUUCCAAACAGAACGUGAACGGACAACAAAAUUCUAGUGUCCCAAACCACUGAAGAAAACGCAACCCAUCUACCCAAGAAAGAUAGUUCUACCCCAAAAACUUGUACAUAUCGAAAUGAAGGACUAAGGAAUUGGUAUACGCAAACUAAGUAAAGGGAACACGAAGAUCAAACCUUUAGCCGUUUAGGGUUCUACCGCUUCUUUUGAGAGCGCGAGAGGCACUGGUGCUAACGCAGAGGUUUUAUAUAUUUCUGGGGUUUUGGGAUUUUGUGCCUUCAGGGCAUUUUGGACUAAAGCAGACUAGUUUGCAAAAUGGGCCAGCCCAACAUAUAGCAUCCUCACCAUUGAGACCGUUUAAGACUAAGAAGCAUUUCCCACUGUUUUUUUCCUUUCCAAAAAAAAGAAAAGAAAAAAAGAAGAAGCAUUCAUUUCCCACCAAUGAGCCUAACGAUGAGCACGUAAGAAGUGUGUUGUUAUGCUCUCAUUUGGUCGGUUAAUAGAAAGUUUGGUUCUUAUCAUUGUAAUGUAUUUGUGGGUGAGUCGCAACCUGGUUAAUUAGAUAGACUAACUGAUAACAUUGAGGUCAUCAGUCACUUAUCAAUCCAAUAAUCAAUAUAUUUAACAACAAAGAUAAAAAGUUAAAACCCUAUAAAAGAUUGGAAAAAGAACUCAUUGUUACAAAUCAAACUCGGGUAGAAUAUGCCGGAAGAAAAACAAAGAAAUAAAAUUUGGUUAAUUUAAACGGCUAUUCAAUUCUCACAAGCAGAAAAAAAAAAAAAAAAUAUAUAUAUUUCGUCACUAAACUAUAGUUCUUCUACCUGAACAACAAAACAAACUCUCCUCUUCAAAUGGAGAGAUAGACAUACACAAAACACUAGGAUACAUCAUUAACUCAUUUCGGAGGGCAUACUGUACAAUAUUUAUCACGGCUGAAAUUGGACAAUAAUAUAUAGUUCCUCUCUAUUAAUUGCACGUGAUGGAUCAUGUGACAAUUUUUAAUAGUUGAAUAAACAGAGUGAGUUAAGUGAUAAACGAUGCAUAAAGUGAGUAGUAAAGUUAGUUUUUUGAAAUGUUAACGAGUAAAGUGUCAAAUAUGUUAAAACUCAGUGACCAUUUGUGUUUCUAAGUAAUUUUAAUACUUAAUUUGAAAGUCAAUUAGGUUGGGGUCGUUGUUGGGAGAUAAAAUAUCUCCAUGGAUUAUGGCCAAAUUAAGUAGAGCCACAAAAAUGAUUUGUAUGUAAUUGGCCUUAAUAAAAUUAUCCAGAUGAUGGAACUUGCAAGUGUUUCUGACCCUCAUCUACGACGGAAUUUUAUAUGAUCGCAUCUUUGAUAUUAUCCAGUAUAAGACUCAUCCGUUAAACAAAAAAUAAAUGACGUCCGUCUUCAUCAAUUUGCAGAUGCUAUAAAAUUACUUUCCGGAGUGGGCUAGCUAGGCUUUGAGGGCUCUAUUAAUAGGUGAUCGAGGAAGGACUGAAGGAGAGACGGAUACAUAUCCCACUUAGACAGUUAGACUUGCAUGUGUUUCUAAUUACAUGCAAAUUUUCGCUACACUAAUUGUCAAUUAAGAAUGGCAGACGACCGUAAUGAUGUUGAAAUGGAUGCUCCACAGCCAACUCGUGAUCAACCUUCGAUAUAUGAUCGUUUGAAUGAUCGGGAACGAGUGACAACUAGUGAGGCGAGAAAUGGUAUGUUAGUUGUAGCUGCCCUUAUUUCUGCGGCGACCUUCGCAGCGGGAAUAAACCCACCAGGCGGGGUUUGGCAAGAGGAUGACCAAAAAAACACUCCUCCUAAACACUUUUCGGGUAAGUCGGUUUUAGCUACUAAUAGUGAAGUUUAUUACCAAGUGUUCUAUUUCUUGAACGCCGCAGCUUUCUCGUCGGCAAACCUGGUGAUUGGUUAUCUUGUACAUAAAUUUCCAUAUUAUGUGGAAAUAUGGGGCGCUAUGUUUUGUAUGUCGGGAACCUACGGUAUUUCGACUUCUGCAGUAAGUCCCCAUGAUUUCAACGAUAAAAUCAUAUGGUUUGCCAUCGCCGUUCCUUACAUAUUAAGGGGUACUGUUGAAGUUUGGAAGAAAUUGCGUAAAUGCUCAUCAUGCAGUAAAUGAACUUGAAGCUGGAUUGUGUAAAACAUGCAUGCAUCCAUAUAUGCGGAUGUUUGGUACGUUGUGUUAUUGAUGCUUUUUCCUGUAGAUUGGCUUGUGGCACACGGCCCUGUUCCUCUUCCCGGACCUGGCGGAUUUGCUGCUAGUUGUUAGUUAGUUAGUUUUUUUUUGUUUUUUGUUUUUUUGUUUUAAAUAAAGGCUUGUUUGCUUGUGCUUAUUGCUUGGUUGACCCAAAAAUUGGGUGUUUGUUUGUAACUUUGUAUUAUGCUGGUAUUAUUAAUAAAUAAGUUCAUACGUAUAUAUAUAUAUAUCUCCUCAUUUUCGUUUCUUCUCAAAAAAGAAAAAGAAAAUAUUCAUUUAUCUCCCAAACAUAAAAAUAUAAAAAGUUUCGGUAACAAUAGAAAAGACUCAAACUUCAAAUCGUUCAGGAUCGUCUACGAUACCUAGAUGUACCACAUACCCCCAUUUACAACAAAUUGGACAAAAAUUACCAUUUUUUUAAACCAAAUUUACAACAUUGACAACCAAUUUACCAUAUUUGUUUUAUACAUUUACAACUUAUUUUAUUGCUCCUCUCGGCGUCGUUGAAGAAAAGAGAAAUUAUUAAUAACGGCAUGAAACUAAUGGGUUACUUAAUAACUGUGUUUUUGAAUUUGCGACUCGGACUUGCAUGUAUCAGUCAAAUAUAUAACUGAGGAAUCAUUAAGGGUUUUCAUUCCAGUCAUUGAGUUCGAUUCUCAACUGUAUUUCCAAUUCAUUUCAUGCACCCAAAUACACAUUAACCACUCAAUCUCACCAUGCACGCCAUAAGCUCAAACAAAACAGAAGUAAACUCUUGCAUGGACAAAAAUUAUAUGAAAAGGCUAGCAUUUAAUAACUUCCAGAUAAUGAGAGUUGAGCAAUUGAUUGACUCUCAUUAAUCCUUCCUCAAUUGAUCGACUUUAUGAUAGCUAGUGAUGGAGAAAUGAUUAUGGGGAUAGUCUGAUUGGAUGGGAAACGUUUCACACUGCUUACAUACUUAUUUAGUGUUAGGAACAAAGAAAAUUCAAGAAUGUAAACACAGAAUCUUAAAGAGCUCAAACACAAUCUGGAGGAAUGACUAGUUUAUUGAAUAACAACUAAAUCAAGGUAGAGUGCAGUAGGAAAUAGUCAAAACAAAGAACAACUCCUCCUACAUAAUAGGGAUUUAUUUGAAACAGAAAAACAAUUCUAUAAAGCCAGGGAAUUCAUCCUAAUAUUUCAAGGAGUCCCUAUACCUGUCAUAUAGAUACAAGUUUUUAUAUGACAAGACCUAAGUAACAUCAACAUUGCUUCAAUUCCUACUGUGUAUAGUCUCAACAGAUAUUAUAAUGACCCCGACAAGAUUUAUAUAACCAAAUCACCCCUGCAAAAAUUGUCAUACAGAUACGCAAAAUAUGACAAUCACUUUACAAAACCAGAUCAUCGUCUUGUUGUCAUGCAAUGAGCGAAGCCUAAGUGAUUCUAUACACUUGCACACAAAAAUCUUAAUAUCCUAAAAACCCACACAUGGCAGAGACAGCAUUUAAGAUGAAAACUGUAACAAGAUUCAAGUAUUCCAGCCAACAAAACGCACAAACAACAAAUGGAAAGUGAAACCUGUAGCAAAAUUCAAGUAUUCCAAACAGAACGUGAACAGACAACAAAAUUCUAGUGUCCCAAACCACUGAAGAAAAGACAACCCAUCUACCCAAGAAAGAUAGUUCUACCCCAAAACUUGAACAUAUCGAAAUGAAGAACUAAGGAAUUGGUAUAAGCAAACUAAGUAAAGGGAACACGAAGAUCGAACCUUAAGCCGUUGAGGGUUCUACCGCUUCUUUGAGAGCGCGAGAGGCACUGGUGCUCAUGCAGCGUUUUAUAUAUUUCUGGGGUUUUGGGAUUUUGUGCCUUCAGUGCAUUUUGGACUAAGAUAGACUAGUUUGCAAAAUGGGCCAGCCCAACAUAUAGCAUCCUCAAUUCCUCACCAUUGCAACCGUUUAAGACUUUAAGAAGCAUUUCCCACUGUUUUUUUCCUUUCCAAAAAAAGAAGAAAAAAAAAGAAGAAGCAUUCAUUUCCCACCAAUGAGCCUAACGAUGAGCACGUAAGUAAGAAAGUGUGUUGUUAUGCUCUCAUUUGGUCGGUUAUAAUAGAAAGUUUGGUUCUUAUCAUUGUAACGUAUUCGUCGGUGAGCCGCAACCUGGUUAAUUAGAUAAACUAACUGACAACAUUAAGGUCAUUCGUCACUUAUCAAUCAAAUAAUCAAUAUAUUUAACAACAAAGAUAAAAAAUUAAAACCUUGUAAAAGAUUGGAAAAAGAACUUAUUGUUUCAAAUCAAACUGGGGUAGAAUAUGCCGGAAGAAAAACAAAGAAAUAAAAUUUGGAUAAUUUAAACGGCUAUUCAAUUCUCACAAGCAAGGGAAAAAAAAAAGCCUUCUGUCACUAAAUUAACCAUAGUUCUACCUGAACAACUAAACAAACUCUCCUCUUCAAAUGUAGAGAUAGACAUACACAAAACACUAGGAUACCUUAUGAAGUCUGUAAAAUGAAAUAUUAAACCAAAACUACCAACUACCAACAACUUUUGAAUGCUAAAAAUUCACAUUAGAAGACUAUAAAUAACUCAAAAAUUACGAGUCACUCAUAAUGGGCUUGGUUUAAAUUCCAACCUCUCAUGUUCCUCCUCUUUACCUGUAAGCGAAGCAAGACUUUCUACAUAGAUACCAACCCUAUGAAUACAACCAGCACGAAGUGGUAGAUUCUAAAAUGUUCCAUCGUUAAAAUUACACAUAACUAAUGACGAGUAAUCAUACACCAUCAAAUGAUAAGUUUUUGUCCAGAAACCGGAGUGUGAUAAUCGGUAAUAUGGUUUGGAGACCUGCAUUUUAGUCCAAGAAUCUCUCACUCCAUAUUCUUUCGUGACCAAAAACUCAUUAUAUGCUACUUCUUUCACUUCCCACAAUGUUAUACGUAGCCAAUUUCUGAAAACCCCUAGUUGUCUUGAACCAGUGCUGCAUAUGGGUGGUAGUGGAAUUUCUUUGACCUCCUCCUCUGCUAAAAGGAAAGACACAAUCAACAAUGGUCCAUCUCGAUCUCGACCUCGUCUGGCCAACCAAUGCACACAGCCAUUCAGCACAGUCCCUCCAAAACUGAUAGUAACGUAGGGAUAGACACCCUCAACUCGCCGCCAAGAAGAACUAGUUUCCAUUAACGUAUAGACACUAAACACAACUCCAUCACCAUUUCCUUCAUUAAUAUUUCCACGACCAUCAGUACUAUAGCACUUUGCGUAAACCACCUUGUAUUGAUUUGUGGAGUAAUCAAAUCCAAACCCAUAAAAGAGGUCUGGUUCAGAGGGCAACUUAUUUGGUAGCCUCCAUGUUGGUGUCUUCGGUACUUUCCUUGAUUCCCUGGUUGCCGGAUAAGUUAUCAAAUCGAACUUAUCACAUCCCCGAAAAAACAACAAUCUAUUGCAUAUAUCCACAGCAAAAAGGGGUCUACAAUCGUAUCCGGUACUGAGCUCUUUGUAUACUAGUAAACCAUCAACCAUAUGGUUGAGAAGCUGGUCAAGGUAUAAAGAGUAAACGCGACCAGUUUCGAGUUUAGUAAAUACGAGUUUCAAUCUUUGGGUGAGCACAUCCAUAUUCUCAAUGGCUUUAGAGGAGUGCAUGGCAAUAAAUUUAUGAUCUGAGAUCCGGGACUGCCAUGGCUUUGAUACACACCUGAAGCGACACAAGGGCUUCACUGGUAACCUUGAAAGAAUCUCGUCUAUGAUAUCGGCCGGAAGUUCAACGUUUUGGUUUGCCCGUCAACUGGCCACCACGCUUUUCCAUCUUCAUGUAGUUUCCAAACCCUAGCAAAGCUUGAUUAUGAGAAGAUCUCUAUCUAUAGAAGAAAGAAAAAGGAACGUUAAGUAAAUGCAUCUCCUCCCACGUUUUGGGCCUUUGCUUGGGCUGUAUAUAAAGGUCUAACACUAAUAUUAUCCAACAAAGUAUAAAUCAAGAUAAGGAGUGAAUAAGUAUCGAUUCUGGAUGGUUGAUUCAUAAACCCAUCUCCUAUUUCAGAAUCAAAUUCAUGAGCAUUCAGGUAUUGAACUCUGAUAAAGGGACGAGACAUAGCUCAAUUUUCAUUCAUUAACAUGUUAGUAAACAUAUGAAUAUUUUACUAAUUCAUGUAUUUAUUUGUUAGUAAACACAGGAAUUAGAUUACCUUCCCCCAUCCUAAAGUCUUGGGAGAAAGAGAUCAAUACAAAUCGAAAGGCAAAACUAAAAUCCUAAAGAAUACCAAGUGUGUAAAAGCAGACACCAUAUAUAGCUAGGAAUCAUUUUCUUACUUGGAUAGUUGAAUAUGUAUAUCCCCCUCUUAUAUAUACAAGUUCAUCAACCCUUUAUCUAUAUUCUUAAUUAAGCAUUCUGCAAACAAAGAAGAUGGAAGAUGGUCAUAAAGAAAAGAUGGAAAACGAUGGCCAAAACGUGGACCUUCCACCUGAGAUGAUGCAUGAAAUUGUGUCAAGGCUACCAGUGAAGCCCUUGUGUCGCUUCAAGCUUGUAUCCAAGUCAUGGGAGUCCCUAAUCUCCGAUCCUGAUUUCGUCGCAAACUAUUCCAAAGCCGCCUUUGAGAAUGAGGAUGUCUUCUUCAGAAGACGACGUCUCCUCUUUACUUUCGUUGACUCUGGACAACGAGGGAUGUACUCUUUGGAUCUUGACCGGUUUCUCAAUGAGAAUCCUAAUGUUGGUGUUGACGGUUCAGUAGCAGCACCCAUUGAGCUCGACUUUGUUUACAGUCAUCUUCCGAGAGGUGGAUAUGAUUGGGUCCCCGUGUUUUUUAUUCCUGCUAUGGCUUGUUCUUGUCCCGGUUAUGUUCUGGCGACUGCAGCUACAGUUUGAUCAACCCUGUAACCAAGGAAUCAAAGAAACUACCAGACGCACCAUUAUGGAGACUACCAAUGGAGCCCCAUUUUCGGAUUGGAAUUGGAUUUGAUCACUCGACCAAUGAAUACAAGGUGAUUAACGGGCAGCAGAAUGACGAUGGAGUUGUGUUUAGUGUCUAUACAUUGCAGACUGAUUCUUGGCGAAAGAUCGACUGCUUAUUUCCCUACAGAGUUUUAGGACGUUAUGAUGGGAUCCUAGUGAAUGGUGGUGUUCAUUGGUUUGCGAGGAAGGUUACAGAUGAAUCAUUGGUGAUUAUAUCUUUCUCUUUAGCAGAGGAGAAGGUUAGAGAAAUUGAACUACCGCCCAAUAAUGCUUUUACUCAUCGAAUUCAAGUAGGGGCAUUCAGAGAUUGGCUAUGUAUAACAUCAUCAUCAAAAUAUUCAGUCACAUUUAAUGAAUUCUGGGUCAUGAAGAAUUACGGAGUGAGUGAGUCUUGGGCUAAAAUACGGGUCUCCAAACCAUACGAGAAACUAUCCCAUUCCGAUUUUUUGACAAAAUCUCAUGAUCUUAUGAUAUUCAAUAGAUCAUCAUUAGUUAUGUACAAUUUCAAUGACGACACAUAUUGGACUUUAUCGAUUGGCAAAGUCGGUGAAUUUAGAAGUAUUGGCAUCUAUGUGGAGACCCUGCCUGUCUUAACUCAUCGAUCAAGAACAAGAAGUUCCAAGGAAGAUGACAGUGACAUUAUCGAUAGGGCCAUACAAGAAUGGAUAUCAAUUCUCUCGGUGACAUCAUGGGAUAUCAAUUCCCAUUCUUUUAGGCAAAAGCUAAAAGUAGAGUGAAAUCUCAAGUGGAACAAGGAGAUACUCAGUUCACCUAGGGCCCUUUUAUUGUUCUUGUGCAUACAGCUCUUUUCUUUUCUUUUUUUAGAGUAUCAACGAAGAUACUUUUAAAGACUUUUCAGGUCCAGAAACUAAUCCGUGCCAGAGAAUCUUGUCAGAACGCUUCCUCCCCUCUUAUUACCAAGAAUAAAUUGAGAUUUAAUUCCACUUAACGUCAGCUGAAAUUUAAAACUGGGUAUGGGGGUUCCACACUUAAGCUUUUACCAACUUGACCACCUGUAGUGGUUACAUACAGCUCUCUCUAUCUCACCUUAAUUGCAUUCUCUUUGUGCUCACACAUACAUGUUUUCAAUAACAGCACUGCACCACAUACUGUACACAUCAGGACCCUGCCAACGUCCUUGGACGUUAGAUUUAUUUGCUCUCCCACUCCUCAAUUUGGGGUCAAUGCUGAUAGAUUUGAUUUCUUUAGGGCAUAUGGGACAAUUGGUGAAUACCGAGUUAGAUAGUCCCUCGAAACAAACGUGCUGUCCCAAUUGGAUCGGACAUCAUUAUACAGAAUACCAAGUGUGUAAUAUAUAGUGUCUACAUGAAAUUAAUGGAUACAAAAUAGUGUACAACGGUUAUGAUCUUGAUAUGACAUAUCAUAUGUGUAUGCUCUUCAUGUAUUGUAACAAAUAAGGAGAAGCUAAAGUAUAGGGCAACUUGUAUAUGCUCUUUUGCCUUCUUAAACCUCUCAGAGGUCCUAGGGGCUUGAAUUGCUGUAGGAAUUGGGAAGUCCCAAUCAGUUCAUCAGUCUAGUGCUGGCAGGGGUGGCUCAUGGUCUCAAUGGCUCUUCUUGAACAUGCAAAUAGUCCUUCCUCUCUUGCCAAUGCUGGACUCGAAUAUAUACAACCACAUAGUGUCUUCGAAUUUAUACGAUCGAUUCAGUUGUUUGUCUACUCUUCCAUAUAAUUGGAGCAACCAGCAUCCACACUGCAAAACAGAAAUUUCCUAAGUACCUCACUAGCAAGAACAGCUACAAGAUAAUACCCCCAAGUAAAACAGAGUUGCUUUCUGUUUAUUUUACUUACAAUACACACAGACAGCGAUCCACUCGUUCACAAUUCUGACCCAAGUGCUAGUCCAUCCCACAUCAAUUGUCCACCUGUAGAAGUGAGCGUCUUGUUAAGGAUCCAAGAAAGAAAGUAAAGUCAUUCAGGUAUAAACACAAGGGUCUACUUUGGUGCAUUUGUGCAUUUCCAUUAAUAUACUGAUACAUACUUUUUCAUGGAGUGAUUAGUAUUCCAACCGAUCAAUAGCAUCGCGAAGUACAUUGCUCCUGUGGCGAAAACGAAAUGGAAGAAGCCAUAGCCGUAUGGAACAUCAUCCUCGGAUUCAGUCUCGUCCUUCUUGAACUGCAGUUUCUGUCACUGUAAGGGUUACAUUUUAAAGGAACUAUAUAUGCAUGAUCAACUAAAAUUUAUUCAGACAGUGGAGCAAACCUGAAAGCAUUUGGAGUCUAUACCCGUUGAAAAUGUUGCAAUAACCAUUGCGAGUACACCAAUAACAAAGCUCUGCAAACAAGUGAAUCAUUGUCAUCACAUUUUUGUGUGAGAUGAAUGAAAUUUUUGUAAUACAAGAACCAUAGUUUGCAAAAAAGAAAAAAUGGACAUUAUACAUAAACAUUAGUGUUUUAGAUCUAAAAUAUUCUUUGCUUUAGGUGAAGAUGUAAUAUCAAUUAUUAUGGACAAGAAUAAUUGAGAGCCUUUUAUGUCAUUGAACUCUUAAAAAGACUUGGGAGUAUUACUAUGACGGUGAGCCAAUCCCUAUGCUGUGAAGCUUCCGCCUUCCUGUUGCAAAAGUUCCCUGCUACUGGCUCACUGCAUAUUAACACAAUAAACAUGUCAAAACUAAACUCACAGAUGUAAUCACACAAAAUCUGUGAAGGCACAGUUUGUAAAGGUUUCUGACAAACUCCUGUUCGAUUGGAGGCUCAGAACUACGUAGGAAGUAAUGUCAUGACAUCGAAAACCAACUUUGAGCACAGUGGGAAGAUAUUGUAACCGUACCUUCUAAUGGCAAACCAGCAGAUAAAUACUAUAUAGAGUCCCAUGAGCCCUGGAGUCAAGAUACCAGCAUUCACCUAUUUCAGGUGGGAAAUUAGCAAGCAGACUGCAGUGAAAUACAAAUGAACUAGAUAGGAAAGUUGUAAACAGAACUUACUUUUGGGUGGAGAGAGACGCUCGUCAUGAGUUGCAGUAGUACCAAUGUCCAGGUAAUGAAGAAAAUGUUGAUGACGCAAGAUGGUUCUGGUGAAUACCAUAUGUACAUCAUUAUUAUCCCCACUAAGCUUACAACAUAUGCUGCUGUUGCAAUUAGCAUUGAAUGAAUUUGGCUGCAGGGAAAACCAAAUUAGCCGAAGAUAAAGUCAUGGAACAUGGCUAUAGUAGCUACAUUACAUUCGUUUCUGUGUCUCAAAACCGGAGUAAAGAGUGCAGAUAAAGUGUUUCCAUUGAUACCUCUCAAUCUCAUAAUACCUUUGAACAAAUACAUAUACAACUUAACCAAGUUCAUCAAGAAGUACAUACCAGUCAUGAAACUUAUUGUGUCUAUAUAAUGAAAUUCUUAUAUGCUUAUUAGUUGAGUUGGUGGUUUGAAGACAUUCUUACCAUCUCUCUGAUUUCGAAGACUGGCAGCAAUCGUUCACCCAUGUAAUGAAACUAAUUACGCUUAUUAGUUGAAUCAGAAGGAAUACCCUGAAGAAGAAAAAAAAAAUCAGCACUUGAACUUGUUAAAUCAUAAUUCAACAAAUGCUAGUGUCUAGCAUAACAUGUAUAAUAUACGAUGAUAAAGAAAGCAUUAAAGAUAACAAGGUAGAAAUGUACCCGGCGCCAAAAUGUGCAACCACACCUGCCAAAAGAUUUGUAUUAGAGGCAUGAAAUGAAACGAAUUCAAGAACAUCAGUGCAGGGUGUGUUGUAAAAAUGGCACUAACCAUAGAGCUUUAUAAUAGCCGAAGGAAGCAAAAAGGGGAUAAUAAUGAAAGCAAUCCACAGGACAAUCUUAGCAGACCACCAUCCAGAUUGCCAUGUAUCUCUGGACUCGUUCAACUUCGAAGCACCCGCGGUUGAAAGAAACAUAGAGAAAUAAAACAACUGAUCACCAUGUAUUAAGGCUUAACAUCUGAAUUUUUGACAGACAAAACACACUAUGAAGAGGUUUUAACUUUAGACUCAUCCUAGUAAAAACAGUAGAGAAACAGAACCUAUAGAAGGAUACAAAGCAUCCCAAGCUCACACGAAGAACACCUUCUGUAGCCAAACAGUCAUGUGCACCAUCACAUCCUCUUAACCCUGCAGUCCCAACCAAGCAAGCGUUAAACAUCGAUCAUUUACUAUCCAUGCAUUCAUUAACAGAGAACUUCGUAUAACAGAUCUUCACGUACUGUUCAUCUCGAUCAGGACGCUGUUUCCGUAAUCCCUUACGGCCCAUGCCAUAAGAUUUGCUAGCAGAAACAUAAAACCAUAGACAUAUCUUGCCAUCCAUGGAUUGGAGCCAUUCCGGAAUUGGCUAAACCAUGUAUCAACUUUGAAGGUGUUGCUCCUCUCGUAGUUGCCUGUUGGAGCAGGACUCUCCAUUUUCUCUACCAUUCAUCAAAUUUUCAGGCUCUCUUCUUCAUCAAAAAACCAAAAAGUAACAACCAGUUCUUUCUGUUUCUGUCAGUUUCUCUUCUCCCCCUGCAAUCUUACAGUUAGUUAUAUAGCGUCAAAACUACAAAACUGAAAAAUUUUGGGCUGAAUAGAAUAGUAGCCCAAAAUGUGAUCCAAAGUUGAGACACCCUUUUCAAUUUUUCAUGAUGAUCAUACUUGUGGAGAAGAUAUAUACAUGAACAUGAACACACUCAAUUGAACUUGGUGAAUGGUGUGUGGCAUUAUGCUUCUUUUUGAGUUGGGUGGGCAUGACAAACACAAACACAAUCGUGCAUCGUGCAUGCCACGAUAAUAGUUGAUGAUGGAUAGGCAAAGCAUAUAUGUUCUGAUUCCAAUAUGAUGAAUAUGGUCUAAAUCAAAUUGCUAGUAUCAGAGCCGUCAAUUGGAGCAUAGCUGCAUAAGCAUAGUUUCUACUUGAGAGGUUGAGGAGUAGCCUCAGGAGCUUUUUGUUUCCUUAUUCGAGUUUGGUGUCGAUAUUUUGACCACUUUGUACCCACUAAGCAGUUCUGUAUGCUUUUGAAAUUUGAUCAAGCUCAAACGAAUCCAAAACUUCCUUGAAUUGUUAUACUUACUUAUUUACUUUUCAUUUUUCAAUAAUAUUGAGUUCCUUUCUUCUAAUGCAAGCCGGAAUAUCUUCCACUGAACUCCUCAGUUUAUUUCAGGACGAUUAUGCCCCCAAAUGCUAUGCUAUUCAUAUGGGGAUGAAGUUACAAUUUGGUAAUUGUACUAGCUAUUUGACUCUAUCACACUCAACCCAGAAGACAAUCGAAAAUAGAAUAACUUGACUCUUUGCUUGAUCGUUGAGGAGAACAAACACAUUUCUCACCAACUAAAGCGAUCAGUAGUGGAAAAAUUCGCAUUUAGGGUCUUGUAAAUUUGUAAUCAUCUGAACAAUAUGAAAUAUGGUUUCUAAUUUGCUAUCGGAAAUGCGCAAACAAGACUAGACACCUAUCAUCCAAACAACCAGAUUUGACAUCACUAACAAACAAAGAGAUUGAUUAGAAUCUGAAGCAAGCACAGUAUAGCUGAGAUAGAAAGAAAGAAAGAAAAGCAGCUUAGAAAAGGUAUCACAAACUAAAGCUAUUUGAGAUCAUCCAAGAUUUCGAACUUGUACCUGAGAAUGAAUUGAGGUGGGGAGGGAAUCGAAUACGGCAAUGUAGAUACACAGGUGUAGUGAUCAGUAGCUAGCUUGGAGAGGCUCCGAGACUCUCCCUCCCAAAGUGUCUCUGUGACAGAAAACAAAGAGAGAGAGAGAUUGGUCUUCCGGUUUUGUUUAGGGAAAGAGAGAGAGGUUGCUUUGGUUGCUUUGUAGAGGAGGCCAGGUUUUGAUUGCUUGUCUGCUUUUUCUUUCUUUUUCCCGCCGUAAGGCUCACUGUCUUGGCUUCUCGUCGUAUCUUUCAAGGCACUUGGGCCAUUUGCUUACUCUUUAUCAAACUCUUUCACGCACAACAAAUCUAAAACGCAACAAUAACCGUGAAUUUUCCUUAAAUAUUAUCUUCGAUAUAUUAAGUUGAAAUCUCAUUAGUUCAAAAUUUAUCAGAAAAUAACACUCCCGACAUCAAUCAUGACUCCACAUGUUGUGUUUAAAAAAGACAGUCUACCACAGACGGACACUAAUAUCGUGUUAGAUAUUGACUCGUUAUAUCAAGGAACUUCAUCCAUCAUAAUGAACCAAAUCGAUGUACAUGGUAUGUUUGGGAAAAACAAAAAAAAACAAAGAUUAAAAAGUUGGUGAAUUGGUGUUAGCUAAGUGCACACAAUAAUCAUCAUCAAUUAUAUGUUGCCUCACGCGAGAGGUUCAUGCCUUAUAGCUGAUGAUGCUUUUACUUGAGCCCUUCGUUGUCUUAUGCAUCCCUCUAAUCAUGCCUCUGAUCCAGCUUUUGCAGUUAGACAGUAAACCAUCAGCUGUAACUUUUAUUUUACUCAUAGAUCCCGACAUUUUAACCAACUCCUAUCACCAAAACUCCAAAAUCAAUUUUGAAAAUAUCUAAGAUAAAAUACUACAUGACGGCAUAUUCCAAAUCGGACGGUCGAUAAUACCUAACAGAAUUUAUGAACAUUCCCUUUGCCAAAGUUCGGCGGAGCUCCAUACACAAAGUACUAGGAAUACCUCACGUCUUUAUUUACUUUAUUUGGAAAAAAGAAAAAAGAAAUUAAAAAAGGAGAAUGAAAAAAAAGAAGAAAACAGAAAAGAGAAAGAAACAAAUUAGGGGAAGGAAUCUUUGAAGCAGUUUUUGACUGUGACGUGUUCUUUUUUUCCUUUUUUCUAAUAAUAAAAAUUAUUUGGAUCCGUGCAUGCACGUGGCAGCGUCACAAAUUUCUCAAUCAACGUUGAAAAUCUUUUUGGAUUUUUUAACCCGGAUUUCACUUUUUACCUUUUUCUUUUCACCCGAGAAUUGAUGUGAAUUUUGAUAAGGUUUUUCGGGGGACAUUAGCGUUAAUCAAGGAGAUAUUUUUCUUGUGUUUUAACUUUUAAGUAUGAUUAGAGUUUGUUUUAGUGGGAAUCAACAGUGAUCAUUGAUACUGAUAGGGACAAAUCGAAAGGCAGGCCCAUUUGCAGGUUUUAUGGACGUGCUUUCUCAAAUAAUAUUGGACCUGUGCUUAAGGCCCAAACCUGAAUAUUUUGGAGCCCAAAACUUAGCCAACAUCAGAAGUUCAGCUAUUGGCUUUAGUUUAGGUCGCAUGUGGAUGUCUUCGCAACAUGUUUCCAUCUUUUAACUGUCUGAACAUAUAAAGCUUAACUUCGGAGUUUCUGAUAUAAAUAAUUACAUUAUAUGACUACGUUUAGUAUGAAAAAUUGUAUUUUCUUUGUAACUUUAUAAGUUCAAACAUGGUCGAAUCUCCGCCCUUUCGACGCAUUAGUGUCGGGUGUCGAGACAAUUGAGUCAAUGAAAAAAGAUUGCAGCCAUGUUACACAGUUCAACUAACCUUGUACACAAGACUAGAAGCCAGCUCUGUAGCAAGUAAAAGUUGCGUAAGCAAAGCAUGGUGGCACUGGUAGAGUGGUAGCAGGAGCCUAUGAAAUAAUGGAAAUGCCAUUUUUCAAAUGUAUAGCAAAGCAUGUAUAAUGCCUGAAACUUUAGACCAUCUGCCUGUUAAAGGCAUAUGAUAUCUGCACCACACAAUUAUUGAAUCCAUUCUUGUAUACUAAGAUACAUAUACUAAGAUACAUUAAUAACCCUAAAGCCUGCACUCCAAAAACAAUUGCAUAAACUGAUUCCGUUGGACAUUUAUUAUAUGGGGGUCUUUGUGGUUCCAAAACUAAUCAAGUAUUCCCGUUAUUAUUAAGCAAAUAAAACCAUCAUGAACUGGUUAAGAACUGCCGGCCAAAAAUCCAAUAUCAUUUUCUACACACGGCAAUUCAUGGCUUCCAUGUUCCUCUUUUACUUUUUCUUUGGCAACCCUAUAGUAUUAAUGAAAACCAGAAAGGUCUUAGAGCAUGGAGCACAUUGUGGAGGCUAGUCUAAAAACUUUAGAGGUUUUGUUUGGUGGGCUAUUUUUUAUUAUUAUUUUUCAUUAUAUACGUAAAUCUAAAUGUCAUUCGACCGAGAAGUAUUAUGGGUAAUUUUUAGGUUUAGUGUUUCCAGAGCUAUAGUUAAUCAAAAAUGUGUGUAAUGAGCAUAAAAAUUAGAUGAGAUGGUCAUUUAAAUGUUGACCUAAUCACAGGCUGUCCAUAUUAAAUGGGAGUAAUGUCCUAUUACAGGUAAUGAAAACAAGUCAACCAACUAGUUACAUUAAAAUUGGUACCAUUGCCAAUUGUUGAUGUGGAAAAGCGCUAACAUCCCAUGUGGGAGUUUAUCUUCUCAGGCCCCAUUUCUAUUUAAAACCCUUCACUAUCCCUUACUUGAUGGGUUUCUCUUGUUUUCUACAAUAGAAAAUGACACUUUCAUCAGAGAAAAUUAUGGUUUAUCACAUUAUAUUUUGGUGAGAAAGUAUAAUGUGAUAAAUUAUAAUUUUAGAGAAGUGAAAUUCAUAUUUCUUAAAUUGUAAUCCAUUCUUAUUUUUUAUUUGUGGUACUGGUAACUUAAAUUUUGUCUUUAGUGAUUUAAUUUUUGUCUUCUUAUGAAAAUAAUGACUAAAAAUAGAAAAUAGGAGUGUAGAUUACAAUUCGGAGAGUGUGGAUUUCAGAUCUCUAAUUUUAUCACAUUAUAACGUGAUAAAAUUAUGGUUUACCACACUAGAAAAAAAAAAAACCAAAAAAGAAAGAAAACAUACACGCAAGUCAGUACAGUUUAGAGGCAACUAUAUUAAGUCCAAGAUGUGGAUGAAUGGAGACGCAACAUUAGUUGUUGAGGUUUGGCUCUUCGGGAGAUUGUAUUUUGGUUGCUUGCGGAGAUUAGGGUGAUUCGGUUGGAAAUAAUUUGGACCUAAAUUUCGAAAUUAGAAACCGACGCAUGAAUAGAUAUAGGAGAAAUCUACAAAGAAGAUUGUGCGUUUGCUCUAGCAGCUUACCCAAAAAUGUAGAGAAAAGGACUUGACGAUUGUCUAGUGUUGGCAGUCAUUUUCACCAACAAUGGCAGAAUGUGCAUGGAAGGCAGUUCGAGUAGCUGAAUUUGAGUGCCCUUCAAUAGAGGUGGGUGGGUACUUUAUAAGAGUAAUGAGCUUCACUUGAUUUGGGUAUGCAUGGUCUUAAAGUUUUAGGGCAGCAAUGAAAGCCAGUAGGUUGUGGAAGAGAUCAGAGCAGCACAACAAAGAUGGAAAACAGGGUCAUCAUCUCAAUCAUGUACCAAUAACAUGUGAUCCAGUUGAAAGGAACGGAUGGUGGAAAUGCAGCACUGGCGUAAUGGUGAAUCUGCCCACAGUAAAAAGUACGAAGAUUUGAAUAUGGUGGACGAUGAUGCAGAAAAGCUCAGUGAUGUUUGGGAGGCGUGAAAAUUAUAUGGCUUCACCCAGACCCUGUGACUCUACGACCCACCAAGAGAGGCAGAGAGACAAGAGGGACCUUUCGGAAAGUAAUUGCUCCAUGUCAAUGAUUCUAGCGAUGAAAGAACAAGAACUCUGAAGAACAAUUCAUAUCUUCGAAGAAUCUAAACCCGGAAAAGGGUUCGAUCUGCAAUUUAGUAAAGCAAAAUGGAGGUGGAAUGUGACAAGAGUCAACAACAAACGCCCUCCAUGAUGAAGCUUUUCAUGAGGGUUAUGGGGGGUUUCAAAUUCCAAUAGGGGAAGUGUGAGAGUGAAGCAAAGAGGUUUGAAUUCGAAACUUCAAAUCCAUACAUUUGAUAUAUUAGAGGGGGAUGCACAUGAAUCAUGAUGAUGAUGAUACUAAUCCCAAACAAUACUAAUCUAAUUCAAAGAGGCUCAGAUCAGAAAUUGAAGGUAGCACCAGCCACCAGCAACUUCCAUUCACUCAGUUCAGAAUUUCAGGUCCUACCCAGCAAUGUCGAUUGCCAAUUGGGGCCUGGAGUCUCGAUCGAAAAUUAGGGACCCAAUCAACCUAAUGACUUAUCUAUCUAUCACCUAGACAACAUCAACAAUAUGAUAAACGAAAUUGAGCUUAGCUGUGUCUUGAUAGACAAAAUCAACAUCGGAUGAACACAAUCUAGCAUAGCUGUGUCUGUGACUCUCCAAGUCGUUUUCUCAAACUCCAUAGCUGCAUUGCACAUGGAUUCCUAAUCAAUCCAACAAUUCCAAUCCACGAACUUUCAAUGACACAGAAAUUGAUUGAAACAAGACACCCAUCCAAGGUUCCUGAAACUCAAACUAUUUCUGGCGAAUCUAACAAGCAAAUGGAAACUGGGCGAAGAACAAGAGGAUUGAACAAAUGAUGGACAAACUUAUAACAUGAAGUAGGAAAUGGAAUGAUGUGAACUCUGAAACUGUGAAACUUAAUACAAGUAAAGUGUUCAUGAUUAUACUAUAGAAUUUGGAAAUGUGAAGAAACAAAAGUAUGAUUAUAAAUGAGACAAUAACAAUAAAACCCUAAAACUACAAAUCAGCAGCGGAAGCAGCUAGCAGAAGGCGGUGCUGCUGUGUUUGUAGCCUGAAUCCAUUCAUCCCUAUACAUACAACAUUCUCUGCAACCUACUCUUUCUCUGCCAUUUUUAUUUCACAACCUCAAAAUAUCCAUAACAAUUCAAAUAAAUAUGGGAGAGAAUUUCCCCCUUACCUCUCUCAAUCUAUAGUGAUAUUCAUGUCUAUGCUUUCACCCUCUUCUUUUUGUUCUUUUCUUGAGACAUUUGUUGUCGCCGUUGAUGAUGACUCCAGGAUAUUGCAUACAAUCUCAAUUACAAUGUCUUUUUUUUCAAGUGUUUUUCCCACUGAGCGAUGAGAAUUGCCCAAAAGAGAAAAAAUGCCAAUGACUCUGAGUUUGUUGGUGCUCCAGGAAAGGUUAGAGGAGGAAAAUUCUCAAAAGAAUUAAUAGAAGGGUGGCGGCGGAGGAGACGCGUAUGAAACUCCAAAGAUUGGUGGCAAUGGGCCCUCAUAUACAGGAGUGGGAGGCGGCGGGCUUGCAUAAAUAUAUGGAGGGGGUGAAUUCGGUGGUGGUGGAGAACUGUAUUGAACAACCGGUGGUGGUGGUGAAUGGUGGACUGGAGGUGGGGGAGGCGACUCAUACACUGGUGAUGGUGGUGGUGAUGGAGAUGGUGGUGGUUUGUGAUGGUAUGGAGGAGGUGGUGGAGGCGAGGACUCAGGACAUGGUGGCGGUGGUGGAGGUGGUAAUUCAAUGCAAGGAGGCGGUGGUGGAGGCGGUUCUAUACAAGGAGGUGGGGAAGGGGGAGGUGGGGAGUGGACAGGGGGUGGAGGUGGCGGUGAUGAAUAAGGAUAAAUUGGUGGCGGUGGUGAAUGUGGAGGAGGCGGUGGUGGUGAAUGCGCAGGGGGCGGGGGUGAGUAGUACAUGUAAGGAACUGGUGGAGGUGGAGAACUCAAUGGAGAAGGCGGUGGAGGUGAAUUUGGUGGCGGCGGUGGUGGGGAGUGGACACAAUAGGGAGGGGAGACUGGUGGGGGAGGUGAUGGUGGAGGUGGAGGCAAGUAAACUGGCGGUGGAGGUGAUGGUGGAGGCGGAGAUGGAGGCGGUGGUGGUGGUGGGGAGUAAACUGGCGGUGGAGGUGGUGAGUACACUGGGGGAGGUGGCGAGGGCGGUGGAGGUGGUGGUGAGUAAACUGGGGGAGGUGGUGGUGGAGGUGAUGGUGGCGGUGAGAAAACUGGUGGCGGUGGCGAUGGUGGAGGAGGUGGAGGUGAGUAAACCGGUGGAGGAGGUGAGGGUGAUGGUGGCGGCGGAGGAGGUGGCGAGGGAGUCACAACAGGAGGUGAAGGAGUCACAAUUGGAGGCGAAGGAACAGGAAUUGGGGGUGUAGGUGAAGGAGUGGAACCCUUACAGCCAAACGACUGGCAACUGACAGGCUUAGACAAAAACGACUUACAUUGCGCCGCGGACCUCUGUAACGGCCUAUUCGGCAAGCAAUUCCUCUUGUCAUCGAAACCCGGCAAGGCCAGACACACCGGAGGCUCGCCAGUGAAGAAGUUAUAAGAGUAAGUGAAGUUCUCCAAACUCGGCAGUGAGCAAAUAGCCGGCGGAAUCGACCCAGACAGCAAGUUAUGAGCCACAUUGAGCUGCUCAAGACUCACCAUCCCUCCAAUUGUGUCCGGCAGCGGCCCCAAGAACUGAUUGUAGCUCACGUCGAACACCGUCAAGUUCUUCAGCAUCCCUAUCUCCUCCGGCAAGCACGACCUGAACCCAUUAUUCAUCAUAAUUAUCUCAUCCAAGUUCGACAUGUUGCCCAAGCUCGCCGGAACGCAGCCAUGGAACUUGUUGUUGGCGAGAACAAUAACGGAAACCGGUGAGUUCCCGAAAUUCUCAGGGAGAUUGAACCUGAACCGAUUGUGGUUGAUGAAAAUAGCAUCCAAGUCCUUGUCAAACAGCUCCUUCGGCACAGUCCCCUCGAACUCAUUGAACCUCAGAUCCAAGAACUUGAGCUCCGGGAGAUGAAGCACAACAUGCGGGAACUUGCCGGCGAAGCGGUUGUUACUGAUGUCAAGCUCGUAAAGCAGCUUCAGGUUCCGGAAUUUAUGCGGCACAGUCCCGCAGAACCUGUUGGAGUUGAUGUGGAACAAUGCAAGAUCUGUAAGCAGCCCAAGCUCCUCCGGCAAGUACCCAGCAAUAUCGCCGUGGUUGAGGUCAAUGCCGGCGACGGUUCGGAUCGAGCUGUUGUCGAGAGCCGGAGCACAGAACACCCCGGUGUAGCUGCACACAUCAGAUCCGACCCAGUCACCAGUGAGAUUGAAAGGGUCAGAGAGAAUAGCCUUCUUCCAAGCUUGUAAUGCUAUGUAAGCAUUCCGGAGUCUCGGGUUCUCGAAAACCAGAGAAGGGUCGACUUUCACGACCUCACCGCGGUCGCCGAACUCGUCGCGGUAGUAGAGCAGCUGGCGCUGCUUGAUGUAGUGAGCUUCGGCGUCGGUGAGACUUCCAUGGGUGGUAAUGUGGCUGGAAGAGAGUGUGGAAGCAAAGAAGAAAGCAGUAGUGAGAAGUAGAAGAGAAAGAUCAAAGAGAGUGGUCUUCUUCUUCAUCUCACAUCAGACAUCUGACUUCCCAAAUGCCCACUUCUUUUUGCUUCUCUUGGUCUAUAAAACCCUACACAAAGAAAAUUAAAAAACCUUUUAAUGUUACUUGUUUUGAGCUGAGAUUGCAAAUGGGUAUUUGCAGAAAUGGGGAUUGAAUUUCACCUUGAGAUCUGAGGAGGAAGAAGGAGGAAGAGAGAGAGAGAGAGAGAGAGAGAGAGAGAGAGAGAGAGAGUAGUUGGGUUAGAGAGAGAGAGAGAGAGAGAGAGAGAGGAGAGNGNGNGAGAGAGAGAGAGAGAUUUGGGGUUUGGGGGAAUGGGAAUGUGGAAUGGGUAAUGGGUUUGGGGAGGAGGAGAGAGUAGUGGGGACUGUUUUCUAGGGAUUUUGGAGAUGUGUGUUUGUAGUAUGCACUAGUGAUGAGAGGAGGUUAGAAGGGGUGAGAGAGUUGAUUAUACACACAUAAAAAUAGACAGCUAAAUCACAGCUCAAAGCCCACCAGAUUCUCUCACCUUCUUUUAAUUUUUUUUCCUCUCCUCAAUCUACUGUCUCUUCCCUUUUUAUUCUAUUUCUCACAAUCCCAUUCACAUUACAGAGUUUUGGAAUGAAACCCAUAUCCACAAUCCCCAUUUUAGAUUUUUUUUUUCUCCUAACAAAAAUAUAACAUCUCUAAUAACUACAAAUGUUCUAUAAUAAGUUCGAUACAGUCAUACAGAGAUAACCGAAUACCUAAAAUGUUACGCUAAGAGAAUAAUUCAGAACCCUAACAGUAUAAAAUUAUCGUUGUCGGUUCACUCGUUGAGAAGUCUCUGAUUUUUAAGUAUGAUCAUUUGGUAAUAUUUAGCAAUUAUUAUGAUUUAUUUUUAUGGUUUAUUGAAGCUGUUAAGAGUGGAGUUGGUAAGCUAGUGAGUGUGAGAAUAUAGCAAUUUCUCGCGAGAAAUUGAGAAUUGGAGGAGCGAUUGGUGGGUUUGAAUUGUGAGAGUCCGACUUUAUGAAUGUGGAUGUGGGGGAGUGGGUUUGUUUUUGUCAAAUCGGACAAGUCUGGGAGUAAAUGAACUACCAGUAAAGUUGGCAGAAAUUACGGAAACGACCUCGGUGCGUUUUCUUUUAUGAAGUCUCACGGGAGCAGACAGUGUUCUGGAGCGUCCCCGGCUUCUUUGGGUAAAAGAUCUCAAACGCCGCUCUAUGCUCCAAAAGUCUAAACCUAAGUCAAUUAGUGUAAUUACACUAUAACGAGUAUAGUCGACUAAGCAAUACAAAACGGUAACUUUUCGUUACUUGUGGGCGCACUCAUGCAAAGAUUAAAAACAAGUCAAAUAUCCGAAAAUUGUACCGGUUUACAAUGAAGACUCGUUGGGUCUUUCUCAUUUUCAUUUUCGUUAGGUAGUUUUUUUUAUCAACCAACGUAUUAUUUAUGAAGGUUUUGUCUUCAUCCUCUUCUUACAGUAUCUAAUUAUUAUUUGGGGUAGUAACUGGUAAGAAAGUUUUAUGCUUCUCUUAUCUCUUGUUUUGAGCAGUAGAACAAAAUACGCUCUCAUUCUGAUAUAAAACAUGUAAAUACAUACUUGAAUUAUACUUUUUAACAUAGACAUAUUAUUUGAUUACAUUUGACUAUACUUUUGUAUCUUCUAGCAAUUUACCCCACAAUAAGUGUUGCAUUGUUCCAAAUAACCCAAUAUUCACUUCAUUUAAAUACAUGAAUAGGUUAGGUGUCAUUGUCUCGUAGGAUUUCCAUGUUUGUAGCUCAAGUGCAUCAUUAUCUCAGUAUAUAUUGUCAGUAUUCCUUGGCAUCAAGUACCUUUUAUUUAACUUUAGUUUACCCACUAAUCAACAUCAUCAAAGUAGGUGAUGUAAGUAAAAUGGUAAAAGUAACUUUUAUUUAUUCAUGAAUUGAUGAAACUAAACUAAAAUGAAUCGGGGCAUCCGUUACGUUUUCAUAAAUAGCCGUAACGGUAGCGUUGAAGAAGGUGGGCCGUUAUGCACGGUAAUCCUGGGCCGCAACCUCAUCACGGUUGACGCUGAUGCACCAUUCGAUCACCAUAACUGUAGAAAAGCCUCAAACCGGGUGAUGCUCGCCGCGUGGCCUUUCCGGAGGUGGGUCCCCGGGUGGCCAGCCGGGUCAAGGCUCGGACACGGUCACACCCCGCCCCAUGCAAAAGCCCCGAGAGGGCCCCACGCGUCACGUCGUGCUCGGCUGGAUCGUCGGCGUUGAGAUGGAAGCGGGCCCCACGUUCGUGUAUUGCACCGCGUCGUCGUAACGCGUCCAACACCCACCGUUUGGGAUGAUAACGAAAAGACUGUUCUACCCCUUAACACCUUUUGAAUUUGGAAACGGGAAAAAGGUCACGAGCGCGCCUAACCACCACGGCCACCGUUUUAAAUAACGCGCUUUCACUCCUCCACCGCCGUCUCCAGUGGCCUUUUUGCUCUGUAAUGUAGGCUUCAUAAUUUUCGUUAUUCAUGUUCCGAAACAUUAUAGAAAGAACGAGAACUCGUAUCUAACAUUGUGAAGAGAAAUAUCGUUGUUCGAAUAUUGAUGUUCGGACGGAGGAAAAAUAUCGUUGUUCGAAUUUUGAUGUGUGGAGUAUUGAGUUUUGAUUUUUGAUCGAUCGAGUAAGUGGAGAGCGCGGCUGCAAAUAAGGGUGAGGACAUGAGUUGUGUGAUGUGAUACGAUGAAAAAUAAGUCGGGCUCCAGUUGUUGUCUGAAAAUCUUGUGCAUAUCAUUAUGAAAAUAUUAUUAACUUGGACUUAUGAUUAAUGAUUUCAUGUUUAAAAGCAGAGCCACCGAUCCAACUCAUAUGAUGUGAUAUGAUACUGUGGUUUUACUCAGUUCAAUUCUUACUGGGUAAUAUAUUACUUGUGCUGAAAGUCUGAAACCCUAAAAUAAACGAGAAAGAACCAUUCAAACUGUGGACUUUGAUUUUUCUGGGUUUGGAAAUGCAUAUGAUCAUGAUCGAUGUUUGUUGAGCAGCUUCAUUGUUAAUGUUUCUGUUGGCAUUGUCAACCUCGAUACACUGUUGCGAAACGUUGCUUUGGUUUUUCUUCCUAUUUUUCUAUGAAAUGAAGCAUCAACAAGUUCUGUUUGGCUUCUCUAAUCACAAUUAUAGAUGUAUCUAAUUGGUAUUAAUCAUCUCUUUCUAGUGAAAUGAUUAGCAUUGUCAACCAAUCAAGCCGUCACCUAGCACUCCAAAUCAAUGGUCAACAUUAUAAGCAAACAAUUCAUCACUUGAAUUUCAGAGCAAUAUGCCAAUAUCAUUACGUAAUAUAUCGAGCUGUAUCGAAAAUUAUAGACUUUGAAUGAACAAUUGCAUGUUAUACUCUUGCUUAUGGCCAAAGCAUAUACAGUAGUACUCUUGCUCGAAUAUAAGCUAGCAUGUUAUUCAGGCUUUCUAUAUAAGCACCUGAUGGCUUACCUUGGGUCAUUUUUACCAUUAGGGUUUUUGAUCAUUUUUUUUAAAAUACUAACUUUAACGAUUUAACCCUGAGUAGUCUGAUUAUGCCGAUCGGUUUUUCUUGAGUCUUUCCCUAACCCUAACCCUAAAUUGCUAUAAAUACACACAUCCAUCGUCCAUUUCGAUCACGAGGAAUGAUGAUAAACAUGGGAAUUCGAAUAGGAUAGGAGUUGGUGUAUUAGGCUAUUACUCUAUUAGCUAUAGCUAGCACUUGAAAAUGAUAUGAGCUAAGUUCGAAUAAUAUGUACACGUCAUGAAUUGAUCAAUGUGUAUUACAAAACCGUGUGGGACCAAUAUAUUCCACGUCAGAUACUUCAGCCAAUCGAUUAGGACAAAUACUUGCCAGCCGGCAAGUCCAGCUGCCCAUCACACUUGUCAAUUUCUCCCAAGCUCUUAUAUAUAUCUCAUGCAUGUCAUUUUCAUUUCUUUUUUUGUUUUUUUGUUUUCUAUUUACGGAUAUUUUUCUAAUCGAUGGAUUAACGAUCACACAAGAAAAUGACGGUAGACGUUUCCAAUUUGUUAUAUGUAUCAUCAGUUCUACUUGUAUCAAAACUUAAACGAAUGUCUUAUUUCUACAGCUACACAUUACCUGUAAUGCAAUGCAUCUUAGGCUUGGAUGCUAAUGUGUUCGCCACAUAUUUGUAUUGUCCAUGAUGUUUGCAAACAAAAUCAGUUUUGUUUCGACUGCAAAAAUCUACUUGUUUUUCUUUUGUCCUGCAGCAUAAAUCUUGACACGGCAUUCAUAACGUGCAAGCUAAUCUAGAUUAAACUCAGAAACUAUAUACUAAUAUACAAGUAAUUAGUAUUAAUAUUGUGUCAUAUAUAAACUCACACACACUUGCACAGUAUCUAAUCUGCAGCCUCAAUCUCCUUGCAAACUGACCUUGAACAAUUCCCUUUUGUCGAUGGCAAAUUGACAAUGCAGUAUGUGAAUUAGUCAGAUUAUAGAGAUUAAUUAGAUUAUAUCUGCUAAGUUUGGCUAAAUAACAAAGCCAAGAUGCUGCAUGUAAAUUGGAACCGUCGAAUUUGAUUUGUUUUAUUUUCUGGGUUCAUAUGGUUAACGUUUCUGCUGGACUUUAAGCAGCUUGUGUGUGAUCGAUGUAAUGUGUGGAAAAUUGAUGCAAAGUUUGUUGUAGAAGCUGUCUUUACUGACGUCAAGUAUAUAUAUGUUCAAACAAACAUAUCAUUUAUAUAUUUCCUUUGACUAUGUUCGUCUAAUUCGUUUUUCUUUUUUGGUUGCUGCUCUGGUUUAGGUCGUCGUCUCUACUUUGAGCACAUCGAAUGGCCAUCGGAAUUAAAAUACUGAAAGCCAUAUAUUUGCUUAUUUGCUUCUGUAACACUAUGUACAUGUUUUUCUUUUCAAAUUAUCAUGACGAACUAUCUUUUCGUCUAUUUAACAUUUAUCUUGUUGGAAGAACUUGUAUGAUUUUGUAAAUUAGAAAUGUAGAAUGUAAGGAAUUAAAUCUAACUUCAGUUGUUUUUACAGUAUUGUAUCAUUGUAGGGGGUGACAAGUCAUAAACUCAUAAGCCAUAACACACAUGAUCUGCACAAAAUGACCAAACUUCAUAUGUAAACUAAAAAGUUAACUCAUUCAUUAUUAUAGAGUAAAAUUUGUAAAAAAAAAUGUAACACCGCUCAUAAAAGACAUCAUGGAUCAAUUUUUAUAACAAGAAAAAGAUUGAGAACACACAAAAGAGUUGUGACCAGAACUUCUCCGCUAUGAUUGUUACCAAUUCGGUCGCAAUAGAGAGAGAGAGAGAGAAACACAAAAGAGUUACGUCCGAAACAUUUCCGCUAUACCAAUCUCGAAUGAAAGUUAAGAAAAAGAGAAAAUGUCAUACUUUUUUCAUUCCUUGAUAGAUGAUCCAAACUUGCAACCUAAUCUGCUACAUUGUUCAUCUUCAUUAGAAACACACCAAAGAACUUCACCUCUGGCCAUUUUAGUAGUGUGACUAAAAUGAGAAAGCAGCAAAAGAAAAUAAAUAAUGUGUAGACGAUAAAAUUAAGGCUGCGCAAAUUACGGACACAAUUCGAGAACGGAAUUGAAGCCCAGGAAUUGUUUUUGUUGGUAGCUCUCAAUCAUUUUAUUAUGAGUUUAAUUAUGAAGCCUAAAAUCGUCGGCAGCCAUUUUAGUAUUUUGUUUUGUUUUUAUGGUGAAAUCUGGGUUUGUCUGGGUAGAGCCUGCAUUCAUAUUCGACCCUACAUCUGUGCCGUGUUUUCUUCUUCUUUGGGUCCAUAACGUUUACGGUAAAUGGUAAUUCCACAUGAUUUUAUACCCUUUUUCUCUCGUGUUUGUUUUGUCCAACCAAUUUCCCAUCAAGUCUUCCUCUUCCUCUUCCCCAUAUUGGUUUUGAUCAUUUCUGUGCAGCAAAAGUCAAGAAACUCAAAUUUUGGCUUGGUACGGGUUACUUGGAUUGAGGUUGAAGUUGAAGACAUGAAAUGUGCAACCGUCGAGUGAUUUAUGGUUAGUGGAUUGUAUCAAGAGGUUUCCUCGUUUUAGGUUUAAACCAGAUGAAUAUCAUUUACUUCGGAGGUCAAAGUAGUCAUAGAGUUUCUAUUGUCUUACCAUUUCGAUAAGAAUGAUCGAGUUGUCACCUACAUGUGUAGAAAUUUCGCAAGUGUUCGAUCAUGAAAUAUUUAAAUCAGACUUUUGAUUGUCAGUACCUAGAUCAUAAAUUCUAAAUCGAAAUAGCGUGAAACAAAAUACGUUGAAUCAAACUCAUACAACGAACAAAUGUAACCUUGUUUUAUAGAUGUUUAUACUCGUAAAAUUGUCAAACCACAAGAGAACAAUUGGUUGGAUGAGUAUUUAUUUGAAUAUAUAGAACAAACUAAUGACUUCAAGAACAAACAUAUGUCAAACCCUAAAUUAAGAAACCAUUUACUCGACACCAAAUGUUAGCUAGCAUGUAACAACUUCUAGUAAGGAAUCCAUGGGAAGGAGGAGAAACGAGACGAGAAGAUGAAAAUGAAAAUCAAGAAGGGCAAUGGUCCCUAAAUAAGGCGAAUACUACAACAACUGUCCCUGUAGCAGUGCCAUAUGGUGGUCUCUCGUCUUAUGAUUCUUAUCAACAAGGAACUUGGUACCCUUUGCAGAUUACAACGAAAAUAAUUUACCUGCCUUCCCUUGGUGUAAAGGACAGGUCCCCUACAAGUUCCUCUUCUCUAUGGGACUGUCCCAUCAAAUAGAAGACCAUUCAUUCAUAGCUGGAUCUGUUAUAACUGGUUCUUUGCUUCACUUUACAUAAAGUUAAAAAUGGGGCAAAAAAAUUUGAAAAAAAAGUCGGUUAUUCUUCCAGAGAAAGAUGAAGGUGAUGGAUCUUGUUUGCCCUAGUAGGAGGGACAAAAUAUAAAGCGAAUAGAACUGGUUCUUCAAAACUAUGUCCACCACUAAAACCUUUCACCUUAAAAGUAGAGCAUAAUUGGCUUUCCAUGAACUGCCAUGAAGGAUCUGUAAAGCACAAGAUGUUGCAUGCAUCAAUUGCACUGCAAUGGAAGAUGGAACCAACCACCACACACAGUUUUUUACCUAUCUGAUUUUAUGAGCCACCUGUUUUUCUCUGAUUUUAUGAGCCACCUGAUUUUAUGAGCCACCUGCUUUUCUCUCGGACUUGAGAUUUCAAGAUCUGAUGCGAGUUCUAAAAAUGGUGUUAUCUAAUGUUCAUUAAAAAAAGGCCAAUCAGCCAUAAAAGAGCUAAAAACAUUCUAAAGCAAUAUAAACUUCUUUUUUGUACCGGACGGUAUGUUUUGGUCAGACGAUCUGACCGAAAAGCUUCACAUUUGUAAUGGGGAAUAACUGGGGGCAUAAGGAUGUGUAUAUAUCAAUCACUACACAAAAAUCAUAACCCGGGAAAACUCAAACAACCAUAGCUUUAAGCUUUAGCUUCCAUGGAGGGUCGUUCCUCUUGCUCAAGGCAGCUGCCAUAUUUGGUGCCUCUAGGUUUUUUGGGCCUGAGGCGACCGCCUCUUCGACCUCACCUCAGGUCCGAGCCUGCUCGUGUAAGACUUGUGAAAAAGCUACUCGAAACCAUUUCUUCCUCUUCAACCAUAUGUCGGCAUAAGAGAACGAGCUGCCAUUAUUUGGUUUAGUAACACAAGUCUCUUUUGGUUCAACUAUAUAUCUAAUUGAGAACGAGCGGCUAUUUGGUCCAGUAACAUAAGUCUAUUUCAGUUCGACAAAAUCUCAGUUGUUAAGAUCAAUUAUGCUAAAGUACAUAUAUUCUCUUACAUGAGUCUAAUCCCAUAUCAUUGUGGAACCUAACCGUGACAAAGUUAGAUUCGAUACAGACGCACAUAUAUUGAUAUAUAGACCAAGUUGAACAAUGCCAGCUCAAAACCCACCCUUACCUGAUUGCCUGCCAUACAUGAAUUUAUAUAAAGCAAAUACAAUUAUUCAGAAUAAAUAUAAGUACGAGCCCAUCAAUACUUACUAUUAUAAGCUUAAAACUUCCGACCACAUUUGUUCUUUGCAGCUAAUAUAACUCUGAUUAGAAGCAAAACCAAAUGAUUGGCUAUGAUUUGGACAUUGUUUAAGUAUGAUUAACCAACUUUACGAAGACCCAAAAACGAAUCAACAAGCUAAGCACAAAGAGAAAGGAACAAAUUUAUAUAUCAAAUGGGAUUAACAUCGUAAUUAACAAACGUUUAUUUCCACCGAAACAAAAAAGAAACUUUUUUUUUUUUUUUGCCCCCUUUUCUAAUGCCCAACAACACAUCAUUGUAUAUGUUACAUGUAAUCAAGAUAGAGAUUUCAUUUAGCUACAAAAUCAAAGGCCACCCGCAGAUAGGGGCCCCUGGAUGGGUCUCUUUCUGGUGAACCUAAUAUAAGGUGUGUAAUAUAUAAGUUGUAAAGUAGCACAAGAAUAUAACUAUCCUAAUGGAAACUACAAGUACCUUUCCAGGUUGUACAUUGGCAAGUUUUACAAGUCACAUCCUGCAGAAAAAGGAGAAAGGGAAACUUUCGUAAGAAGUCUAUAUCUAGAAUGAUCAAGAUGCAUGUAAACAAUGAGCAAAGCAAAAUGGCGUAUGGGAGGAAACCAGUUAAGUUAGAUAUGUAGAGAAUAUGACAUAAGAUGGAUCCCGCAUGAUUCAAGGUGAAUAUAAGAUUUGAAACAACAAUCCCCUAAAAUCAUCGAAGGAUUAGACUUAUAUGACUUCUCUACGAAUCUCAGAAAAACCAUAUGCCCAACUCCCAAAUGAUUUAUUAACUUAUGAAAAUGAUCAGAUUAAGGAACCAGAAAGUACUUAAAAAUAAACACCCAAAUAUGAACAGUGUCUCAUCCAACUCCAAGGUUCUUUCAAGUGAAGAUGUAAUAUAUAUAAUGAGUGACAACUUUAUAAAUGGAGACUUCACCCGAAUACAAUGAACACAUCAUGCGACGAGAUGAACCAUUCAUGAGUAAGUGAGCAAACAGACUAAUGAAAACUUAAAACAAAAUAUUUAAGUUCAUCUUACAUGAAGAUUGAUUAUAUGUUGAUGGACUUCUUCAGCAUUUGUAGGCUACUCUUCCUCAUGGGUGCCAUUCACAAGAACAACACCAUUCAUGGAGUCUGAAUCCUCCUCAAUGGUAUGUUCUUCACCUGGAUCUUCUUCAUUCUCCUCUACCUCCUGUAACAUUGACAAAUAGAUGUAAAACCUUUAAGUACCCCUUCAUACAAAAAAACAUCAAGCAAAACGAACAGCAGAAUGCUGAAACAAAAUUUUUAUAUUCAACAUGUUUACUUCAACUACUCAUAAAACAAACUAUGUGCAGCAUCUAGAAUUUGAGAAAAUCAUAAUGUGAAACUGCUUUCAUAAGAAAAACAUGCACUUUGCCUGAAUAAUCUUCCCGGAAAGAGAGGAAAACAAAAGAGAAACAAAAGGCUAAGUAAAGUUGCAGAUGUGCAAAUUCUAUUUCUUUGCUAUUUUAGUUGUCCCUAGAGUAUUAAUUUGCAUAAAGAAUUGUAAGUACAUAACUCAAAUGAGUAUCAGCUUUCCCAAUUUUCAGUUCAAUAAUCUGUUAACUCAGUUGGCUGAUUGUACCUCAUGAUCCAGAUCUCCAUUUUCAACUGGGGCUGCUUCUUCUUCAUCAAUGUGCAUGCUUUUGAAUAAUUCAACAAGGCUGCUAGCUGGCUUCUCAGAAGCAUAGACUGGGUACUGUUCAGCUGGUUGAUAAUUGCCACUGCAAAAGACAUAGACAAAGCAAUCCAGUCAAUUUACAUGCAUAGGGCACAAAAUGAUUUAUCAACGACCAAUAACUUCAGUAAGGUUCUGAAAAUACUGCACCACCUAUCAGUAACUAUGGUGAUAUCUACUGGAGCGCAACAAACUCAGACAAUGUGUUAAUGUCCCAUUAUUCAUGACCAUAACAUUGAACAGGAAAGUGAAUUGUGGAUACCUGGUUUCAGUGCGGUUAGACUCAAGGGAAAGAGAAAUCUCCCAGUCCUCAAACAAAUUAGGAUAUUCUUUGGGAUCUGCCAAAGAUUCUGCAGCUCUUUUAUUAACCUGUCAUAUGGCAAAUAAAAGCACAUGGUUAAUAUAUAUUGAAUUGCUUCAUUUGGUGACUAUGCAUUUUCCAAAAUAAAGGUUCGUAUCAUAAACUGAAAAAGGGACUAGAAGUUAGACCUUGUUCAGGUCAUUUCUCCAGAUUGAAACUAUCUCUGACACCUUGCUGGGUAGGUAAGAUCGUGCCAUCAAUGCUGCUUCAGGUAUCCGCUCACUGUAAGGAGAGAUGUAAAUACUUCAACAAACAAGCAUCAAAAUACAUGGAAAAGUUGAGUGAUCAUCAUUUUGUUAAAUAAAAGAUUACCUAUCUAGCAACAGCUGGAUGCAUUCUUCCAAUUUACCCAGCAUGAACAAACAAAGGAAUGCAACAUUAUUCUUUCCUUGCUCUUUAGCAAGUGAAGCAAGUUUUGAUAUUCCUUGAGCAUCUCCAAGAGAAGAAUACAGAAGUAACAAGCCAGAAUAGUCCAGUCCAUGUAAUAGGCAAUCUUCAGCAAGUUCUAACUGCAUAAUCCAUUCAAGGGUAUGGAUAAAGAUUUGGAUGUACCAUAUAAAAUGCAGGCAUAAUUGCAUAACUGAUGUAUAACGGAAGGUUUAACUGAUAGUAAGAGUGUACAGUAAUAUCAAACACAAAGCACAGUAGGAAUGAGAAUUCCCAAUCACGAUGGAUAGAUGAAUGACUCUUUAGGUGCGAGUGCAAAUGAGGUCUUCAAGUUUAUUUAUAAGAAUUCGACAGAAGACACAUGUAAAGAUAUACCUUCCCAGAGGACAGAGCUAAAUCUCCCAGCUGCUUCCAUUUGGAUUCACUCUGUGCUUUAGUAGCAAUUUCCUAUCAGCAAAAGAAGAAAAACGUAAAAAACUUCAAACAAGCAGAUACAACUGAACAUAAGUUUUGUGUACAAAUGAAUUGAGCACCAGUGUAGAAGUAAGCUCCAGAGCAAAGCUUUCUACCAACUCAGCCAUAAGAGUAAAAGAUUCUUACCUUUGCAAUCUCUAGAUUACCCAGCUGUAUAGCAAGAUCAAAUUUGUAGUCAGGAUCUGUAGCCACUUCCAGUGCAUCCUCCAACAUCCCACGAGAUUCCAAAAAUCGGGCCACACUGAAGGCAAAACAAGACUUACAACAUAACCCUCCAACCAAUAAAAUCAUAUGUAACAUGCUUGUACCAGUCUACCAAUAAUUAGUACCUACAUCUAACAUUGAUUGAUGCACAACAAUUUGCGAUUGCAAAAUCUUCCUACCUGUUAUGUUGCUCUUGGGGAAUUGUAGGAAAAAUCUCUUUGGCACGCUCUAAAUCUCCACGCAUAACAAGUGUCUUGUACUCAAUCAAGCUGAGAAGCAAGGAGUAUCCCAUGACACUGCAUAAACAACAACAACAACAAAAAAUAGAGAUUAAGAUUUAGAAUAACCAAGACACAAUUCAUUAAGAACUGCAGCUUGCAAGAAAAAACUCACUUGAACUCUUUAUCAAUAAGAAAAAGACGACUUUGAUUGGCAAGAUAUCCCAACAAGUACAUGGGCCGGUCCAAAUGAAACAUUGUGGUCACCUGAAAAAGUUGCACCAACUCAAAAUACCUUCCUUAUCUUGAAUAAAUAUAAAGCAAACAUUUUCUAAUAUGUUCUGAAAACUAAAGCAGAAGGGGGACAAGAGAUUCAAAUAUUCAGCUCAGGUGGGUUAAAAGAGUGGUAACAAUAUUUUCACAUGUCGUAUAUCAAUUUUAUUAGAAUAUACUGUUUCAAGAAUUCUCAAGUACAAUAGCUAUUAUGAACUUAUUCUAAAAGCUAGAAAGGUCAUAUACCUCUCCACCAACACAGUAGUUGAGCCGCCAGGAGGAGUUAUUAUAAACAAAACAGUCGCCAACCCAUAAUCCAGUUCGGACACGCUCGUUUAUCUCAAAGAGGAGCUCAAAAGCAUCUUCAACACCUAGUUCAUCAACUGGCCUUCCACUCUCAAAAUAAGAAGAGACUAUAUCCCUCUGCAAUAACCAAAAUAAGUCAGCUAUGUGAACUAUUUCUACAAACAUGCGUAGAAAAGAACUGAGAAACAUUUAAUAAAGGAUAUGAAAGCUUGAAAAGGAAGAGCUCUUACAUCAUAUUUCAGAAUGUAAAAUGAUGAAUCACUAGCAAUGGCCACCAGAUCACCGCUAUCAGCCCAAUAAACAUUCUAGAACAAUCAAAUAAACCAAAGGAAAACAUAAGAUUACUAUCGGCAUGGCCAGAAUCAGACGCUUGACAGUGAUAUUGUUCCAAGUGGUGUUAGUGGAUACCUUCACAUUGACAUCAAUUCGUCUAAUCAAUCUGCAAUCCACCCAGUCAUAGAAGCAGACAAAGUCAUUUGAACACAUUGCCAAUAGUGUCCCCCCAUAAAUGUGUUCAACAGAAAAUGUUGGUCGAAUAUUCUUCUUUUCCUGCACGGUAACUACCAGUUUAACUCCAAACCUAUCCACUCAGCAAACUUUUUAUUACUGAAAAGUAAUUAUCUGUUUUAUGCAAGAGCUAAAUCUGCCAUCAGCAAGUGCAGCCCUGCUGAUAACUAUUCACACAUCUGAGUUCCAAAUUUGCAUCAUUCAGAUACCAUUGCUCAAAGUUUAUGAUAUCUUCUCUAAUUCGGUGGUAAAUUUGCAGUCCUUACUCAACCAGACUACUUCUAGACAUCACAUGUUGCCAAGCCAAGAGAGACAAAACAAUAAGAAUCGUUUUCAUGAAAGAGGCAUUUACCAAUCACUUGCAAAAAUAGUCUAAUAGAGUCAAGGAUAUAUUUAUUCUGUAAGCUUCAAUACCUGGAAUGUUUUGCUGAAAAUUUUGAUCUUUGAUGUCGUUUCCCUAACAGCAUAUUCUCCGUCUGACGACCAGACAAACUCCAAUGCGGAGCCAAAGGAUCUAUUUCUCCAUGCUAGAGCCGUGUAUAUUAUGUACUCUCCAUCUCCACAAACAACAACAAACCUUCCAUUGGGGUUGUGCUUCAAAUUCUGAAAUAAAAUACCAUAUAAAACUCAACAAUGCAUCUAAUACGCAUUUUCUGCUUGAAAUCUGAAAUGCAGUGGUUACAAGGAGAUGAAAGUUUCCUAUUUUGGGAGUUUCCGAUUAAAUUGAUAAAGAUUUAGUAUAUAUUCAAAAAUUGGCCUUUAUAUUUGCGAGUCGAGAACCAUGCAAUUAUGCCUCAUGAAAUAAUCACAAGAAGAUCAAUCGAAAUAAAGUAUCAAAAUUAAAUUAAUUUAAGGGUGCCAAUGCAACUGCACUUAUACCCACAUACGUUAAAGCCAAAAUGAGCCAGAGGACAAUGAGGGAGUGGGGAUAAGAGUAUUAUUUCCUUGUUACACAUGUUCCCAACUCUAACCUAACCCUCUCAUGUUGAAAGAUAUUGAGGUGAUAUAGAAAUACAUUCAGGGUAAUGGUUCAUAGUUACUGAGCUGGUGUCCCAUGUACCAUCAUAGCAAAGUGGAAAUUUCUAUUUACUAUUAACAAGAUUUAUAUCUCAGAAAAGGAAGUAGAAACUUCGGAAGAAGGCUAAUGAGCUAGGCAGGCUGGCAUGACACAACUAUAAUGACAUCAUUAUCAACUAUAUUAAAGAUUCCUCAAACAUAGAUACUUACUUGAGGAUAAAGAUCACAGGUUCCCAACUCCUUCACGGCCAAUGGUAACCUUUCUCCAUCUGUAAUCUGAAUUUUAGAACAAUAGGAUAAUAUUCAAUUCAACUGAUACAAAUAAUCCUAGGACCAUUGCAAAGAAACAUGGAAGUUUGAGGCAGGGAGAUUGAACCUCAAAAUCUGCUCCCACACUUUUGAUAUUCACAGUUUGGAUUUCAUUAUGCUUGGCCCAGAUUAUUUUCCCACUACUAUCCAUGCUAGCAACUGGCACUUCUCUACCAAUUUUUACCAAAAUGGUUCCUUCGUCAUAACCAAUAACAAUCCUGCAUACGUAGAAGACAUGAAUAAUAUCAUUGUAUCAAAACAAUAACAACUGUGAACAUAAUUCCAACUUGCCAAGGGUAUCAUAAUAAAGAUGUCUUGGUUUUACUCAAUCUACCUCAAGCAUUGCACAUGUAGAAAAAUAGAUAAUUGAAAAUAGAAAUAAAGAGCUUACCGACGUGAUCCUUUCAUAUACCCAAAAGCCCAAACACGUUCCAGCCCAUAAUUCAAGGUGUUUUCAAGCCUGCAAAGUAAUUUCAAUUUCAGUUUAUUUUUUUCUUUUAAACUUUUCCGUGAGACAAGUAAUGAUCACUUCAUUACUUCAUAGACAACAGAAAACUGAAAACUAUGCAGAGAUCUAAAGAACAGAGCAAUAGUCUAUCUUUAAAAAGCAAAGUUAAUCUCAUUACUGCUAUAUGACCAUUCACUAGAGAGCUAAAAAGAGUUCAAAACAGAUGAUACAAUAGGCUCAGCUGCAUGGUUUGCCCAUAUGUCCAGAACAACAGUGACAAAGACAGACAAAAAUGAAAAGAAUGUAAGACCUACAAUUCAAUUUCAUAUCCCUUUAAAAGAUGGAUGAGGGUUGCUACCUUCAAAGUUUUAACCAAAGUUUAUAGGUGAAUUCAGUCCAGGUAAGACUUCACUUUCUAAGUCCUUAACAAUUCAAUAAAAAACAAAUCGACCCUUGGAAAAUAAACUGAAGAGUUGACAGAACAAACAGGACCUUUAUUUGAAAUAGCUUAAACACAGUCUGUAUUUGUAAUUCAAAGUUACCUGUAAGUGGUCGAAUGCCAAAUCCUAACAGUUCCAUCCUCAGAACCAGUAAUUAUAAUCGGAAGUUCAGGGUGGAAGCAUACUGCAGAUACAUUAUGAGUGUGUCCUUCAAGUGUCUGAACACAACUUUUGGUUUGAUAGUCCCAUACCUAAUUACAUAAACUCGAAUUAUAGAAUAUACAUGAAAUUCAACAACUGAAGUGUCCGGAUGAUAUUGUAUACCUUUGCAGUAUGAUCAUCAGAUCCUGUGAUUAAGUACGGCUUAUCACCACCAGUGAAGUAAUCAACGCAAUUCACUCCUUUCAGGUGGGCGUCCAAUGUAAAGUUUGGGUCAGGCGAGCCAAGAUUCCAAAUCUGGUAACAGGAAGGUGACAAGCAAUUAAUAUUACGUACAAAUGAUUUUCCAAAACAUAACGUACAAAGGUUAUUAAGGAGAAAAACUGCACCUUUACAGUGUGAUCGAGGGAAGCACUCGCAAAAGUGUUGGUGUCUUUGGGAUUAAAUGUCACUUGCAUGACAUAGUGAGAAUGCCCUUCAAAUAUCUGAGUACACAUCCACCCUUUUUCCCAGUCCCACAGUUUGAUGAGCAUGUCAUCAGAAGAUGAUAAAACAUAUGGAAGCGUGGGAUGGACAGCCACACAUCUAAUGUAGUCAGUGUGCGCCUCGAAGACUUUAACCUUAUCCAUGGUAUUGUAAUUGUAUACGCGUAAACACAUGUCAUCGGCUGCAGCAACUACCCAUUGCUUUCGUGUUACAAAUUUUGCUGACCGAACUGCAAAUAAAAAGUUUGGACAACAAUCAGUUUUCAUCUUAUAAGCAUUGAAGCUAAUAGAAAAACCAAUGUGUGUAGUACCUGGCAAUUCAGAGACUUCAAAUGACUUAGCCAUAGUCUGUAAUACAAAAGUUACAUUUCAGUCAGGACUACUCUGAUCCUCGGAACAUUUUACAGUCAAUAGCAUAAUUUUCAUAUAUACAAUCCAGUUUCACUUUUACGUAGAUGCCAAAGCCUAAUAAAGAACCGAUAACAAGUACGUCCGAGUGACCUAUUUCCAAAUUUUGUUUUUACAAAAAUGAUUUAAACUCUAGCACAAGCAAGGACCAUGUACAUUCUUACCAACAAAAAUGUAAGAGAAGGGAUAGCACAUUAAGGCCGUAGCAAAACUACAACUAGACUAUUGGAUAAAUGGCACAAACCUGUGACUGGUAGUUCAAGAUAUACACGGUCCCUGAGUACAGACUUGCAAGGAUCCUACACCAUACAAACACAUUAACAAAUCAGAUCACCGAAAACAUAACUACCACAAUGUAUUAGCAAGCAUUUCCAAAACUACAUUCGCAUGCACCAGAAACAUCAAAAUGCCACAAUCUAAGAGCAAUGCGAGAGCGUAACGUUACCAUGGUUCAGUUGGAUGUAGAUCCAAAGACUUCACUCUCUCGGAUCUUUGCGCAAACUUACGCUAAAAAAUCAGCACAUUAUGUAAGCAAACAAUCGAAAUCGCAAGCUCAAAUCGAAAAUCGAUAACACAAAAACUCAAACAGAGCUGAAGCAAAAGCUAUACCUUAAUGUCAAGCCUGAGAGGCUGCGAAGAUUACGAAGUUUCCGGCACCAACCACACACAUUGCACCAAAGAUAAUCAGUUAGAAACUCCAUUGAAUCAAAUCGUGAAAGCUAAAAAACUAAGUGGGUAGAGUCAGUCAAUGAUAGAACAACAGCAAUUUAGGCUCGGUUUUGAAAUCGCGUUUGCGCAAUUCAAACGCAUCGAUUGAAACUCGAGAGUGUGUGAAAAUAUGCGAGGCAUUUUCAGAUCUAAAGCAGAAUUUCGAAAUCGAGAGAGGUUUACCAUUGUUUUGCGUGGUGGAGACGACCAGCUUGGAGCGGAGGAGUUGAUGCAGAGCGAGGUGGAGACAGAAGGGACGGAGAUCGAAGCUGAAAGAGUGAUAGGGUCUCUCUCUGGAUCAGAGAGAGAAGAGAGAGAGAGAGAUAGAGAGAGAGAGAUGGGAGAAGCAGAGUCGAUUAGUUUUCGUAGCGACUGUGAGUCUCUGAAACUGAAGAGCGAGCGAGAUCGCCAACAAGGUAGAGUGGGCCACUAAUAUGGGCUUUGAUACGCUCUUACCAAAAUCGCAUUGGGCUUAAUGUGGGUCGAUUUUUUUUCUCUCUCUCUCUUUUGGCAGAGGAUAUUGAGAUCUUUUUCUUAACACCGACGAUUAGGUUUAGUAACAUAAGUUAUUUGUAGGGGUUUGGUUGUUGUACGCACGUAUGCCAUGCAUAACUAACAUGGGAGGGUGGGAAGGGAGCACGGGUAGUAGGGGUGCUGGGUUUUGCCUGUAAAGGCUGCCGCUGGUUUGUAAGCCAUACAAAUCUGUAUGGCAGAAUUUUCCGUUUUGUAGAGCUUAGAAGGUUAUUUGUGCUUCUCAAACCAAUCCAAUAGCUUGUUUGUGAAGAUCCUAAACCAAAUUGAAUGAUCCUCUUUUGGUUGAUCAGCAAUUUCAAGAAUUCUCAUGCUGCAUAAAGUUACUUUCUUAGAAUUAUUCGUUUUGAUAACGUUAUGUAAAAUAAAAAUUAAGUGAGUACGACUUAAGUCAGACAACUAGUCAUUUUACAAUCCAACGAAAAUAAGACGGGAUAUAGGAACUUUGUGUAACUAUAGUAGUAGAGUGAUGUGAAUUAGGUAUUCCUAAUGAGUUUGUAUGGAAAUGUAAACUAUGUACUCUCUUUGUCUCUUAGAAAGUUAGAAUCAAUGAGAUGUGAUAUAACUGUGAUCAUGAUAUUGGAAGACCAUAUUGGACGUCAGAAAAUUGUUGUAUGCUUCGUGUGAAACAUGUCAAAAAUGUAUAGCUAGCAUUUGAUGUUUAAUUAGUUUCUUUUCAACCAAAGGAAAAAACUUUCAUUCCCAAAUGAUGACCAUAAUUACUUCAUUUCAUCUAAGAGAGACAAGUAGAGGUGAUGGUAAGCUGCUCGUGAAUAUUGAUUUUGCCCGGGUUUAAUGGACAUAUAUAUAUAGCCCUUCUCGGUUGCGGACGUCCGCACCAACGGUUUUAGUGCGGAUUUCCAUUUUUGCACCACUUUCCGAUCGAAUUUCCUCAUCUCCACCGUCUAGUAUCUAGAUAAUAUUGUGUAAAUUAUCUCCGUAAAAUUUCAGCCAAUUUGGUGAUCGUUAAGGCCCUCAAACUCGAGUUUUUCUGAUAUGAACACAACCGGACAGAAUUCAAUCCGUCUAUUUGUUUUUUGAGUUUGAGGGCCUUAACGAUCACUAAAUUGGCUGAAAUUUUACAAAGAUGAUCUACACAAUAUUAUCUAGAUAUUUGACGGUGGAAAUGAGGAAAUUCGAUUGAAAAGUGGUGCAAAAAUGGAAAUCCGCACAAAAAAAUUGGUGCGGACGUCCGCAGCUGAGAAAAUCCGUGUAUAUAUAUAUAUCAGGGCCCCUCCAAUGAGGGAUCCCUUUUUUUUGUUCAUUUAUAGAAAUAGAUCAUUUGACGAACUUUUCGAUCACAAAAUCAAAUCUUCACCGUUCAAUUUGUUGGGCUAUAUGAGUAGAUCAUUUCUACAAAUUUUCAGAAAAUUUAGUGAUCGUUAAGUCAUCCAAGUGAGAGAUUUAUUUUUAAUAAUCUUGAACGGUGUAGGUUUGACAUAAGUGUUAAGUUUUUUGUUUUAAUCUCAGCCAUCUAAACCCAUUAAAAAACAGAUCUAAUGGUGUGGACCUAUCCCUAAAAGUGAAAAAAAAUAGGGAUCCCUCAUUGAAAGGGCCCUGAUAUAUAGUACUAUAUAUAUAUAUAUAUAUAUAUAUAUAUAUAUAUAUAUAUAUAUAUAUAUAUAUAUAUAAAAGAAGGGCAAUUACUGAUAUAAGUGAUAUUACUGGACCUAGCUAUAUAUAUGAUUGGAUUGGAUGAUUACAUGGAAGACUGAGAGUGCUAGAGUUUAAUCCAAGAUUGAUUGCUAUAACAAAGAGAACAAACAAGCAAAGUAUCUGAUUUAGAAAUUAAAAAUCCAAAUUACACGAACUUAAUUUACUUAAAUUCAAACUGUAAAAACCUAGCUAGCUACCACUGUAAUGCUUUAUUCCCACUAAACACAAAUCAUACUUCACUGAAAAACAAAAGGGACGACACUAGCUAGCCAGCCAAAAUGAUGUUAAACAUCAUCAGAAAGAUGAGGUGAUGAACCACUGUCUUCAGUCGACCUGUCAAGCGCGAACCUGCACGAUUCGACUGCAUCCUCCACGGUCAAGUACACAUUCUCCUUCCCGAUCUUGUCUAACACAUUUGAUAAUAUCAUCUUCUCCAUCACCUUCACUCUCGGGUUAAUUAGUCCCAUCUGAAAAACAGAAACAAAAUAAUGUAUUUAUUAGGGUUCUGGUUUAUCUGUAAUCGAGUUGAUCGAUGAACGUACUGAUGAAGAACACUAACCUUAAUGCCCUUUACAGCUAGGGUUUUACGUAUCUCGUCCAGUGUUGAAAGGCUAGGUUGAUCAAUGGUGAGGACUCCUGAAAAAAGAAAAUGAAACUCAUCAGUAUAAGAAAAGAAAAUAGAUAAUAGAUAUAGAAACAGAAUUAGCCUAAUGAAUCGAACCGGAUAACUCGAGCAAGACGUGCUCAAUAACAUCUCUGGUACUGUUUUGCUCAUCACGAAUCCAUCUCAGAAUCCUGCAAGAAAAUUAACCAACCAUGCAAUGCUAGUACUGCGAAUAUAUAUAUGUAUCUAUUUGAACUGAAUGUAGGAAUAUAUAUACAUACCUCUCUCGAAUGUAGUUGCCAUUUGCACAGUACAUGGGGGAGCCAAUUUGGAGGACAAGGAUACCUUUAUGUCUUGUUCCUUCUGGAUACUGGGUGGCGUCACGAUACAAAGACAUGUCUGAUAGGUUCACUUUGCCAAGCUUACAAGUGCCAGGCCUAGCCACAUACAGCAGUGAUCUCAUGAGACCAAGUGCGACCUGAAAAUUUACCGCCAGAAAUGACAGAUGUCUUUACAUUCAAGGGAUAAUAUAAGUGAUUUGCAGACCGUUUUUGUUUAAUGCAGCUGAGAGAGAGAGAGAGAGAGAGAGAGAGAGAGAGAGAGAGAGAGAGAGAGUAGGUNNNNNNNNNNNNNNNNNNNNNNNNNNNNNNNNNNNNNNNNNNNNNNNNNNNNNNNNNNNNNNNNNNNNNNNNNNNNNNNNNNNNNNNNNNNNNNNNNNNNNNNNNNNNNNNNNNNNNNNNNNNNNNNNNNNNNNNNNNNNNNNNNNNNNNNNNNNNNNNNNNNNNNNNNNNNNNNNNNNNNNNNNNNNNNNNNNNNNNNNNNNNNNNNNNNNNNNNNNNNNNNNNNNGAGAGAGAGAGAGAAGAGUUUGGAGGCGGUGAAGAAUACUUACUGAGAAAACAAGACCAAAAAGCAUGCUUCGGAGGACCACAGCAAAGAAGCAAGACACGCAGAUUAAACAGUCGAACUUGUCAACCUUCCACAGUGCAGUAGCUUUAUUGUAAUCGAUGAUAUGAAUCAUGGCGCAGAUGAUAAUGGAAGAUAGGGCAACAGUAGGGGUGUAACCAAAUAUAGGAGCCAAGACCAAAAUCACCAACAGCAUACACAUUGACUGGACAGCAUUCGCCAUUUGCGUCUUGCAUCCCGCGUUGUAAUUCACCGCAGUCUUUGAAAAUGGUCCUGCAACAUUGAUAUGAUAUCUAGAUCAAUAUAUAAGGAACAUACUAUAAAAGGAACCAAGAUAGAGCGUCGGCUAAAAAUGCUUGUACCCGUAGACAAGUGACAAGAAGUCAUAGAUCCUAUUGUGUUCAUGAAUCCCAAAGCUACCAUUUCCCUAUUCCCAUCAAUAUUUUCAUUGUGCUGUAAGCCAAAGCUCCUUCCAAUGGCUAUUGCUUCCUGGAUGGUAAUUAAUCAAAGUUAGUUUCAAAAUUAAGGAUAUUAAUUUAUUGAUAUAAAUAUGGUUGAAAUUCAUUAAAAUCUUACAGCCAGGGCAAUAAUGCCAGUAACAGUCCCAGCUUUGAAAGCAUAUGGAAAAUAUUUCAUGUCAAAGAUCAAAUGUUGAGCGGUAAUAGGAUUGAGUCCUCUCUUCAACUCUCCAACCUAACAAAGAUUUAGAAAAAAUUUUUCAGAAGUUAUCUUGAAUUUAUAUUCAUGCUUACAGAAAUAUGUAUGUAACUCUCUGAAAUUAAGAUUAGAGAGCAUGCAGAAUCACUUACAAUGGCUAUAUUAUGUUUCUUAUCAAUUUCGAAAAAAUAAGCAAGACAGCAGCCAACUAGAACCACCACCAGUGGACCGACGGCUUGUACCAAAAAUAGCUUCCUGGGGUUUAUCUCCUUCUGCAAUUUUACAUAUUAUUCAUAUGAUCAUUAUUAGAAGAAAACUAUGCUUGUAUAGAUAUGAUUGAUAAACUACAUACGGGGUUUUGGUACUAAUUAUCAUGUUAAUAUUCGUGUAGUAAAGCGCUUACAAUUUUUCUUGUUAUUUCAAGGAAAGCGACGAAGCAGGCACCAAGAACCGCAGGCUCCCAACACCACUGGAAAAGAAAAAAAUGCCAAAACUGGUCAGUAAUUAGGUUAAUAUAUGUGUUUUGGUAGGAAACAAAAUAUCAGAUAGUUCAUUUCUGAAAACAAAUAAACGAACCUCUUUUCUCAUGUCGAUAAUACAUUUCACAACAGAAAAGAUGUCGGUUUUGCCUGUAAACCGCUUCAACCCUAAUAUUCCCUUAAAUUGUUGCAAGCAAACUAUAGUUGCACUCCCAGCCAUAAAACCAGUGAUGGUAGAAUGUGAUAAGAAAUCUACUAAAAUCCCCAAUCUGCAAAAUUCAUGCACAACAACGCACUCAUCUAUUAAUUCAAGUACUGGAAAACAUAAGAUGAAAAUGAAAGAUGGUAAUUUCCAUAUAUUAAUUCUCUUACACAUCUAACAAAACUUAUUUCAACCUAGCUUUUGACAUAUAAAUUGUUCAUAAUAAAUAUUUCAGUUUAGAUUGCAUAAUAAUGAAACCCUAGGCCUGCACUAAUUUGAUGUGCAAGUACCUUAGAAAACCCAUUAUUAGCUGCAUGAUGCCUGUGACAAAAGUUGUUGUGAAAACCAGAUGAACAAACUUAGUGUACUCUGUAUCAAAGUCCACUACUUGAGUGAGAAUAUCUUUGAUAAGUAAAUUGGCCGACGCCACAUUUCCCACGGCAAGGUACUUGGAGUCCCCCAUAACUGCAUAAAUCAUAGGCGGAACAAAGCUCGUAUCUGCACAACCAAAACCAGUAUUAGUAAUCAGUUUUAUAUAUCUAACUUGUAUUCAACAGUUUCAUUAAUGGUUUUUUUUUUCUUGACGAUGGACUUACACAGGCCAACGAGGGGUGGCACGCCUGCGAGUCCAGCAUAGCUAAUUCCUUGGGGGAUAGCAAGACUAGUAAUGGUGAUUCCGGCGACGAGAUCGGAUACGAAUGUUUUGAGAUUAUACGUAGGGAACCACCCAAAGAUCGGAACGAAGUACUGCACACCUCUCUUGAUUUUCCCACAUGCGUUCAACUCCCCGAAGCCAUGAAAGGGGUCGUCGGGAAAGAGUGCUUCCAUCACAUCAGCUUUGAGUUGGGAGCUAAAGGGUCUCGGUUCUGCGAAGCUCACCUUCGGCUGGUUUGUUGUGGCCAUAUCGGUAGCCAUGGUGUUCAGAGUGGUCGGACUGAGAUGAUGUUAGUUCAGAGUGGAGUAAUAUUCCACUGCCGAGAGUGUUUAUAUAUAGGAAUAAUGGGAGUGAGUGAGGAGUGAUGCUCUCUAACGGCCUAGCUAGGUUAACUCGACGUGGAUAAGAAUGGAGGUGCAUAUCUCAUAUUUUAGCUGCUUGGGACUAUUUCUCUGCAGACAAGAUCAAGAGUCAAAGGACCCGUAUUUCCCUCUUACUUAUCUUAAUCGUUUUUACCAUAUCCUACUCCUAACCUACUUCAUGGAUCUACCUAACAGAAUUCACGAAAGACCUAGUCCUCAAAUAACAAGAUUGCUAUUGCUUUCGAUAAUGUCAAGAAUUUAAUUUUACUACAAAUGGAAAAUUCACAUCGGAAAAAAAAAAGAUUUAACAAAAAAAGUCAAAAUAAAUCGUAAAAGAAAUUGCAAUUCGCUCCACAUUUUGAGGAAUAACUUCCCAAAAAUUCUCACCUUUAUCCACACCGACAGGGUGUGUUUCUACUUUCAAUUACUAGAUCGAGCAAAGUGUUUGUUCUCAUAUAUAUAUAUCCAUGUCCAUGAUGUGAGUUACCUUUCUUUUUUUGUUGUAAAAGAUCAUGAGUAUUUUGUUGCAUUCUUUUACAUAUUUCAAAGAGUCCCCAAGGUUAUUUAAACUAGGUCAUAUAACAGUGACAAAUUUUUUAUUAGAUAGUUAUAAACUCUCUUUUGUUGUAAGGAUUUUUGAGAUAUAACAUGAAAGGUACAUCUUACAUUUUUGAGAUAUAACAAGAAACUAAUUAACCUCACGAUUCAUACAUUUCGGGAACAACUUCCCAAAUUCUCACCUUUAUCUUUUGCAUACUUUCAAUUACUAAAGCAGGAAAGUGUUUGUUUUCAUGUCGCAAACGAAAUAUCCAUAUCCAUGAUGUGAUUUAAAAUCUACAUGUUGUUUUGUGUGUUGUAAGAUCGAUCAUGAGUAUUUUGUUGCAUUCUUCUACAUAUUCAAAGAGUCUUCAAUGCUAGCUCAUAUGAUAUUUUGUUGCAUUCUUUUACAUAUAUAUUCAAAGAGUCGUCAAUGCUAGCUAGCUAGCUCAUAUAAUAGCGACUAACUUUUUAUUUAAUAGUUAUAAACUCUAUAGUUUUGAGAUAUUGAAAGAAAUUAACUUGAUCGAAAGUGUAGUGAUUGAAAGAUAUGAUAAUUCAUAGAAGAGUAACAUAUUCCACUCUCGAGAGUGUACGUUAAUGGAAAUGAGGAAGGAGCGAUACUCUCUGAUGGCCUAGCUAGCUUAACUCGACCUAGAUAGGAAUGGAAGACCAUAUCUCAUAUUUUACAUACUUCGGCUGCUAAAGGAGUGACAUACAACAUCAAAAGUUAAAGACCCGUAUUUCCCUCUUAUUUAUCUUAAUCAUUUUUACCGUAUCCUAUUCCUAACCUACUCAAGAAAUGCAUGGAUCCACCUCACAAUAUUGUCCAAAGAUCAAUUCAAAUCACAAGAUUGCUAGCUAUUGCUUUCGAUAAUAUCAACAAUUUAAUAAUGGAAAAUUCACAUAUCUCUACUAUAAUCUGUACUUUGGAAAUUCACCAAAUUAUAAACUGUUAUAAAUGCCCUUAAAACUAAGGGUCGAUCAUUAUAGUAAACAAUAAAAAUAAAAAUAAAAAAACAAAACAAAGAUAAUUAAGAAACUACUUAGGUUGUGAGAUGUAUAACUGUAUAAUCCAGUAAACCGAAUUUAACCGUUCAACUUUCCUUUUAGGUGAUUGGGAUCUGGCCGUGAAAAUGUAUGGAUAAAAGGCUAGUAAAAAGAAAUUUAACUAAAGAGUAAAAAUAAAAAGUAAAAGAAGUUGCAAUUGUCUCCAUAUCUUGGGGAAUAACUUCCCAAUAAAUCUCACUCUGAUCCACUAAUUCGUUGUAUUUGGCCUGUAAUAUAUAUUAAAACGUACGUAUGGUAUGGUAUUGUAUGUUGUUUGAGCUGUAAUGUGUAGUGAACAUCUGACCAUUUAAUAACCCUACUGACCUGAGUUUGAAACCUGCCAAGCCCAAAAAACCUAUGUUUCUUUUCUUUUCUUUUUUCUAUAAUACUGGUGUGUACGUUUUUAGAUCAUGAGUAUUUUCUUAUAUGAAUACAUAAUGAAAGAGUCGUCGAUUUUUUUUAAAAUUUUUUUUUAGAAAAUUUAAUUGUUUAUCGUUUCAUCAACAAUCAAAGGCCACAACUCGCAAAGCUUACAUGAGAAAGACCGGCGGUAAGAAAGAAAGUCCCGGACAACCUAUUCAAGCUAAAGCAAAUUAAUUAAAACACACCAGAACGCUCACACUUAAGUGAGCCUAUACAAGAAUGAACAAAUAAACCAUAUCGUCUAAUCAUUCACUUGCCUAACACGCAAUUGUGAUCCAAGCAAUGGAGCUAGAAAGAGUCUGCAAUGUAUGUUGCUUCGCGGCUAGCUACCUAGCUAGUUGAAUACCAUUGAAGUUACAAGUGCGUACGUAUAUAAGCAGUGCACACGAUAAUCUCGAUUAACAUACAACAGCAUUGGAAUGCAUGUUCCACGAUGCUUAGACGUACUACAUACACAAUUACACAUCCUAGCUAGCUCGAUUGAUAGAUAGGAACACUCUAUCUACGACAUAGCUAGCUAUAUCGAUAUCGAAUAUAUGAAAUGUACGUGAUACUAUCGUCUUCUCCAUCACUUCAGUUCCUAGCUACCUUAUUAUUCCUCACUUUGGCUACAUUUUGUUUAGAUUCCUUUCCCCGAUGGGAAAGCUGUGUUAGAACUUCUCUGAGUUUUUGUAGCAUGGCUUGUGGCCGCGUUUGACGUCGAUCCCUUUGAUUCAGCUGAAGUACUGAACCGAUGGUUUUGAUGCUAAGAUAUGUGAACACAUUUGGUUCAUUGUUAUAAUUGUUUGCACCAGAAUCUUGAAUGCUUAGUAUAGGAAAACGAAUGGAACCGGAUUCAUAUAUAAUUUGUUUUAUUUUAGAAACAGUGUUCGUAUAUACACAGUAUUUUUGUGCACUCACUGUGAUAUAGUUCUAGUUCUGAUAAUUAGCUAGUAUGAAAAAGAAACCAAUAAACAAAAACCCAAUUACAUAGUCAGAUUGAUUGAUUGGUUUCAGUUUGAAUCGUUUAACUUCUAACCUAAAUUGGAUGAAUCCUAGAUAUCUUUAUCUUGAGCUAUGUAUGUGCUAGCUAUCUAGUCAGUAUCACUCGGAAAAGUAUAGAUCAACUGCGGAGAGUGAAAAUGGGAUUGUAAUUUUAAUAACAACUCACCAUAAAUGAGUCUUUAGUAAGAAUAAAUUAUCACGUGUGUCUUCAAAAUAAUAAUAAUUACAGACCUAAUGAGUUUGAUCUAAUGGAAGCAUACUAACUAGGCUAUAAGUGGGGCGGACGCUGCAAGAAUUCUCCUAGUAAUAUGAAGUACUUGGUUCGAACUCCAGCUUGUGAAAAACAUCCCUUAGAGAGAGGUCAUAUACCUAAAAUUGCUUCCGGCCCGGGAGUGGUAGCUCACGUGACCAUCAUUUACUAUAAUUAAGAAAAAAUCAAGUGUUUGGACACAAAGGGGUCAAAUUACAAUACACCCUAACUAGCGGGGCUAACAUUCAAAUUCGAAACUCCCAAAAAGGGGACACUUUUCAUAAAUAAACCAAAGUUAGGGUUUCCUCCAGCUUCAGAAUCUCAUUUCCCUUCCAAUCUCAAAUUCCGGGUUCAAAUUACCCGAAAUCACAACCCAAUUCCCCAAAUUUCCAAAUUAGGGUUCUGAAAGUCUCGACCUUUCCGGCUGAAAUGGACGACAUGGAAGACGACCAAAGGUACCACCCGAAACCCUACUCGUUAAACCACCAUAGCUCCUCGAACCGGCGAAACCCCCACAUCCGUAACACCCCGUAUUCCCGGCCACCGCCGCCCAAUCGGUACUCGCCGGAAGACGACGACGACGCUAUCGAAGACGAUUUGGACGAGGAGAGCUACGGCAAACAAGACGACGUCGUCGUCGUGGCGGAGCAGUACCACCAGCACCACCCGAACCGCGGCUUCGACGCCGAGAACGGCUGGGAAUGGCACCCGAAGAAGAGGAAGCUGAAGAAUUUGGAUCCGGGUUCGGGUUACGAGUUCGCGCCCCGGGUCAAAAUGCCGGGUCGGGUCGGGUCGGGUCAGGAGGAGUGGACGGAGCACGCGGUGUUUGUGCUGCUGGAGGUUUGGGGGGACAGGUUUCUGCAGCUUGGGAGGAAGAGCUUGCGGUCGGAGGAUUGGGGUGACGUGGCGGCGAAGGUAUCCGAGGGGUGUAAGAUGGAGAGGAGUGAGAAGCAAUGUAGGAGAAUGCUGGAUAUGCUGAAGAGGAAGUAUAAGAAGGAGAAGGCGAAAAUGGAGGAAGGAGGGGGUUCAAGCAAUUGGGGGUACUAUAAGAAGAUGGAAAUGCUGAUGGUGAAUUCGAUGAGGCAGGAAUGUGGGUUGGCUUGUGGGGUGGAUAAUGGGGAGUAUGUGUUUAUGAACACGAGGGUGUAUUUGGAGAAGUCGAAUGGGUUUGAUGAGAUGAUGGAUAGUCCGGGGGAGUCGGAGGAUGAUGAUGAGAAUGAGAAUGAGAAUGUGAGUGGUCAGAACGGGUUUGGGUUUGCUCUUCCGAGACAGGGAGGGUCUUCGUACAGAGUGUUGGCGGAGUCUAUUCAGAAGUUUGGGGAGAUUUAUGAGAAUCUUGAGAGUAGAAAGAGGCAGCAGAUGAUGGAGUUGGAGAAGAUGAGGAGGGAGUUUAAUAAGGAAAUGGAGGUGCAGAAGAAGCAGAUUCUUGAGAGGGCGCAGGCGGAGAUUGCAAAGAUUCAGGAGGCGGGUGAUGAUGAUGAUGAUGAAGACUCGGAUACUUCUGCUGAAGAUCUUACCGAAUGAUGGAGGUGGGAUGUGUUAAGUAUGUCUUUGCUUGCUCUUAGUCAGCAUGUUAAGCUGCUUUGCCAUAAACUUUGUUUCUCUUAAUUGCGUACUGUUGAAUUGCUUGCUAAAAACAAACUAUUGCAGUUGUUUGUCCAUUGCUAGGAAUACUGACUUUCAUUUGUUAACUUAGGUGAAUAUAAGUUUAUGGUAUUUCACUAUUGGUUGGGUUGCUAUGUUUUUGGAACACAUUUGAUUUACUUUAUGGUCUUAGUGUUGUUCAGAUCUCUGUCUCUCCCUUUGAGAACCAAAAGUCCUACAAAGUACAAACCAUGACAUGCAUGGUUAUGUGAGUAGAACUUUGUAGAGGCCACUGGCAUUUGAAUACUAAAUGCAGAACAGAAUUGGAUACAAGUACAAUUGGGUAAUAAGGUCGGGACAAUCGUAGAGGUAAGGCAUUAGGCUCUAAACAAUAGAAUGUAGAACUUACUGACCUUAUAGAUAAUUGGAGAAUAUCCAGUUUUGUUCAAGAACUUACAAAGUUUUGAGUCUUGACUCUGACCAUCCUUGAAUUUGGUUAUCAUCAUUAUAUAUCUUUUUUACAUCCCUGCCAGAGGAGAAAAACUUUAGCUUAGGGGCUCAAGUUUGUCUGCCAUAGCAAGAUACCUCACCCCUGGGGACUUGAUCUUUGCUCGCCAGUACCAUAUUCUUUGCUGCACUUCUUUGCUGUUCUUAUUUGUGGGAUGGUUUUGACUUCUUUUGUAUCAUUUCUUUGCAAAGUUGUUUUAUACUCGUCAAGUCCUCAUGGUUAGAUAUGUUUUUAUAAUUUUAAGAGGCAGCUUCAUUGUUUGUGAUGAACUAUUUCUGUCUUAAUUUCUUGUAUCAGGACUGGCAUCUGAGUGGAACCAUCCUUGGAAAAUUUUCUACUGUUUCGGAGUGGAACUGGCUGCUCUGUGAAGAAAAGGAUUUGCGGGCAUACAUUGUGAAUUCUCCUCAUUUCUUGUCUUAGGAUCGGCAUCUGACUAUCUGAGUGGAACUAUUUAUAACUUUUCAACUUUUUCGGAGUGGAACCUGUCCGCACUGUAUUCAAGAGAAAGAAUCUGCGAUUACACAUUGCAAUUCUUGGAAGUUUUAUCUGCUCUGAUACAUGUAAUUUGGUAAGGAUGGAAGCUGGUGUAUUAACAUGCAACAUUUUCAUCUGUAAUUUAUUUGCACUCCAUUCCCCUAUUAUAUGCGUAAAUAUUGAUAAUGCUAAGGAGCAAUUCCUAACAGCUCCUCUAUCCUCUAAAUCUGAAAUUCGACUAGAACAGAGCCCUUAUUUUGUCUACUUUUUUUCGGCAUAAGAAAGAUAAUUAAGGAAGUAUUUGAAAGGCAAAGGCUGUUUUUCAGUAUAGUUCAAAUGGAUAUUCGGAAGAUCUGUAGACGAAAAUGUUUUUUUUAUUUAUUUAUUUAUUUUUUAUUUUAAGUGUUUUCUAUUGGCAGUGGAUAUAGACGGCAAAAGUCCCUUUGUCUGGAGUCUGAGUUCCAUAUUGAGCUAGGAGCAUGAAAUAGAGCAGCAUAAUUAUGCUUUACCUUACAGAAUAAGAUACAAGAUCUUCUAAUGGCAAACCAAAAUCGUAUGCGGGAAACUUAUGAAAACAGAAGAAAAUGAAAAGUAACAAGAUCAAAAUUAUCUCCUAGUUUCAUUUCUAGAGCUAUAGAUGUGCAACUCAUGAGGACUGCCUCAUAAGUUUUCUUCUGGAAAAAGCUCAUCCUUGAUUGCAGGAGCUAUCCACUGUAUCUGAAUAUGUGUUAUCUCCCAAAGGUCAUCAUCUUCCUUUUGCACUAGAAUCUCUCUUUCCUUCAUCAUUGUAAUCAUCUGUCUCAAUAAAUCUGGGACUAGUUCUUGCAGUACUGUUGAUUCACCAUAUCCACCUAAGUCAGCCUUCAUACAAGUGUCCAUUCUUCUCAACACUCCUAACCAAAAUGUUCGAAACCCCGGGCUCUGUGAUAUCUGUAUCAAGAAUUGCAAGUACACUUCUGUCAAGAGCUUCAGUGCGAUCUUUAAUGUCGCUUCCAUGCUUCUCAUCUCCCUCUCUGCAUGUUCCCUACGCGAGUACUCCAACAUCUUUUCAUGCAGAUCAUCAACCAUUGCGAAAACAACAAGGUUGAAACAGUUUAUGCAAUUGACUGGAGUGAAGUCCAAUGCCUCAGCAAUUCUGAAACUCUUUUUAAGAGAUAGAACUGCAUGGUUUCUCAUCUCUUCUCGCCGAGCUAAGCUGGACUUUCUAAGUACUUCACCUAGUUUGACAAACAAAUUCAUGGCAAAGCUGCAAGAAGAGCCUAUACCUCUUGCCUCGUCUAAAGAGGAGUUGCUGUGGGCGCUGUAGCUGUUCGCAGGAUCUGAGUAGUAGUUUCUAUACCAUUCGACCAACAAGUUUACAGACUCUGCUAACAGGUCCAGUAUCUUUAUGUUCUUCUCCAAUGGACUGUUCUUAAGUGCAAUAAAACUAAAGGCACAAUCAAUGCAGUAAGCGUAAUUUAUCCGCGAAACAUGAGUUCCAUCAGACAUGAAUCGGACAAGUGUCUCAACUCCUAGUUCAUAGGUUUCAGUGUGUCUCCCAGAGACUUGUAACAAGUGGAGAACUGACUUCCAACCAAGUUGGGUUUGCAGAUUGGCAGGGUACUCAGUCAGAAUCUUGUUUAGUGAUUGAGUUAUGAAGUCACAGCAACUGUCUAAAAUCUCUUUCUCCAGCUUCCACAUUAGAUUUAUCGACUUGAAAAUGAGCUCCUCCGGGAUUUUUUCAGGUUGGAAUGUCCCAAGGAUCUUGAAACAUAUUUUGAAGAGGCCUGCAAUGGCCUUUUCAGCGAAUGGAAUAGGGGAGAACAUGGGAAACUGAGCAACCACAAUCAGAUAAUCAUGAAAACUAGGCCAAAAUGUAUGGAACCUCUGACUGUUGGCCGAAGUGAUUGCAACUAUUACAUCCCAGCAGAAACCAACAGUUUCUUCUUCUUCAACUGCUGUACUAAACUUCUGUCCUUUCCCAGCAGCUGCAUAUAUCAAAGACCGCCCGAGAUUGAGCAAAGCAUCCUCAGGAAAUUUUGAACUAUUGCUGAAGAUGUUCCCAAUUCGGCAUUGUUUGAUAACCUUGAGAUUUUGUUCAAAUUCACUAAUGCCAAGGGAUACAGCAUCUUCUGCACUCUCUAGUGACAUAAAAUGUGAGAACCGAUUAAUCAUGCCAGAUGGCUGGCGGCCUCCAAACUUGGCAUCUUGAGCUGGGAAGAUUACACCGGAUUCAGAUGUUAAGUUUUCUGAUGAGGUGGAAGCAGCAGCAUCAAAUUCAAUGGCAGACUGUGGAAGCAGCUUUAGCCUCUUAAGUUUUAACAAGCAGUCAACAAUGUUCCUCCAGCCCCCUCUAAUUGACUCUCCAAAAUUGUUUGCAAUGGUGAAAACAGCAAGUGUAGCCAUUCUUGGCUUCAAAUCUUUGCUAAAAGCAAAGAGGGUUUCUUCUGCAGAGGCAUAUGGAUUCAACAAUGUAGUGAAUUUGGAGAAUGUGGCGAGAAUUUGAUCAAGAGUGUCUUCUAGUCCAUACUGAGCUAUCCUCGCCACCGAGAACAAACCUUCAAUGCAUUCAUGGAGCAAUUCUUCUUCUUCAGCAUGCUCAAACACUGCAGAAAGAGCAGCCACUGAUGGACCAGCAAUGCAAGCAAACAUAUCUCUGCCUAGACGGCGAUCAAAUUCACAUACAAAGAAAGGUUGCACAGUUAUUGUUCGGUUCAUCAACUCUAUCCAUCUGUUUGGGUUCAUUUCUAGCUGAAGACCAGACUGUCCAAACACGGCAAUUGCAGUAUUUGAGAUGGAAUGGAAAAGGUCAGAUAGAUAAUCUCUAGGAAGAUCCUUUCCUCCAUUGAUUGCUCUAUUGUUCCUGAUGAACUCGUCUUCUGUCAUUUUCUUCUUCACUUGUGGAUUGUGUUGAUCAGUAUUGAGCAUAAUGAGAGAGUAGCAAAGAAUCAUCACCGUAUCCUUGUUUGCAAAAAUAUCUGUAGGUUGUUGUUCAUAAAAAUUCUUUGAAAAUACCUCAAGAAUCCGCUCAAUCUUCUGGGACUCUCCAGGUAACCUGAAAGUCUCAAGAUAAGUCCGGAGACCACUGUCAAGAUUCAUGCCUGCAAAUCCAAACGUUUCUGUAUAUUCUCUUAGAACUUGAAUGUGAAACUCAUCAGGAUCACCAAGAUAAUCCCCUAUCAACAUCUUGUCUAGACCAGGAGUGUACCGGAAGAAGUAAGCCACAGACUUCGGAUCCGGAGGAUCAGAGACUAAUUUGGUAAGUCUUAAGUACUCCAUUCCCUUCUUUUCAUCUCGAUUAUAAUGGUGUCCAGCAAUCAUUAUUUUCUUCUUCUGUGCUUUCCUGAGUCUUACAAAUUCCACCCAAGUUUCCAAAUACUCUUUAACCUGAUCUUCCCAAAAUGGAGUAUACUCAGUAACUUCAACAGGAUAUGGCCCUGAAGGGCUUGUAUCAUUUUCUUUAUCAAUACUAUCAGCAAUGUUGUGGAUCAUGAUUACUAACCCUUCAAAGGCUUGUAUCUGUAAACUUGACAAAGGGGCACCCACCGGAAAACACUGCCUGCAAAGCAACUUCCCAAUCUCCUCGAACACAUUAUAGCAUAGGGGAUCACAGUCAUAGUUCACAUAAACUUCGACUACGAAUGUUGCCUGCCUGCAGAAGUUUAUAAUUCCUUCCAGUGCAACUUCUUGUAGUUGGGUUGUUGCUCCUGGAGCUGAUGCAACUCUAAAAAUCUCAAAUGUGAAGAACGAUUCUAACUGGAGACGAAUGUGCCUGCAAAAAAAACGCCAAAAGUGAUCAUGGUUCAAGUUAUAGUUUGGAAAGAAACUCAAACUCAAGCAUUUCAUGUCAAAAUUAACCUGCGAAGAAAAUGAUACAUAUUCAAAACCGUACUGCAAAUCAUGGAAAACACAACCGGGCUUGAACAAGUCCCAUAGUGCACCAAAUGGUGAAACAGAUCAUCUUUCAUCAUCCUCAAAAGCUUCGAAUGUGUCCCAAUCCCAUCUCCACUCAACUCGAUCGCGGUGUUGAUCAAAACCAAAGCAAAAAGCUGCACAUCUUCAUCAGCAGUUUGAACCGUAGACCCAUCUGUCUCGACCACUUCAACCACAUUGAGCAAAGAACACAAUAAAUGAAAUAUAUCAACCGCACACCUCAUUCCAUACCCGAAAUCCAAACCACCGUCGUCGACGUCUUCAGUAUCAGUCUCCGACCCCUCAUCGUGGAUGUCAACUUCCGGCAACCGUGAAAAGAUAAUGUGGAUCAAAUCAUGCAUGGUGUACUUAGCAGUACGUUGAAGCAAGUCCCCUCGUGACGUGGAUUGUUGCACGACUUGGAAACAAGUGUUGACAAUGGUGCACACAGCUUGGUCAGACAACAACACUGCCGCCCUGUGGUUCAUAACUCCGGUGAGGAGCUGCAGAAUGUGCAUCAUCACGGCGUCCUCCGACACCGGAUCAGUCUUCUCAAGCCUACACGUGGUGAUGGCAUUGACAACGGUGUUGAUGGCGUCCUUGGCUCCAGGGGUCUUCUCGUCGAAGACUCCGAGCUUGAGAAUCUUCAAGGUGGCAGAGAGGGCGACUCUGGUGGCGGCGGCGUGGACGAAGUCGCUCUGGAUGACGUCGAGGAAGGGAGAGAUGUAGAUGGUAGGGUCUAUUGUGCGCCAUUCUUGUUGAGGGUUGAAGAUCAAGGCUCGAAGUGACUUGAGGGAUUGGAGAAGAGAAGGGUCGACGUUGUCUUCCGGGGCGGCGCCGAAGACGUGAGAGUUGGAGUCACUGGGGCGGCGGAUGACGGCAAGGACGGUGCCGACUUCGGUGUUGAGCAUGCAAGAGAGUCCGAGCUCUUUCCUUUUGAGUUUGGUGGCUUGCUUGGUCUUGCCAUUGCUUUCAUGGUUCUCCAUAGGAGGAAGAGGAAAAGGAAACCGUUGAACAAGUUCAAAAAACGGUUAUAGUUUCUGGUCUUUAGCAAACGUGAGGUCAGUUAAAUUUCUGAUUAGAUAUUACUGGUUAAUUUGGAUGGUUAAGAAUACAGGUUUGAUAGGUUCUACCUCUAUUUUCUCCUCAUUUAGUGCAUUUCAGCACCAAUUCUAAGUCAAACCCUGCAGACCCUGCAGAAUCGCAAUGUAUCUCACACGAAAUCAUGCACCAAAGACAAAGGGUUUCUCUACAUAUGGUAAAUGGAGUGACAAGUUCAAAACCCCCUUCACUAGCCUAACUUGCGUGCUAAGUCAUCAAAACGAGAGAUCCUUACGCUGCUAGCUAUUGAUUCUGGCGCCUACUGUCAGUUAGCUGAUCUAUAUGAGCACUUUAGUUCUUGCUGCAAGCAAAACAAUACAUCCAAUGAAUCUUCGUCGUUAUAGUUACCGGCUUGUGAAACUGUUAGCAGUGUCUUCAGCCAUUCCUCAUGGAGAGUUGAGAACUCUGAUCUCUGUUCACUAGACUUGAAGCUUUCUCCAACGGAUUUCUUCAUUACUUGGCCAGCCUUCGAAGCAGCUUCAACCACCUUCUCAGGGAUCCCAGCCAUCAUUGCUACUUGCAAUCCAUAACUCUCUGGGCAUGCCCCUGAGGUAAGGCGAUAGAGAAAUACCAGCUCUUGGUCUCUUUUUAAAGGGGAUACAGAUUUUGACCUAAAUGCACAUGCCAUGUGUUGUAAUGAAACGUGUGGAUGAGACGCAAAUUCUCUCGUAAGCGGGUGAUAGUGUGUGGCGAAUAACAAUCUGCAGUUAAUCUUUUCAACAAGAUGGCGAAAUACCUGAACAAGUAUAAACAGAUGAAUCUAUUAAACAUGGAACAUGGCAUAACAUUAGCAUAAUGAUAUAAGUAAUGGAUAAAACCGUUCACAAACAGAUUAGUAGAAAAUUGAUACAAAUGCAGUGCAAGUUAUCAGUAGAAUACAAAUUCAUAGAAAACUCAAAGGAACAACAGGUAUUUUAAGUCUAUCUUGCUACUUCAUAUGCCUCACAAGUUUCUUCAUGCAUGUGGAUGGUGGUAUGUGUAGCAUACUUAUUUCUCAGCCGCAGCUACAACUGAUUACAAAAUGAACUAAUAUUCUCAAGUCUCAACUGGUUUACUUUCUUAGACUAUAAAUGCUUCAGUUUUUGAAUCAGUGCACAGGUACAGUAGAGGUGAAUGAAUUCAAGUAUUUAUGUAUCAAUGAAGUCCCUCCCAAGCAGAUAUUUAGAAAUGGUAAAUUAUAUAUAUCUGAAUGAGGGAUGAGUUUGAUUAUUGGUAAUUUGAUAUUGAAUGUAUGAUGAGUAGUAAAGGAUGUCUCACAGCAUAUGCAAUGGCAUAUCCAUCAAAAGUGCUUGUUCCACGACCCAAUUCAUCAAGAAUAACCAAAGAAUCUGGAGUUGCAUGCUGAAGAACUGAUGCCGUCUCUGUGCAUUCCACAAAGAAGGUACCUGAGAAUAAAAGAAAAUGAACACCAAUCAUCAAAUUUUGCAACUGAAAAUAUGAAAAGUUUAAUAUUCAAACUGAUAUGACUACCGGAUCCUGCAUUUGAAUGUUAAUUUACUACUGUGAGUUGCUAAAUACAACCAGACUCAACAUUCAACAACUCUUAACCAGUGCAGAGAACCAAAGUAAAAGAACUCUAUGAAGCAGAGAUUGGACGGACUAUAAGCUUUCCAAUAAUUUCGAAAUUAAAUUACUUAAAAAAAAACCAACAAAACUUAAUUUGGGGAAGACUAGGAAGCCUAGCACCACCACCAGGACUACAAAGACCACCGGUCCUGAAACCCAACUACAAGCCCUUAGUCACCAAGACUCCCAGACUGCCAUUAGUUUAUCAUCAACCCUCACCACACCUGUUCCAGUGUUGAAUUCAUUACAAUGCAUAUCCUAGCUCCCUAUUUGCUUUAUUUUCAUUUCAAAUCAGAGCUUGUCAAUAGUUGCACUGACAAAAAGAAGAGAACCCAUUGUCUCUUUUUUUUUUUGGUUUUCCCCACAGGUGACAAUGAUCAGAAAGAACACAAAACAAAAGAAAUGAACAUAUUAGUUUGCUAGGACUUACUCUCGCCAGUCAUGAUACGAUCAGUGGCACCAAGCCGUGUAAAGAUGAUGUCCACAAGUGAGAGAACACAUAUCUCACAGGGCACGUAACAGCCCAGCUGCAAGCCAUCAAUGAAUCAAAUAACAAGAUGUCAAAAUCUCUAUUGCUCCAAAAUCUGUAAGUGUUUUGCCAACUCAGUAUCUGGUUUUAGAAAGGAAAUUGCUCAGAGAAAAAGAAUAACCUGGGCAAGUAUUACAGCCAGACAUGUGGAACGAAGAAGAGUUGAUUUCCCACCCAUGUUCGGUCCAGUUAAUAGUAAAGUGCGUGGAUGAUAUCCAUCAGUAUUUUCACCUAGAACUACGUCAUUUGGUACAGGCAGUCCACCAUUUUCACCAAGAGCAAAUGGAUGCCACAGCCCUUUAAUAUUGAGUGUAGGACAUCCAUUUUCUCCAUUCAAGGUUGUUUGAGAUUGAGGCAAAAGAACAGGUCUGGACAUGGCUCCACCUGGGAAACUUGAAGUAACUGCAAAAGAUCUCAGUACAUCAAUACAGUUGAUGCCAUGUAUGACAUCAGUCCACUCAGUUGCUUUCUCCAUAAAUAGCUCGACUAGAAUUGAGAGUGUUUCGGCAUCUGAAUCAGUUGCACCAUGAUCCUGGCACCAAAUUCAAUGUCAGUUGUCUGCAUAUAGGUUCAUCUCAUGAAAAUAAAAUCAUAAUUUGUGUACCAUGCAGUACAUGAAAAUACUGAUAAACUUUGUUGUCUAAAGUAUGGGUGAGCUAGAGCUAGAAAGGCUCCUGUCCAAACAAACAGUAGACCUUCAUUCCUCAUCGCUAGAAAUACCCACAGCUUUUAUUUGUAAGAAGAUAUGAAGAAAGUCUGAAGUCUACUCCUAAGCUUUUCAAUAAUCCAAUGAUAGAAAUAUGAGAUGAGAAAAUGAGACUUCAAGACAGAAAAUACAGUACAAAACAUGACAAGCCAUAGGCCCAUAGCAAUAUGUUCAAGUUACCAAAAGCAGCUACUAUGAUCAACUAUUAACACCAAAGAUGGAAACUUAUUGUGAACACCAUAUGAGACGACGACUACUGAACGGAAAAAGAAGUACCUGGUAAUUUGGGAAAUCACUAUCUACAGCUGCUUCAAAUUGCUUAAGAUAUAGAUCAAGCCCAUCACUGCCACUUAGACUUGGAACUUUAAAUAGUUUUAAUAAUAGCUCAAUCAUAUGCCCUUCAUUUUGUAACACCUUUAACAAAUCCAGUCCAAAUCUGAGGCCUUUCACAAGAGUCCCGAACACUUUCACCUGUCACACACAAAGUAUUAUAAAUUUGUUCAUAUUAAUAGAAUUCUUAUAUAUUGCUGCUAAUUCAUGUCAGCUAGAGGUGUCAAUAUACUCUCCUAGUGUUGCGACAAUCUUCAAUGAGCCUAGACUCUGAACACUAUCCCUUGUAUGCAUAGAAAAUGAUAGAAAAGAUAUAACUAAGCAAUGCAAUCAAGAGAAUUCUGAACGGUGAUAAACAUUUGCCAGGUUCCUUCAAGUUUUCAAUAAAAAAUUCAUAAUAAAGUAGAGAAUACUUACUCUCUGUUUUAGUACUUUCUUGCCAAAUAAUGGCAAUAGGAGGGAAGCUGACGACUGGACACUUGCCCUGACCCGUCCAAACAACCUCUCUAAGUCUGGAAGCUUGCGGAGAUACUGAGCAAUAAGUGGUACCAUUUCUGGAUGACCCAGUAGAUCUUCAACCACAUUAAGCCGGUUAUUAAUGGCUUCAACAGAUUUCAAGGGAUGGCAGAUCCACUUCCUCAGAAGCCGCUUACCAGAUGCUGUCACACAGUUAUCGAGAAAUGCAUACAGCGUACCUGAAACCAUGAUAGAAAUUAGCACAAUAAACCUGACAAACCUGAGUAUUCUGGUCAAACCCAAAGAAAGGGAACACUUGCCUGAUGGACCACCAUCAGCAGUAUUACUGAAAAUCUCAAGAUUUAUCAGUGUCUGUCCAUCCAUUUUGAGGCAACCACUAUAAACUUGGUAAGGUAAUAUAUCUCCAUUGCGUAGAACAUCAUCUAACUGAAUGGGAAAUAAAAUGUGUCAGUUAUACAUAAAUGCUAUAAAUUAGUAUCCAUUUUACAGGAGACAUGCAAGUGAGCUUACCAUCAACCUGGAUAGAUGGUCAAUAAGUGUACCAAGAGCAGGUAAAGUGAUGUCAUGGUGUACACCAUCAAGUCCAUGAUUCCAUGAAUUAGAAGACCCUUUGAAGUAUCCUUUCAACUGAAUCAGUUUACUAACUUCAGAAGCAUCCACAAAAUCAUUGACCGGCUGCACUGGAGUCAAUUGCAGUGCAGAACCUGCAAGAUAAACAAAAAUAAUCAGUCACCUCUCUCUGUAUCUAUCUAUCACACUUUCAAUUAGGAAAAAGGAAAAGAUGUCUUCAAACCUGUUGAGUACUUUUUGAGUGCCUUUUGAGCUUCUUUUGACAGCCCUGAACGGAGUUGAAUAUUGAAGUUUCAAGAUAUGAUAUAUUUCAAAAAACUUCAAGGUGGAACUUGCAAAACAAGAGGACGUGCAGAAAAGAAAAAUUGUCUUACCUCUAUUCUCAUAUAUAACUUCUUUAGGUGACACCUAGCAUCCCAUGAAGAAAUUAGAAUACAAGUUCUCAAGCCUUCAAGAAUAACAAGAGAUGAAGAAGAAAGAGCAUACUUGCAUCAAUAGAGCCCCCAAAGCAGCACAGGAAGCAUCAUCACUGAUAGCACCAAUCCAGAACUUUAAAGCAGAACAAUCAACAAAAGCAAACCCAUAUACAACUGAACCAUUAUCAACCCCAGAGUUCCCCUAAAACAGAAGAGAAUUGUGAGUACAGUAAUUUUGAAAAGUGAAAACAUAUUUCUGGUAGUCGAAAGAUAAGCAUGUCAGGAAGCAUGACAAACUAAUCAGAGAAGGCAGAUACAAUGAAGAUGAAUAAUAUUAAUACUGAGAAACAGUAAAUAAAUACAUUCAAAGCAGAAUAAGAGCCUGCUCUGGUGCUUUCUCUUAACCUCUCUGAGUUGAAUAUCGAUUGUAUUCAGUGACUUUAGGACGUAUACAUUUAGUACCACUGGGAUCAGACUGAGCUUACAAAUACCACAAUCAAAAUAUGAAAAACAUGGUAGACAUAGCAAGUGGCAGAAAACUAAAUAUGCAACUACACUCAAGAUAGUUGAAAAAUUCCGUACAUCACAAACCUCUUUUAUUGCAAGAAGAUGAACAGCAUCAGGUCCAAUAUUUCCAUCAGUUGUGGUUGAUGGUGUGACAACCUGAACCAAUUUUCUUGGAAUUACCUGUAAUCAGAGAUUCAAAAUUCAGACAUUCAACUCAUAGUUACUAAAUAAUCACUGAAUGACAGAGGCUUUAAUAAGUUAUUCUACUUUUUACAGACCCAGAUAAAGAAAUAAGAAAAAUAAGUUUGCAUUGUCAACUUACAGCUUUGGCACCUCUGGCUUUUGCUUGCUCAGAAGUUUCCAGCUGCUCUAUCCGUCCAACUUUAUACCUUAACAGCAGAUGUAACAAAGAACAAGUCAAUUAUGAUGUAUUAACAUACUAAACUAGAAACUCAUCCUACUACAAAGGAUGCAGAUGCUGAUCAAGUUAAUAGGACCAGUCAAUCACAUACCCACGGACAACCAAUUUUUGAACAGCAUCGUCAAUCCCACUUUCAGAUAUGCCAACCUGACCACAGCGAAAAUCAAUACAUGUAAAUUAUUCCAAUCAACUGAUAAACAUAUACUUUGUUGGAAGAACAAGUAUACAAAUAAAAACAAACAGUGAUUCAAGUCACCUGGCGGCAUUUCCCAACACCACUCAAGGUCAUUUUCCAAUCAAGCUCCUUGUGGCCAAUUUCAGCAUCUAUUUCAUAUAGCUCAUAAAACUUUCCCUGUGUUUGACCACAAGUCAUCAUAUUAGGUCACAGUGAUAUAGUGUAAACAACAAGGUUGAGCUAAUACGUUCUGCAAAAUAAAAACCAACUUUGUUCUACAUCAUUCUCUUUAAAAGAAGGCAAGCAGAAAAAAUAUGUUGUGAAAAUAAAUCAUCCCAAAACCCUUGACAUAGAUCAGAAUAUGAACCAACUAGCAAGCCAAAUGUUAUCUACUCAGUCUUAUGGAGAAAACAAAACAUCUCUAUUUGCUCAUUCUACAAAUGGAUUGCUUAGGUGAAUUGUCAAACUGAAUUUGUGGUGCCACAGUGUUUAAUGAGCUACAGACCCAGACAAAACAUGAUGCACUUCAAGUAUAAAUGUUUAACUAGUUCUAACUCACCACUUUAAAGAAAAUCACAACAUCCAUAUACUGACACUUGACAUCCCAGUAUUGUCUCUGUGAUGCGGACAUUUUCUUCAAAGCAUCAGGCGGUAUAUAAAGCGAUGUUCUGUCAUAGAGAGGAUCACCAGGCCUUCUGCGAUUCGCAUCUCUAAUUCGGGACGGAUCAAGCCACUCAAACUUGCUAGCCAUUUCAGACGCCUCCCCACGGCUCUUGUCUAAGACUAUCGGCUCCUCAAGAACUUUCAAUCUUUUACUAGAAUUUGGCACAGAACUCCCAAAUAUAUCCCCAAACUUAGGUAUCUCCUCUUGAAUCCGCUUCAUACGAGGUACUAGACGCUGUGUCCCCGGUGUUUCUGGUCCAGCAAUGUCAUCAUCACUUUCGAUAAGCAUCACAGAACCUUUUUUAAGUUUCUCACCGGAAUUCGCAUCAUUAAAUUUACCAGAUACUACACAAUCAUUACCGGAACCACCAGUUGGUUCAUUCCUACACACAAAAUCAUAAAACAGAAUUUAAAAUUUGUUUCCAAAAUUCCAAAACAGCUAAACAUAACACUAUCAACUACUAUACCCAAGGCUUCAGAGUCACUAUUAAGCUUGAACAGUAGGUAAAACCCUAAGCAUUUCUAUGCGAUUCACCAGAAUAAGUAAGUAAAAAUCACUAUCAAUUUUACUGGAUAAGAUAAGGAACAGUACCGGUGGCUCUGAGAAGCCUUAUGUGAGUCAUCGACCUUCAUAAACUUAUGCAUAAUACUAGAGAAAGGCGAAGAGUCUCUCAGGCUCGCAGAAUUCGCCGUCAGAAUCUGACGUGGCACCUUCUCCGGCGGCGUGUCGGUUCCUCGGACUUUGAGAUCCGGAGCCUGAUUGGAUCCUACGGCCUUCUGCUCCUGCUGCUUCGCCGCGAAAUGGUCAGCUCGCCGGCCAUCGUCUGCGGCGGCGGUGCUGCUCUUCUCCGGCGAGGGUUUCCGGAAAAAGGAGAGGAUUGAUUUCUGGCGCUGCAUAUUGUCAAUUCAGAGAGAAAUGCAUAAAGACAAAAGGCGCCGAAUCGGCUAGUUUUAUUUAGCGGAAGAAAAAUUUGGCGCCAAAAUAUUGCGCUUUUGGGGAAAUGUUUUCCCGGCGGUGAUUUUGAUUUGACCUAGCACGAAACGACGUCGUAUUAGGCUCCAGCACGUGAGCCAAUGAUACGUCACCACGUUGCAAACGGCGACACAGCUAAUAAAUAUUUUUUACAUUAUCAUCCUAUUAUAAUUGUUAGGCCUCAUUUGAUACGCGGAAAGAAAAAUAGUUCUAUUUUCUUUCCCAAGGGAAGGGAAAGAGAAGAAAAAUAAAAUUUCCCAACGAUUUUCUGUUCCAAUGUUUGGUAACACAAGAAAAAUCAUCCAAAAAGUUGUUAAUUAAAAUAAUAAAAUAAUAUAUUAUGAGUAAUAAAUGCAAUAAAAUAAGAUUGGAAAAUGGUUUCUAUGGGCUAUAGAUUUUGGAACGAACAACUUUCCCUCAUAUUUUGAUGGUUCCAUUAGAAGUAAAGUUGCAGCUGGAGGUUUUAUUUUAAGAACAAAAGUUGGUAAACCUCUUAUGGCAGCUGCCUUCAACUCUUGUGUUGCUAGUGUUCCCCUUGCAGAAGCUCUUGCGCUAAGAAACAGUCUGGUAUGCACUAAAGAGAAAGGCUUGUCAAAGAUUUAAGUAGAAGGCGAUUCCAAGCUUGCCAUUGACAUUGCGAAUGGAGUUUGUGAUCCCCCUUAGAGGCUUCUAAAGAUCUUGUUAAAAUGUAAUUUUGUAUCCAUCAGCUUCAAACAUGUAUUGAGGGAACUAAUUUCGUGGCCAAUACUUUGGCUAACAUAGGGUAUAAGGUUGAGAAUUGUCACUUAUGGGAAGAGUGUGUUCCUCUAAAAGCAUCUCUUGUUCUUGUUUUUGAUAAUGUAAACUCUGAGUGUCGGUGAGGUACCUCUAUAUAAUAUAUUUUCUUCUCAAUAAAAAAAAAAUAAAAACUUUCCUCAUAUUUUCUCAAUCUUCAGCCAAAUAUAUCGAAAAGUAACGAAUUUCAUUUCUUGACGGUUACUUUCCGCGAACCAAACGAGCCGUUAAUGUAAACCCUGUUUUGCUCAAAACCCAGGAACCAGAAAAUCGAUUCAGAUGGUGGAGAUUUCUCAACUGAAUGAAGAUCUAUUGGGUCAGAUCCUGAAACGGGUCAGCGACCCGGAUGAAAGGAAACGGGUUUCCCAAGUCUGCAAACAAUGGUUCAUACUCGAGCGUCUAACCAGAACGUCACUCACUUUUCUCGAACUCCGUUUUCUCCUUCAGGUACUUCCUCGAUUCCCGAAUCUAGUUACAUUUCAGACAUCCGAGCCUAUCUUCAUGGACGCAGACCUUAAAUUCUUAGCCCAAACAUGUCCCAAGCUGGAGACCCUCAAUCUCGACACCACAAAACGCAAAUCAGGGUUUUUACCGAUGAACGGUCUUCACGCUCUGUCACUUGGCGGCGGCCUUCCGAAAUUGUCCGAGCUUUUUCUCUUUGGGAGAGAUAAUGUAGUCGUUGAUAAAUGGUUACAUGAGUUGCCACAUGAUAAGUUGACUUGUUUGGAUUUGGGACACUGCAGGUUUGUCGAUGACAAAGGGUUGGUAGUAAUUGGGGAUAUGUGUACUAGUUUGCGUUACUUGAAUUUGGCAAAGUCCAAGAUUUCGGACUUUGGUUUGAGAUUGUUGGCAAAUGGAAGGUGCUCGAAAACCCUCAGGACAUUGGUGCUUUCUCAAUGCUGUUAUAUAACUGAUUUGGGGUUGGCGCAUUUGCGGAAUAUGCAAUUCUUGGAAGUGCUGGAUUUGGACUACUGCGGGGAGGAAGUCACCGAUAUUGGAGUUAUAGCUGCAGUCUCUUCAAAUCGAUCCCUCAAGAAGUUGAACUUGAGUUUGUUGAGGAAUGUGUCGGACCAAAGCAUGGUGUUUCUUGCUGAGAAUUGCCCCAACUUACAGUUUCUUGAUUUAAGUGGUACUAAUGUUACUGGUGCCGGAGUUCGUGCAUUUUCUGGUCACAGGUGCCUAGAGUCUCUUGAUUUGCACGGGAGUGGUGAAUUUUGUUGGUGCGAUAUCGAGUACUUGGUGCUUGGAUGCCAGUCACUCAAGUCUGUCCACCUGUCUAGGCCGCCUAUGGACUCAGUUCCAGAAAGCGUUAGCAGAAUUGUGACAUUGACUGAUUUGUGGUGAAGACAACUUCAACUUCACCAGGUUUGUUAUGUUUUUUAAUUGGUUUAUCUAUGUGUUGCUUCAAUAAAACUGAAUGUAAUAGGCUGCAAAGCAAUGCUAUCCCUCAAGAAAUUGAACAUAAUUCGGUGUCUUAUGUCUUUGACCGAAGCAUUGUUGCUCUGGAUGAGAAUUGCCACAACUUAGAGAUGCUGAAUUUUAGUGGUUGUGUAUAUUCCGGCCGCAGUUGCUUGCUUGAAAUCUGUUGUUUUGCCUUGUAGGUGGCUCUGUGGAAGUGCGUGGAAAAGGUUGUAGCAAGUUGAAGUUGAAUCAGAUGCCAGAAAGCGAUGGGAGAAUUGUGAGGUUCUUUUCAUGCCCAAAUUUGGAGAAUGUUUGGUUCUGUUUUGAUACUUUUUUGGUUUCUUUAUCUAUCUAUUUAGUUUGAGUUGUGUUCUCUUGUUAUAUUGCUCUAUCGAUCUCAAUCAUGAAAAUCACUAGCAACUUUAUCUAGUUAUAGAUUUCAACACCUUGAAAUUUUGUAUAUUUCAGCAGUGUUGUCUUGCUAAUUUAGUUGUCUUUCGAUAUUACACAGCCGAGGUAAUUGUAGUUGACAAUAGAUUUUUUAACUUCAUAUAUAUUGACAAUAUAUACAGACUGGGAGAUCUAAUUCAUAAACCUACAAGUUGAACUAUGGAAGUCUGGACCUAAUUAAGUGAAGUUUGUUUGGAUAUAAUAGGUAAUCAGAAUGCCUGCAUUUGUACCAUUGUGUGGUAGAAGGUAGAUAUGUAAGUUAUAUUUUGGGUGUCUAUGAGAAACUUGAAUUUCAUACCUGGUUUUUUCUUCAUUUUUAUGACAAAAUGGCGUUUUAAAGUAAAUCUGUUUGGGGUUUUUUGUGUUUAUGUUUGGUCAAUGAUUUUGCUACUUGAGACUUAUAGGAACUACAACUACAGCUACAUAUAUAACUAAUAACUGAUAAUCCAGUCAUACAAACUUGAUAAUUGAUAUGUUUUGAAUUCAUAUGUUUCAGAAUGUUUCAUCGACUCACCUACAAUACAACAUGCAGAACUCAAAAUAAAAAGUUUAAUUCUGAUCGAAAUCAUGUUUAGUAUAUGCUCUAUUCUCAGUAACCCGUAUUGCAUUCCCUAAUAACAUAGAUGUGUCUGGAUUAGCAAAUUCAUAAGGUGUUAAGAAUUUACUUAGAUGUUUGACACUUAUCCUUGCUUCCUCUUUACUUAUAUUGAACAUGGUGAACAUAUAUCAAAGACGACAACCUACAACUGAAAAGGACUGAGAUGAUAGGAGUUUUUAGUGGGUCAGUCGCGACUCAUCUAUGCCUUCUUCUAUAACUAAUGUUCAAAAAUAAUAGGUCUGAAUAAUCAGAGCAUCUUCAGUAUACGGUGUGUAUCUACACAUAUAUAUGAGUAUGAAAUAAUCAUAGCAUCUUCGGAACAUAUAAAGGGUGUUACUAAAUGUACCCAGUAAACUUCUAAAUAGACCCAACACAACAAUUUUUAUCACAUAUUUUUCUAUUUUACCCCUAAAAUAGUAAAUUUAAUUUUAAAAAAGAUGCAUUCUUAUUACUGUAAUUUACAAGAAACACAGAUCCAGCACCUUGAAUCGGAAAAUAAAGGAAACCCAGCACCUCUGGAAUAUCGAUCGUUUUCAUUACCAGUGUGUUUCAACAUCAAUUGAACAAGGCCAAACAACUUGUCAAACACUAUUUCUCCUUUUCAAAUCUGUACUUUAAAAAUGUUGGAUUCAAUUGAAAGGCAAACAAACUAUAAAUUCUAAUAAACUGCAUAAAAACGAUACGAAAGAUGAUAUUUCACAAAGAAAUAGAAGAAGAUCAAGGAAGAAAGUGAGAGAGAGAGAGAGAGAGAGAGAGAGAGAGAGAGAGAGAGAGAGAGAUCUAAGAGUAUUCCAACACAACCCAUCAUGCGACUAUGAUUCAUAGAUUCUUAUUCUAAAGCUGUAUCACAUCUGGGUGCUUCCCAGUUCUCCCACGCCAUUAUCCUUUAUUCUUCUUUAAUUACAUUUAGCUAUUAGCUAACCUCACAAUCAUAUCAUAUCAUUUCAUCAUCAAAUAUUCUUAUGAUUGUGCUGAUGUUCUUCGGUCUUGAUUCAUAAACACUACGAUUGGGGGAUAUUGAAUGAGGCACGAACGGCAAUUUAUUAUGAUAAUUUUAAUUUAUUUUUUAUAUAUUAAAAUUGGGGUAAAAAUAUUAUAAAAUAUUAUGCUGAGUUUACUUAGAUAUUUGCUGUGUAAAUUUGGAAGCACUCCAUAUAAAUGAACGAGUAAAAUUAAGACCAAGUAUAAUAAGAAUUUGCUUUCGUUAUCCCUUCUUCCAACUAGGACCCAAACGACGUCGCAUAACUAUUUCCAGAACCUCCCGCCAAUUCUGCCUCGCCACGUUGUACACGGAGCCCAUAGAUAUUUGUCUACGAUUGCCACGCUGUCAGCUCUAUCCUCCAAAAACAGAGAACUUUUGAGAAGUUUCGAGAUGCUCCCUCACCUCCCUCGCUAUAUAAACCGUUUUGUUUUGCAUUCAUUACCUAUCUAAUUUUUCUUCAACAACCUCCUCUCUCUUUCUCUCCUAAAUCCACAGAAUCUAAUUCCGUUUCUCUCUCUAAUUCCGUUUCUCUCUCUUCAACUUUUCCGAUCAUGCCGAACCGAUCCGCCGGAGCACUGACACAGGACUGGGAGCCGGUGGUGAUCCACAAGUCCAAGCCGAAGCCACAAGACCUCCGCAAACCCAAGGUGGUGAACCAGGCCCUCCGGUCCGGCGCGCCGGUCCAGACGAUCAAGAAGUCCGACGCCGGCCACAACAAGAAGGCGGCGCCGGUGGUGAGCGUGAAGAAGCUGGACGAGGCGGCCGAGCCGGCGGCGCUGGACCGAGUCUCGGCGGAUGUGAGGCAUGCGAUUCAGAAGGCGCGGCUGGAGAAGAAGAUGAGUCAGGCUGACCUGGCUAAGAGGAUCAACGAGCUCCCUAAGGUGGUUCAGGAGUAUGAGAACGGGAAGGCCGUGCCGAACCAGGCGGUGCUGGCGAAGAUGGAAAGGGUUCUCGAGGUGAAGCUCAGGGGUAAAGUCGGUAAAUAAGAUCAAAACGGCUGCGUUUUGGGGGUUAGGGUUUCUGUGAUGAACAUAAUGUGAGUGGUCUGUUUGGUAAUUAGCUAUGAGAUCUGAGUAUAAUGUUUUAGGCUGUAAAAAGUAAGAAAUGAAUGAACUCUGAUGCUGUUGUUGAAAUCAAUUUCUGGAUUUGGCUCUAGUUUUAUUAUGCAUACCAAUUGUGCCUAUUACAUGUUUGAUGAAAUGCCUCUGCUAACCCAUCUAUGAUGAUAGAGCUAGACUUAUUUUACAACACAAAAACAGAGUAAAUUUAGAGCCAGGGAGAGUUGUAGAUUGGAGUGACCACUGAUUUGAUAUGCAUAUACUUGUGGAGGCCUUCCAUACCCAUGUCUUUUCCAAAGCCACUCAUCUUGUAUCCACCAAAAGGGGCGUCGUUGUCGGCGGCGAGGUAGCAGUUGAUCCAUAUGGCACCGGCGCGGAUUGACCUUGAGACGGUGUUGGCAAUGUCGAUGUUCUUGGUUACAAUGCCUGCUGCUAGGCCAUAUUUGGUGUUGUUGGCUCUCUGUAUGGCCUCUUCUAUGGUCCUGCAAUAGAAUAGGCUCACAGUUAGGGGACAUUUUCGAGCUGAUGUGAAGCGCGAAAUGGGAGCAAGGGUUUUACUUACUUGAACUUCAUCACAGACAUUACAGGUCCGAAUAUUUCAUCCUUGGCUAUCAUCAUGUCAUCCUGAGGGAGUUGUUAGAACAAAUAAUCAGAUGAAACAGAACAAACAUUCGCGAUAUUGACCUGAAUUAGCUAAGAGUGUACCUUGACAUCUGUGAACACUGUUGGCUCAAUGUAGUAACCCUUGUUGCCCACAGGCUUGCCUCCUGUUAGCAAAGUGGCUCCUUCUCUUUUUCCAUGCUCAAUGUAGGUUAAAACUCUCUCAAACUGCUGCCUACAAACCUGCGAUUGUUGUCACGACUGACAGACGUUAGAAUCUAGAGGGAUCACAUUGCAUAACCAUGAAGAAUUCGAUCAGAAGCAUAGUACAUAGCAUAGAUCAAUCGGAAAACUGCAUCGCCUUGUUGAUGACUAUAAAUAUUGAUCGAAAAGAGUGACUGAACAUUCACUAUUUUCAGGAUUCGCUUGUGUUACCUGGGGUCCUUGACGAACAUUAGGAUCAAAAGGAUCCCCAACAGUCCAAUAUUUUGCCUUCUCUUUCAGCUUCUUCACUAGUUCAUCAUGAAUCCCUUCUUGAACUAAAACACGAGAACUUGCCACGCAAGUUUCUCCCUGAAAACAUGAAUGACGCAAAGUUACCUCACUGCAAUAAUUUCCAUUCAAGUUAAAAGAACUUCAGAUUUGAAGAUGGAUGAUACAAAUUAAUGAUCCUGACCUUGUUGAAGAGGAUCCCCAAGAGAGCAAGGUCAGCAGCCUUAUCUACAUCAGCAUCAUCAAAGAUUACAAGGGGUGACUUGCCGCCUAGUUCAAGUGAAACUGAUUUUAAGUUGCUCUUUGCUGCAGCCUGCAUCACUAGACGGCCUACGUCUGUAGAACCAGUAAAACUGACCUGAAAUGUCAAGAAAUCAAACCAAGUAUCAGUAGGUGUUACAUUAAGCCUUAGCAAUGACCAAGUUGGAAGCAGAAGAGCUGGAACUUACUUUGUCAAUGUCCAUAUGAUAACUGACGGCCGCACCAGCAGUCUCUCCAAAUCCAUUUACGACAUUGAUCACUCCAUCAGGAACACCAGCCUUCAUAAAGAAAUCAAAAGCCAAAGUCACUACUACAUCUAAGCUACAUUGGCAAUGCAAACAUUUGAAUUCUCUUCUAAAUAUAUGCCGUCAGGAAGUGAGCUUAUAUUAAAGAGAGAAUUCACAUAAUCUCGCGACAUAGCGGCGUGUACUAAUCGAUCAUCUGACUACAUAACAUGUCACACUAUCGCCACAUAGCAUGACAAAGCAACUAUGCCGGAUCAGAACCAUGAGAAUGAUUUUUCAAGCUUACCAGCUGGGCCAGAUGAGCCAAAUAGAGAGCCGAAAGAGGUGUCUGCUCAGCCGGUUUGAUGACCAUGGUGCAACCAGCAGCUAAGGAAGGAGCGACCUUAAAAGAUAACAUGCCGCAUGGAAAAUUCCAUGGAAUGAUGUGUCCAACAACACCAACUGGUUCGAGUAAAGUAUAAGCUUGAAGCUCAGUCGACAUUUUGAGCACAUUUCCGUGAAUUUUAUCAGCUGCACCCGCAUAGUAACGGAAGGUCUGUGCUGCCUGAGGUAUGUCUAUGGCUAUGCCCAUACUGAACAACUUCCCAGCAUCAACUGUAUCCAAUUUGGCUAGUUCUUCUGCAUGUUCAUCAAUCAAGUCUGCAAACUUCAUCAUGAUCCUUCUCCUCUCCUGAACAUUGGUCAAGGCAUUACAUCAACAAUCGUUAGCGAAAAUAAGAAAGGCUGAUUCGAAAUUCCGAACAAAUUAAUUAGAUAAAAUCAACAGUGACAUCUCUACUAGGACUAAAAAUGGCAAACUAGUCAAGAGUAGAGAAACGUAAUACGUACAAUGCCGGGCAAACGAGGCCAGGUGCCAUGGUCAAAGGCGGCUCUUGCAGCUUUGACUGCCAAAUCCACGUCUUCCUUAUCUCCCUCUGCAACUCUGGUUAUCACCUCCCCUGUUCUUGGAUCGAUUGUCUCAAAUGUUUUACCUUCAUUAACGAACAAGAAACCAAUAUGGAUCGCAAACUCUUGUUAGCUAAUGUUUCCCCAUAUGAUCGUGUGACUAAAUCAUAACGAUACAGAGAAGAUUAACAUGUGUUCGAGACAAGUGAAUCAGGAAUAUUCAAGUACCUGAAACAGAAUCCACGAACUCUCCAUUGAUGAAGAGCUUGGUGAACUUUAUAGUUGGCAGCUUCACAAAGGACUCCUCGGAGCUGGCGUUACUAUUGGCACCCAUUUCUGUUUUUGUUGUUCUUGCUAGUGUUUAACUGUAUCGUCUAUGUUGAGGUUGUAGUGUUUAUAUAACAAAAGGAUAGGACUACAGAGGAGGCAAAAGUCUUCUAUUCAAAUUAAAAAAAUCUUAGUUGUAGACUAGUUGUGACUGUUGAAUGUUCUCAGACUACCUUAUUUGAAUUUGGUACAAAAACAAUGGUAAGAUAUUGUAGCAAACUACAAUUUCUAAUACAAUUCCUCAUAGUAACUCAACAGUUUUCUAUAACUUGGAUCUAUUUGUAGCUCUAUAGUCUAUACUCUUUCAGAGAUAUCUUGAAGGUGACCAAUACCUAAAUUAUCCUUUCAGGCUCGCAAUUAAAACAGUGGAAAAUCAAAUACAUAGUAUACAAAAAACACACUUACAAUAUUUUUUGACAUAUCCCACAAAAAAGUAUACAACUUCAUCUAAAUAACUUAUUGUGCACUACUGCAAGUUGCUAGCAUUCUUUUGGUAUAGGAUUUACAGCCAAGGAGAGUUAUAGAUGGGAGUGACCACAGAUUUAGUAUGCAGAAACUUGUGGAGGCCCUGCAGACCAUAGUCUUUUCCAAAGCCACUCAUCUUGUAUCCUCCAAAAGGGACAUCAUCGCCGAAGGCGAAGUAGCAGUUGAUCCAUAUAGUACCCGCGCGGAUAGAUCUUGAGACAGUGUUGGCCACAUCGAUGUUUUUGGUUACAAUGCCGGCUGCUAGGCCAUACUUGGUGUUGUUAGCUCUCUCUAUUCCCUCCUCAAUGGUCCUGCACAAUUGCUCAUUGUUGUAAGUAAAUUAUAUCUAUUCAGAAGAGCUAAAAAAGGAAUCAGUUUUGUGCUUACUUGAACUUCAUUAGUGACAUGACAGGUCCAAAUAUUUCAUCUGUGGCUAUAAGCAUGUCAUCCUGAGGGAGUUGUUAUAACAUUAAUCAGAUGAACAUGGAAGAUCAAACAAGAUUAACAUAAUUAACUGUAUCAUUUUUUACCUUGACGUCAGUAAAUACUGUUGGUUCAAUGUAAUAACCCUUCUUUCCCACAGGCUUGCCCCCUGUCAACAAAGUUGCUCCUUCUCUUUUUCCAUGUUCAAUGUACGUCAAGAUUUUCUCAUACUGUGUUUUAUCUACCUGCAAAUUUAAAUGAAUGUCAUGAAUCUGAAAUCAUAGGAUACAUUAUCUUCUGUAUAACUUUCGAAUUCGCUAUGGUAGUACAUAGAUAUAUCAAAAUCUACCAUGUUGAUGGCUAUAAAUAUCGAAAUAGUCUAAAAGGCAGUAUGAUCAUCGUCAUAUAUAUAUACCUGGGGUCCUUGACGAACAUUAGGAUCAAAAGGAUCCCCAACUGUCCAAUCUUUUGCUUUCUCUUUCAACUUCUUCACAAGUUCAUCAUAAAUCCCUUCUUGAACAAACACACGAGAACUUGCCACACAAAUUUCUCCCUGUAAAAUGUGAAUGACACAAAGUUAAUUAACCCUGCUACAUGCAUAUAGAGCUAUGAAUGAAACUCCUGACUACAAAAAAUUACGUAAACUAAAACUAUAAAAACUGACUUUGUUGAAGAGGAUCCCCAAUAGAGCAAGGUCAGCAGCCUUGUCUACAUCAGCAUCAUCAAAAAUUAUUAGAGGUGACUUGCCCCCUAGUUCAAGUGAUACUGCUUUUAAAUUGCUCUUUGCUGCAGCCUGCAUCACAUGACGUCCGACCUCCGUGGAACCAGUGAAACUGACCUAAAUUAUUACGAAUUUAAUCAAGUAUCAAUUUGUAUUACAUCAAGCUAUUAAACUGUGCUGAAAGUUGAGUAACCAAAGAUUCCAAGAGAAAGAGCUAGAGUUUACUUUGUCAAUGUCCAUAUGAUGGGUUAUGGCAGCACCAGCAGUCUCUCCAUAUCCAGUGAUGACAUUGAGCACUCCAUCAGGAACACCAGCCUUCACAAACAACACAAGCCAAAGUCACCACUAGCAAUACUAAUGCACGUCAUAGGCUUGAUAACAUAACAAAUCUACUCAAGUUAUACUAUGAGAAGGUUUGUCCAUGCUUAAUUACCAACUUAGCAAGAUGAGCAUAAUAGAGCGCCGAUAGAGGUGUUUGCUCCGCAGGUUUGAUCACCAUUGUGCAACCUGCUGCCAAGGAAGGAGCAACCUUUGCGAACAGCAGCGUGCUGGGAAAAUUCCAUGGAAUGAUGUGUCCAACAACUCCAAAGGGUUCGAGUAAUGUAUAGGCUUGAAGCUCGCGUGACAUUUUGAGCACCUCUCCAUGAAUUUUAUCAGCUGCACCAGCAUAGUAACGUAGAGUCUGUGCUACUAGAGGUAUGUCAACAGCUUUGCCAAAACUGAACAACUUCCCAGCAUCAACUGUAUCCAACUUGGCUAGUUCUUCGCUAUGUUCAUCAAUCAAGUCCGCAAACUUCAACAUAAUCUUUCCCCUCUCCUGAACAAUAUCACAUCAAGCCAUCAAUUUAAGAUCACUCUUAAGUAUUCACACUAAAGUAAAGUAAUUAAUAUAUUUCAAGUGUUACUAAAUAUACAAGCCAAUAAGCUUAAUAUUAAUUAGAUGACAGUUUAAUUUUAGAUAUACACAAUUUUCAUUAAUUAAUUAAUUGUCUAAAAUUUGAGCAAACUUCACUUUUCCUUAACAAGUAUGAUCAGCUCUAUCUGGUCCAGAAAAGGACUAGCUAGAGAAAAUGAGAAGUAAUGAUCAAGGACUUUUCAGAUGGUAAAAUUUGAAAAUCAGAUAGUUGACCAGAAGAACAAACAACCGGAUAAGAUUUUCUUUGGUCAGCAAAGACAAAAAAUAUAAAAAAGCUUGAAAAUGAUUUCUAUUUUUAACGGUGACUUAAUAUUAAAUAUCUUAAUCAGUAACUGACCAGUAAACAUUGUUGUUCUAAACUAAUUAAUAUAUAUAUUACGUAUGACACAAGCAACUAAUUAAAUACGAAGUUUUACUUUGAAAAUUUCACAAUGUCGACUUCAUUUUUAUAAUUUUUUUGUUUGGGACCUCAUCAUUUUCGGUGCCACACUGUAGAUAGAAGAAAUGAGAUGGUGACAGACUUGAUAAGUCAACUCGACGAAUAUCUCUUCGACGGGAAAAAAAAAAAACCUUAAGUGACAUAUAAGCUUACGUCACCAUCGAUAUCGACUAGAUAAUCGAAGGUGCUAUGUGUUUAAUAUAAAUCAUAUUUACGAAUCAUAAUGCUAGCCACAUGAUACGUGAUAUAUCUCACUCUGAUGAAACAGUAAACCUAGCUGAAAGACUUGUGGGUGCUUGCUAUUUUUCUUAUCGAAGAAAACUUUAUAGGAGACUAAUUCGUGUCGGGAGAUCAAAGAUUUAACAAACACAUGCAGCAAGAAACACCUAGCUCUCGAUCAGUAAUCUUUUAUAUGUAGUGUGGUUCAUUUUGUCGUCGAAAUAAUAUAACAAACAAACACAUGCAGCAAGGAGAGUCAAGAAAGCCAAAAGUAGAAAUUUCAGAACCAAAACAAGUUAGCUUAGCUUAGCUAGCUAUAGGUGGCAGUAAAGAACAGAAUGGGGAUUACGUACAGCGCCGGGAAAGCGAGGCCAGGGGCCGUGGUCAAAGGCGGCGCGUGCAGCUUUCACGGCCAAAUCCACGUCUUCCUUAUCUCCUUCCGCCACUCUGGUUAUCACCUCGCCUGUUCUUGGAUCUAUCGUCUCAAAUGUUUUUCCUAUUUGCGAAACCAAAACAUCAGUAUAAAUCAGAAUGUAUGUACGUGUAGGUGUUGUGCUUUCUGAAACCUUAGCCGAUGACACGUUGAAGCUGAUGACAUGCAUAAGUCCAGAAAUGGUAGCUAGCUUGCUAGCUAGAAUAUAUAUGCGUUUGGAUCUUUGAACAAUACAGAAACUAAACAUCAUCAACAAGCUAGCUAGCAGUGGUUUGUGACUUGUGAAACAUGAUAACGAUCGAGGAAGAAGGUAUGUACCUGAAACGGAGUCGACGAAUUCGCCAUUGAUGAAGAGCUUGGUGAACUUUAUCGUUGGCAUCUUCACAAAGGACUCCUCGGAGCAUGCAGAGCUUCCAUUACUUUGGCCACCCAUUAUAUCUGUUUCCUGUCAAGAGACUUGUUUUUGCUUCGUUUCGUAUAGAUUGAGAAUGUUUAUAUAGACGAGCCAAGAGGCAAGAAGCAAGACGCAAGAAGGAAACGUAAUUGUUUUUUUUGUUUUCUUUUCAACUGAGGAGACGUAAUUGUUUAGCAAAUAGGUAACUUCCGGUGGAGACACUAGAAAUAUAGAAAUUUAGUUAACUUUUUUUAGAUAUAGAAAAUAAAAAUAAAAUUCAACUGAGUUCCUGAAUUCAAGUCUGAGAUCAUUAACAAAGGAGAUGCUAAACACCGAAGUGGUAGACUUGGUGGCUUGGUGCACCCCAGUGAGAUUACGUACCCAGAUGAACAUUUGAAUUCUUUUAAGGCAAUUGACUCAAUUAGCUUUCCUAAUCUUGUUCUUAGAUAAUAGUUUGAUCACUGUCACUUGUAUUAGUCUAAAAUAAAAUUGCUCAACCAUGUCUGAAGCUGAAUGAACUCCCAAGAUUAAAUAAAUGAUGUGGCUGCUAUUGGAUUUGUAUAACACAAGAGUUUGGAGGUGAUAGCUAAAUUAAAAGCUAUUUAUUUUCCUUAUUCUCCUGCAAAUUUGUCGAUUGUAAUAUAGAGAAAUAAGGGUCUCCCGCAGAGGAUUAAGUUAAACUAAAAGCUUCAACAAAAGUCACAAAACGUGACUGCAGCUCCUAUUGAACAACAGUCGAAAAAUAAAAGUAAAACCUAACCUAGAAUGUUCAGAAAAACACGAAAAUUUACAGAGGUGUACUAGACACACAGAGAGUCUAGCACACAAAAUUUGAGACAAAUCGGAGUUGAUUUGAUAGGGAAAUAAAAUACAGGAAUAUGACGAACAGAAGAUAAGAAAACUGAAAACUGAUUUCAAAGUAGUUGAAAAUCAAGAUAAUGAGACUAGCUAGGGAGGAAGUAUCCACCCCCCCCGACAAUCACACACAACACACUUUGUCCAAUUUGUGACCAACUAACUCAAUUGAAGAUGCUCAGAUUGACUCGGUACGCUUGAGUACAAUCUAUUACUCUUUCUUACUUUGUACGUUAGGCAGGAAGUGCUCUACACCUAAACUAUUCUCAAACAUUGUAACCUAAAGGUACGUUUAUUAGGUUAAACAAGCAGAGAUCAAUAAACAUGAAAAGAGUUUGAGCAAUCACUAGGCAUCGCAAUAAACUUAGCGCCUUGCUAAACCUAGGGUUUCGUCUACUCGCUAGUAAAAACUACCGAUUACUUCUCUAGACAAUUUGAGGGAUCCGAUAUUGACCCAAGCAUCAAAUAAUCAAAGUAUUAGAACCCUAGCAUGUAUACUAAGUAGGCCUCCAAAGCACACACACAAAGAAUUCAUCGAUGAACAAUCGGUAAACAAAACCUCAAUCUUAUUAAUUACAAAAACAAAUUGAAAAUCAAAGCAUGUUAUGAAUCAUGUCUAGGGGCUUCAACAGCCCCCUAGCUACUAUGAGUUUAGUUGCGCAUAAUGAAAAUUAAAAACACAAAAGAGUUCAUGGAAGGGGAAGACAACAAUAACCAAGCUUGGAGAAUCCUUGAGAAGAGAUCAAUCUUGUUCCGUCCGAUUCUUGUGUUCUUUUCUUCCCGACUUGUCUUCUUUUCUUUUGAAAUCCACCAAGCAUGAAUAGAAGAAAUUCCUUAUCAGAUUUCCGGUGCUCAUUGAUCACCAUUUCCACAUGUUCAAAGAAAUCAAAAGGCACUUCGAUGAAUGGAGCAUGUGGAGAGCCUAAAUGUGGCAAGGAAGAGUCUGGUGGGCGAACAUGCGCUGGCAAUAGAGGAUCAAAUAUGGAAGCUUUGACGGUCUCCCCCUCUAAGCAAUAACUCACAUCAUGCUUGGAACACUCUUGAUUUUCAUGAGGUAUUGUGAUCUCCUCCAACACAUGGAACUCAUUAUCAGCUUCAAGUUCCUCAUUGUUAGAGUCAUUGAAGUUCUCUUCAUAGACCACCUCGACAUUUGAGUCUUCUUCCUCCUCUACGAUGUAGUUAAGUGAUGUACCAUGAGAUUGAAGCAAAGAGGUGGUUACAUGAAGCUCCCAUAGGACUGGCAUAUGUGUGUGAGUUCGUCUGUAUGUCUAGCUUGUCUCUGUAAAUAUUUGUAUUUUUCUGAGUAGUUUACGUUAGUCAACUAAUUAGGUUUCCGACUGCUGGUCGUUAGGAUCAGUAGUCACUUUUGUGACGUCUUUUGAGUAGUUAGAUUCAGUUAGUCCUCUGCGGGAAAGACCCUUGUUUACCCUUUGCUACGAUCGACAAUCCUAAGUGUGAAUAAGGAAAAUUAGUAGCUUUUUAUUCAGCUNNNNNNNNNNNNNNNNNNNNNNNNNNGCAAAGGGUAAACAAGGGUCUUUCCCGCAGAGGACUAACUGAAUCUAACUACUCAAAAGACGUCACAAAAGUGACUACUGAUCCUAACGACCAGCAGUCGGAAACUUAAUUAGUUGACUAACGUAAACUACUCAGAAAAAUACAAAUAUUUACAGAGACAAGCUAGACAUACAGACGAACUCACACACAAAAUUUCAGAUGAAUCGGAGUUGAUUUGAUAGGUGAAAUAAAUCUGGGAAAUCAGAGGACAGAAAAGUGACGAAAAUAGAUUUUGGUUUUUGGUUUUAGAAAACAAUGAUGAAACUAAUAAGAGAAGAUGCAAUCCACCCUGACAAUCACUCACAAGACAAUUUGCUGAGUUCUAGUCCAAUUAAUCUAGAUGAAGAUGCUCAGGUUGGCUCGGUACGCUUGAAACACAACCUAUUACCCUUUCUUACUUUGUACGCUAGGCAGGAAGUGCUCUACACCUAGACUAUUCUCAAGCAAUGCAACCUAAAGGUACGCUUAUUAGGUUUAAUACGCAGAGAUCCUUAAGUUCUAAAAGGGUUUGAGAUAUCACAAGGCAUCGCGAUAAACUUAGCGCCUUGCUAAACCUAGGACUUAGUUUACUUGCUAGCGAAAACUAACAAUCGCUUCUCUAGAUAGUUUGAGGAGUCCGAUAUUGACACUGGCAUCAAACUAUCAAAGCCAUAGAACCCUAACAUGCAUACUAAGCGUGCACUCAAAGCAUACAGGAAAAGAAUUCAUCAAUGCCAAAGUAGUAAACCAAAUCUCAUCUUGAAUUAAAGGAAACAAAAGCCAAAUCUCAAAUCAUCUUGUAGUUCAUGUCUUAGGGCUUCAAGCAACCCCUCACUAAGAAAAACUAAACAAACAUGAUAAUAUAAAUAGGAAAACGCAGAAGAUGGAGAGGAGAAGAAGAAGAAGAAGAAGAAGACGGCAGAUGGUGAUAGCACAGGGCUUUUAUAUUGCUUCCUUCAACCAAUCCUACUUGAUUUAGGUUUCCCUCGACCAAUGGAAGUGCGCCAACUCAUUUAAUUCUUCAUAAUCAGUUCCCAUCGAGAUAAUAAGUUGGAAUAUGAAGUACAAACUCGACCAUGGGCUUCCUAGUGUGAUUUGGGCCUCAGAACACAAAUUCCCGUCAAAGGUCAGAUUCAGGCGCAGUUUGACCUUCUGACACUAAAUCGGCCAUAACUUCUUCUAGAAAAAUGCUAUUCACGAACCGUAAAAUGCUACGGAAAUUUGACAUCCGUAGCUUUCUAAUGGUAUGAGGCUCAUGAUCUGAUUCAUCCUUAGCUGCCCUCAGUGCUCUGUCGAAGUAGGCUGAUCUGCAAAGGCAGAUUUCUGAAUUUUGCCUUCCAAUGUCUCUUCUCCACCCUUUUCUUUAAAUUUGCUCCAAAAUUCCUAGAAAACAAACCAACAAAGUAAACAACUAGAAAAUACACCAAAUAAACAAAGAAAGUAUAGAGGAAUUCGAUACAAAUAAUGUAUAAUUAUGCACCUAUCAGGAGGUUAAUUGGCAAGCCUCGUUGACAAACAAUGAUCAUUUGCAGGUUUCGAUCAAAUAGAGACUUGUAUAUUGCAACAACAAAGAGAGGAAACACGUACAUGCAAAUAGAUGAUGUACAUAUACAAUCCUUUUGACAUUUCCCACAUAAAUAAAGAACUUCAACUCAAUAAUUUUAUUCUGCACUGGAAUUACGACUAUUAACAUUAAUUCUUUUGGUAAAGGAUUCAAAGCCAGGGAGAGUUAUAAAUGGGAGUGACCACAGAUUUAGUAUGCAGGUACUUAUGGAGGGCCUGCAUACCAAAGUCUCUUCCAAAGCCACUCAUCUUGUAUCCUCCAUAGGGGCAGUCGCGGUCGAAGGCAAAGUAGCAGUUGAUCCAUAUAAUGCCUGCACGGAUUGAUCUUGACAUAGUGUUGAUCACAUCGAUGUUCUUGGAUACAAUGCCUGCAGCUAGGCCAUACUUGGUGUUGUUAGCUCUCUCUAUUCCUUCCUCAAUAGUCCUGCAAAAUUGCUCAAAUUUAUAAGCUAAACUUACGCCUUUUAGCAUAUCAGAAAGACUAGAUGGAACAAAAGGAAUCAGGCUUAAUUAUGCUUACUUGAACUUCAUUAGCGACAUCACAGGUCCGAAUAUUUCAUCCUUGGCUAUAAGCAUGUCAUCCUGUGCAGAUUGUUGUAACAUCAAUGCGUUAAACAUAACAGAAACAUAAUCAACAUUCGCUAUAUCAGAUUUGAUAUUGAUGUGUUGACAAGUACCUUGACAUCAGUGAAUACUGUUGGCUCAAUGUAAUAUCCCUUGUUCCCCACAGGCUUUCCCCCUGUUAACAAAGUUGCUCCUUCUCUUUUCCCAUGCUCAAUGUAAGUCAAGAUUUUCUCAAACUGCUUUUUAUCGACCUGCAGUUCAUAUAUAGGUAAGGUUUUGUAUAACUAUAGGAAUUCACAAGCUUUAGUCAGGCAUAUACGUACAUCAAUCAUAAAGCUGCAUUUGAUUGUUAUAAACAUUAGAAGACACUAAUUAGUUAAGAACAUAGACUAUCUUGGGAUUUUCGCCUGCCUUACCUGGGGUCCUUGACGAACUUUAGGAUCAAAAGGAUCCCCAACAGUCCAUUCUUUUGCCUUCACUUGCAAUUUCUUGACUAGUUCAUCAUAAAUCCCUUCUUGAACAAACACACGAGAACUGGCCACACAAAUUUCUCCCUGAAAUGAUGAAUAACAAAAGAGUUAGUAUUGCGACAUAUUAUGGUUAAGAAAAGUAUGAAACAAAGUUAUGACUAUGAAGCAGACCUUGUUGUAGAGGAUUCCCAAGAGAGCAAGGUCAGCAGCCUUGUCGACAUCAGCAUCAUCAAAUAUCAAAAGGGGUGACUUGCCCCCUAGUUCAAGUGAAACUGCUUUUAAAUUGCUCUUUGCUGCCGCCUGCAUCACUUCACGACCUACUUCUGUGGAACCAGUGAAACUGACCUGAAAGAUGAAGAAGUUAACAGAAGUAUCAAUAUCACAGUAAGCCAUUCAACUAUACUGAAGUUUGUACAGUUAGUCACAUAAACGACACGCAGGUUGAAGGAAAAGAGCUAGUUACUUUGUCAAUGUCCAUAUGAUGAGUGACGGCAGCACCGGCAGUCUUUCCGAAUCCAGUUAUGACAUUGAGCACUCCAUCAGGAACACCAGCCUUCAUAAUAAAGUCAAAAACCAAUGUCACCACUAAAAUUAAGCUGCAUAACCGAUAAUCUAAAAUGACAAUUUGAUAACAUAACAUUGAAACAUUUUAAGUAACAUAAUAUGUCAGGUGACUGACUGUGCAAAGUUCCUUGAGAAGUUUUUUCUAGCUUACCAAUUUAGCCAGAUGAGCAUAAUAGAGCGCCGAAAGAGGUGUUUGCUCAGCCGGUUUGACGACCAUAGUGCAACCAGCAGCUAAGGUAGGGGCAACCUUAGCAAACAGCAGGCUGCUGGGGAAAUUCCAGGGAAUAAUGUGUCCGACAACACCGAUAGGUUCGAGCAAUGUAUAACCUUGGAGCUCCCGCGACAUUUUCAGCACCUCCCCAUGAAUUUUAUCAGCUGCACCAGCAUAGUAUCGUAGCAUGUGUGCUACCUGAGGUAUGUCUACAGCUUUGCCGAAACCAAACAACUUCCCAGCAUCAACUGUAUCCAAUUUGGCUAGUUCUUCUGCGUGCUCAUCAAUCAAGUCUGCAAACUUCAACAUAAUCCUUCCUCUCUCCUGAACAAUAUUCAAGUAUUUACAUCAAUUUUCAGUCUCUUAAUUCUUAACUAAUGUUGAAUUAAUACUAAACAGCAAAGCUAAGCCAAGUAUAUUGUAAUUUUGUUACAGUACUAUGUGUCUUCAUAUAUACAUUCUUAGGUCUUUUUCUACGUUUAUUAACUGUGGUCCAUGAAAAGGACUUCAAAGAUCAUAGUCAAGGAUUUGUCAAUAGUCCAAUUAAGGAUGAUAUUCGAUAAAGAUUGAGACUACAAAUAUGGUUCAUUUUUGAAAUACAAGAUUGUUACAUUAAGAAAACGAAUCAAAUUGUGUAUAAGUUCACAUGGAUGCUAACUAUAGUUACACAGUUAGUUCUCCAGAAAAAAAAAAAAAAAAAAAAAAACUAAUAGUUACACAGUUACACAUGUAAGAAAUAUAUUGUUACCCCUUACUAUUACUUUUACAAUUGAGGUGUUCAAUUAAACAACAUGUAGUGCUAAUCACAUGAUCACAUUGUUACUAUAAACUAUCAUAUUGUACAACUACUUAUACUAAUUGUGUAAUGUUAAUCACAUGAUCCCCUCAUAAUAUAUGUUGCCGACCACGUUAUAUAUAUAUCUCUCUCUAAUCGAGUCUCAUUAUUAAGUCACUAAUGAUCGUAAUUAGAAAAAUAUGAUACAAAUCUUAUCUUGCCUUAAACUAAGAAUAUUUAGUCAGCUGGCUCAUGAAGCCGGCCACCUCUAAUAAUACAGUGCAAUCUUAGUUAAGUUAUUAAUGCCUAGUUUGGUUCAAGGAAGGUAAAGGAAAGGAAAUUAAGGAAAUCUUUGAAUUUUCCUUCGACAGAGGAAAAGAAAGUGAAUCAUUGGGGUGGGGGAGAGAAUCAUUUUCCACCCGAUUUUCCUUUCAUGUGGGAACUACUUUCUUUUCCUACUCUUUUCAUUUUGGUUUCUAAACAAUAAAAAUCAAUGAUUUUCCUUUCUCAAUGGCUUGAUUUCAUGAACCAAACAUGACUUUAAUAGAAAUCUUAAUGGAAAGUAAUGAUUUUCCUUUCUCAAUUACUUGAUUCCAUAAACCAAACACCGCCUUAAUAGAAAUUUCAGGGACCACAUGAUAAUAUCCUUGUACAAAAUAGACGAAGAAGCUGGAGCAGCCUCGAUAUAUAAUUCUAUUUACAUAAGAGCAGCCUCAUUAUAUAAUUCUAUGUAGACAAAAAAAAAAUUAUUGGUUUUGUCUUCAUCAUGGAAUUAUAACAAUAAUAUUCCAAUAAUGCUGUCUUGACGAAGACGCUGGUAAAAAAAACAAAAGAUGCCAAUCGAACAAAGACAGACAAGGAAACUGGGGAUUGAAAGGAACAAUAUAGCUUAGCUAUGGAGGCGGUAAAAGCAAAGAAAAAGAGAGUAGCCGGAUUAAUAAUACGUACAGCGCCGGGCAUACGAGGCCAAGGGCCAUGGUCGAAGGCGGCGCGUGCAGCUUUCACCGCCACGUCCACGUCUUCCUUAUCUCCCUCUGCAACUCUGGUUAUCACCUCUCCGGUUCUGGGAUCUAUCGUCUCGAAUGUUUUACCUUAAACAAACAAAAACCAAUAUCAAUAUCAUGAAUGUGUUUGGAUAUUGUUGCCCUAAAAGAACGCAACGAUACAAAGAAGAUUAACAUAUAUGAUCCUUACGACGAAAUGGUAGUAAAAGAGAUGUUCAUGAGGAGUUAAUAAUACACAAGCAGUAUACCUGAAAUGGCGUCGACGAAUUCUCCAUUGAUGAAGAGCUUGGUGAACUUUAUGGUUGGCAUCAUCUUCACGAAGGAGGACUCGCAGGGUGCAGAGCUACCAUUACUAUCACCACCCAUAUCUUCUCUGCUUCUCUCUGUGUUUCUUGCUUCUCUCUCACUCUCUCUCUCUCUCUCUCACUCGAGCUUGUGUUUGACAAUUUGUUUCGUCUAGAAUGAAGCACAUUGUGCAGUAUUUAUAUAGUGAAAAUAGGAGGAGGGCGAAACCUAACGUAAUCGUUAGGACGUGGGGUCAACUAUGCCAUCUAAAGCAAUCUCUGGAUUGAUGGUCCAUGGUAUGCUACGUCUCAAUAUACAUCAUAAAAAUCAUCAAUGAAAUUGGAUUUUGUGCUAAUUUUUUUUUUCUCGAUGCGUUGGAUUUUGGAUUUUGGUCUGUAUUAUAUAUAUUUGUUGGGUAAUUUAAUAAACAACUGUGUAAAUUUGUGGAAGAAAUAAAAAGAAAAAUUUUACCAACUCCUCUUCAUGUAUUUCCUAGAUAGAAAUUUACUACUGGAGGCAUCCACGGGUGCUGCGGCGAUGGCUUUCCUCCGGUGGAUUUAAGGGUCGUGUGUUGUGCAUUGGCAACAACCAAUGAAGUUGGUGGUUUGCAAAAAUGCAAAUGAGAAUGCUCGACUAGGCGUCUAGGCUCGACUUGUCUUUCACAGGAGGAAAGAAGAUUAUGGAGAAUGCAUAAAUAUGGUUGCAUUAUUAUGGUUUCAUUAGUCAUUACUCGUUACAGACAUUGUUCGAAAAUGACUACAAUUUUUCAACUAUUAGUUUGCAUUGUCCAAGCCUCACCAUACUAGCGUUCUAAUCCAAAUGGCGUUUAGCCGAAAACUAUUAUGGUUGUAUUAUUAUGGUUUAAUUAAUCAUUACUCAUUACAGACAAUGCUCGAAAAAUGACUAAAUUUGUCAACUAUUAGUUUGCAUUGUUUAGCCGAAAACUAUACAAUUACUGAAUGAGAACUACGAUCAUAUAAGUGCGUCAAAUCACUAAAAGGUAGAAAAGCAAAUGUCCCAAGAGAUGUAACAUGCGGAAAUUGGAUGUAAGAAAUGUAAAACAAGUUUUUUUUUUCUUUCCAAAUUAAGGGAAGAUAGGUGUAUUUUCUCUUUCUUUCACAGAAAAUAGACCAGUAACCAAUGUUCUUCUAUCCAGUUUUGUUAUCAUGCAAAGAGAUCCCCCGUGUUAAAAGCACAACACAAGUUGAAGCAACAACCGCCUUCACCUCUUUUGCAUGUGAAUGUGAUCUCUCCGAGUUCAUUUUGGUUCCUCUAUAAACCUACAAAUGUAUUGAAAUUUGCACAAGAACAAAAUAGAGUUCAUUGUCAAUCGUCACUUCCUACAGCAUUAGAAAACUUGACAGCGUCGUUUUCAAUUUGAUGCUGCUUUCAACAAGUCAAUAGAGAAUACAAGAACUACAUACAAACAUAAUUGGAACAUGACUCAUUGCAUACUACAUAUUAACACUACCAAAAUAGACGUUCAAUUUUUGGGGUAAUCCAAACGAAAUGGUCCAGUUUGGCCUGUAGAUAUAUAGGAAACCAUGGUUAUUUUCUUUUUCUUCGUUUAUGUAUCACACAUAUAGAGCUGGUUGGUCCAUUGGAGUAGUUUAUUUAAUUUGCCAACAAUUCAAUACAGCCGCCGGACCAGAAAGAAGCAAAAGAUAUUAAUAUUAAUGAAAGCUAUAGACAUAAAGAUGAAGGGCGAUGGGGGACGAAAGUUCAUGGAGAAUAUCCUUCCGCCGAGGUUUUAGGUUUGAGUAUGAAUGGCCAACAAAAUUGAACAUUCUUGAACAUUUGUUCUAUAUGUGUAGCAUUUGCAAAGUUGAAAAUAUCUCUGGAACAUUAGUUCUGUACUUCUAUUCGUGUAGCAUUUGCUUUUGAUUUACCCAUUCUUCGUUGUAAGGAUUUUGGUUUCACACCGUGUUGUGCUACCCCAAUCGCCGGCGCCGAUUUCGAGUCGUAGACGACUGAAGCUCAUACUGGUAGAAACAUUCAUCAGGGCUAGAAGUCUCGUGCUCCAUAUCAACAAUUGUUCAUACCUUUCUAAGCUUUGAUUUGUAAUGUGAAAGAGCAGCAGUAACAUAGUCUAGAGUCUAGUCUAGACUAAGUAAUAGACUAAGUAAUACACCGGACAAAAAAGCAUUAUAUGAUAACUUGAUUAGGGACCGUCCCUAGUUACCAACUGAAGAUUAGGGGAACCAUGUAGCUAUGUCUGCAGAAUUAUUGUUGAUAGGGUGGCGGUUGGUAAGACGGUGGUGUCGCAUUUGCAUAAUCGUAUGGCCCUCAUAGGAUUCAGAGCCAGGGAGAGUUAUAAAUGGGAGUGACCACAGAUUUAGUAUGCAGGUACUUAUGGAGGCCCUGCAUACCAAAGUCUCUUCCAAAGCCACUCAUCUUGUAUCCUCCAUAGGGGCAGUCGCGGUCGAAGGCAAAGUAGCAGUUGAUCCAUAUAAUGCCUGCACGGAUUGAUCUUGACACAGUGUUGAUCACAUCGAUGUUCUUGGAUACAAUGCCUGCAGCUAGGCCAUAUUUGGUGUUGUUGGCUCUCUCUAUUCCUUCCUCAAUGGUCCUGCAAAAUUACUCAAAUUUAUAAGCAAUACUUACGCCUUUUAGCAUAUCAGAAAGACUAGAUGGAACAAAAGGAAUCAGGCUUAAUUAUGCUUACUUGAACUUCAUUAGCGACAUCACAGGUCCGAAUAUUUCAUCCUUGGCUAUAAGCAUGUCAUCCUGAGAAGAUUGUUGUAACAUCAAUGCGUUAAACAUAACAGAAACAUAAUCAACAUUCGCUAUAUCAGAUUUGAUAUUGAUGUGUUGACAAAUACCUUGACAUCAGUGAAUACUGUUGGCUCAAUGUAAUAUCCCUUGUUCCCCACAGGCUUUCCCCCUGUUAACAAAGUUGCUCCUUCUCUUUUCCCAUGCUCAAUGUAAGUCAAGAUUUUCUCAAACUGCUUUUUAUCGACCUGCAAUUCAUAUAUAGGUAAGGUUUUUGUAUAACUAUAGGAAUUCACAAGCUUUAGUCAGGCAUAUACAUCAAUCAUAAAGCUGUAUUUGAUUGUUAUAAACACUAGAAGACACUAAUUAGUCAAGAUCAUAGACUAUCUUGGGAUUUUCGCCUGCGUUACCUGGGGUCCUUGACGAACUUUAGGAUCAAAAGGAUCCCCAACAGUCCAUUCUUUUGCCUUCACUUGCAAUUUCUUGACGAGUUCAUCAUAAAUCCCUUCUUGAACAAACACACGAGAACUGGCCACACAAAUUUCUCCCUGAAAUGAUGAAUAACAAAAGAGUUAGUAUUGCUACAUAUUAUGGUUAAGAAAAGUAUGAAACGUAGUUAUGACUUAUGAAGCAGACCUUGUUGUAGAGGAUUCCCAAGAGAGCAAGGUCAGCAGCCUUGUCGACAUCAGCAUCAUCAAAUAUCAAAAGGGGUGACUUGCCCCCUAGUUCAAGUGAAACUGCUUUUAAAUUGCUCUUUGCUGCAGCCUGCAUCACUUCACGACCUACUUCUGUGGAACCAGUGAAACUGACCUGAAAGAUCAAGAAGUUAACAGAAGUAUCAAUAUCACAGUAAGCCAUUCAACUAUACUGAAGUUUGUAAAUUUAGUCACAUAAACGACACGAAGGUUGAAGGGAAAGAGCUGGUUACUUUGUCAAUGUCCAUAUGAUGAGUGACGGCAGCACCGGCAGUCUUUCCGAAUCCAGUUAUGACAUUGAGCACUCCAUCAGGAACACCAGCCUUCAUAAUAAAGUCACAAACCAAUGUCACCACUAAAAUUAAGCUGCAUUGGCAAUAUGUUCAUACAUGCAUAUACAUUUCUUAAACUUUUCUCAUGUUAUGUUGUUACACAAUUUGGAUCGACCAAAAACAUGAUUAAUCUGACAUAACCGAUAAUCUAAAAUGACAAUUUGAUAACGUAACAUGUGAAACAUUUUAAGUAACAUAUAUAACAUGUCAGGUGACUUGAGUGUGCAAAGUUCCUUGAGAAGUUUUUUCUAGCUUACCAACUUAGCCAGAUGAGCAUAAUAGAGCGCCGAAAGAGGUGUUUGCUCAGCCGGUUUGACGACCAUAGUGCAACCAGCUGCUAAGGUAGGGGCAACCUUAGCAAACAGCAGGCUGCUUGGGAAAUUCCAGGGAAUAAUGUGUCCGACAACACCGAUAGGUUCGAGCAAUGUAUAACCUUGGAGCUCCCGUGACAUUUUCAGCACCUCCCCAUGAAUUUUAUCAGCUGCACCAGCAUAGUAACGUAGCAUGUGUGCUACCUGAGGUAUGUCUACAGCUUUGCCGAAACCAAACAACUUCCCAGCAUCAAUUGUAUCCAAUUUGGCCAGUUCUUCUGCGUGCUCAUCAAUCAAGUCUGCAAACUUCAACAUAAUCCUUCCUCUCUCCUGAACAAUAUUCAAGCAUUUACAUCAAUUUCAGUCUCUUAAGUCUUAACUAUGACUUAAUGUAUCUGAAUAAUUAAUACUUCAAAGAUCAUAGUCAAGGAUUUGCCAAUAGUCCAAUUAAGGAUGAUAUUAAUUUGAUGAAAAAUACAAUUAAUUGUGCCCGGAAAGUUUCCACAUUUUCCAUAAAACUUUCCUUAUUUUCUGAAAAACUUGCAGCUUAAGUUCCAUGAUUUACGAUUAGCUAGCUUUGAAUAUUUAUGUAACGAUUGAGACUACAAAUAUGGUUCAAUUUUGAAAUACAAGAUUGUUACAUUAAGAAAAAGAGUCAAAUUGUGUAUAUGUUCACACAAUUAGUGGAUGCUAACUAUAGUUACACAGUUAGUUCUCCAAAAAAAAAAAAAAAAAAAACUAUGGUUACACGUACAGUUACACAUGUAGGAAAUAUAUUGUUAGUUUGGUACCCGUUACUAUAAACUCUUACAAUUGAGGUGUUCAAUUAAACAACAUGUAGUGCUAAUCACAUGAUCACAUUAUUGUACGACGUUACUAUAGACUAUCAUAUUGUACAACUACUUAUAAUAAUUGUGUAAUGUUAAUCACAUGAUCCCCUCAAAAUCUAUAUUGCCGAUCACGUUAUAUCUCUCUCUAAUCGAGUCUCAUUAAGUCACUAAUAUUGAUCGUAGUUAGAAAAAUAUGAUACAAAUCUUAUCCUGCCUUAAACUAAGAAUAUUUAGUCAGAUGGCUCAUGAAGCCGGCCACCUCUAAUAAUAUCUGUGCAAUCUUAGUUAAUUCACUAAGAUCUAGUUUGGUUUAAGGAACGUAAAAGAAAGAAAAUGAAAUCUUUGAAUUUUCCUUUUUGAAAAAGGAAAGUGAAUAUUUGGGGGACUUUCUUUUCUCAAUGACUUGAUUCCGUGAACCAAAUGGCCUAAUGGAAAUCUCAGGGACCAAAUGAUAAUAUCCUCGUACAAAAUAGACGAAGAAGCUGGAGCAGUCAGUGGCGGAUCCAGGAUCCGGAAGUUGUCUAGUCUAGUUAGAAGCACUUUUUUUUUUUUAGGUUUAUAACCCACUGAAAACUCAUUGAAAGAAUUUUUUUCUUAAGAAACACUAUGAGAAAUGCAAGAACUAUAUGAGAAUUUUUUUUUUGUAAUUUCUUAUUUGAAGAGAGAAAAGUAAAAAAUGGGCAAAAAAGAGUAAGAAAAUAUUGUAACUGAAGAAGGAAGGAAGAAUAAUUGUGUUGUUUCUGGUACCAAAGUGAGGAAAACUACUAAAAAUACCCAAAUCUGCUCUUCAGAGCAGUCGAACCUGCGACAAGGUGGUAAUAAUUUGGUCAAGUUGCCAACUGAACCAAGGCUUCUCAUUGUUUUCAUGGGUACUUAUUUACUACAUAUAGGAUUUCUGUCUAGGCUUCAGCCCAGACAGCCCUUAACGUAGAUCCGCCCAGGAGCAGCCUCGAUAUAUAAUUCUAUUUACAUAAGAGCAGCCUCAUUAUAUAAUUCUAUUUAGACAAACUGACAAAGAAAACUAUUGGUUUUGACUUCAUGGAAUUAUUAACAAUAAUAUUCCAAUAAUGCUGUCUUGAUGAAGACGUUGGUAUUCGUCCAAAAAAACAAAAAAAAAACAAAAAAAUGAAGACGUUGGUAGAAAACAAAAGAUGCCGAUCGAACAAAGACAGAUAAGGAAACUGGGGAUUGAAAGGAACUAUAUAGCUUAGCUAUGGAGGCGGUAAAAGCAAAGAAAAAGAGAGUAGCCGGAUUAAUAAUACGUACAGCGCCGGGCAUACGAGGCCAAGGGCCAUGGUCGAAGGCGGCGCGUGCAGCUUUCACCGCCACGUCCACGUCUUCCUUAUCUCCCUCUGCAAUUCUGGUUAUCACCUCCCCGGUUCUGGGAUCUAUCGUCUCAAACGUUUUACCUUAAACAAACAAAAACCAAUAUCAAUAUCAUGAAUGUGUUUAGAUAUUGUUGCCCCCCUAAAAGAACGCAACGAUACAGAGAAGAUCAACAUAUAUGAUCCUUACGACGAAAUGGUACGUAGUAAAAGAGAUGUUCAUGAGGAGUUAAUAAUACACAAGCAGUAUACCUGAAAUGGCGUCGACGAAUUCUCCAUUGAUGAAGAGCUUGGUGAACUUUAUGGUUGGCAUCAUCUUCACGAAGGAGGACUCGCAGGGUGCAGAGCUGCCAUUACUAUCACCACCCAUAUCUUCUGCGCUUCUCUCUGUGUUUCUUGCUUCUCUCUCUCUCACUCGAUCGAGCUUGUGUUUGUUAAUUUGUUUCGUCUAGAAUGAAGCAGAUUUUGCAGUAUUUAUAUAGUGAAAAUAGGAGGAGGGCGAAGCCCAACGUAUUCGUUAGGACGUGGGGUCAACUAUGAUACAUAUAAGGUAUGCCAUCUAGAGAGCAAUCUCUGAAUUGAUGGUCCAUGGUAUGCUACGUCUCAAUAUAUCAUAAAAUCAUCAUAAAAUUGGAUUUUGUGCUAAUUUUUUUUCUCUCGAUGUGUUGGAUUUUGUAUUUUGGUCUGUAUUAUAUAUAUAUAUAUACACACACACAGCUUCUCAGCUGCGGACGUCCGCAUUUAUUCUUACGGUGCGGAUUUCCACUUUACAUUCAUUUUUCAAUCGAAUUUUCGCAUCUCCACCGUCUAGUAUUUAGAUACUAAUAUAUAGAUCAUCUCUGUAAAAUUUCAGCCAAUUUGGUUAUCAUUAAGGCACUCAAAACUGCCUUUUUAUGUUAUAAACAUGAACGGUUCAAGUUCGACAGAAUUAUGUUCAUCAAUUGGUUUAAUCGAGUUUGAGUGUCUUAAUGAUAACUAAAUUGGCUGAAAUUUUGAAGAGAUGAUCUAUACAUUAGUAUCUAAAGACUAGACGAUGGAGAUGUGAAAAUUCGAUUGAAAAGUGAGUGUAAAAUGGAAAUCUGCACCGUAAGAAUAAAUGCGGACAUCCGCACCUGAGAAAAUCUGUAUAUAUAUAUAUAUAUAUUUGUUGGGUAAUAUAAUAAACAACUGUGUAAAUUUGUGAGAAGAAAUUAAAAGAAAAAUUCUACCAACUCCUCUUCUUCAUUUCCUAGAUAGAAAUUUACUACUGGAGGCAUCCACAGGUGCUGCGGCGAUGGCAUUCCUCCAGCGGAUUUAGGGGUUGUGUGUUGUGCAUUGGCAACAACCAAUGAAGUUGGUGGUUUGUAAAAAUGCAAAUGGGAAUGCUCGACUAGGCGUCUAGGCUCGACUUGUCUUUCACAGGAGGAAAGAAGAUUAAUGGAGAAUCCAUAAAUACGGUUGCAUUAUUAUGGUUUCAUUAGUGUUCUAAUCCAUAUGGCGUUUAGCCGAAAACUAUACAAUUAUUGAAUGACAACUACGAUGUAAGUGCAUCAAAUCACUAAAAGGUAGAAAAACGAAUGUUCUAACUUCUAAGAGAUGUAACAUGCGGAAAUUUGAUGUAAGAAAUGUAAAAAGAAGUUUUUUUUUCUUUCCAAAUUAAGGGAAGGUGGGUAUAUCCAAUGUUCUUCUAUCCAAUUUUGUUAUCAUGCAAAGAGAUCCCCCGUGUUAAAACCACAACACAAGUUGAAGCAAGAACCACCUUCACCUCUUUUGCAUGUGAAUGUGAUCUCUCCGAUCGAGUUCAUUUUGGUUCCUCUAUAAACCUACAAAUGCAUUGAAAUUUGCACAAGAACAUGAUGUAGGAUGAGAAUUGGCCAAAUUUAGACAGAAAAAAUAAAAGUCAAGAAGCGGUAAAUAAUAAAAAAGAAUGAUCUAAAGAUCGGUAAUUCUCGUGUCAAGAGGUUGCUAGCCGCUGGAAUAUUCAAGAAGAUGUUGUUUUGGAUUUUCCGGGUUGCUCAUGCGAAAUCUGAAUUUCAGAAGCAAAUCUGAUCUAGAGUAACUUUUGACCAAAAUGUCUGUUUAAAACGCAUAAUACCUUCCGGAAUAGGAACGACGAGAUCUACAAGACUCACUUUAAUGAGCCAUGUCAGAUUAAGGCCAAAAGAUAUCGUUUUAUUAAUCCGAUUGGGCAUUUAAUAUUAUUUUAGGUUUUUUAGUUUAUUUUGGGUUUUGUUCUCUUUUAACCUAAUGAACUUUUAAGCUUGGUUGUUAGUUGCCCUAGGGUUUGUUUGCUCUAUAUAAGGACAUUUUAUCAGUUGUAGUCAUAAGCUUUUGAUUAAUAAAAACCCUUAAGAUUUUUUCAACUCUUCUGGUGGAUUCUAGGAACUUUCUCGUGGAUUCGAGAAAAUAGACUUGUGAAUUCAAGUCGCCAUUGGUGGAUUUAAACGAUUAUAUUUCUGCUGCAUCAAUUGGUAUUAGAGCAGGUCUAUUCUUGUGGUUAUCAAUCUGUAUUCAUGGGUGAUGAAGCUCAUAUUGCCUGAGCAGAGUUCAAUGCUCAGAAUGAAUGUCUCAGUGCUCAGAAUGAACGUUUGAAUACACAAAUGGAAGAAAUUCAUCAGUUGUUGCUUGGCCUUAACAACAACAACAACCAUCGAAAUUGUGAAAGGCAGAAUCAUGUUGUUAAUCAUGAUUUCAAAACCAUGGUGAGUAUUUCUUAUUUUUCUAGUCACAUGCAUGUGGAAAACCUUCUAGAUUGGCUGGUUGAGGUUGAUAAAUUCAUUGAGAUCAUGAAGGUUCCAGAUCACAAGCAGGUCAAGAAGGUUUCUUCUCGUCUUAAGAGCAUUGUUGCUGAUUUGUGGGAUGAAUUGCAAAGAGCAAGGAAGGUGCAAGGUAAAGAACCUGAUAAAAUAUGGAGAAAGAUGAAAUGUCUUAUUAGAGAAAAUUUAUGCCUAGAGAUUUUUCAAUCAGGAGGUACCCUUCUAAGGUGGAAGAGAAGAAGUUAAAGUCCACAUAAAUUUCUUUUCAUGUUGAGAAUGAUAGUUCAGUUGAAGAAAUUUCAGACGAUUCUUUAAUGGAAGCAGCUCCACAAGAAAUUUUUCAUGAAUUUCCAACAAAAGAAACUCCACUAGAAGUUAUCCAUGAAGAAGUUAGAGAACAAAUUGCACAUAUUGACAUGGUUAUUAGCAUUGAAGAAAGUCAAGAAACCUUGCCGCCUCAAAUUAAUCAUUCAGAACCAGAACCAAAGGCCAUUCAAGAAUGCAAUUUUGAGAGUCAAGAAGAAUCUUCUCAAGUUGCAUAUGACAAACUCAUCUAUAGCGUUGGAUUCAUGAUUGUGUCAUCAGUUUAUGCAGAAGACCAUUCCAAUAAGUCACAGGUUCAUCUGUCUAAUUUAUUAUUGGGUUUUUCGUCUACAUAUUUUUAUUUUUCAUUCAAGAUAAACUCGAGGUUGAGUUCUUUCGUAGUGGAGGAGACUGAUGUAGGACGAGAAUUGACCAAAUUCAUACAGAAAAAAAUAAAAGUCAGGAAGCAGCGAAUAAUAAAAAAGAAUGAUAUGAAAAUCGGUAAUUCUCGUGUCAAGAGGUUGCUAGCCGCUGGAAUAUUCAAGAGGAUGUUGUUUUGGACUUUCCGGGUUGCUUGUGUGAAAUAUGAAUUUCAGAAGCAAAUCUGAUCUAGAGUAACUUUUGACCAGAAUGUCCGUUUAGAAUGCAUAAUAUCUUUCCGAAUUGGGAACGACGAGAUUUACAAGACUCACUUAAGUGAGCCCUGUUAGAUUAAGGCCAAAAGAUAUCGUUUUCUUAAUCCGAUUCGGCAUUUAGUAUUAUUUUAGGUUUUUUAGUUUAUUUUGGAUUUUGUUCUCUUUUAACCUAAUGAACUUUUAAGCUUGGUUGUUAGUUGCCCUAGGGUUCGUUUGCUCCUAUAUAAGGACAUUUUAUCAGUUGUAGUCGUAAGCUUUUGAUUAAUAAAAACCCUUGAAAUUUGCUCAACUCUUCUGGUGGAUUCUAGGAACUUUCUCGUGGAUUUGAGAAAAUAGACUUGUGGAUUCAAGUCGUCGUUGGUGGAUUCUAACGAUUAUAUUUCCGCUGCAUCACAACAAAAUAGAGUUCAUGUCAAUCGUCAAUCAGAACAAAAUAGAGUCAUGUCAAUCGUCAAUUCCUACAGCAUUAGAAAACUAGCUAGGGUGCUCUAUUCUUCAUUUGACAGCGUCGUUUUCAAUUUGUUGGUGCUUUCAACAAGUCAAUAGAGAAUACAAGAACUACAAACAAACAUAAUUGGAACAUGACUCGUUGCAUACUACAUAUUAACACUACCAAAAUAGACGUUCAAUUUUUGGGGUAAUCCAAACGAAAUGGUCCAGUUUGGCCUGUAGAUAUAUAGGAAACCAUGGUUAUUUUCUUUUUCUUCGUUUAUGUAUCACACAUAUAGAGCUGGUUGGUCCAUUGGACUAGUUUAUUUAAUUUGCCAACAAUUCGAUAGAGCAGCCACCGAACCAGAAAGAAGCAAAAGAAAUUAAUAUCAAUGAAAACUAAGAGACAAAAGAUUAAGGGCGAUGGUGGACGAAAGUUCAUGGAGAAUAUCCUCCCACCCAGGUUUGAGUUUGAACGGCCAACAAAAUUGAACAUUCUUGAACAUUUGUUCUAUACGUGUAGCAUUUGCAUUUGAUGUACCGUUCUUCGUUGUAAAGAUAUAAUGAACCAAAUACACGAGACCCCCUGAGCCUCUGAAAGCUUGGUUUCAAUGUUGUGCUACCCACUCGCCGGCGCCGAUUUCAAGUCGUAUAUGACUGAAACUCAUACUGGGAGGAAAAUUCAUUACAGACGACUCGUUGGUCUAUAUCAAAUGAAUAUAAUGAUCAAGGAGCAUAAUUGUUCUUACCUUUCUAACCUUUGGAUUUGUAAGGUGAAAAUAAAAGUGAAAAGAGCAGCAGCAACAGAGUCUACAGUCCAGACUAGGUAAUUCACCGGACAAAAAAGCAUUAUAUGACAAGGGACCCUAGUUACCAACCAUGUAGCUAUGUCUGGAUUGUCUGCAAAAUUAUUGUUGAUAGGGUGGCGGUUGGUAAGACGGUGGUGUCGCAUUUGCAUAAUCGUAUGGCCCUCCAUAACUGGUCUGGCCGCCAUAUGAACCCCCACUUCGGAAUACAGAACUAGCAGCCAUGCUGCUGUCGCCAGAUAGGGAAUAUAUGUGUUGUUGUGGAAGAGCAACAGGGCUUUGAGCACGGGCUACUCCAUAUGAGGUUCCGUAAGAGACUGAUGUUGCACCGUCAUACACGGUUGGGCUUGGGUAAUUGUACGGCCCAGGAUAUCUUGUUACUGGGCUGUGCUGUGGAGGAGGAUUUACGGUUGGGCUUGGGUAAUUGUACGGUCCAGGAUAUCUUGUUACUGGGCUGUGCUGUGGAGGAGGAUUUGGGAUUCUCCGGUUAAAAGAUGAUGGGUGUGCAUUGGAAUACUUGGCAGCUUUUGCUGGGCGGGAAGAUGAUGAUCCAACUCCUCCACGGCCGCCACCGCCGCCUCCACUACCAUACGAACGCUUGUUAUUAGACUUACUGGAAGCUGCAGCUGAAUUCUUCUUUCUAUCUGCUUUGGCUCUCUCUAAAGCAGUGACUCGCUUCCUUAGGGAGUCGAGUGUAAAUUCUGAUUCAAGUUUGUGGUCCUCUACACAUUUGAUAACUGCUCUGAUGGAAUUCAACUCCAAAGUGCUCGACUCCUCCUGUAAGAUGGACCUCCAUUAGGAAAUCUCAAAAUGAGUCUAAGAAAACAUCAAUUGAAGAGCAAAUUCAUCUGAUUAGAUAACAUAGAUAUAGGAUGGAGUUACACUUACAGAUGCAGCCACACUAUUGUUGCCAUUCUUCAUUAUGGUUGAAGCAUUCUUCUUGGAGUUCUUCAAAUAGGACUUGAGAAGGGAAAUAGGAGGAAACCUCUCGGUCAAACCAGACUCAAAAGCAAAAUAUAUUGCCUCUAUCUCCUUUCCAUUCUUCACUAACUCAUCAAUAACAUCUGUACAAAUCACACAGUAUUUCAAUCAGAACAUACAAAACUUAGAUGACAAACGAACAAUGAAUAUGAACACAACAAGACGAGAAAGUUGAAACAAUGAAUCAUCACGCUAUGCUUAUACCAUUCAUAAAAAAUUGGUGACUGACCAGAAUGUAACCGACACAAACAUCCUCCUUCUAAGAGUAGAAGGAAGGACACAUGCAUUUCCUGGCAUUUGGAUCAGAUAAAUCUAUGAUUAUGGAGAGACAAUACUAAGGUGAACAUUUAUAACUUAAGAAAAAGUAUGCAAACACAGAUAAGUUUAAGAAAUAGUGAUCAAGAAACUUAGCCUAGUCAACCUAAUUUACAAUAAUUCUAUCCCACCAAAAUGCCUACACAAGGAUUAGGCGAGUUGAUCAAAGAUCAAAUGACAGAGUUGCUACACUUUUAAGUCUCUUCCAGAUUCAAAACAUCUUCAAGAUUAGAAUUCAGAUUAUGUCAAGCCACCAUGCUCAACAUCUAAGCUUUAUCUCUACGUAUUACGCAACAAUGCUUAUCAGAGGUAAACUUCUUCACUAUAAACAAAUGCCUAAGUUGGUUAAUAGUAAGCUCUAAAGAAAUUAGCAUAUUCAAAAGUUUAUAAAUCUACAUCAGAACUUCAAAUUAGCAAAACCCCUUAACUUACAUUAUAUUCCAACAUGCACACAUUCAAGAAGCAAUAAUCCGAAACAAACACAUUGCUAAACUUUGAUUCUGAUCACACACACACAUACCUCCAAUAUCUCCGAAUUGUAGUGCCCCGGCAAGCUUAGCCAUAUCUCUCCUAGCAGCAUGUUCCAUCACCAACUUCUUAUAAAACUCCUCAUCAUACUUCUCCUUCAACUGAAACCCAAUCACCAUCUGCACAAACAUCACCGCCUCCGCCGCCCCCAAUGUCCCUCCACCACUCCUGCUCAGCUCAUCCAUCUGCCCCUUCCACCUGUCCGCAACGCCCGCCGCUCUCUCCACCACACUCCUAGCAAAUGCCGGCCCUUUCGGACGGGAACCGGACCGCGCCUCCGGAAACAGAGCCUGAAUCAGCAGCCCGCAGGCCCACCGCUUAUCGGUGACCCCAACUUUCUUGGCCUUGGUCUCCAGAAACACCUCCAAAGCAUCCAACACCAGCCUCGGCGCGUCCACCGCCUCCGCCAUUGCCGGAACAAUCUCCGCCCUCAGCGACACCGACUCCUUCCGCUUCGUAACUAUAAACCUCAGCAGCCCCUCCGAGUCCAUUUUUCUACACAGCGAUUUCAGCGUCACGGCGAUGUCCAAAUUCGCCGGAAAUAUUCUUCCGAACUCGGCCAAGGCGGCGUAUUUCUGCUCCGAGACGCGUGCCGCGGCGGAGGCUUCGCGCUCCGCGAGCGAGGUCUCGCGGACGUCGAGGGACUCUAGGGUUUGGCGGGAACGCGACUCGAGGGAUUCGAUUUUGGAGUCGAGGGAUUUGAAUUUCUCGGCGAGCGAUUUCUGGAGGGCGGUGAAGUGAUCGGAGAUGGUGGCGUAGAGCUUCGUGGAGGUGGAGAGGAUCGCCUUCUGCGCCUCUAGGUCGUCGAAGAAUUUCUGGACUCUGUGCGUCGCGACCACCAGUUCGGUCCCCAUUGCUCGUUGAUUUCAAAAACGACGGCGUUUUGAAGUCGCGAAAUUAAAGGAAACCCUAAUCCGGAGGAAGAAGAAGAAGAUCAGUCUCCGAGUGAGUGUGUAGAUAUUUCCCAGCUCUCAGAUUCUUUCCUUUCAGUUACGUUCGGUUUAAACGCUGUCGUUUUCGAUUUUAUAUUUAAUUGCUGAAAUUUAAUAAAAGUUAUAUGGGCGGUGUCACUAAUUACUUUACCGCCUAUGUAACUUACUACAAACGUAGUGUUCGCCUGAUCAGUUGUCGAAUAUUAUUAGCUAAGAUGAUAUCAUCUAACUCGGAGACGAUAUCAUUUAACCUAGAGCAUCAAUACAUCAGCUUCCUUAUAAAAUUUUCGAUGAAUAUAUAAACAAGAUGAAAGAAAAUAGAUAUGAUACUUCUUCCAUAUAAAAAUUACAACUUGAAACUGUGGUCUUGUUCUAUUUUAUAAAGGUGAUUGCGCAUUACCUUGCGUAUGUUAAGCAUCUGCAAAUAAUAUAAUGAUGCUAGUCCCAAAUUCAAGAUCAAAGACCAAAGGGAGUUGCAUAUCAGAUCAAGAAGCCUCGAAAGGAAUCUAUUUUCAGUGCAUUCUGAUCCUUGACACCAGCUAGAUUGUCAAACAUGUCAUUCUAAGGCUUUAUGACACAAAGGAUGAGAUGCUACAUCUCCAUCUGUUAGUUGCUGUUAAGUUUCUGAUGUCUUCGGAGUUGCGAAUAAUUGAGGGAAAUGUCAACUAUGAUAUGAAUCAGAACAGCAUUCUUUAUCGAAUAGUCAACGAAUUGUCGAUUCAUCUACCUCAGUUGAAUGUGUAUUGCAUAGUACAUGAGGAUUCAUGCACAAUGCCAAAACUGACAAACUGCCAGUGAAGCAUCUGAGACUUCGUCCUGCGAUUUCUGCAGGAUUAAUUCCUUAUGGCACACUAGUUAACAGCAAGGUUUCCUGAGCUUAGGCAUAAGAAUUCUCUACUUGUAAGCAAUCCUUGAUGAGUUAUGUAGAUGUUCACAAUUCACAAAACUACACUCGUCUACUUGUUGAACCAUGACAAAGCUUAUAAGAACAGAAAUAACAAGGCUCUAAACAAGUUUUUGAGGGAAAACUUGAGAGUUCUGUCAAAAGAUAAGCAACUUGAUGCAAACGAAAUUGACUACAAAUCACGGAAGCAAGAAAAAUCGUAAGACAAAGAAUGGUUGUAACAAAUAUCUACACAUUGAUUCGUAGCUAUGAGCUAAAUUAAUACAAGUUCAUUCCUCCCAAGCAAGCAACUCUCCCUUUUGAAAGAUGUUAGAAGGAACUGCAAAACGCAUAGAGAAAGAGCGCGACGAGAGGUCAUCAGCAUCAUGUUGGUCCCAAGAACAUCCUUGAUCAAAAUUCUGAGAGUAAGAGAAAGGAUCAUACUGGAGCUUCACGGAGCGAGUGCUGGAUGGGGAAUCAAAAAUCUUCUUCUUCUCUUUCUUCAACUUCAUCCACAAUGUGCUCCACCGUGACCUGUUUGAUCUAGCUGAAUGCGAGCUCACAUGAGGGUCAGUCUCAUGGUACUGCCGCCCCAACCGGAUAGUUCUGCUGCUUGUGCUGCACCAGUGUUUUCUAUCCAUUGCAGCACAACACCAAAUUGUAAUCUACUUGCAAGUGCUUCAGACGGAUAGAUAUAGCACGAAGUAGGUUCCUGUAUUAAAAGUAUAAAAAGCAGCAGUUGGCCGUCUCUUUUAGACCAAACUUGUCUAACUUGAGGAGCUAAUAGAAAAGCUCAGUUUUCAGUUGACUAAGCUCGAAAUAUUCUCCAACUGGAGGUUGCUACGCUAAACUUCAUCCAGAAACUGACUCAUGUGUCUAUAUAGGAUUAUUUGCCGGAUUAUAUGGAUCUUCUCCACAAUGGAGAAAACCUUUCUUCCUUUUAGCCUGCAAAAUUUGAGGUGACAUACAAUAUCAUAACUGACAUAACAUAUGAUACAAAGAUGCCAGUAAUAAGAAGACAUAUUUCAUUAGCUGAACAAUGGAUGGUUCAAUCACCUUUUCAUAACACCUUUAAUCGUAGGAUAAUAUUACAAUAAACAAUGGUACAAUCCGUUUGAAUUACAAAGAACACAUCAAUUUAGGGUACACUCUCUUCUGUACCCAAGCAUGGUUGAAAACGUGAACUCUCUCCAAGAGAUUAUGUUAUUCUUCAAUUGGAGAAUGCAUCCCUCUAUAACCAUUAUAAGAUAGGAAGAGGGCAGGCUCCUCCGUUUUUGAACAACAUCUAUUAUCAGCACGAAUACUGGUACAUUUUAGCUCCUCUGUUUAUAUGUUCUUACAGAAACCAUCUAUACACGAAAGCAACUGCCUUCUCUUGACAUGUCACAGACUUUGCUGUAUCGUCUUAAGGCCGGAAAAAGGGUGUAGUCAACAAUCCACCGAACUGAAUUUGUUAGGAUUUUGUUGCGUAACCAAACAUAUAAUCCCCCUGCAUUUAACAUCGCUUUGCAGUUUUCUAAUGGUUUGGUGAGCCUCAAGAUACUGUUCUCCCAAAGCAGAUGGAUGCAAUAUAUAGAUUCUUCAACCAUUUUUCCUGCCAAGGCCAAAUGAGAGAAUAUAUAUAUGUAAAAUAUUUCUGCACCAUGAAUUCUGCAAAUAUCGGCUUUACCAAACGUAUACAUGUGUGCAUAAGACCGAUGACUUCUACAAUUACUUUCCGACUGAAAUGCAAUUAGUUUACCAAAAUAAUUUUAAAGCUAAUGUGCAUCAAGUUUGUGUGUGUGUGUGUGUGUGUGUGUGUGUGUGUUCUUCUCCAAGUCUCCUCUCAUUUCCAAUAAACUCAUUUCCUUUAGAGAUGAGAAUAUUGUUAUGCAUUGAUAAUGAUAAUUUUAUAUCUGAACCAACUCCCAUUGGCGCAACUGGGUUCCACGUUGCCAAAGAAGGAUCUUCUAAAUGAAGAUUUGGACAUUUCAACUUAUCACUCCCAUUUCAAAACUCUACAGAGGUUAAAGCAGAGAUGACACUUACCUUAACAUGCGUAGUUGGAAAAACAGAUGUCCGGAGAGUUUCCUGCGCCACAUCUUGUGAUUUCUUCUUGGGUGAACUAAGUAUGAAUGCAGCUUGGUCCUCUGUUGCAGCUGUUGAGGUAAUACGAUAUCCAUUCUCCCAUCUUCUAUGGAUGCCUUCGCUCGGAUAUAGGAAAUCAAUCUCAACAACCUACCAAUACAGCACAUGAAACAAUUAUUUUCUGCAGUGUUCAAAUCAAACAGAACGUAACAAAAGGGGGUCCAAGACGAUAUACCUGAUUAGAAUAACCUGCAUUUCUGGACAUAACAAUGCCCCAUCUGCUACCUGCGGUAGUCAUGGAGGUAACAGAGAAACCUUCCUUCCAUUUCUUAUUAAUCCAUUUGAAAGGGAAUACAUCACUGACUUUGUAUGACUGCUGAGUAUAUGGUACGCCUUCAAUGGAUGACAAAUAGAAGAUCAACAAUUAGAACGAGUAGCCCAAUUAACAGAAAACAUACUCGACAGAUUCCUACUAAGAACACAAUUCACUAUCAUCAUGGACUGACUAGAUUCCAGAAGCGAAACUGAAAUAGACAACAGGAAGCUCUGUUAAUAAGUUUGACAUACCUUGGGACAUUACCACCAGGGCACUGCCGUUGCCUGCGCCAGCAAGUGAAGUGAUAUAGUAGUUCUUGUCCCACUGAUCCAUUAUCCACUCCUGGAAAAUAAUCAGAAACAAUUAACUUGCUGGAACACUUAAUAAUUAAAUGUCAAGUGAAAGCUUAUGAGCGGGUAUUUUCAAGAGAAGCUACCUUGUGCAAGAAAACAGGUGAUAGUUCAUAAACUUGGGAUGUGAAACCAGUCCCCGCAUCCAUGACUAUAGCCCACAUAUUGGCAGAUGAAGCAACACAGCUAAUAUACAAACCAUCUUCUUUUCCUUUGUCAAUGUGCUGCUCCACUCUCACGUCCAUAACAUUGUAGUGAUACCUGCAGACAUUUAUUCAUGUAACUUCUUGACACAGGACAGGAAUGUAUAACCAACAAUACAGUGAAAACAUAAACAAUAAACUCAGGUAAAUCAGAUUCAUACUCCAUUUAAGAGUAAACUAACGUCUCCCGAUAAGGUGAUACACAAUACUUUUCUUAUUCAGGACUGAAACUUUGUGCUAUAUGCUAAAUUAGGACUACUUCCUACAAGUAAUAUUCAGAAUUUUAAUCACAUAAGUUUGUACCGAAAAGUAUUACAUAAUCACAAUUUUCCUUAUUACAGCUUGACAAAUAAAAAGAUGGAUACGCUAUGCUUUUAAACCAUGACUCUAAAUCCUGUGAUCUAAAGCAACUUCUAUACACACCAUAUCAGAAAAUAAAAUAGCUAAGAAAACCAGGAAAUUGGGUGAAUGAGUGAUUGGUAACCUGAAAAAGGGAUUAUGCUCCCUGGUAUUACAUCACCUACCUUUGCUUCAUUGACGGUCUGGUAUUAUAGACUGAGAUCCACUGAUUAGCUGGGCAACCUAGUCUAACCUUUUUCCUGGGUUGCUCACUAUCCUCCGAUUCAAGAAACAACCUUCCCCUUUUUUGGCCAACCUACAUUACAAAAGCAUUCCGUAAACAAAUGCAGCAACCACAACUUCCAAAGAAAUAUAUAUCAAAAAGUUUGAGCAUGAGUAAACCACCUUUGUAGCUCCAUCAGUUCUUAUAGGUCGAAGGGCGGCAUUCACAUUUAUGUUCUUAUCAAACAGGGAAAUAAGUUUUAAGUAAUUUGGUUCUUCAUCGAAUUUCAUAUUGGUCACCAACUCAAGAAACUGUUGAAAAGGAGGCGGACAUGAGACACAUAGCAUCUCAGGAGAAGUUGCCAUCUUCUUCUUGCAAACAAGAAAUCCUUUGUUUUCCCCCUACAGCCCAAGAUCCAUGUCAAGUGCUUAUAAAAUAAGGAAGAAAAAAUAGAACUGUUUAAUUGACUAGGAAUACAGUGGGACGCCCAAAUAAACUUACAUUGUAACCUUGCCAGGGAAGUUUGCCUCUAAGGAGAAAUAUAAGGGUAUAAGCUAAUGACUCAAGGUCAUCCCUUCGGCUCCCUGUCCUGCCUAGAUGAGCAUGUACACUUGCAUAACGAACAGUUCCCCUAUCAAAAGAUCAGAUACAUCAGGAUACUUCAAAUCAUGAGGACAAAAUUGGGUCUAAAGAUCGUAUUAUAAUUGUCCUCAUAUUGAAAUGGUUAUUAGUACAAGGAUGAUAUGCACAUUUGAUAUAUACUUUCUGAGAUGGAUUGUUAGACUGCAUAUCAUUUGUUUCUCACAAUACUUGAGGGCCAAAGUAACUUUUCUCUCCCUCUCCCCCUCUAACCAUCUUGAUCAUCCAAUGUGUAAUAUUGAAGGUUGUAAGUACCUGAAAACAUCAGGUUUUUGAUCAUAAUCGACAUGACGUCCAGAUGUUUCCUUCCAUUUUGAAGCUGUCAAAAAGCAUAUUAAACCAGUCACAAGUCUGUCCAACAUUUCUAUGGAAUGAAAUACAUAAGCACAUUCAAUUAUAGUUUGAUCUUUUAUCCUUGUUACUAAAUUUAUUAAACAGAGAACUCAUACCCAAACCAAGAUCAACAAGAUAUAACUUCUUAUCAUUGACUGUUCCAGGUUGACCAAGCAAAAAGUUUUCUGGCUUCACGUCUCCAUGCACAAAACUACAGUGCAAAUUACUUAUCAUGAGCCACAUUAAUGUAGAACAAAAAUUAAUAACAAAGCAGAAAGUAAAUAGUUGAAAAUACCCUUUGAUAUGAAGCUGCUCUAAUAUUGAGAUUGCCUCCACUGCUAUACAAGCAACCAUCUCUUCAGACAGCCUUAGUACCGGCAAACACAAGAGGAGAUAACAAUGAUAUAACUAAUGCAUAAACUUGGAAUGUAAAUUACUUUUAAGUAUCGACUCUGAAACUCAGAACACAGAAAUAACAGAAGCUACUUACAACUGAUUCCGGUUCCAAACAUCCCAUAAACUGGGGCCUAGCAUAUCCAUGACCUAUUGCAACAUUUAAGAGUUAUUGUUCAUGAAAAGAAAUAUAUGACACUAUUUUCAACAUAUGAAACACAUGCCUCAGAAGGUGAGUGCCGAUAGAAAAGUAACUCACCAGGAUAUAGUAAUCUCCCUGCUGACCUUUGUAAUGAACGUGGGGAACUCCGUAACAUCCAUUAAGAGAGCUUCAGGGUCAUGAAAGACUGAUUAGGAAACAAAGAUUAGAGUGUUUUACCAAAUAAAAGGAUGAAACAUUUCUUACCUGUAUACUUGCCACUCAUAAGGAGGACCAUGACUGCACCCCUUACUGUUUCGACCCUCAAGCUUUAAAGCAACCUACAACCGAAUACAGAUAUACCGUUAGUGCCAGAAUCAAAUUAAUCUGAGAUUUUAACGAGAUAAAACAGAGAUGCAGUACAAAUGUGAGACCUCAAAUGCCUCAGGCCCAGAGCUCCCAUAUCCUCCAGUCACCCUUCUUCCUACAUAAACUUGUCCAAAACCCCCUUUCCCCAGCUUUCUAUCUAGCUUGUACAAGGGGGAGUUUCCAAUCUGUACCUGGAGAUGAAAAUAUUGAAUCAUGUUUAGUAACCAGUUUUGGUUAUUUAGUAACCAGUUUUGGUUAUACUACGGGAUAGAUCCAAGCAGAGAGGUGCCAAGCAGAGAGUUGACAAAAAUUACUCUUUCGGGAAGUGGACUACUGCUCCCUUCAUCCUCAAUAGCAGUCAAUUUUUGUGCACCUUUCUGAUCUAUCAAUUCAUCAGGAACAGCCACCAAAUCUCUUUUUGGCAAAUCCAAACCUGCAUGCCCUUGGCCACCAACUCCAGCACCAAACAGCUUGGGAUUUUUACCUUGAUUCAUGGCUCUAGACCCUCUUCCCCUACCUCUACCAGUCAACCCUGCAUUGGGACACAGAAUCAUUGAGGUAAAUGCAUUAUUCAUAGGUUACUAUAAGAAUACAAUGACGGAGCUAUUACCUUUUCCUGGACCAGCCCGUGCAGCUGGAACUACAACCGCAGGAGUAUCCUGGACAUUAUUGAUCCUCUUUGACCGGCGAACUCCACUUCUUAAAUCUGGCAUUCUAUUUCAUGCAAAUAAUCUCUACCUUUCUUCUCCAAUCCCAAACACUGUUGAAAAAUUAUAGGCUAGGACUCCAACCUGAGAAGUUGACAAAACAAAAAAGUUAACUUCUGAUCAGUAUUCAGUCUGUUCUUAACUUCAGAUGCUCAGCCCAAAAGUUUACUUGAGCAUCCAUAUGUAAGAGAUAAUGUCCUCACUGGAACAUAAAGUCUUGUCAUCUGCAGUAAGUGUAAACAGAGUUGAUUGCAGAUUUCCAAGACAAAAGAACAUAGACAGACAAAAGUAACAACCAUUUCUAACCUAUAAAUCAAAACCUUUAAGCAUACUCAUUUAUCAUUAUCAAUGCAUAACACCCCCAUAGCAGCAUUACAAUACAGACGACAUAUUUCAAUCGAUUCAGGAGUGCUGCAUUGCAAGUUGAUUCCCACAUACACACCAUAUACAUUCAAAACUAAACUCAAUCCAACUGUAGCUACCCUAGCAUCCAUGAUCAAAUCCCCUUCAUUUCCAAAAUCCGCAACAUUACGAUUGUGAGUUGUUGCAAAAACCCGAUUACCCAUUAGUUCAAAGCUAAAUCAAACACUCACAAAUCCUCAAAUUUCAAACAUCCAUCCAAACACAACCAACUAAAACUCACCACUGCAUACCAACACAUAAUCAUCAGCCCAAAGAACAGAUUUUUAACCCAGAAUCACCUCAAACACAAACAUUAAGCUCAUUCAAUCCAACUCAUCAUUCAGAUGAUCCCAAAAACCAUGCAAACCACACCAAAACUGAACCAACAAACAAAAACAAUACCCACAAACAGAUUCAAACAACCCGAUUGAGCAGGACAAUCACAGACCCAGAAAAGCCACAUAAAAAACAAUUUUGAUGGUAAUGGUUUUGCAGAUGAUAACAGAAAACAAAGAGAUGAGCUUUGCAUCAAAAACAUACCCGAUGAUGAAAAAGGCGAUGAAUUUGAGGACCCAAAAGGAUGAAGAAUCAAAGAGAGAAUGGGGAUGGAACUGAAUGGGAGGCUGUCAAUGAAUUUGACGGUGGGUGACUUAGAGAGACAGGUUGGGUCUGAGAAUGUGUUUUGUAAGAAGAGAAGAAGAAGAAAGGUGUGUGUAUCAUCUCGGCAAAAUGGAAAGACGGUGUGAGCGAACCUAGUGCGUACGAUAACAUGAAGGCUGACGUGGGGAUUUUUCAUUGGUUAGGUAGGGGACUUAUGGUGGAGGUAUGGUAUGGGAUCUUGGCUGUUUGAGUUUGGGCCAUUUGUUCCAUUUGUUUCAGGUGCUAAUGACCAAGGUCAACUAUGUAUGUGUUUGUUUUGUUCUUUUUCCUAAUAGUGAAACUUAGACACCAAGAGAACAGGCCUUGACUAUAAGUCUAUAACCCAAGAAAGAAAAAUCAAGCCCACAACUUAUAUUAGUAAUGACACUUCAUUUUUGUUUUUUUACUUUAAGUUUCUUUCAAAGUCCCUAUGUGUUUUUAGUUUCUUUUUCACUUGUAUUAGUUUGUAAUUUUAUUGUAUUCAGAUGAUCCCAUCAUGUAACAAAUGUACAAUUAGGGGGGAAGUACAUGAGUGAAUGUCAAUAUGAUUGAUAUUUUGAGUAGGAAUCACCAUGAAUGAUUUCCAAAAGCAUGUACAUUGUAUUUUUUUUUUUUUAAAUACAUUGUAUGUACAUUGUAUGCUUGCGACGAUCUUUUGACUCUUAAUAUAUUAGUGGAUAGGUCAUAGGUUAAAUAGGAGUGUAAUUUGUAUCAUUUUAAUUUCAACAGGUUUUUACUUAAGAUGUGUCAUAGAAAUACCAUUAAGAUAUUUGAAGAAACUACUGCUUAUAGGACAAAACAAAUAAACACAAAUUCUUGCUCUACAGUUACUACAUGCAAGUAUCUAAUUGAGUGGGUUAAGUAUAUGCGAGACUAUGAUAUGUCUGAUCCCACACAUUUAAGACUUGAAUAUAUUGUACUGGUUCCACGGUUAUAUGAUUCUUCAAAGUUAGGCACAAGUAGUGAGAAUGAAAAUUAGGAUGACAACUACAACUAUCAAUGAUAUGAAAGACAAGUUUAACAUGUUCGAACAAGUUUACUAAUUAUUGUUAUGGUUUUGAUUUUUACCCGUGUAAAUGCAUUACUUUUACGAUUUUGUUUUUUGCCUGGCUCUUGGCCUCGUUUGUUUCAUGGGAAAUAAGCAUCAAAAAAUGAAAGUUGUUCAUUUCCGGUGUUUAGGAAAGCAUAAGGAAAAGAAACACUUUAUUGAUUGAUGGGAAAAUAUGGGGAAAAUGGUUCAUUCUAAAAUCCUAAGGAACCAAUUUCCUUUUUUAUUUCACUGCAUUUAUUAUUUACAACACAAUAUUUUAUUAUAUUAAAUCUCAACUCUUUAACAACUUUCCAAUUGACUUUUCUGGUGUUACCAAGCAUCGGAAUGGAAAAUUCUUGUAAAUUUCUCAUCCUAUGGGAAAGAUGAAGGAACCAUUUUCCCUUCCGCGAACCAAACGAGACCAAGAGUGAGCAACAGCUGCCUGUAGGAAAUGUAUGAUGUAUUGAUGUUACAUAAAUCCCUCAAGCGUUUAUGUAAUGGGUCCAAGCUUUCCUCUUACACCGGUAUUCUAACGGUGACCGAGACAUCGAUCUAUUUAUACCGAUUCAUGUUAUGGUGAAACAAAUGGAGUAUUUUUCAAUAAGGAAAAUCCGAACCCAAAAUUGUUAGAUAUUGCCAGUUCAUCCCAAGACUCGGAACUGUAAUAAAAAUGUCCAAGUCUCAAGUCUAUGCUCACAGCAGGCCCUAAAUUAUCCCUCAUUUUCACACCAACCACCAUGUAUUUCAAUUCCACACGAUGAUCAAAGAAAGGAGCAUAACCUCAUAAACACCAAACAAUAUUGAUAUAUAAACAAGCCGCUGCAAUUUCUCCAAUUGAAUAUAAGUAGAAAAAUUACAUAAAAAAAGUAUGAAUCAAAUUUUAUGCUACAUAUAGUACACAACAAGAACAAGCUCAUCAAUCAAGUCUCGCUGCUACUGCCUAACCCUAAAACUCAAAGAUCCGAUCAAUGCAACAGGUAUGUCAUCGCCAAAGCCAGCACCAAAAGGAUGUAAGCAAUUCCUUGAUCUAUAGCCGCACCUAAACAAAAAUCAAAUCAAAACCCAUGUUAGCAAAUCCACAACACUAAAAAACCCAUGUAAGCAAAUCCCCAAUACUACACAAACUGGAUCUGAACAAGAACUCACCAUCGCUGGUCGGAGAAGGAGCUGGGGCUUCCUGACCAUAGCUGAGGCCGAAGAGGGCCAUGAAGAUGAACCCAAUAAUGGGAAGAGCGCAGCAAGAUCUGUAUGAGUUCAUCUUCGAAAAGUGAAUUAGAGAUGAAGAAGAAGAAGAAGGUGAGGGGGUUUGAGAAUUUGGGUUGGAGGGUUGGGAAGGGUAGUUGGUGUUUAUAUAUUAUUGGGGCAGUGUGGGGUUUGGGGAACGUGGAGGGCAACAGUGGGCAUGUGCUGGUUCGAGGAAGGUGGGUGAGAGUGUGAGAGAGAGAAUCUGAGAAUAGUUUCAGUUUGGUUUUGGUUUCUUUGUGAACAAAGUACGCGGUCUUGACGCGAGCUUUUUUGACUCCGGGUCGGCGGCUAAUGGACUCGGAUUCAGAUUCGGAUUCGGACUCGGACGGCAGUAGAUGUAUGAGAGUGGCCAUGGUUCUUAGCCCGCCAUAUGAGGCUGGAUGGAAGGAUGUAGACAUUGGACCAUAAAAUUGUAUACAUCAACAUAAAAUAAAAUACAAUCUAGAGUGACGUGAAAAUACAACGUCUUCAUGUGUUAUCGGUUUAUAUUAUAGUACCAUAAUUGUCUGUUGAUUCAAUAAUUUAUCAGAACGUUCAUUUUUCGUCACAUUUUAAAAAAAAUAUGAUAAUUUUAAUAAACACAACAUUAUGAUCGACUAAUUUUUUCUUCUUCAUGAACCAUGGAUCAUUUUUUUUUUUCGACAGUAUAAACCAUGGAUCGUUAAAAAUCAAAAUCAUGUAAAUACUUAAAUAGCAAAUACUGUGAUUCGAUGACGAUGUGACUUAUUCAAAGCAACAUGGGUUACAUGGGUCAUUGAGACCAUUAAUCUAACACGUUUUUUCAAGAUUUUGAAGUGUCUUAUUGUUUAAGUGUCCCAUUUGUACUCAAAAGAAGACUUUGUCAUUUAUCCAAAUCAAGAUCCCUAUGCUUGAUAAGCGAGUGCGACACGAGGGCUUCCUUAGUUCCAUACAACUAAGGCAACACAGGAAGGAGUAGGAAGUCUGGGUGAUAAAGAAAGCGCAGGUGUGCAAAUGUAGCAACCUGUGCCAGCAAGGGAGAGAAGAAUCAGAACCCCGUUGAGUUGUCAAAUUAGAAGGUCAAACAGAAGUUGGUGUUGUUAGAUUAGUCUUGAUUCACAUAUGGAAGCCAGGAGGAUUGAGCUAUAAUUCAAGUCCAAAUUGUAUACAUUGUAAUGGAAAAGUCGGUUGUGGUCGACCUUGAUCAGUUGACCGUUACGGUUGGUUUUAUAUAACGUUGAACGCCACCUUCCACAUCAGCCGUAAAAUAUCACAAUAACAUUGUAGCCAAACACAUACAAAGCGUAUGUUACCAACAAUUGUGUGAUUUUGUUAUAUUUAUAUGUUAUCUGUUAGCAAAUAUCAAUGUGGGAGGUGUAUAGUAGUUGUAUCUAUGUAUGAUUUUAGUUUUGCUGAUAGGAAUGUACACGUCUAAAAGAGUUUCACAAUUUAUGUAAGAUAUGGGAGAAAACUAUGUAAUUAGAUAAAUUUUACUUUUAAGUUUUCGUUGAAAUUUUCCUAAACCUUUUGAUAGAUGUAUCAUUCAACCUUCUAUGGGAUUGAUCUCGAUUCUUGGAAAUGCCAGAGUUCAAUCGUUGAACUAAGUUGGUUGCGGAUUAAGUUUUAAAAGAAAAUUUAAAAAAACUAUAAUAUUUUGUAAUGGUGACCACAAUUUGUGAGAGAGUGAGAAUUCUACAAGUAGCUAGGAAACAUAAAAAGUUCACAACUAUCUAUGAAUGUCUAUAUAUAGCCUCUAUGGGAAUUGAUAUCACGUUUAAUGAAAAAAUUGAGCUAAGGAUGAAAUAAUUUUUUUAUUGAUAUGCUUGUGUUAAAUUGAUGAAUGGUAAUCUCAAAACUGUUUUAGCAUUCUCAAUAUUAACCCAUGAUUUUGUUAUCUCCAAUCCAUCAAGGCAUCCUGAAAUGAAAAAAGGCUUGUCAUGUUUGAUGAGGUUAUGGUCGCAAGUCGUUUGUAAACGUGAUCAAAGCCAAACUCUCAAGCAUAAGCAACAGCCUCCUUGAGAGACUAUCCCCAUAUAUCGUCCGCAAUAUGCAAAGCAUGAUCCUUUGCAUUGCCGAUCUCAAACUUGAUUAUACGCAAGCACAAAAAAGAGAAUUUUCAUAUACACAUAAUUUUAAAGAGUGGUUUUAAAUAAAACUCACAUAAUAUUCAUAUCUGAUAGACAUCUAAAAUGUAUCAAUUAUGAUAAAUAUUAUGUCAUAUUUUUUCUAAAUUUUACACAAUUGACACCAUUCAACUAUAACAUAUUAAUAUAAUAAAUAAGCUUAAUUGAUGCUGUCUUAAAUACCUUGAUUAUGAGUUUUUCUUCUAACACUAACAUUUUUCAAUCAAUUCGCAAGAAUCAUGUAGUUUUCUUUAUUUUUAUGAAAAAAUCUAGAUUUAACGAAUUCAUUCUCUAAUCUAUACAUAAGGUAAAAUAUAAUAUGAAUAAGAUAUCUGAUCUAAACCCUAUACCCUAAACUCUAUAGCCUAUACCCUAAACCCUAUACCCUAUACCCUGAACCUAUACCCUAACUCUAUACCCUAAACCUUAUACCUUAACCCUAUACCCUAAACCCAAUUUUGGGUUUCUUUUAUUUAGGUAUAUUAUCAUAUCAUACCCUACUUAAUAUGUACAUUAGAAACGUAAGUAGUAGAGAGUAAAAUGUUCUCUCGAUUAUGAUAGGAAAUGAUAUAAUAAUAUACUUAAAAAGAAUAAAAUUAAUCAAAGAACAAGAACGUGUACCUUACAAUUAGACAUUUUUCGACUAUGUAGAGAGACACUAAAUGUGAGCUUAGGAAUGAAAAGUAUCAUCCUAUUACAAAUGACAUACUUCUGUAUAUAGCAUAUAUAUACACACACUCAAGUUAGUAAUAACAAGUUAAGAAAUUAAAGAAUGUAAUUGAUUAUGACAAAGUUAAAUCCAACUAAAUUUUAGCUAGUAUUUGAGUUUCAAAUUGAUGCUAAAAUUGAUAAAUAUACCAAAUUUAGCUUUUUACUGUCUGAAGAGCAAAUUAGAGAAACCGAAAAAUAAAAAAAAUAUUAAUUAUAGACAUUUGCUCUAUAUGGUAUGUUUGCUUAUGUGGAGUGAGUGUAAAAUAAAAAAAAAUAUGUAUGAGUUUAUCUUAAAAGAGGUAUAGUAUUUUAGGUUUUUAUCUAAUUUUCUCCAAAAUUAAUGUCUCCAGUAACUUUAGAAAACCAAUGAGCUGAUUACAAACUUGCACUGGGAGAGUAAAACAAGAAACUAAUAUGAAGACUGAAGGAUCGAAGAAAUGCUAGAGACGAUUCCACCAUAGCAUCAAAAUCUCAGCAGCACCAGACUAGCUAGCUAGGAGAAGAUAUCAGUCUCACCCGAAAGUGUGUACAGAGUCCCAAACUAUAUAGUUUGGAACUGGACAUUUUACCAUAUUAUUUUUCUACUUUUGCCGAAAAUUCCGAAGUAUUAAGAAAAAAAGGAUGACCACUUAUGCAUGCCAUGCAUGUCUGUCGCUACUUGUGGCUUUGGCCCAGGAAUGACUAUGAAUCUCGUAUGAAAACCAGGGCACCACACAAAAUGCUUCCUAUAAUAAACACAUGCAAAGUAGUUAAAAGCUUGUUGCUUAUGCUUAAUUAGGUCGUGAUCUGACUAGGAACAACAUUAACGACACGGAAAGCAUAAGCCUAACCAAGUGCCGACAAUUUCAUUGCUUUUCUGGGUUCAACAUUUCGCUCAACCCAAUCGAUUAGGUCUUUCUUUCCUAUCAAAUGUUGCAUUUCAAGUCACAUCUAUACACAUCAAUCCCCCCUAUCCCAUAUGAUGAGUCCUAUAUAUGACCUAGUGACAUGCAUAUGAAUCGUGCUACAUCAAACUAGGCAGUUUAAUUUGGGCAGUAAGUCAUCAGAUUAAUUAGAUAUUAACUAUUGAUCAGAGUUUUAAAAAAACUCCUUAGGCUUUGUUACUGUGGAAGACAUGUUUGGAGUGUCUAGACGUCGUCUAAGUAGGUUGUACGGCCUUAUUUUAAAACACUGUAUAUAAUUAAAGUUUAAAAACUCGUUAAAUAUUUUAAAAGUAAAAAUUUAACUUAAAGCGUUUAAACGCCUCUCAAAAAAAUGAGCGGUCUUAUUUGAGAACCCUAGUAUUGAUUCGUAUUACUAUUGACAUACGAAAUUUUAUUAUCAAAACGGAAAUGGAGUAGAUAAUUAAUUUGUGAAGCUAGCUAGCGGUGAGAGAUGAAGAUAUGAUGAACAAUGGUGUCAUUGCCAGUAAGAAAUAGACAAGUGAGCACUCUUUUGAGUCAGAAUCGUCUCCAACUGGCGGAACCAAAGGCAGGUGGCGGAACCAAAGUAGCAUCUAAUCCUCAUUGGGAAUGCUUGGUGGGGUCGAAAUCCCAUUUCCCAAAUGAAAAUUUGUGACUAUGAAUAGCGUCGUUAUUCGAUUUUCUUAGGCUACAAGUGCAGCUAAAGCUUUGGUAUAUGGACAAGUGUAGCUCAAGAUAAACUAAACUGGUCUCAUCAGUCUGAGGAUGAGCCCAUUGUAUUAUAUCGUAACAAAAGCAUCUUUCACAUCGAGGCUAAAAGCAAAGGAAACCUUUCCCUGGAGGAAUCAAUCUUAACCCCAAAGAAACUUCUUUAUAUAUAUGCCAAUUCCAUAGCCAAGCUUUACUUGCCCACCUCUCCUAUAUAUUCCUCUUCUCUCUAUAUUUGUAAUGCUGUAGCAGUGUAGGCUACAGAUUCUUUUCUUUUCUUUUCAGGCCAUUCCUCAUAUCUCAGGUUAACGAGAACCAAGAUUGAACAAGAUCAUUAUCAUGUGUCACCCAGCGGGAGUGUCUUUGGUUGCACACAGAGACUUGGCGGUGCAAAAUCGCCGGUGGCUGCUGCUUCUUCUGCAGGCACGGUUCGACGGUUCAAGGAACUUGCAUGCAGCUGCAGACAGAGGAGUUAGAGAGGCUGCUGCUUCUGGUGGAGGUGGCGGCGGUGGCGGCGGAGCAAGGCGAUGUGUGUGCUCGCCGACAAGGCAUCCGGGGUCGUUCCGGUGCAGGCAACACCAUGCUGAUCAGUAUGUAUGGGGUGGUCGAACUGUGACAAGAAUCAGGUCCAGUAGUACUAGUACUAGCUGAUUAAUAAGCUAGCUUUGGUUUUAUACAAGUGAGCAAAUUUACAAGAUUACGAAGGAGAAAUUGAGAUGUAAAAUAUGGUGAUGUGUGUCUUGCUUACAAGAAUUAGCUCAACUGCUAAAGGUUAAUUGGCUGGAGUAUAUUGAUGUUUUAAACUGCCCUCGUCAUAUUUGGCGCAUUUCUUAGAGGGUGUUGGGAAACAAAGAUCGUCAUAACGACAUAACCAAAUGCUUAUCUAUGCUUGUUGCAGUUUAAUUAGAACUGAGAAAGGUUUAGUGCUGUGAAAUUCUGUUAGUGAUCCUAAGAAGUGGAAAUUUAGUUCCAUCGUUUUGUUAUACCUCCGUAUACAAGAUCAAGUUAAGAACCCAAAUCAGUAAUCGAUCACUUGGUACUUUAUAAAACCAGUUUUUGGGUUGCAAAAGAUAGGAAAAUGACGCUUAGGAUGAUGGUAUAUGAUAAUGAAACUCUGAACGAAAUGCUUUCAAAGGUUUAUAUUAACAAGCAUAUAUCACAUAAAACCGCUGCUAAUGAGGCUCUACUGAUACAAAACAUAAUUUGUCAUCUGAAUGAACAUAAGCUGGUUACAGGGGUUAUAACAAGACCGAUAGAUCGUUGCCUCCAAACUAUUCAACUUUUGUCAGUUUUGAAGAGUUAACUUGGAUUUCACGAAACUGCGCAAAAUUUUUAAGUUAUUUAACAUUUUGACAAAAUACAAUCUAUAGUUAACUUCUAAGGACUAGAGACAUGGUUUAAUUUUCUCGAAUAUCUUAACAAAUCGAUAUUUGUAAACAACUCAGACGUAAAUACUUCAUUCCUAGUGAUACGACACAAGUAUUCUCUAGAAUGUUUCAUAAUAGUUGAUAUAUGCUCAUAAAACACACAAUUGUUAUUCAUCAACAACUAUCAUAGUGUGAUUCUUGUUCAUUUAGAACACAACUCCAAUCAAUACAUUCAUCGUAAUAUAUUCAUACUGUCAAGUAAGAGUGAGGUAAUUGACAAAGUAUGCAAGCACAUAACACUCGUGUUCUGCUUGUCCGAAGGUUAUCCCAAUUGAUAUAUCAAGCCAUGCAACAAACUAAUCACAGCACGAAGCAACCAUCAGCUUCAGGAUCAGGAAAAGUGGAUGCGUUGGUAUAGAAUUCGAAGAUACGAGUAUGCAUGAACUGGAGACUCAAAACAGUUCCUGACGUCCUUGUCGAUCUUGGUCGUUUCAACUUCAAAUUGAAACGGAAUGGCAACACCCCUAGUCUUAUGACUCCCAACCUCAUCAAACUCAGGUGCUUGUCCAUCUGGGCGACUCAUUUCGGGGGCAACAAGGCAGGCUUUCUGACCUCCUAUAUGGAGGAUGUAACUUAUACAUGCGAAAUCAAAUUCCUCAGGCAACAUUGGCAGCUCCAAAUCAACAAUUUGUGUGAUAGAUUCUCGAUUCUCAUCUAAGAACAUAAUAUAAACUCCUAGAGACCACCGUCGACCAUGAUUGUAGGCAAACAUUAUCUUCUUGUUAUUGUUAUGGUCACCAGGGAGGUCCAGGACCAAAGCUCGGUUAACAAAAGGAAAAGGGCCGCUUUCGCACAUGGAAUCGACUCUCCUCCAUUUUCUGUCUGCGUGAGGAACAUCGAAGUAGUAGACAGGACUUCUUCUCUGAGAUAUAAACAUCUUGGUGCCAGUAAUUGCAUAAGCAAAGGGGCCAAAGCAGGAAUGCCGGAGAGAUGGAGGUUCUGGUAGAGCAGACCAAGUCCCCAUUUCGGGAUCGAAUACCUCAAAUGAGGGAGAACCGGAGACAAUCCUAUACGUAAGUGCAUACAGUUUGCCCCCCAUCUCCACCAUCAUUGGAGAAAACUUGCCUUGGAUCAAUUUGGCAUCCAUCUUCCGUAUUACACUUGUAUCACCAGGAGGCUGCUUGUCGGGGUCAGUUUCGAAGACGUAAACAUCUCUAUGCCAAGUAGAGCCGGUGAACCUUGUAACGAAAUGGCCGGCGGGUGUCAGGCCAGCGGCGAAAACAAUCUGGGAGCCCAAUACACCACAGACCCCACAGGAGGGGAGUUCAGCAUCUCCGGCCUUAUAACCGACCUGCUGUAAUUGCAAACUAUCAACCGAAUCUGAUGACAACAGAUCGGACAAUUUGAUGGAACGGACAACAUAGGACACUCGCUUACCCGGGUGGUGUUCGAUGUAACAUGAGAGACUUAUUGGCCUCCGACUCAUUACGCUUCAACUUCUUACUUCUCUUCCUCUUCCUAUCAGCCUUUUCACGGCAGUGCCGAAGCUUAUGCUUAUCAGCCUUAUACGGUGGUUCACGGCAGCCUCUAAGCCGGUGACCAUCGCCGGCUCUGUUGGCUACGUUAAGAGUGUUUUUGGGGGACAUGGAAGUGUUUGAUGCUUUGUGUUGCGCCUUUCUUUGUGUACUUAUAGAGGAAACCUUUCCUCCCAACACAAGAAGUAAUCCAACUACAUAACUGGUCUAAUUUAAUUGGGUUUUCUGUUCCUAGAUGGACUAGGAAACCAGUUAGACUUGCAGGUCUUAGUUUUGACUGAUUCGAACCUUCAUCAGGAAUGUUAAUCGUAUGAUUUAACAAAAUUAUCCUUUAAAAAAAAAAAAAAAAUAAGUUAAUUGAAAAGAUAUACAAUUCGGAUUUACUCAACUAGUUACUGUACCAAGCACACCAGGAUAUUAACCGCAUCAUUGACGAAGUACCUGUUUUUGUUGGUCACUUGAUCACGUUAGUUCUUAAUGAAGAAAGCAAACAACGCCUGGGGGUGGUGGCUUUGUUGUCCAAAUGGUUUCAAUUGACUUGCAUACUUCGCUAACUAUAUACUUCAUGUCAGUAACCCCAAUAAAGGUAGAACAAUUUCUACCAUAUGAAACCAAGUUUGGUUUAUAUACUGUAUCGGAUUCCAAGGAACCGAUAUCACAGUUUUGGGAUCUAAAACAUGCUAAAGAUUAUGAGAUAGCCUACUAAUCCAUGAAUCCAAUCAAUCGUUGGGUUUCUACAGUACUUCAUAAGUUAUAUUAUUGUUCCGAAGUGUCGUGCAUUGUAAACACUAAACAGGAGAUAAGUUACGAGCUGUAAAACAAAACCACUUAAAGAGAUAGGAGAAUUGAGUUACAAGCUGCAAACAUGAUAUAUGAACAUUCAGUGAUGGAUAUAGAAUGAUGAACCAAAGUGAGAUUGAAAAGCUGGAUAUUGUAUGAGAACAACAUGGCUGCGAUCCGUAGUGGAAUUUUUGCGACCAUAGUUUACCAAUCCUAACAUAAAUUAAACUUUGGCAAAAUACUGAAAUUUUCUCAACACGGUGUGGUAUUAUUGGUAAGGAAGCAUCUUUCGUGCUUGUUACCUUUUACUAGUACCAAAUACGACACGAAAAAGACAAAAUAUAGUGCAAGCUUCAGCUUAGUUUAGAAACCCAGAUGAGAUCAUCAAAGCCAAGUCAAAGUUCAAUACCCAAUAGAGUCAAGACACGAAGUACUUGUGGGUCCAAAAGCAUUUCAAAUCGUCGACAGGACGUGGAUACAGUUUUGGGUCCAAAGGCUCUUGCGACGAAAAAUCGUCGAGUCAAUAUUACAUAUUCGUAAACCAACCGAGCUGGCUGGCUGAAGCCCAAAUAUAUUAGAGCCCAACCAAGCUGAAGUCGGUGGAAGACCGUUGGAGAGAACGGUAAUAUAAUUUGAAACUUUUCCAAACCUCCGAAAACCCUCCACUCAUUUUCGCUCUCCAAAUUUCCAAUCUUUCUUUCUUUUCAAUCCCAAGAGAAUCCCACUUGUUUCUUUUCAUUCUCAAAUCCAGAGUUGGAAGAAACCAUAGAAAUCGAAAGGCCCAAAUUUCCAAUCCCAAUUGCAAAAUCAAGAACAGACCCUGAUUUUUCAACCUCUGAGAAACCCUAGAAACAAAUUUCGAGAGAAAGGCCCAAUCUUUUUUCCAAUCUAGGUUUUGCCGAUUUCAAAUUGCGAAUUCGAGAUGGGUAAACGACGUCGCAUCAAGAAGCUCUGUGCUGAACUUGAUGUAGCCGAGGACAAGUUUGGAGAGAAAGAGCCGAUCAGUGAGGAAAUUGAAGAGGGAAGUCAAGAGGCUGAUGAAGAGGUUGGAUCGAAAAGGAAAGAGGGAUCGGCGUAGACGGGAACGGCGUGAACGGAAGAGGUUGAUGGGCGUGAGAGAUUUGCGUGUGCGGGAUGGUCGUGAUUAUGUCCCGCACACGCAAAUCUCUCACGCGCAUCAACCUCUUCUGUUCACGCCGUUCCCCCGUCUACGCCGAUCCCUCUUUUCUUUUCGAUCCAACCUCUUCAUCAGCCUCUUGACUUCCCUCUUCAACUUCCUCACUGAUCGGCUCUUUCUCUCCAACAUGUCCUGGGCUACAUCAAGUUCAGCCCGGAGCUUCUUGAUGCGACGUCGUUUACUAAUCUGGAAUUCGCAAUUUGAAAUCGGCAAAACCUAUAUUGGAAAAAAAAUUUGGGGCUUUCUCUCGAAAUUUGUUUCUAGGGUUUCUCAUAGGUUGAAAAAUCAGGGUCUGUUCUUGAUUUUGCAAUUGGGAUUGCAAACUCUCUGAUCCCGAACUCUCAUUGUAUGUAAGCCGCCUUUUUCUAUUCUGAACUAUUGAAUGAUUUUAUGAAGAAGAUUGCUGAUAAUGAUUGAAGUUUGCAUCCCAUUCCUAUUAACUAUUGGAUCUAUUUUGUCUUUGUUUUGAUACACAGGUUCCAGUUCCAAAACUUGUAUUUCCACAAGUUUCUCCAAAACAGGGAGGACAUCACCGCCUUUCCAGUGCUUGCUGUUCAGAACCUCCGUCGGCUUCAGAAUGUCACUUAUAAGGAGAGGGAGCGCAAAUGGACACAGGCAUACAAAAGUUGGGUACAGGACCACUACCCCGAGGGGGGAAUUGAUUUGGAAACAACCUGUAGUGAGGAGAUUUAUGCUUGGAGGGCCUUCAACUAUAGGUUCUACCGAGAUGACCCAGUAGAUGAGGCUGACCUUGUCAGGACCCUCAUCUCCCACUUCAACGAAUGCAGGGCCAAAGAUAUUCCUGCCUCAGCUACAUUUGACCUCAAGCAGGUCGGGGAGGUGGUUUUCAGCUUGUUUCCAGAUAUCUACACCGAUCUCUUCGACUUCCUGUACGAGUGUAAUGUCUAUCUUGAUUUCUCUGCCUGCCGGACUUACUACAGGUGCGUUCCCCUUUGCUCUAUCUUACCAGUUUGCUUGAGACAAUUUUCCAUAUGAUCUUUUGGUUAGGCUUGCUACUGAUGUGUGAUUCCUUCUUUCUUUCUUUUUGUGCAGGGAUCCUGUUGUUGUUGUUGCUGAUUAAGACUGCAACAGUGGGCAUAACAGUGGGGCUUGUUUGAGGUUGAUUCUAAUGGAGGAGACACUUGACUUAGAGAAGAGGAAAUAGCUGAAGCAGUCAUAGUGGGAGGGUCACCAUUUUUUCUGAUGCCAUCUUCCUGAUGUCAUCUGGUGUGCAAUGCAGGUGCCGCCUUAAUUUUUUUUUGCCUUGCUGGUGAAGUGAUUUCUUUUUUAUAGAGGAAAUAAGUAGGUGGCAUACACCCAAGUUUAAGUGUAAUAGUUGAAGAAAUACAAUGCAGACUUGAGGAAGUUUAUGCUUGUAUCAGUGAUUGAUUGUUGUGCUUCUUGAAUUCUUUUUACCACAUAAUGCAGACUUGAGGAAGUUUGUGUUUGUAUGUUGUGCCUCUUGAGUACUUUUUACCACAUUUUCUGUUAUAAAGGAGGUGAUAUAAAUCAUUCUAUUGAGAAUUAGAAUCGACCUCCAGGGCUUCUAAAUCUAGAAUCGACCUCCAGGGCUUAUAAAUGGCCUUGUAAUGUCAAAGGAUCUGUGUCUAGGUGAGAUAUCUUAUUAGUAAUCAAGCUUGCAGGCAAGGUGAUUUGUUUUCAUGGCAAAAGCCAGCCGGAACAAGUGAACUUUGAGGUUCAGCCGGGGCGGUACUGCCAGACUGAAAUUAGUGUUUUGUCCAAAAUAUUAAUACAAAUGGUCUGAGCAAGAACUGAGGACAUGUGGAUCAGUUUUUAACUCUUUUGUUGGGUUUGUACUUUAAAGCAGUGGUUUAAACUUUAAACUCUGGCAAAGAAUUUUCUUAAAUGUAAUAGUUGUUUAGAAGCUAUAAGCUGCCGGCAGGGAGAAGAGCUUUAGUUCUGGGCAGGUUCUCAAAUUUGCAGAUUUAUAAGGUCCCCCUUUGAAUUACAAGAUACCUUUAAAAGGAAAAUGGAGACGCAACAACUGAGACUAAAGAAAGUGUGAAUUUUUAUAAUCCAAAUGGCUACAGCAGUAAUGAGAGAAGUAUUCCCGAAUUUUUAGCAAUUAGCACAACACCACAAACUGGGAUUACUAAAACAACCCGUCAAAAGAAACUGGGAUUACUAAAACAGGUCAUUCCAUGAGUUGCAAUCACAUAUAGAAGUUAUUACAGUUACAAUGGCAAAAAAAUGACCGAGAAAGGAAUGAACUAAGCAAGCAGGUUUGCGUCCACAUGCUUGCAUUGAAUAGCUUCCACGCUUGUAACAACUUAAUCCAGGUUAAGGUCAUCAGCAACCUCUGGGAUGAUAGCAGUUGGCUCGUUGACCGCUUCCUCGACAGAAAAUUGAAUAGGUACUGCAGGUCUAAGAUAGCUUGUCGGCAAAACUUAGCACACUUUUGCACAACACAUAUUCCGAGCUCCUUAUAUGUCUUAGAAACUUAAACUAGAGGAUCAGCUACCACUUCAGGUACUCCAUUAUCUCCAGAAGCAGAUAGCUGCCAGAUAUAUGUAAUCAAAAUGACAGUGUCUUGCUGUCUUAAAUAUGCAUUUUGAUAAAACAUUUUACAACUUGAUAUAAUAAUAGAAGCAGAUCCUGAUGUGUGCUCUGAAUCAAAAACAUGAACUGUACAGUAUAUGUUUGGCUUUGUUUGUCAACCAAGAUAGUCUAAAUCAUGCACUAGAGCAAAUUCAAAUGGAAAGUCGUGAGUGAACGGAAAAAACAUAAGACUUACAGUUGGUCAAAUAGGAAGAUUAAAAUAGAUUUGGGAUAAGUGCUUUACAACUACAAACAUAUGACUUAUACUAUCAAAUGCAUGAACUGCAAUACUUAGAUUAAUUAAGAUAUUCUAUGAAAGUAUGAAGCUCGCUUUCAAAAAAAGAAGAAGAAGAUAUUCUAUGAAGCAAGAAAGUAUAUUAUAUAUGCACAUACCUCGAGCCUGAGCCUUUACCAAACGGGUAGGAGAUGGCAUUACCAAAGAUCAGUGUUCACUACUACAGUGCUCGCGGUGGCUUCAGCUUCUAUAAGGAUCCCUGAGUCGACUCUGCUUGUUGACCGAAAAGGUGGUGGCUUCUGGAUAUAGCAGGCGUGCAGCUAAGUUAAUAUCAACAUUCUUUGAACCUUGAAGUUCCAUUCACAGAUGCAUAUCCAAUCCCAAAGCAUAUCAACCCUCGGAUCAACCUAAGCUAACUGAAAGCCUAAAACCGCUUUAUUACUUAGACUCCAAAGCCAAGCAACAAAACAAAAAGCCGACAAAGUUUAUUGAUGAAACAAUAUAUAACCUAUGUCCAUGAAGAGAUCAACAGUUUUACCCAACAAGUACAUAUUACUGGUAAACCAGAUCAAAUUUAACAAAAGUCUACAACUAGGACAAUAGUUCAAUUGUAAUAAAUCUCAAUAACUAUCAUAGUCCAAAACUGGGUAAAGCAGUACAGGAGCUUCAUUACCUUCUCUGAUGCCCUAUGAAAACACCAUAAGGCGGAGGCAACAUCUUUCUUGACACAGUCUCCAGUAGGAUACACAACACCCAGAAGGUAUAGAGCGCCUGGAUGCAACUAAAAAGAUACCGAGCUCCUGUUAGACUAUGAAAUACGAUUCUGGAAGCACCAUUAUUUGCCACAUUAUAGUGAAAACCUACCUGAUCAACUGCCUUCUCCAGAUAUGGAAAGCUUGCUGAUCCGACUGGACAUUCUCAUUCUAAAAAAGCACCCGAUUAGGCAACCAUCAUAAAGUAAUAAUAAAAUGAUCAAGUAUGUCAACGGAAAAAGAAAAUGCAACAAACUAUUGCAACAUCCCCAACCAGAAACAAAAGAAUAUCGAUCUAUUAAGGGCAUUUUAUCACAUGAGUCGUCAAAAUUCACACACUGAGACCAAACCCAUAAAACUAAUUAGUUCACAUACAAAUUGUUUGAUAGCUGCAAAAUAUACAAUUCACUUAGUGUAUACCUCAACUCUAAGACGACAAGCGAGUUCAUACUGUGUAUCCGGAUCACCCAUAUUUGCGGCUUCAACUGACAGAGCAGCUCCUCUGUUGUGCAAAAAACAGAAAAAUUAUCAAUCACAUGACAUCUUUUUAUUUGCUUGUAUGCCCCAUGAUGCAACACAUAGUAAUUUUGAGAAUGCAGACCACCAUCAUUAAGAUAAUGAAGAAAAGAGUCUAUAAGACUUCUCAGAAAGUACACUUACAUCGGUUUGCAUGCCUCUGGGACAUGGUAUUUCAAAUGCAAUCCGGACAACCAAUACCUAGCAUGGGUAUUUGAGUUGUCGGUCUCUAGAGCCAACUCAAAGUUUUCUUUGCUGCUUGAUGCGAUCAAAACAAUCGUGUCAGAACAGAGCCUUUUCUUUCUAUCAUCCCAAUUUCAUCAACAAAACCUUAUAUGUACUAUGAUCAGAAGGAAGGAGGAGUAUUGCUCCGGAGCAAUACUCUAUAAAGUAUUUUGCCUCUGAUUUGGAAGCUUAUAUCUCACCCAACAAUCAACCAAGCAAAUUAACUAAUGAUGGAAGUCGACAAAAUCAUGGAUUUUAUCCCAGCAGCCUUCUAUUAAAAACAUGACACUCUUCUCUGUCCUCCCAAAACAAAAUCAAAAAACCAUCGAAAACCCAAAAUUCAAUUUGGUUUCUCUUUGUUUCCCACCUUUCCUCAUAAACCAAAAGCAUGUAAAACACAUACAAACACAUGGACAUCAAAAGGCUCCUUUCAUCUUAAACCUCAUCAAACCUACACUAACAUGUGGGUCAGUUCAGUUCACAAUCUACGUCUUCACAUUACUAAUCAAGACACCAACUUUCACUACUUUUCCAAGUAGAAAGAAAAGUUGUUAAAUACACAGAAUGGCAACAUAAAAUAGAUAAAUUUAACAACUUAUUCCAUUUUCUUUAUACCAUUUCAACACUCUAACUAAAGACUGAUUCAGCUGGUAUUCAACAUUAACUAGAGACAGAGAAUUAUCAGAUUAACUCUAGGAAUUAGCUCUAUCAAAUUCAAGUAAUCAGCCUUAAUACUUGCUAAUAGCCUAUGACCAUAUAAAAAAGACUUAAUGUAAAGGAAUCUGUGAGACUGACAUUCAUAAAAUCCUUAAAGUCAUAUGUUACUCUAAGCAUGUAACAAUAAAGUUAAACCAUGGUACUAACCAAUCAUUACACACCAUGUUCCUCUGACACUUAGGCUUCUAGCAAUGCAGGUUAAAGCCACACGAAACCUCUAACUUUUCAUGGUUUAUAACUCUGUUUCGUCAAAAAUGAAUAAUUAGACCUGUGAUGCAGCAGCUACAACAUUGUAAAAGAAUUCCGCUAUUAGAAGCGUAGGCCAUUGACCCAACUGUAAAACAAAGCACUUUCACAAAUCCACUUACAGAACUCACGAACCCAGGCAAUAGUCAUAUCCCCACCAUCAAACUAAACGGAGGGCCUUACACAGAAUAGAUAAAGUGCAGAAGAUGAAUCAAGUUAAAGUGAUUAGAGCAAAAAGCAACCAAGGGUAAAAGGCGGAAAGGUAGAGUCUGGACGUAUAUGAUAGUCGAAAAUGCGAGGAGGCUGGAAUUGGGCGGUGAAACAAUUCUUCCUGUCCUUGUCGACCAUGGAGAUAUCAAAUUCGAAUUGAAAUGGUAUGGCAGCACCUUGUAUAGUAUAAAUCAUCACAAGCCUAGUUUCUUUAUACUCUUCAUGAGCAGGUUUUCUGAUACGGGUGUUGACAAGGCACAUAUUGUUUCCCCCUAGAUGGAGCAAAUGACAGUCACCCGGCCGUUGAGGGAGCGCAGCAGCUGGCAGAUUCAUCUCCAUUAUUUCACUGAUAUCUUCCUGGUUUUCAUCCAAGGACAUAAGAUGAACUACUAGACUAUUCCGGAAAAAGCCACCAGCUUUAACCGAAAAGAGCAACUUUUUGUUACUGUGUUCUGGCUGCGGCAAGUCCACCACUAGAGCUUGGCCUGUAAACGGGAAAGGGCCGCCUUGGCACAUGCUGGGGACUCUCCUCCAUUCUGGGUCACUGGCCGCAAGGUCAAAGCAGCGAAUUGAAGGGUCCUGUUUAAGGUAGUUGCGGUAGUAGUUUUCUUCGCCCUCUGGCACUGGGCUAGACAUGAACAAUUUGGUUCCGGAUAUUGCAUAAGAGUAGAGGAGGCCAUAAUUAGGAUAUUUUGGCAGACGUGACCAAGUACCCUGUUGGGGGUCAAAUACCUCAAUGAAACGUAAGUGUUAUACUCCUUAAGGGACAGUACAUAGAGUUUGCCGGCAAACUCAGUCAUCAACGGUUUAUGCUUCCCUCCGUUCAAAGCGGGCAUCUUGACUAUUCCUUGGUUGGGGUCAUGGACAUCAAAGGCAUAUGCGUCUGUGGUGGCAAGAGGGCCGAAUGGGAAUCCGAAAACCGGAUCGGAGUUGGGUUUCAAUCCGCUGGCGAAAACAAUCUUGGAGCCCAAAACACCGCAACCCCCUUCAAAUGGGAGAUCAUCGUCGACCAGAUUCGCCACUUGUCUUGAUUCUAAUUUCACCGACGACGACGACGACAGCAAAUCGGAAAGAUUGAUGGAACGAACAACAUAAGAAAACUCCCCAGGCUCAUACCCCGCAGGAGGGAUGGACUUUCUGUGAGUUUCAAAGCUACAAAUGAAUAGAUACUUCUCAUGCUCUUCACCGUAGCUUUCUGGGUUCAACGAUUUUUCGGACAUAGUGUUUCUCUGUUUGCUCUCAAGCUUUGAGUUUGAGGCUUAGGUUUUCGGCUUUUGGCAGUUUAUAUACAAACAUGUUUCUUCUUCAUCACACGGUUGGAUUUACGUUUCCUAAUAACAAUUGGAUCAGAGGUCCUAAUUAUUAUUGGAUUUGGAUUGGAAUCCAGCAGAUAGUUGGGCUCGAACGAAAACUCGGCCCAGUUGCUUUAUAACUAUUCCCCGUCCUUUUUUCUUAAAUUAAUACAUAACGACCGGCUCUACUCUGUAUAUCAUGAAGAGUCAUGGCCUAAGUUUACAGAUAGGUCUAGCUGCAGUUCGGUUGCCAACCCUUUUCAUCUCAACUGAUGUCGACCUAAAGGUAGAUAGUAUACGAAAACUAGAUCGAAGCGGCCAAAAUUUUCAUUUCAUCUUCACAAUUCCUCAACAUCAAAACAAUCUACUUUAUUCCUCAAUUACUAAACGUAGGCAAACCAAAAGCCACAAAGCCAUUAUGAAUUUCCAACCCACAAUCAUACAAAUCGAAUUAAAAAUGAAACUCCCACAUAAUCACACUGAGGUGUACCAGUGCUUGGUCUCUUACUAGGCUUUAUGCAUUUUUCAGGCCUUUAUUGCGAAGAAAUAACCCCUUUUUCUGCAUAUGUAAAAAUAGAAUAGUGUUAGUCCUCUAACUUAUUCUGCCAGUUGAAAUUAAAAUCAUUAUUAAGGAAAAAAAAAACUAUGCUCGUGACAAUCAGACAAUUUUCUUUUUUCGACGCUAGAUAAUACAUUCUUGAACUCAAAUGUUUCAUAAUUUUAAGAAAUUAAAAAUAACAAUCUCUCACAAUCCAAGUAUCUAAGCUAGGUAAAGCUAGGAUCGGUUUGUGUUUUUACCCGGCUUGGCCUUUAUUACUUUAUUCACAACUUUAUUCACACAACAAAAUUUCUUGCUCAUGUGAAAUCAACUUUUCUUGCUCAUUACAUGAUAAUACGCUCUUCACACCUUUAUUGCAUUUGUUGUAUUUGAUUGUUCCAUGAUAUGACUUUUACUUAUACAUAGUCACUCAUAAGUCAGUUAAAAUAAAAUGAAUUGUGUAGAGCUAAUAUAUGUAUAUGAGAUGUUGGAGGCAAUUAAAAAUUAUUCACUGCAUUUAUGAUUAGAGACUUAUCACCAUAUUUGUCUUUCAGCAUAUUCCUUUGGACCUUGAUGUUUCGUUUAUGAUUAGAGACUUAUCACCAUAUUCAUCCUUCAGCAUAUUCCUUUGGACCUUGAUGUUUCGUUUAAAUCAAAUUUGCAGGUUACCAAGACAAUUAGUACGUACUAGGGAUGAGAAUGAGUAACCAUUUAUUUAUGAUGUACUAGGAAAUCAAUGCAAUUGCUCAUUUGCUCUUGCUUAUAUGUGAUGUUGAUCAUUUCUAUUAAAAAAAAAAAGUGAUGUUGAAAGUAAUUACAUGUAAAAGUAACUUAUAACAACUAUCUCUCUCAUACUUGGGACCAAGCCCCAAAAAACACCCUAGUCUGACUACAACAAAUCUAGCCAACAUAUACCUAAGGCUAUGAUCGUUUCGCGGAAUCAAGGCAUAAGGCCAUGUUUGUUUGGAUGCAGUAGGAAAUAAACUGGAAAAGAAAAUGGCGGGACGUGGAUACACUUCUGCUUUACCGACCAAAAAUCGUCGACAGAAGUCAGUCAAUACUACAUUUCGUCGUCUUUUCUUUUGUAAACCAAGCUGCCUCAAGCCCAAAUAUAACAGCCCAACCAAGCUUUUUUCUAGGGUUUUGCUUGCAGACAACUCCUAGAUGAGGUCGCCUCCAGGUGAGCGAAAAAGCUUCAUCUUCCGAUUCUCGACUUCGGCACAGUCAAAGUGCGUGAUGAUAGGACUCAGAUCCUCUCCUCGUAAUUGUCUGCUAAUAUUGCCUCAAAAAUGAAUCUGGACCAUACAAUCGUAAUGGAUGGCCAGGAUUUCUCUAGAAUUUUACAGGGGACCUCAAGAAUUUUACCACCUGCCACGUCAUGGACGAGUGUGACCGUAAAAUGUUAAUAGGGUAAAACGACUCCCAAAUUCAAUUCCUCUCUCUCAAUUUAUCAUCGGCCGCGACGAGAGCUCCAUAGGAUUCGGGGCAAUCGGCUGGGGGUAGUUGCGGAAUUUCCAGUGCUUCAUCUCCGGCGCCGGAAUGCCAAGUGGGUAAGUUGGACUCCUCUUGCUAGUUACUUUACUGUUCAAUUGGUACUGGUAAACUUGGUAGCAGUAGAAGAUAUGCAGUGACUAAUAAUUGGAUACAGUUAGUCUUUGCUCAAUGGAUACAUAGCUCCUAAGAUUGCCAAGUUAGUGAUUGGAGCUAUAGAGCAAAUGGGGACGUGUGUUUCUUUGCUAUUACGUUGAUAUGAUACAUAGGGAGAGCUGGUAGUUCUAGUUAUUGCGUGGAUUGAACACCCUUUUCCGAAUUCAGCUGACGGAUCAUGUUAGUUUUUGUAAGAAAUUCGAAACAGCAAAGAGCAGAAAUUGUAUGUAGAUAUAUGUUCGGGCAGGUAUACCUUUCGUCUCUAAAUUGUAUGCAGAAAUUGUUUGGACUUGGGGAGCAUGGUGAUGCUGUAUCUCGUCAACUGAUUCUUACAAAAGUUUCAGUGGCUGAAAGACGGCCAGAGGACUAUGAAGUAAGCUGAUGAACUUACUAAAACAUAUAUCAUUGGCUUGUUGUCUUAUGCAUGCAUCAUAGAUUACACAUUGAUCAGGAAUCUCGGAAUUGGAUCAUGUUUUGUGAUUGUUGCUGUUGUUGUUAACCACCCGAACUACAGCUAGCACCCCACAACCCUAAAGAAUUAUGUCCUUUUUCCCUUUACCAAAAACUGAUGGAUUUUCUUUGAAUGUUGUUAUUUAAAUUUUUUUGUUCUCGAUGCAUGUUAGAUGUGUAAUGAAUAUAUCAAAGGAAAAGAGUAAAGUUCAAUUCUUUCUUAAAUCCCCUUGUGGUUUUACUUGUACAUAAAUCUGAGUGAUAUUUUGUGGAUUUUUUUCAAAUGUUGAGAAUAGUCACUAUAUGUUUGCAGGCUGUUAUGGUUCGACCCUUAUCUGCAGUAAAUGCCCUUGUUCGGUUUACUGGGGAGCCCCAGAUGUUUGCAAUUGAGUUCAAUGAUGGAUGCCCCAUCCAUGUGAGCACUUGUUACACUUUAACUUUUAAUUUUUGGUUUCUUUCAGGGACAUGCUUCUGAUGUUUGUGAUGUAUCUUGUAGGUAUAUAUACAAGCACCUCUGGUGAUAGCUUACUUGGGGCAGUUCGUGAUUUGUUGCAAACAGAAGUAGGUAGAUGUGUUCUCUUGUGGGUAUUGAAAAAGUUUACCCAGCACGUUUUGCCAUAACUUUCCACUUUAUGCUGUUUGGCUGACAUCUGGUUAUAACUUGUGCAGGGUCAAUAUGCUGUGACUGUGUUACCAAGACUGACGAUGCCUGGCCAUCGCAUUGUUCCACCUUGGGGCAGAGUUAAUUUACAAUUUGAAAUUCAACGGCCUAUUGCAGAUAUGGAGAUCGCAUCCAUGCAUUUGAAGCACUUAGCAGCAGCUGCCAAAGAUGCAGUUGCUGAAGGUGGUUCCGUUCCGGGAUCAAUGCGAUGAAUAAGAGAGUUCAAUGCAUGUAUACCGUAUAAUGGUGUCCCUCCUAACAUAGAAGUACCUGAGGUGACGUUGAUGGCUUUAAUAACAAUGCUUCGGCUACGCCAAAUCUUCCUCCAGAGUCCCCUCCUUUGCCACCCCCUUCUCCUAAAGCAGCUGCAACAGUCAUGGGAUUUAUUGCUUGCUUACGUAGAUUAUUAGCUUCAAGAACUGCUGCUUCACAUGUCAUGUCUUGCUUACUCCGAGAUGGUUCAGAGGGUGUAGCUGCUGAAGCUGCAUUGCAGUUCUUAUUGGUGGUGGCCCUGGGGAUACAAAUAUAUUGACAGAUUCUAAAGGUGAGCAGCAUGCCACAAUCAUGCACACAAAGUCAGUGUUGUUUGCUCAACAAGGUUACGCCAUUAUACUUGCCAAUAGACUGAACCCUGUGUCUGUAUCACCACUAUUAUCAAUGGCUGUUGUUGAGGUUCUUGAGGCAAAAAUAUGUGAUCCACAUGGUGAGACAACACAAUACCCAGUGUAUGUUGAACUAUUACACCAAGUAGCUGGUUUGAAGCGUCGUCUGUUUGCGUUGUUUGGACAUCCUACUGAGAGUGUUCGGAAAACAGUGGCUGUGAUUAUGCGUACAAUUGCUGAAGAAGAUGCAAUUGUAGCAGAGUCCAUGUGUGAUGCUGCAUUGUGUGAUGGUGCUUUCUUGAGGCAUUUAUUGCAUGCAUUUUUCCUUCCAGCUGGUAAGCGACGUGAGGUUAGUCGACAGCUUGUUGCUCUUUGGGCAGAUUCUUAUCAACCCGCUCUAGAUUUAUUGUCUUAGAGUUUUGCCUCCUGGACUUGUUGCUUAUUUGCACACAAAAUCUGAUGGAGUUCUAUCAGAAGAUUCUAAUCAAGAAGUUUCCUUGACCAGUAGAAGACAGAGACGCUUACUUCAACAGAGGUGAGGUUGUACCGAAGUAUGAGCAACGUCCCAGGCCUUGCCUUCUGCAAAAAAUUAUGACGUGAAUGACCCCAUGACACAAACAAGUAGUGAUGUCUCAAAAGUGUCCAAUAACUAUCAAAGAUCUGCAAUGGAUCCAAAUUCUGGACAGGCUUCGACCAUUCAAUUUUCUGGUGCUCAGACUGGUGAAAACUUGACUGGGGAAGUAUCUUCUACUGGGGAUCUACAAAGCAAUUAUACAUCUUCUCUGGCUUCAGCUGAUGCUCAGUCAACAGGUGGUCAUGCUUCAUUGGCAGGAAAUACUGCAAUCUCAACAGAUUCUCAGCAAAUAUCCAAUCUCACAGAAUUCGGGUCUCCCUUCCCCUGCUCAGGUUGUUGUAGAAAACACUCCUGUGGGAUCUGGCAGGCUUCUGCGUAAUUGGCCUGAAUUCUGGCGAGCAUUAGCCUUGAUCAUAAUUGUGCAGAUUUGAUCUAGAAUCAGCGUACCAAGCAAGAGUUAAGGGAGGCCUUGCAGGCUGAGUUUGGCUCACACUGUAUUUUUAUUUUUAUAUGCUCAGCAUUUUAGUAUUUUUAGUGAGCAACUGCUUUUGAAUUUACUGGAAAGCCUUCCACAUUCACAAUCUUUUUUCACUUUUGAAAAAAUAUGAAGUUCCUUUUAGUAAAUCAACACCACCAUAUACAGUUUGAUUGCUGCUACUGCCUUCAAGGAAUGGAUGUGUUUUUGACAAGGAAGGAGCACAGGUUGGUCCUGUUGAAAAGGAUGCCAUAAGAAGAUUUUGGUUCAAGAAGGCAAUUGCUGGGAUGCUAGACCGGAAGAGACCACAUGAUAUUCGUGUUCGAGUUCCUGUUGUAACGCCAGCUCAGGUCAGUUAUAACAAGCGUGGAACUUAAAUCUCAUCUACUAUGUAUUUCAUUUUUCAUUUGCUGUGGUUUUUCUCUGCAUUGUGAGAAUUUUGCCAGUGUCUUGACGGAAGAUUUGAGUUCUAGAUCAGUUUGAUUGAAAGAACCUUAAGUGUUACCGGCAUAUGCUAUCUAAUUUCGGGUGAAUUGAUUCCUUUUUUCUUGGAGAUUACAUAAGAUACUUGAAAAAUAAUACAGAACAAUCAGACGAGGGAAAUAACAUUAUCAUUGACUGAAACAUGAACAAUACAAAUACAGAAUAUAAAUACAGAAAACAGUUUCCAGGAUGCACGAUAGGUUAUGAUCAUCAGCAAUGCACCAAACAAAUUACAGCACAAAGCAACCAUCAGUUCGAGGACAAGCAUAAGUGGAUGGGCUGGUAUAGAAUUCGAAGAUACGAGUAGGCAUGAACUGGAGAGUCAAACAAUUCUUAGUGUCCUUGUCGAUUUUGGUGAUAUCAACUUCAAACUGAAAUGGAAUGACAACACCCCGCGUCUUAUGACUCCCAAUUUCAUCUUCAUAUUCAGGUGCUAGUUCCCCCCGGAGAGUCAUUUCAGGGGAAACAAGGCAGGCUUUCUGGCCUCCUAUAUGGACGAUGUACCAUAUGUUUGCAAAUUCAAAUUCCUCAGGCAACAUUGGCAGCUUCAAAUCAGCAAUUCGAGUGAUAGACUCUUGAUUUUCAUCCAAGCACAUAAUAUAAACUACUAGAUACCAACGAUCAUUCGUGUAACCAAACAUUAUCUUCCUGUUAUUGUUAUGGUCACCAGGGAGGUCCAGGACCAGAGCUCUGUUAACAAAAGGAAAAGGGCCGCGUUCGCACAUGGAACGGACUAACCUCCAUUCUCUGUCUGGGUGAGCUACAUCGAAGCAAUAUACAGGAAAUCUACCCUGAGACACAAACAUCUUGGUGCCAGUUAUUGCAUAAGACAAGGGGCAAUUGCGCUGAUACGGACCAUCUCGUCGGAAGAAUGGAGGCUGUGGCAGAGCAGACCAAGUCCCCAUUUCGGGAUCGAAUACCUCAAAUGCGGGAUCCGAGACCCGCUCAUACGAAAGUGCAUACAGUUUGCCUCCCACCUCUAUCAUCACAGGAAAAUACUUGGCUUGAAGCAAUUGGGCAUCCAUCUUCUGGAUUACAGAGCUGCUAUCACCAGGAGGCUGCUUGUCGGGGUCAGUUUCGAAGACGUAAACAUCUCUUUGCCAAGUAUGGUUUGGAUCGGACCAGAGGGGGGGCCUCUUGCCGCCGGCGAAAACCAUUUGGGAGCCCACCACACCGCAACUUAUAAAACCGGGGAGUUCGUCCCCGGUCUUAUAAGCGACCUGCCGUAAUUGCAAAUUAUCAACCGAAUCCGACGACAACAGAUCGGACAAUUUGAUGGAACGGACAACAUAAGUGAUCCGGUCUCCGUCUCUAGCGUCGUGUUCUUCGUCGAAACAAAUGUACAGUGUCUUGUUAUCCUCCGACUCAUUUAGCUUCAACUUCUUACUCCUCUUCUUCUUCUUCUUCUUGUCCUUCUUCUUCUUCUUCUUCUUGUCAGACUUAAGCGGUGGUUGACGGCGGUGACCACCAUCAUCGGUGGCUUUGUUGGCUUUUAGGUUAAGAGUGUUUUUGGGAGACAUGAACUCCAAACAGUUCAGUUUGCUUUCGGUGUUGUUGGGCCCGUUCUUUGUUUAUUUAUAGGGAGGAAGCCUUGUUUCCCUGUCUCGCUGGGUAUUGGACUUUACUCCUUCUCUGGUUAGAAAUAGGAUCCACAACUGGGCCUAAUCUGAUCAUGAGCCAGCCCAACUCCACUCCACAAGUCGUUUUGAGGCUAUAAUUAGAUUCGACCUGGAAUGGUAUGAAUCGGAGGGUGAAGCAAUAUUUUUUGUCCUUGUCCAGCUUAGUGUAUCAACUUCAAACUGGAAUGGUAUGGCAACCCCCAAUUUCUUAUGAGACCCGAGCUCCAAUUCGUAUCCUCCUUCAUCAUCACAGGGGAGCUCCAAUUCGGGGAUAACAAUGCAGGCUUUCCGACCUCCUAUGUGGACAAAUCACAGCUUGUUGCUUCACCCAAUUCAUAAGGCAACCGCGGCAGCUUCAAGUCACCGAUCCUUGUGAUAGACUCUUGUUUUUCUCACAAUGACAUGACAUAAACUCCUAGACACCAACGAUCGUGACUAUAGGCGAACACUAUCUUCUUGUCAGGCUGCGGCAGGUCCAGGACCAAAGACUUAUCAGCAAAUGGGAAAGGGUCGCCUUGACACAUUGUAGGGACUAGUCUCCAUUCUCUAUCCGGGUGCAGGCAUUGUAUCCAAGUACAUCGAUGUGAUCAACACUGUGUCAAGGUCAAUCCGUGUGCAGGCAUUAUAUGGAUCAACUGCUACUUUGCCUUCGACCGCGAUUGCCCUUAUGGAGGAUACAAAAUGAGUGGAUUUAAAAGAGACUGUGGUAUGCAGGGCCUCCACAAGUACAUGCAUACUAAAUCUGUGGUCACUCCAGAAUCCUUUACCAAAGGAAUGUUAAUAGUCAGUAAUUUCAGUGCAGAGUAAAUUAUUGUGUUGAAGUUCUUUGUUUAUUUAUGUGGGAAAUGUCAAAAAGAUUGUAUUUGUUGUUGCGGUAUACAAAUCUCUAUUUUAUCGAUCGACACCUGCAAAGGAUCAUUGUUAGAUAUGGAAAUACCUGUAUAUAUAUCUGCCAGAGAGUAAUUCACUUGGGACAUUAAUUUGUAGGCUUCUUGCAGUGUCAUUUCAUCAAAACAUGUCACGGACAGAAACACAUAUUGCCGAAUGAAAUCAGAAUCAAUUAUGGAAGGUGAAGUGAUGUGUAAGACUUAAUAUCUACAUCUAAGGAACACAUAUUAAGUGUAAUAACUUGCCGGUUCUUCCUCUUCUCCAUCUCCUCAUGCAUGCUCAGACCAUUUGUAUCUACAGUUUUGGCGAUAGCAGUAGGUAAUUUCAGUCCGGCAGCAUCGGCCGAACCGCUAAGGUUCACUUGUUGAAAUCACCUUGCUUGCAAGCUUGACUUGGAACAGGAUAUCAGACUUGGCUAAUUGCGCCAAUGCUCAGUAUAGACAGCGAGAUACAGAUCUUUUAACAUUACACGGCCAACUUUGAGCUACACUGGAAAGAGACAUCAUCGUUCCUCUAGAUUUAGAGGCCCUGGAUGUCGAAUCUAAUUAUAGCCUCAAACUUUGAACCCUAUGAUUUUAUUUAUCACCUCCUUUAUAACAGAAGAUGUGGUAAAAAGAACUCACAAAGCACAACAAUCAAUAUCACUAAUACAACCAUAGACUUCUUCAAGUCUGCAUUAUUUUUCUCCAACUAUUACAUUUAAACUUGGGUGCAUGUACUUGUUUUUUCUAUCUAUGAAAAGAAAAUUAAAGAGCCAUACAUAUUGCUUGAUGUAAGAAGGCACUUGCACUGCACACCAGAUGGCAUCAGGAGAACUGGUGACCCUCACUGUUGACUGCUUCUGCUAGUCCCUCUUCUUUAAGUCAGUCUGCUCCGUUUAGCUGAUCAGGAAUAUGAAUAAAAUCAACCACUGUAUACGAAAGCCUUCAAAGUUCCGAUCAACCUCAAAUAGGUCCACUGUUAAAUAUCUGUAAGAUAGACAACCAUAUUGUGCAUUAGAUAUAGCCUUAGAUAUACAAACUACCUGACAGCGCAUAAGACUUGAAAAAUCAGGCGAGGGAAAUAACGUUAUCAUUGACUGAAACAUGUAUCCGUUAAGGAGCGCAAACAAUACAAAUACUGAAUUUAAAUACAGAAAAGAAAGAGAGAAAGAAAACAAAAAACAGUUUCCAGGAUGCACGAUAGUCAAUCAACACAUUAUGAUCAUCAGCAAUGCAACAAACUGGUUACAGCACAAAGCAACCAUGAGCUCGAGGACUAGGAAAAGUGGAUGGGUUGGUACAGAAUUCGAAGAUGCGAGUAGGCAUGAACUGGAGAGUCAAACAAUUCUUGGCGUCCUUGUCGAUCUUGGUGAUAUCAACUUCAAAUCGAAACGGAAUGGCAACACCCCUUGUCUUAUGACUCCCAACUUGAUUAAAUUUAGGUAAUUGUUCCUCUGGGGGACACAUUGAGGGGGCAACGAGGCAGGCUUUCUGACCUCCUAUAUGGAGGAGGAAACAUCUCUUUGCAAAUUUAAACUCCUCAGGCAACCUUGGCAGCUUCAAGUCAGCAAUUUGUGUGAGAGAUUCUCGAUUUUUAUCCAAAAACAUAAUAUAAGCUCCUAGAUUCCAACAACGAGUACCGCCAUAGGCAAACAUUAACUUCUUGUUAUUGUUGUUGUCACCGGGGAGGUCCAGGACCAGAGCUCCGCUAACAAAAGGGAAAGGGCCGCGUUGGCACAUGGAAUGGACUAACCUCCAUUCUCUGCGAGGGUGAGCUACGUCGAAGCAGAAGACAGGACAUCUACUCUGAGACACAAACAUCUUGGUGCCAGUAACUGCAUAGGACAAGGUGCCACCGCGGUGAUACUGACCAUUUUGUUGGAAGAAUGGAGGCUCCGGUAAAGCAGACCAAGUCCCUAUUGUGGGAUCGAAAACCUCGAAGGAGGGAGGAUCAGAUACCGUAUCAUACGAAAGUGCAUACAGUUUGCCACCCAACUCCACCAUCACGGGAACAUGUUUGCCUUGAACCAAUUUGGCAUCCAUCUUCUGAAUCACAGAAGUAUCACUAGGCUGCUUGUUGGGUCAGUUUCAUAGACAUAGACAUCUCUAUGCCAAACAGGGUUGGGGAGGCGUGCAGCGAAAAGGCGGGCGGCAGGUGUGACGCCGGCGGCGAAAACGAUUUGGGAGCCCAACACACCGCAACCCACAAGAGAGGGGAGUUCUUCAUCCCCAUCCCCGGCGGCCUUGUAAGCUACCUGCUGUAAUUGCAAACCAUCAACCGAAUCUGAUGACAACAAAUCGGACAAUUUGAUGGAACGAACAACGUAAGAGACGCGCCUUUCAGGGUGGUAUUCGAUGUGGCAUAUGUACAGAGACUUAUUAGCCUCCGACUCUUUCAACUUCAACUUCUUACUUCUCUUCUUCUUCGCCUUACGCGGUGGUUCACGGCAGCGUCUAAGCCGGUGACCAUCGUUGAGUGUGUUUUUGGGAGACAUGGUUAGUUGGUUUAGCGCUCUCUCUUUAAUUUGUGUAUUUAUACUUUUAUAGGGAGGAACCCCAACCUCCCGAUCUCGCUGGGUUUUGGAUUUCCUCUUUGAAAUAGGAUUCAUAAAUGGGCCUUAUCUGGUUACGAGGUCGAACUCAUUAUUCCUCAUCUCACACCAAAAUUAUCGCACCCCGAGUUUGGGCUUGACAAAUUUAAAAUGAGCCAUGUGAUCCGGCACACAGAUUGUUUUAUUUAUUUUGCCUUUUCCAAUCUGUAUAUAUUAAGCGAAACGGGGGGAUUACUGUUCACGGAACAGUGUCUUCGCCCCUUAAGAUGGAGCCACGUACAGCUACAAUCGAAGGCCCAAAACCCACCACGUAUAUGUCAACUUUACGUUUGUUUUCCCUGGUUUCUCACUUCCAGCUUUCCACCAUCUCUUUUUCUCUCGAUUCUACCCGAACAACUCAAGAAAAGUUUGGGCUGUUGCAAAAGUUCCUCUCUCUGCAAAAGUUUUUCGUUCUGCAAAAGUUCUUCUCUCUGGAAAACUCACUCAGUUGGUGUGUUGGACUUUUGGGUUUUCUCCUUCAUCUCUCUGCAAAAGUUCUUCUCCGGCCAUAUCCAUAUUUGGUUUUUGGUGUAGUCUCAUUUUAGCUUUGGGAUAUAACCACGCACGUGCGAAGCGCGGGUGUCAAAGCUAGUAUUUAUUAUUUUAAGACCCAUGCCAUGAAUGAUUCAAACGAGAUAUCUGAUAAUUUCCAACAAGCUGUUUUUUGAAAGGGUAGGAGCUUUCAAGAUACCAAAUGUUAUAACAAAAUGGGAAAAUUGUCCAAACAUUGUCUUACUUUUUAGAGAAGCAAAACUUUUAGAGAAACAAAACUUUGAUAUCUCAUCUUCAGAAAACUUCAAAACAGUAUCUCAUGUUCUUACCUCGACUGAAGUUUGGUAUCUAGAACCGUUAGCUCCGUUAAAAAAAUUGAUGACAACCAUUUUUAUUCUUAAAGUGACCAAUUUACUCUGAGUUUUUAUUUUUGUUAUCAUUUUAUUAUAAUAAAAAAAAAUUCGUCAUACUGAUACCUCAUCUUUUCUUCAUUAUAAAUUUUGGUACUUCAUGGCUGCUUAAGAUAGACAACCAUAUUGUGCAUUAGAUAUACAAACUACCUGACAGCGCAUAAGAUACUUGAAAAUUCAGGCGAGGGAAAUAACGUUAUCAUUGACUGAAACAUGUAUCCGUUAAGGAGCACAAACAGUACCAAUACUGAAUAAAACAAACAUAUUACAGCACAAAGCAACCAUCAGCUCGAGGACUAGGAAAAGUGGAUGGGUUGGUACAGAAUUCGAAGAUACGAGUAGGCAUGAACUGAAGAGUCAAACAAUUCUUGGCGUCCUUGUCGAUCUUGGUGAUAUCAACUUCAAAUCGAAACGGAAUGGCAACACCCUUGUCUUAUGACUCCCAACCUGAGUAUGAUAUUUAGGUACUCGUUCUUCUGGGAGAUUCAUUUCAGGGGCAACAAGGCAGGCUUUCUGACCUCCUAUAUGGAGGAUGUACCCUCUUUUUGCAGAUUCAAAUUCCUCAGGCAACAUUGGCAGCUUCAAAUCAGCAAUUCGAGUGAUAGAUUCAUGAUUUUCAUCCAAGAACAUAAUAUAAACUCCUAGAUACCAACGACCAAAACCGUAGGCAAACAUUAUCUUCUUGUUAUCGUCACCAGGCAGGUCCAGGACCAGAGCUCUGCCCUUAAAAGGAAAAGGGCCGCGUUGGCACAUGGAACGGACUAACCUCCAUUCUCUGUGAGGGUGAGCUACAUCGAAGCAGCAGACAGGACCUGUUAUCUGAGACAUAAACAUCUUGGUGCCAGUAACUGCAUAAGACAAGGGGGAAUGACGAAUUCGCUCCAAGAAUGGAGGCUGUGGCAGAGCAGACCAAGUCCCCAUUUCGGGAUCGAAUACCUCAAAUGAGGGAGGAUCCGAGAUCGGCUUAUACGAAAGUGCAUACAGUUUGCCUCCCACCUCCAUCAUCGUAGGAAGAUACUUGGCUUGGAGCAAUUUGGCAUCCAUCUUCCGGAUUACACUAGGAGGCUGCUUGUCGGGCUCAGUUUCGAAGACAUACACAUCUCUAUGCCAAGUAGGGUUUGGAUGGGAAACGAAGAUGGGUUUUAUGCCGCCGGCGAAAACAAUUUGGGAGCCCAACACACCGCAACCCACAAAACCGGGGAGUUCAUCAUCUCCGGCCUUAUAACCGACCUGCCGUAAUUGCAAAUGAUCAACCGAAUCCGACGACAACAAAUCGGACAGUUUGAUGGAACGGACAACAUAAGAAACCCGAUCUCCAGGGUGGCGUUCGAUGUGACAUAUGUACAGUGAUUUAUUGGCCUCCGACUCCUUCAGCUUCAACUUCAACUUCUUACUUCUCUUCUUCUUCUUCUUCUUCUUCUUGUCAGACUUACGCGGCGGUGAUUCACGGCAGCGUCGAAGCCGGUGACCACCAUCGCUGGCUUUGUUGAGUGUGGUUUUGGGAGACAUGGAACACCAAACUGUUUCCUUUCGGUGUUGUUGGCCCCUUUUCUUGUCAAUUUAUAGGGAGGAAGCCUUAUCUCCCUGGGUAUUGGACUCUACUCCUUCUCUGGUUCGAAAUAGGAUCCAUAACUGGGCCUAAUCUGAUGAUGAGCGGGCCAACUGAGGUAGCCCAUGUUUACAUCACAUUGACAUACAUGUUCAGCUAGCUAUCCUUCAUUUUCAAUAACCAAAAAAAAGGUAAAACAAUUUCAACCAUACAAAAUGAAGUUUGAUUUAUAUACAAUGAUUGUUGAAUACAUGAUGAAUUUGUUUCAAUGAUCAUUUUAUGGUCCUAAAGCUAUAGAUUGCACAACCAAUCACUUCACCAGUAUAGUACAUGCUCACUCUCUAAAAGUUGUUAAAACUCUAAUUCAGCUUUUAACACCUCUUGAUUUCAACCUCUUCACUGCGAGAAGUAAAAAAACCAUGCGUUAGUCAUCACAAUGUACACAGACUGUUUCUUCAAUGUAAAAAGAAAAUGUCACGAUUCAAGGACAUAUGGCAAACAAUGUCGUACCGAUAAAAAUAGAUAGCACACAGCUCAACUUUGUUAAUGCUUGAAAUCAUAUUCUGCUAAAUAACAUAACCUCCUUAUAAGGUGCGAUCUAAGGGUUGAAUUGCUCAUAGUCUAUUUUUGUGAUUUGCUCAAGAUGCCAGAUAACAUACCAUAUAACAGAGUACUGCCCGUCUUCCUUAUUUAUUCUUUAAUAAAGGGUCAUCCUUGAGACCAGAUGAAUUGACACGUCACUACAGGGAACUGGUGCAAUCCUAGCUCCCCUAUGAUGACAACUUACCCUAUCCCGUAACGGGGUAAAACUAUAACAAGAAACCUAAAGUCCGACCAGCCGUAGGACCAUACUAAACUUGAGACUAUUCACAGUUAAAGAUGAGAAGUAAACUAUCAAUCAUUCAUGCUCAGGACUGACUACAGAAGAGAAAAGAGCUCACCCUAUGGAUGCAAUAGACAGAGGAAAGGAUAUAGAGUAGAAAUCAACAUCUCAUACGAAAUCUACAAAGAAUUUAUUGAAUUCCAAAUUAACCACAAGAAAAGAAAGUAAAGACAAUCCUCACCUCAGGGUAACAAUCUUGACGAACAACUGUCUGAUCGUUUGUAUUCACAUACACCUCACACGAAGCUCUUCCCUGAUCAACAGUAAUGACCACAGUUAGAUAAUAUCAAAAUGAAGAAGUAAUAAACCACACCACAAUCACAAUCACAAUCACAAUCACAUCACAAACCAACUCAUCUCACCCUUACAUUUCACAUACAUUAGAUGUCAACUUAUCAGUUCGUGCUUCUACUUGUUCUAUUGUUUUUCGAUAAACAUCACACUUCCAUAGCCACAGCUAUACAUUCAUACAUGAGAAACCAUAUCAACUAGUUUUACUUUUUCUCUUUCACCAUUUCGUAUUAGCUUAGAAAGACAAUCGAAUCACCAACUCGAAUGCAGCUAAGCAAACAAAUUAUAGCACAACCAAAAGUUCACAUAUAACCAAAAUGCUUCACAAACCAAAACAGUAUCAAACCAAAAGCUUAUUUAUUAAUUGAGCUAUGAGCAGGUUUACCUUGAUCGGAAUUCUGAAGAAGAAUAGCCCAACGGUUCCAUCCACCACGGAAUCAGUAUCAAACGGAAUCUCACCCCUAGCCAAAUCCUCCAGCAAGUAAAACACGUCGUGAAUCACCUCCAGCCCAUCCACCACGAGCGUGGCGUUCACGUACGACGAGCCUCUCGCCCUCACGCGCCCGCCGUCGGAGCUCACAAACCCUAGCUCUCUCCCCCGGUACCCGAUUUUGACCACCAGCGAGUCGUACUCCAGAGAGAAGAAGUCGCGGUUACGCACCUUGAUGGUCAGCGAGAACGACGCGUCCAGAGUGAGCUUCGGCGACGAGUGCACUCCGACGUGGUUGAGCUGGAUCCGGGCGAGGCUGAGGGCCGGGUCGGACGGGAAGAGGAAAAACACGGCGGCGGAGAUGAAGAGGAACGCGGCGGUGGUGGAGACGCAGAGGCGGAAACGACGUCGUUCGAGGUAGUCGUCGCGAUAAGGGCGGUAGUGAGUUAAAACGACGACGUGUUGUUGGGGUUGGCCCGAAUCGGGGUUGGCCGGAAUCGGCGCGUAGAAUGCAGACUCGCCUUUCGAGCUCUUCAUGUUUUUCUUGGCGAGUCGUUUAAACGAUUUUGUCCAAAAGCUACGGCAUUUUAUACGUUUUUUAGAGUCUAAGGCGUGUGACGUGGCGAUAUUUUGGGUUGGUUCAUAGAGGCCCAAAACACGAGUUCUAAUUCAACUCUCUAAGGUAAAAUAGUCUGAAUUACCCCCAUGAGUUAUUUACGGAUAUGUGUUCCGAGUAGAGGUGGCAAACGGGCUGUUUAGCACGGGCACGACACGUUUAAAAGCGGCCCGGCACGGCUCAAGCCCGUUAACGGCCCGGCACAACCCGGCCCAAACAUAUUAUUCUAAUGGGUUGGGCUGGGCCCAGAAAAAUGAGCCCAUGGGCCCGGCCCGGCCCAAGCACGAUAAUAUGAGGCCCACAUCCCGGCCCGCUAUAAAAUAUAUAUAUUUUUUCCAUUUUUAAUAUAAAGAUAACAUAUUUAUAAAUAAUAAACUUAGUUUUGAGUGUGGACAAUAUACUUAUAUACUAAUAAUUAUUUAUUUGAGUAUGAAUUUGCAUUUCCUUAGACUCAUAAGAAGUUUUUGCCUAAAAAUUUAUUAAUUGUGAACAAUAAACAUUUAUCACUUAUUUCUUUAGUUUGUUAACAAAGAAAAAAAUGAUCAAUAGAUUGAGUGAAUUAAUUUUGGUUUGUAAUCGUAUCAUGUAUAAUCACAACUUUUAAUUAUGGUGGUGACUACUAUUUUCAAUUUUUAACUAUAGGACAUUCACCUCGAUCAUUUUCAAUUUUCGACACGAAACGGGCUUGACACGGCCCGUUCAUGGGCUCGGGCCGGCCCGGCCCAAGCACGGCCCAUCACGUUAUGGGCUUGGGUCGUGGGUCAGGCUGGGCCUUACAUUUGAGUAAAUGGGCCGGCCCGAGCCCGAGCCCUUUAAGAAGUAUCCCAUUGUGGGCCGGCCCAAGCACGGCUCGAAACCUGAUUAGAUGGGCCUGCCAGUUUGCCACCUCUAGUUUCGAGUUCCGACAUAUCGAACGAGUAUCGGAUCGUAUCCUGCUGUAUUAUGCCGUAUUCGAGUACAAAUUCUGAGGUAUAGUUUGGUAUUACUGUGACUUUAAAAAAAAAAAUCUGAUUAUGCUAUACAGCGAAAAUAAUUAGCUGUGAAUUAAAAUGAUUUUGUGUUUGGUAAAUAUUAGUUUUAAAAUUGCUACAAAAUCAAAAUAUAUUAAUUUCUAGUGUUUUUACGACAGCUGCUUCUAAAAUUAACCUUCAGGUUGUUUCUAAAAGCUGCUGCUAGUGACCUGUAAAAACUGUUUUUCUUUGAUUUACUAAACACUAUAAAAUUUAAAAGUUAGGAUAGAAACUGAUUUUUUUUUUAAAUAAAACUAUACCAAACGGGGCCCGAAUCCACAAAGCCGGAAAUGACGGUAAAUUGCCUGAAACGGCCCGAUACGUCCGGAUAUGUAUUUAUAAAUAAUAAAAUACGUGGGGGCAGUUUAGAUUAUACGUACUGGUGUUAGCAUCGGUUGCGAAAUCUGGGCCGUUGAGCUAGAUCACCCGCCACGGAUAUAAAAGGCCUCCAAAAAUCCCCAAAUUCGAAACCCUAGCUUUUCACAGUGUUGCCCAGAAAAUCUGAGUGUAGUGCGGCGAUGGAGAAAGGCGAGGCGGAGGAGAAAAGGCCGAUUUUCAGAGAUAUAAGGCGGUAUUAUUGCGAGUACUGCGGAAUUUGUAGAUCCAAGAAGACUCUGAUUGCUUCUCAUAAAUUAGCUCAGCACAAGGUUUGGUUUUUUGGAGCUGAUUAAAGUUUUGAUUUUUAUGAAUUGGGUGUUUGAUUUUGAAGGAGAUAGGGUUUUGCGUCUAGAUUAGAUUUUGAAAUUGAGUUGUUUCUGGAUUUGGAUCUGGGAAUUGGGAUUUAAAGUUGGGUUCUUUGUUUUUGUAGGAUGAGAUGGAAUUGGCAAAGGGUGAUGAAGUGGAGGUGGAUAAGUCUAAUACAUGUGAAGAAUGUGGUGCCAGUUUCAAGAAGCCUGCGUAUCUGAAGCAACAUAUGUUAAGCCAUUCCCUUGAGGUAUUGUGUUGAAUUUUGAUUGUCUAUAUGGUUUCAUGAGAAUUGGGUGUUACUAUCAGUUGGGUGUUACUCUUCUUGUGUGAAAGUUUUCGAGGAAAAGUAUCGGAUUGGCAGUGAAAUCAGUGGCAUCUUGUAUGAGAGUCUGAUGAUUGAUUUCGAAAGAGCUGAGAUUAUAGUAGUGUGUUUUGUUGUUGAAGUUUUAGUAUGUUUUGCAUUGAUUGAAGAUAAGAGUUUUUGCAGGAAUCAGCUUGUUUAAGAACUAUACCGUUUGGAUCGCGUGAAGCAUUGGAUCCCACCAAAGAACUCCAAAAUGCGAGAGGGUAUGAACUUGAAUGGACCAGUACCAGGGGGGAGACCUCCUGUGAAGCUCCGUCAAGUGAUCCUCAAUCACGCAGUGUUAGUAUUAAGGUUUGAAUGCUUGUUCAUGUACUUAGUAAACUGUGGUUGUCUGUUUGUGAUUUUCUUUUGUUUGUUGUACUUUUUUUUUCUGUAUUUGUUGCAACAAUUGAAGAUGUAAAUUUUGCAGGAAUUAGAACUUCUGAAAAGUAUUGUUUUGACGGCGUGAAGCAUUGGAUCCCAAACAAAGAACUCCAAAAUGCAAGAGGGUUCAGCUUGAGUGGACUAGUACCAGGGGGGAGACCUCCUGUGAAGCUCCAUCAAGUGACCCUCAAUCACACUGUACAGCUCCAGAUUUAAAUGCUUUUUCAUGCCAACGUUUAAGUUAUGGUUUUUCGUUCAUGAAUUCACUUCAGCUCGUUCUUUACAGAGGCCAUAUGUUUGCACAAUCGAUGAUUGUCGUUCUACUUAUAGAAGAAAGGACCAUUUGAACCGUCAUCUUCUUCAGCACCAAGGAAAAAUCUUUAAGUGUCCAAUUGAGAACUGCAAGAGUGAAUUUGCUUUUCAAGGUAACGUGAAGAGGCAUGUUGUAGAAUUUCACAGUGAGGAUUGCCCUUCUACUGGCGUUGAAGGUCAGAAGCAGCAUGUGUGCCAGGAACCUGGUUGUGGAAAGGUGUUCCAAUUUGCUUCGAAGCUGCGGAAACAUGAGGAUUCUCAUGGUAGGUGUUAUUUCUGAAUUCUAUCUCUUUUAGGUUCCAUUGUCUAUGGAAUCUCUUUUUGUCUGUGGUUGUUGAAUAUGGUAAGGUGACCUAUAUAAUAAACUGAUAGUCUCAAAUGAGGAGUUGUGGUGUUGCUCAGAGUUUUUUUGUAUGUUAAUGCUAACGCUGUCUCUAUUUCUGCAGUUAAGCUGGACUCAGUGGAGGCAUUCUGCUCUGAACCGGAUUGUAUGAAAUAUUUUUCUAAUAAGCAAUGCCUUCAGGAGCAUAUUCAGUCCUGCCACACUCAUAUCGCUUGCGAGAUAUGUGGGAAGAAGGUGUGGAAAAAGAACAUCAGAAGCCAUCUCUCUACUCAUGAAGAGGGAGCCUCUUCAUUGGAAAUUAAAUGUGAAUAUGAGGGUUGUCUUCACACAUUUACUAAAGUGAGUUGCUAAGAAGACUGUGAAACUAUUUACACGUUGAUAUGCUUGAUUUGACAAGCCUUGUUUGGUUUCUUAUGUUUCGUUGUUAUAUUUGCAGAAAUCAAAUCUUCUCCGGCAUGUGAAGGCUGUACACCUCCAACAGAAACCUUACGCGUGUAGCUUCUCAGGCUGUGGCAAGACAUUCUCAUACAAGCAUGUCAGAGAUAAGCACGAGAAUUCUGGAUGUCAUGUAUACGCCUAUGUGAGUGCCAUGUUCUUGGAGCAUUCAAUACCUCUUCUGCUGGAUUCUACAUAUUUUUUAUGGAUAACACAGUUGCAGACAAUCCCCCAUUAUGAAUCUCAUGUAUGUCAUCUGUUGGUUAUUGCUUUGAAUUGCAGGGGGAUUUUGAAGAGGCUGAUGAGCAAUUCCGGUCAAGGCCAAGGGGUGGGUGUAAGAGGAUAUGUCCUACAGUGGAAAUGCUUGUGCGUAAAAGGGUUACUCCACCAGAUCAAUUUGGCCCAGAGACAGAGUUCCUCUCCCAGUUAUUCUCGCAAGAAGAAGAUGAGCGCUGAGGCGUGCUCUAGUAGAGUUAAUAACCAUGGAAGUUGGGUAUUUUGAAUCUGCAAACUAGAUAUGUAUAGCUGCCUUUUGUAAUUAUUUAGAGAGUGGAUGACAGGACUUAUCCUGGGUUCUGUAAUCUUCUGAAAAUCUGUGGUUGGUUCGGCCAAUUCAUAAUACAAGCCAGCGAAGUUUUGACACAUCUCCUUUUGCCUACCGUGUCAAGUUAGUCUCAUAUCUUCAAUCCAGAGAGAAAUAAAGCUGCACAAUUAUAAAUGAGUAGCAAAUCCUCUUUGCUGUCAUCAACCUCGUAUCGAGACAAAUAACAGUCUCUUGUCAACUACAGCCUACUCGAAAAAACCUUGCAAAGUCAGUAGGCAAUGCUCAAGAAUAACUCGUGACAGUUCACCAUCACCAUUGUAGAAGAAGGGAUCUCAUCACCAAAGCUACUCAUGACAGCUCCAAGCAAAGAUUAUAUCAGAUGUAAAAAGAACAGGAACUACGCACAAGCCGAAGAGAUACACCAAUGAUUCUAUUAGGCAGUUUUUGAAACACUGAUUUGAAGAAAGAAAAAGUAAAGUUAACGAACUAUCCUAGAACUAGAAAAUACAGUACACAAAUAUUCAACUAAAUCAUAUAAAUCCAAGGAAGCAUGACUAUGGAUGGACUGUGACACAAAUGGAAGCUGUAUGUAUCAGCACGUAACUAUGGAUCCCGACCAUGGAAUAGUAUGAAAGAUUGUUUCUAAUUUUUCUUUUGGGGCCAAUGCCUUGUGGCUACUGAUCAUCCCCACUAAAUAUCAGGGUUUUCUAUCAUUACAAGCUAUAUGCCUUCUGGCCUUACAAAACUCAUCCCAAAUACUCCAUUAUAGUCCAGAGAAAAUAGAAUUACAAGAAAAAGGAAAGACAAUAGCCAAUAUUUGUCUCUAAUUAAUACUAAAAUUUGAGGUUUAUUAAUAAAGAUCGAAGAGCUAACAGUAAUAGAACAAUAGUGAUAACACUGUUUACAUUAUUCAUGAAACUGAAUACAUUGUUCAUGAGCUAUAGCGUGUAAAUAUAUCAGACACACAUGAAACGGCUUAACUGAUGAACAAACACAGAAACUCUAUAUCUGUAUCUAUUUGGCUUAUACAAUUUAUAUAGAAGGGUGCUAAUGAUGGAGAGGAAUAGCAAGUAAUCAACACCAACUUUCUUGCAAUCAAAGUACUUCAACCUGUUGAUCUUAAUUGUUUAAGUAGAGUGAUCAAGUACUGAUGUGGGAGAAGUCUGCGAGUUAUUGGCUGCAGGCAUGGACUUUGAGCGCUUCAUCCAAGCUGAGGAUGAGCGGGAACGAUGAAACCGGCACCGGAAUGAGCCUUGAUGUGUUGUUGGUGAGCACAAGCACUGCCCUCCUGAUGAUCCUUUAGGUGAUGGUGCUUCUGCAGUGUUGCCACUUUUCGGAGAAUUGAUUGACACACUCAUUUUAUUGUUACCAUGCUCGUGGGAUGCCAUGUUUAUCUCUAAUGAAUUGAGAAGAGAAGAAGAGAAGUAUGAGCCAGGAGAAGCUUUACUGUGGUGCAGUACUUAUUGGCAAGGCUAGCGUGGU